RNAcentral lists this long non-coding RNA (319725 nucleotides) under Setaria viridis. Its description in RNAcentral is "long non-coding RNA (SVIR_LNC009635)". The stretch from base 52651 to 52848 matches the Rfam family "MIR1435 microRNA precursor family". Lineage: Eukaryota; Viridiplantae; Streptophyta; Magnoliopsida; Poales; Poaceae. The record is from RNAcentral.
CUGCACAGUGAAAAGAACAAUCCCCAAGCACAAAAGUCUGGAUGGAGCUUCUUAUCUCCCUACUAAAUAAAAGUAAACCUGGGAAGUUGUACUUUAUCCCACAACUUAACAUUGAUAGAUAGAUUUCUUUGAUCCCAGGUGUAAUGGCACAUUGAAGCCAGCGGUCAACAUAACUAGGUUGGAGAUUCGAACAAGGGUAGGUUUCAAUUACAAACCUCUUCACUCCCAUGCUAGAGUGAUUCUGCAUAAUGUGGUCAACUCUACAUACGAAAUCCCUUUUUAUUUCAUCAUUAGAUGUGUUUACAUUAAUCCCUAGAGAAUCAACAGAAAUAAUGAGAUUUGGAAAGCAUCUCCAAGAACGCAGAAAACCACGAGACACGCAGGCGGCCUGAGCAGCAUCUCGCAAUGGCAUGAGGGCGUGUAUUUGAUGAAGAAUGUCCUGUGAAAAUAACCAUGGGAAAUUUUUCAAAAAAAAAGCAUGAGAAAAAUAACGAACAUCACAAGAUGGUUGUGGUAAUAAUGCUUGUCUGAAGUGAGCAGUAUGGACAAAUUACGAUCGAAUUAGCUAAGGGUCUGUUUGUUUCCACCCUCCUAAAGUUUUAACUCCUAAAAGAUUUUAGGCAGUUUUUAGACACCUCCUAAAGUAUGUUUUGUUCCACCUCCUAAAAGUGACUAAAGGCAAUGAAUGAAGUGGUAAAAUGACCAAGAUGCACCUCUCCCCCACCCCGCGCUGCUCCUCCUCGUCAUCCUCCUCCUCCCGGCCCUCGCGCUCGCCGCGCUGCUCUUGCGCGGGGGCGGGGGCAGCCACCACCUCGCGCUCCUGGCGGCCGCGGCGGGGGCCGCGCUCGCCGCGGCGGCGACCGUCGCGCGGCUCCGCGGCACCCACGCGGGUGCCUUCCAGGCGUGCGCCUCCCCGGCACUAGCGGCCUCCGUGCAGUGGUUCAUCGGGGAGGCGGAGUCGGGCGGCGGGCGGCGGGAGUCGAGCGGCGGGUGCUGCAGCGGCGGCGGCCGGCGGCGGACGGCGGCGGCGGCAGGCGGCGGGAGUUGGGCGGGUGGCGGGAGUCGGGCGGGAGUCUGGCGUGCGGUGGGGGUAUGCGGGGGUAGGAGCGGUCCAGAACCGAUUUUAGUCGGUUUUAGGAGGGGGUGAGGGCCUAAAAGAUUUGGACCUCCUAAAAGAUUUUAGUCACUUUUUAGGAGAAGUGUUUGGCACUUUAGGCAGUUUUUAGUCACUUUUUAGGAGGUAAGGUUUUAGGAGGGUGGAAACAAACAAGCCCUAAAUGUGUUCUGUUUUAAAAAAUACAGUAUUGAAUUGUGCUAUACUGGGGGUAUCCUCAUUUUCAGCAGGUAUAACAUAAAAAGAAUUCACAAGCAACAACCAUCAUAAGAUGAUAAGGCAAGGUAACGACAAUUCAAAAACAUCAACCAUGGACCAUUGUACAACCCUGGACCUCAUAGUGUGAAUGUCAGAUGCACUACCAAGUUCUUAUAAUCCAAAAUGCCACCACCAAGCUAGCAGUAAUGACAGUGGGGGUCGUUAGUUCUAUCACUUGCUAUAUAGUGCUCUGAGAAAAAACUAAUUCAUCCUAAUAACUUACACGAUAUCAUCUCAUACCUCUGGAAGCUGGACCUGUGAUCCCAUUGUUUCGACGCAAUGCGAAAUAUCUCCUUCUAGACUAGGUGAUACCAUUAUUUGAGAUGCCGAACAAUUUGAUCCAUCACCUGCAAAUCAGGAAUGUCAUGAGACAGAAGGGACAAUGGCAAGGAAAACAGCAAACACGAACACAAUUGCACAUGCGCAGCACUUGGCUUAGAUGAUGCUUAAACUUCUGCUCGAGAACAGUUGAGCAGACAGAACCUAGGUUCCAAGAGUUGGGUUAAGAACAUCCUUUAUACGCAAAGUUACCUAAAAAUUAAAUCUUUAUGUGCACAAUCACCUCAAACAUAUGUCUCUGCACAAAAUCAUCAGCGUAGAGGGAUCUUUGUUCGAAACCUAGCCAGGCCACAUGAAUUUACUUAAUUCGACCAGUCCCGUGGCUACUUCUAUCCCAGAAACAGAUGUAGAAAAAUUGUAAAUAAUAAUUGAUAUCUCAUAUGACAGCACUCACUAAUCAUGCAGAUAAGCAACGCAAGCAAACAGACACCAGGAUGCUUACGAGUUAUCUGGACUUGAGGCUGCCCCUCGACGGACAGAGCCUUCAUCUGCUCCAGUAUCCCCAUGUCCGUCGCCCCAACAAUCAAGCCAAGUCUCCGCACCCUAUGGCCCCUCGCCCCCUCUGCCGCUCGUGCAGCAAUCACGGGUCAGGUUUCUGCCGUGAGAAUCGGUACGCCACGGUAGCAGGGAUAUGUGGAGCUGGGUGAAUCUUUGUGGUGCUCGGUUAUCGAGUCCGGUGCCAGAACGGCAGCUCCAAUGUGGAUGCAAAACGAACCGAGGGGAUAAUAAACAAGUAAAGGUUCGAUUUAGGCACUAGGCCUUCCCUGGAAACCGCCGCCCUGGCUGGAAGCCUCGGACCAGCGGCCGCAGCCGAAUCGACCUCUCGACGUCGAGAUGUCGCGGAGGAGGGCCUCGUCCGGCCGUCUCUCUCAGAUAUGGCGACGGCAGAGCACCGGCGGCGGUUGGGAGUGCAGGGAGGCCACGGAGCACGAGCGGGAAAGGAUCUAGGCUCCACCCGCGGUUGGGAGUGCGGAGUUGCGUUUGCGGCGACGGAUUUCGCGGCGGCGGGAGGGAGAUGAAAUGCGACGGACAGGGAGGGGAUCGGAUCGGGUUGGGAUUUGGGAAGGCGACGAGUAGCCGACUCGGCUGGAAGUCGAGCCGGUUCGGCUCGGCCCAGCUUGUAAAGUUAACGAGCUGGCUCGGCAUGGAGAAGUCAGAACUCGAUCCAACCUUCAAGCCUCCUGCCUUAGCGGCAGCGUUUUGAACUUUUUGGAAAGAUACUGCUGGCACUUUUGUAUUUAGCUUUCUGGACUCAAAAAGUUACGAAAAGCUGAGAAAACUGAGGCUCUCAACUUUCCAUAUAAACUCAACUUUUCUAAGCUUCUGGCUUUCAGAAGCUGCACAAGAAGUUUACGGUUUGUUUAAGCUAGUGACUUUUUACGAUAAGAAGCUGUCAAGAAGCUCAAACAAAAACCUCAAGCCAUGUAAAAGUGCCAAUCUUAAGCCAAAGCAAGCGAUCUCAAGUAUCUCACAUUGGAGGAUAUCGAUAGCGCUGAGCCGCCGACGAUGAGCAAGUUGCAUCAUACCCACUCCAACUCUGCUCCUUGUAGCAAAGAGGUUCUGUGUCCACACUCUAACAUCUUCACCCAAGCAUCAUUGGCGCUAGCCUAUGGGUCUGUUUGUUUGAGCUUUCUAGCAGCUUUUCAGCGUGCUGAAAAGCCAGAAGCUCAAACAAAUAGUAAACUUCUCAUAUACCUUCCGGAAAGCUGGAAGCUCAGAAAAGCUGAAUUUAUAUGAAAAGAUGGAAAGCUCAGUUUUAUGACAUAUCAAUGUAAACAGCCGCGUUGAUAUGUCAUGCUCAUAUAAUGAUGGUGUUUAAUUAGCGUGUAGUAGCCAAGUUGUCACAACCUGAACUUUUUGGAUUUCAGGAUAAAAUUUUCCCAACAUUUAUUUUCUUGACAGGAAAUUUAGUAUAGAAAAACAAUUAGUUAUUUUUUUAAAUUAAAUAAAGUUGUUCUUUGUGUGUUGCAUUCUUGCCGAUGCAUUCUGGUGUUUCAUGAGUGCAAAAAGUUUUAAAAUGCGUUUAAAUGACGACCGGUUCUUCUGAGAAUUUUCUAGCUUUUUCUGGAAUUUAUUCUCAUUUUUUCUAGAGCUAAAUAUUUUUAUUAGAAGGCUCUAAAAUAUUUUUCAUCAUCUCCAAGUACUUUAUUUGGAUUCCUCAUGUAUCUAUCUCUGGGAUUUUUCCUUGAAUUUUUUAGAUUUUCAGAAGUAUUUUUCAUGGUUUAAUCGAAUUAUCUAGAUUUUUCUAUUUUUCCUUUCACGAGAAAUUAUUUUUGAAAAUAAUCAAAGCCUAUCUUUUUUUGGGCCAAGCCCGUGGGCUCGACCCGCGUCAGCCCGCUUUGACCCGUCCACCGCUGGCCCACCAGUUGACCCAGGCAGGCAGCGGCGGCCAACCUUAGCUUCCGUGCCAAGUCAGCUGCGCCCCCAUGCCCCUAUAUAAAGCCGCCCCCCUAGGGUCUCUCCUGCUCGUGUUGCCACCACGCGUCGCCCCUCGUCCGUCUAGCGCAGCACUACCGUCGCCAAGGUGCCGCCCGUCUCGGAGGAGAUCACGCCGGUCGUCACCUCCUCCGUUCUCCAUCUUGACUGGCCGAUUUGCCGAGGUUGAGCAUGAGGAGGGCACGGCGAGCAUCGUGAAGCCGAGCCGCAACUGUCCCACCGGUUGCUGCUGUCAUUUCGCCACCGGAGGAGCUCCGCCGCAUGAACACUCGAACUGGCCACCACCAACCAAAUUCCAGCCAUCUCCAUCCAGCCCCGCCAUCGGUGAGCAUACCCCCAACACCCUCUUGACCUCCUCUGUCUACUGCGCCACUUCCGCCUCGCCAUAGCCGGCCGGAGCGCCGCCUAUUUUUGCCGGCCGAGCCACCAUCCGCCAUGGGAGCAAGCUCCCAGAGCUUUUUCAAGUUAGCCCCUAUGCUUUUGCAAGUAGAACCUCGAGCUAAUCUGUAAUAUCUUGCUCCUGAAUAGAUUAGAUCCUUUCAACCUAGUCCAAGCCAUGAUCUUUAACAGAUCUAACCCCAUCCUUUGGGCUUUUUGCGAGCACUAUUAACUGUGUCUUGCAUAUCUUCUUUGCUAAACCUUAAGAUCUAUAGUUAAUUCUAUUUAGAUCCUUUCAACCUUGUUUAGUCCCCAGGCUCCACAUCUUUGCUCCACUAAAGCUCGUUCUUGUUCCGUUAGGUUCACAUCAACUUAAAUUUAAACUAUGUGUUAGAAGGAAGGUUAAUCCUGUUCUGUGUUUCUAAAAUUUAUUUAAAAUAUUAAUAUGAUUAAUUGCUUAUGCACUUGUUUUCUAAUUAAAAGCUAAUUAGACCUUUAUUUCACUUUUAUAAUUAAAUAUUAAUUUGUUUAAUACAUAUUAAAAUAGUUUUAAUUAAUAAAAUCUAAUUAAGUGCUACACCACGGUUGUUCAUAAGUAAACUCAAAUUGAUUAAUGUUUAUUCAAUUUGUUUUCUAAAUAAAAGCUACAUAAGUUAUAUCUCAGGUUUUCAUAAUUAAAUGGUAAUUUGACAAAAAUGAAUAUAAAUGUGUCUUUAAUUAUAUUUGGUUACUUCAACCCGAAUCAUAAAACUAUGCGCUUAGAUGUUUACGAAUACUUUAUUUUCAAAUUAAAUGUUUAAUUUGCAUAAAUUGUACUUGAAUGUUUAUAAAUAAAAUUUGACUAAGUUCUACAUCAUCUUUUCAUAUAUAAAUAUAACUUGCUAAGGAUGUUUAUCUAAAAUAUCUUUACAUUGUUUUCUUUAUUAAAAUACAUUGUUUCUUUCAACCAUAGUUUUGUUUCUAGUGUUUCUUGUGUUCACGUGACCUUAGAUUCAAGCCUUAUCCUCUCGUACGCUCUUUUAAAGCUUUUCUUUGAUUAUUGUAUUAUUCUUAGUUGUAUUUGUUUGUUUGCUUUGUAUGCUUGUGCCAAUGAUUGCUUCGAGUAGAAGGAUUGCUGUUCGAAAGCUUUGAAGAUUAAGAGUUUCAAGAAAGCAAGAGCUGAUAAGCAGUAAGAGUAACUUUUCGUUGAAGAAAGGCAAGUGUCCCUAACCAUCUUUCUAUCUAUGCUUAUUUACAAGAAUACCAUGUAUUAAUUGGAACAUGGAGAACCACCCAGGAAAACAGUGCAACCACAAGGACUACAUGGCUCUAAUCUUGGCUAAUUAGUUAGAGACUCUAGUAUGGGGUAAUCUUACUGAAAGGGCAAGAGGGGAGGCAUUGAUGGGAUAUAGCCCGGCCCUCAGGCUGAUUUGCUCUAUGGUAACUUCGCAGUCUUGAUAGAGGUUUAUGCUCUGCUUGUUAGAGGAAUGCCCUAGAGGCAAUCAUAGAGAUGAUGAUAUUCCAUUUGUAUCCAUGAUUUAUAUAUUGUAUUCCUUGAAUAUCCAUUAAAGGCUACUUGAAUUGAUUUGCAAUUAUGUGAAUUGUGUGUGAAACUCUUUACUUGUAUGGUUAUUCUAAAGUUGUCCCUAGUCGGAGUUCAUGUGAGGACACACAUGAAUAUUAGACUAGCACAUGUAUUAGUUUAUGACUAUGUUUCACAAGUCAUGGACAUGGAGAUGUUGAACUAAUAAUGUGGGCACAUGUGGAGACAUGUGCUAGGACUGACCCAACACGAGAAGUAGUUCUCUCUUUAAACAACAUAUAUGCUUUGUCCUUAGACCUGAGAUUGUCGAUGUAUUCAAGAUGUGGAUCGACCUACUUAGGGGCUAUCAAACGCUAUGCCGUAACAGGGUAGUUAUAAAGGUAGCUUUCGAGUUUGUCAAGAAGCAUGCUAUGAGACAUGGUCAAUCAAGAUGGGAUUUGCCCCUCUCUGCUUGAGAGUGAUAUCUCUGGGCCCCUCGAGUGAUCGGAUCAAAAAAUGCAUGGCCAUGCUACGUACGGUUAAGAGUUAACCUACAAAGGGAUUCUGAAUCACAGGAUCGAGAAAGAGCGGUCGGCUUGAAGCUAGACCAAAUAUCGUGAGGCAAAGGGAAUAGCAUAUAUAUUAUGUUGUGAUGGUUCGUCUGAUACGAUCUUCGUAUGCGUAUAGGAGUUGGCACGUCUUGUUAGAGGCUGCUACCGACUAUUGGGCCGAGUAGGAGUACUCGGUCCAUGUCUAUACGUAUCCGAACCCAUAGGGUCACACACUUAAAGGGCUGGAAGCCCAAUUCGGAUGUGAUCCGAGUUGGAUUAGGUUUAGAAGUACUAAUGGGCCUCGGACCCAGAGGCCCGUUAGGAACCUCUAUAAAUAGAGGGGUGGGGGCGCCCUAGGGUUUACACCUUUUUGGCGAAACACAUCUGCCGCGCCUCCCACGCCCUCGCCUGUUGCAACUCGCGGAUCUAGCAGUCUAGCUUGCGAUGCUUCCUCCCUGCACGUGUGGAUACCUUAGAGGUGUUGCGCCUGCAGCACUUGGACGAGCCGCCGACGAGCCAUGACGAGCCGACGACGAGCCGCGGCACGAAGGAGAUCUUGCUGCACGUGGAUGAGCUGCUGAGGAGUUGCUGAACGUCGACGUGAUCGACUACGUACAACUACGCUGAUCCACUUCGCUGCAUCGAUGCGAAUCUACAUCUUCCGCACCAGUAGUGCGUCGAGUGGUAAUCCUGUGAUCCUUAUACGGCAGUUUUCCUGGUUUACGUGGUAGAAAAUUUUGUUUUGCGCUAGUGUAGCCUACCUCGCAUCCCAACAGUGGUAUCAGAGCCGUAGCUGCUUUGUUUUGGAUUCGGGAUGUGUGCAUAUGGAGAUAUGCGAGUUUUCAGUUUGAUCUAUGUCCUUGUUUCGUGUUCUUGCUGCAAUGGUAGUGUAACGACAUACUCCUAGCGGUCAGGUUUCCGCCAUCGGAGUUAAGUGAUACACGUAAUUCCAGUUGCAUUGAGCGAAGAUUAAUGUGAUUGGUCGAAUCAAAAUCCAGGUUCAUACGCUAGGCGCAUGAGAUGUGCAAUAGUAGAUGGGAUCUACUGUCGGGGUCGGGAUUUUGCCGUGUGCGUAUGCUUCGGUAAAUCUGCCGUAACUUUUCGGUACGAUCUCGGAUCGGGGCAAAUUUUAUAUGAAAAUUGAUCUACAGAAAAAGUUACACAUGAAAUUCAACCGCUUCGCUAUCUUCGGCGAAAUUAGAUUUCCCAAAUUCGGCUUGGAAGAUGGAGUUUCGGGCAUCUGAAGUUUGGAACGUUAGGACGCUUAACUCUGUUUUGCAGGAUGUAUAUAUGUAUCUUGUGAUCAGUAUGGCCCCUUUGUGUAUGUGAUGCAUGUGUGUAACUCAUUCGUGACUUGCGUGUCGCGCGUACGGCAACACGGCAGGAGACAUAUGUGUUGUCACCUUAAUGUAUUUAAUGGUCUGCGUACCAAUCUGUGAUGAUCCAAGAAACUAUGUAAUCUUCAUUACUAGCUUCCUUACUAGCUAUUAGGCGUAAUAGCAUGUUCUAGUUCUUGGAGGACUCAUCACCAGGAGGAUGGCGCACAUGGAACAUGGAGAUGGAGAUCACCAUGGUGAAUAGGUUCUAUGGAGAUGGAGAUCACCAUAUGAAAACGGGCCAUACUGUGUCACAACUGUAUGAAUGCUAUUCUGUUUAUGUUUUACUUUCUGCAUGCUGUGAUGUUAGAAGUAGAACGAUCCCUCACAAAGUUUAAGUUAGUAUGCCCUCCCAACUAAAACUUGCACCGUCCCAUGUCUUGUACAAUUAGUGGUGGGUCUAUGAAAAUAGGGUGCCACUAGUUUUCCUUGAUUAGAUGAGUUUGUGUCGGACACUUACACGCAUAAGGGUUGGUUUGCUUAACAAGGUUAACUUAACGGUUAAGGACCUUGGGGCAUAAAGGUUGGGCGCCGAGACAUAGAGAUGUCACCCAACAACAGGAGUCAUAUGUGAUAUGAUUAGCAAAAGUUGCUUACCGAUCUACCUUGUUUUGCUAGCGGUGAUGCUAAAGUUUACUAGUAGACUUGUUAGUUGUGGAUCCUGAAUCACUAAGUAUCAAUAGAGGGAUAUUGAUUUUAGUGGGAGUAGAUUCUAUUAAAAUAGUUUAAUGUGAUUUGCUCUAUCAUGGAUAUGUUUGUCUUAGUGUAUUUUGCAUUACUUUUGUUGUAGAUUAAAUGGCACCUAGCAACACCACACCAUUUGCUUUGCGUUCGGUCCUUGAGAAGGACAAGUUGAAUGGAACAAACUACUCGGAUUGGAUCCGUAACCUGAGAAUUGUUCUCAGGGCCGAUAAAAAGGAAGAUAUUCUAGACACCCCACUACCACCAGUACCUGCUGAUGAUGCAUCUGCUAUCGUUAAGGCUGCUUACAAGAAGGCAUUUGAUGCUAAUCUUGAGGUAAGCUGCCUUAUGCUUGCUUGCAUGGAACCCGAGCUGCAGAUGCAGUUCGAAACAAAUCAUGAGGCACACGAUAUAAUCGUGGCGCUCAAGGACAUGUUCCAGACACAGGCUAGGACUGAAAGGUUCAAUGUGUCCAAAGCCUUUUUGGAGUGCAAGCUAGCAAAAGGCGCAGCAGUAGGACCACAUGUAAUCAAGAUGGUUGGUUACACUCAGCGAUUGGAGAAGCUGGGCUUCCCAAUGGGCAAAGAGUUGGCCACUGACUUCAUUCUUUCAUCUCUUCCGCCUAGCUAUGGGAACUUCAUCUCGAACUACCAUAUGCAUGGGACGGAGAAGGGUCUGAAUGAACUGUGUGGUAUGCUCAAGACAACAAAGGUAGACAUUAAGAAAAGCGCUAGUACCAGCCAUGUGAUGGUUGUACAGAACAAGCCUACCUUCAAGAAGAAGGGCAAUUUUUGGAAGAAGAAGGGUAAGGCUGGAGUGUCUAAGCCAAACCCAGCGCCCAAGGCUAAAGCUGGACCUGCUCCAGAUAAAGAGUGCUUUUAUUGUCACGAACCUGGUCACUGGAAGAGAAACUGCAAGCAGUACGUAGCUUCGUUGAAGAAUGGCGGAAGUAAGAGUACUUCUACCUCAGGUACGCUUGUUGUUAAUGUUAUAGACAACAUUUUUCUCGCUGAUACAAUUAUUAAUUCUUGGGUAUUUGAUACCGGAUCGGUUGCUCAUAUUUGCAAUUCGAUGCAGGGAAUGAAAAUAAGUAGAAGCGUGGAAAGAGGAGAAGUUGAUUUCCGCGUGGGCAAUAAUGCAAGAGUUGCUGCGUUGACCGUCGGGACGAUGCAACUCCACCUCCCAUCAGGAUUUAUUAUGGAGUUGAAUAAUUGUUAUUUCGUUCCUAGUUUAAGUCGAAACAUUUUGUCUCCUUCAUGCUUGAUGAAGGAUGGUUAUUCAUUUGCGAGUGAAAACAAUGGUUGUGUGAUCUCUAAGAAUGAUAUGUUUAUGGCUUUUGCACCCAUUGUGAAUGGAUUAUUUGUUUUAAAUCUUGAUGGUUCAUCUGUUUGUAACGUAAGUGCUAAAAGGCCUCGGCCUAAUGAUUUGAGUCCUACCUACUUGUGGUAUUGUCGUUUGGGUCAUAUAAGUGAAAAGCGUAUGAAGAAGCUCCAUUUUGAUGGACUUCUAACUUCGUUUGAUUUUGAAUCAUACAAGACAUGUGAGGCUUGCUUACUAGGCAAGAUGACCAAGACACCUUUCACAGGAUUUCCUGAGAGAGCAGUAGACUUGUUGGAACUCGUACAUAGUGAUGUAUGCGGACCAAUGAGCACGAUGACUAGAGGAGGAUUCCAAUACUUCAUAACUUUCACUGAUGAUUUUAGUAAAUAUGGCUAUGUCUACUUGAUGAGGCACAAGUCUAAAACCUUUGAAAAGUUCAAGGAAUUUCAGAAUGAAGUUGAAAAUCAGCGUGGAAAGAAAAUUAAUGCCUUACGAUCUGAUCGUGGAGGCGAGUAUUUGAGCCACGAGUUUAGCAAUCAUCUAAAGAGUUGCGGAAUUGUUCCACAACUUACGCCGCCUGGAACACCUCAGAGAAAUGGUGUAUCCGAGCGACGUAAUCGAACUUUGUUAGACAUGGUUCGAUCAAUGAUGAGCCAGUCGGACCUACCGUUGCCAUUUUGGGGAUACGCUCUAGAAACAGCAGCUUUCACACUUAAUAGGGUACCAUCUAAAUCCGUAGUUAAGACACCAUAUGAGAUGUGGACUGGAAAGGUUCCCAGUUUGUCUUUUCUAAAGAUUUGGGGAUGUGAAGUGUUUGUCAAGCGACUUCAGUCAGACAAGAUCACACCCAAUUCGGAUAAGUGCAUUUUCGUGGGAUAUCCAAAGGAAACUUUGGGAUAUUAUUUCUACAACCGGUCAGAGAGCAAAAUGUUUGUUGCUCGGAAUAGGGUUUUCCUAGAGAAAGAGUUUCUCAAAGGAGAAAAGAGUGGAAAGACAGUGCAUCUUGAAGAAGUUCAAGAUGAGCCGAUCGGGCAAGAAUCAAUGAGUGAUGCUAACAUAGCAGAACAAGUUGAGAUACCCAUGGCAAGAGAAGCACCGCCACAACCACGAAGGUCGGCAAGGCUCCGCGAAAUGCGGGAAAUAUUAUUGUUGGACAAUGAUGAGCCUGCGACAUAUGCAGAAGCAAUGAUGGACCCAGACUCCGAAAAAUGGCAGAGUGCAAGUGGAUCUAUAAGAAGAAAAAAGACAUGGAUGAAAAUGUUCACAUCUAUAAAGCACGACUUGUCGCAAAAGGUUUUCGACAAGUUCAAGGAGUUGACUACGACGAGACUUUCUCGCCCGUAGUGAUGCUUAAGUCCAUUCAGAUUAUUCUAGAUAUAGCUGCAUAUUUCGAUUAUGAGAUAUGGCAGAUGGAUGUCAAGACAGCUUUCCUGAAUGGAAACCUAGCUGAGGACGUGUAUAUGAUACAGCCUGAGGGUUUUGUCAAUCCGAAAAAUGCUGGAAAGGUAUGCAAGCUUCAGAGAUCCAUUUAUGGAUUGAAGCAAGCAUCUAGGAGUUGGAACAUUCGUUUUGAUGAUGUGGUCAAAGGGUUUGACUUCACCAAGAACGAAGAAGAGUCUUGUGUUUACAAGAAGGUUAGUGGGAGCUCUGUAGUAUUUCUAAUCUUAUAUGUGGAUGACAUAUUGCUGAUUGGAAAUAACAUUUCUAUGCUUGAGUCCAUAAAGACUUCACUGAAAAAUAGUUUUUCGAUGAAAGACUUAGGGGAAGCGGCAUAUAUUCUGGGUAUUAAGAUCUAUAGAGAUAGAUCGAGAAGGCUUAUAGGAUUAAGCCAAGAUACUUACAUUGACAAAGUGUUGAAGCGGUUCAGCAUGGAAGAGGCAAAGAAAGGGUUCUUGCCUAUGUCACAUGGCAUACAUCUCAGCAAGACUCAGUGUCCUUCGACUGCUGAUGAGCGGGAUCGCAUGAGUAGAGUGCCAUAUGCCUCGUCUAUUGGAUCUAUCGUGUAUGCAAUGAUAAGUACUCGCCUAGAUGUUUCAUAUGCGCUAAGUAUGACAAGCAGACACCAGUCUGAUCCAGGUGAGAGUCACUGGACAGUGGUGAAAAACAUUCUUAAGUACUUGAGAAGGACUAAAGACAUGUUCCUCGUCUAUGGAGGUGAGGAGGAGCUCGUUGUAACAGGUUACACCGAUGCUAGUUUCCAAACCGACAGAGAUGAUUCAAAGUCACAAUCAGGAUUUGUGUUCACGCUAAAUGGUGGUGCUGUUAGUUGGAAGAGUUCCAAGCAGGAGAUGGUGCCCGAUUCUACGACAGAAGCCGAGUACAUCGCGGCUUCGGAAGCCGCGAAGGAGGGUGUUUGGAUAAGAAAUUUCCUCAUUGAGCUUGGUGUGUUCCCGAAUACGUCCAACCCAUUGAAUCUCUACUGUGAUAAUAAUGGGGCAAUUGCGCAAGCAAAGGAGCCAAGGAACCACCAGAAGAACAAACACGUAAUGCGGCGAUUUCAUCUCAUUCGAGACUUCGUUAACCGGGGUGAGAUCAAGAUAUGCAAAAUACACACGGAUCUGAACAUUUCUUAUCCGUUGACAAAACCACUCCCGCAGGCUAAGCAUGAUGCACAUGUAAGAGCUAUGGGUAUUAGGUACCUUCUAGAUUGACUGUAGUGCAAGUGGGAGACUUUUGGAGGUAUGCCCUAGAGGCAAUCAUAGAGAUGAUGAUAUUCCAUUUGUAUCCAUGAUUUAUAUAUUGUGUUCCUUGAAUAUCCAUUAAAGGCUACUUGAAUUGAUUUGCAAUUAUGUGAAUUGUGUGUAAAACUCUUUACUUGUAUGGUUAUUCUAAAGUUGUCCCUAGUCGGAGUUCAUGUGAGGACACACAUGAAUAUUAGACUAGCACAUGUAUUAGUUGAUGACUAUAUUUCACAAGUCAUGGACAUGGAGAUGUUGAACUAAUAAUGUGGGCACAUGUGGAGACAUGUGCUAGGACUGACCCAACACGAGAAGUAGUUCUCUCUUUAAACAAUAUAUACGCUUUGUCCUUAGACCUGAGAUUGUCGAUGUAUUCAAGAUGUGGAUCGACCUACUUAGGGGUUAUCAAACGCUACGCCGUAACAGGGUAGUUAUAAAGGUAGGUUUCGGGUUUGUCAAGAAGCAUGCUAUGAGACAUGGUCAAUCAAGAUGGGAUUUGCCCCUCUCUGAUUGAGAGUGAUAUCUCUGGGCCCCUCGAGUGAUCGGAUCCGAAAAUGCAUGGCCAUGCUACGUACGGUUAAGAGUUAACCUACAAGGGGAUUCCGAAUCACAGGAUCGAGAAAGAGCGGUCGGCUUGAAGCUAGACCAAAUAUCGUGAGGCAAAGGGAAUAGCAUGUAUAUUAUGUUGUGAUGGUUCGUCUGAUAUGAUCUUCGUGUGCGUAUAGGAGUUGGCACGUCUUGCUAGAGGCCGCUACCGACUAUUGGGCCGAGUAGGAGUACUCGGGCCAUGUCUAUACGUAUCCGAACCCAUAGGGUCACACACUUAAGGGGCUGGAAGCCCAAUUCGGAUGUGAUCCAAGUUGGAUUAGAUUUAGAAGUACUAAUGGGCCUCGGACCUAGAGGCCCGUUAGGAACCUCUAUAAAUAGAGGGGUGGGGGUGCCCUAGGGUUUGCACCUUUUGGUGAAACACAUCUGCCGCGCCUCCCACGCCCUCGCCUGUUGCAACUCGCGGAUCUAGCAGUCGGGCUUGUGACGCUUCCUCCCUGCACGUGUGGAUACCUUGGAGGUGUUGCGCCUGCAGCACUUGGACGAGCCGUCGACGAGCCACGACGAGCCGACGAUGAGCCGCGGCACGAGGGCGAUCUUGCUGCACGUGGACAAGCUGUUGAGGAGCUGCUGGACGUUGACGUGAUCGACUGCGUACGACUACGUUGAUCGACUACGUACGACUACAUUGAUCGUCUUCACUGCAUCGACGCAAAUCUACAUCUUUCGCACCAGUAGUGCGUCGAGUGGUAAUCCCGUGAUCCUUAUACGGCAGUUCUUCCUGGUUUUACGCGGUAGAAAUUUUGAUUUGCGCUAGUGUAGCCUACCUCGUAUCCCAACAUCCACCUGCCCGCAGAUCUAGGAGGUCAAGGGCUCCCCACGCCAUCCACAAGAUCCACGAUUUCCUCAACCCCUCCAGUCCUCCGCCGUGCUCCCAAAGAUCCGUCGGUUCCUCAUGGCGGGCAACGACGACAACGGAUUGGAGGAUUUGUUCCUCCAGGCCGAUCCACAAAUUCCCCCCUGCCAAAUCGAUUUUUUCUCUCAGUCCGAGUCUUCCAGUGCCCCCCGUCACGGCUUGGAGAACUUGGACCUCAACUCCCAGGCUGAGGAGUUCCCAGAUUUGAGCACGUACUCAGACUACCUUCGGGGAGAUGAUGUUCCCUAGGGCCGUGGUAGCCGUAUUUUUGGCAUACGCGCGGCUCGAAAUGCAGGUCCAAGUGGUGGAGGAUUCAAAGGAGCUGGUGGCAGUAGAGGGGCCGGUAGGAGCAGAGGGGUUGGUGGCAGCAGAGGGCCUGGCGGCAGCAGAGGGGCCAGCUCCAGUCAAGGUGCAGGCGGCAGCAGGGUGGCCGGCGGCAGCAGAGGGCCUGGUAGCAGAGGUGGAGUAGGGCGUGCAAGGUCAUUGUUUGGUGGUGGUGGUUCUGGCAGUGCAGGUCGUGGAGGAGGCUGUCGAGGUGGUUCUCGUGGUGGAGGGAAUUCAGACCCUCCAGAAGAUGUUUUUGAUGUCUAUGAACACAAUGUCAUUGACGAUGCAGCUGUGGAAGUUGUGUUUUCUGCCUCAAAGGUAAAAUCUUCAUACUUCAUCCCCUGGUAGAAGUGAGUUAGUAGGAUUGUAUAGUGAAUUACUGCCUAGAUCAUGUAUCCUAGUAUGAAAUUAGGGUGCAUUUAGAACUUCAUACUUUCUGAAAUUAUGAAUUGCUGCAAUUGUGACUUGAUGAAAAUGUGGCUUGAUGAAAUUGUGAUUUUCUGAAAUUGUGACUUGCUGAAAUUGUGAGCUGAUGAAAUUGUGAGUUUCUGAAAUUGUUGCUUCAUGUAUUCUGCAAUUUGUGUCUAGAUAAAUUGAUUAAUUAGUUGCUGAAAUAGUUGCCUACAUACUACCUGAAUUAGUUGCUGAAUUACUUUGUUGACUUCAAUUAGUGUGUUGCCUUGAAAUUCAGUCAACUUUUUAGGAACUAUAUUGCCUAGUUUACAGUACAGUAAUUUUUUUGUAUUGGUAUCCAAUAGAUUAAAAAUGACAAAGCACAGUGGACAGAAAGGAAUACUGGGAUAUUCUGUGAUUUGUCAGUUGAGCAAAUUAGACAAGAAAACUGUCCCAAAGGAAACAUGUCCACUAGAGGGCUGAAGAUAAUUCAGGAAAAGUACUACAUGGCUACUGGUUUGAAGCAUGACCUCGGACAGUUUAGGAAUAGAAGAGAUCAAUUGAAAAGGGUAUAUACCUUUUGGAAAAGCCUACAGAAAGAAUCAGGUCUAGGUAGAAAUUCAUAUGGGACAGUGCUAGCUCCAAGCUAGCGGUGGGAUAUACACACAGAGGUGAGAGAUAAAUUUUCAACUAACCCUUUAAUUUCCAGGAUGUAGUGCUCCUGACUUAGAAUGACAUCUCACUUGCAGAAACGUCCUGAUUUGAGGAAGUUGCAGCAUGGUCCUCCAGAGUACUUAGAUCAGUUAGAAGAAAUGUUUCAUGAAACUGCAGUUGAUGGAAGCACAGCAUACAUUCCAGAAGUUGAGGAGGAGGAAGAAGAAGAUGGUGAAGAUGAUGACAUUGGAGACCCUUCAGUUGGUGGAGAGGACUGUGAUGCUCAACAUGCCUCUUUCUAUGACAGCACAAAGAGCUCAAACACCAGGAAGAGGUCUAAUGCAAGCACAAAGUCAACUGCUACUAGCCCUCCCAAGAAAUCAAGAAGCCCAAUGAUCAAUGCAGUGACUAAUUACUUCAACAGGCAAUCAGAGAAGGAUGAUGUGACCCAUAGUAUUUUCCGGAGUGUUGGUGCAUCAAUUGUUAAAUUCACAGAAGAUAAAAGGCAGAAGAUGAACACCAAUGUAGUGGCAGAUGAAGUUAGGAGAUGCCAACAGUUAGCACUAGAUUGUGGUGCAAGCAAGGAUAGUGCUGAAAUGUUUGCAUGUUGGGACAUAUGCAAGGAUCAAUACAACAGGGAAUUCUUCUGCAACCUUCCUGAUUCUGAGGCUAGGAUGGCUUUUUUGAAAAGAUGGUGCAAGAAGAACUUAGACUAGAAUUUAGUAUACAAUUUAUUAGUAAACUUAUGUGGCUGUUUGAACCUUCAAUUGUUGGUUUGUGAACAUGUUAUUGUGGCUUGUAGAACAUGAAUUUGUGGCUGUUUGAACAUGUGGCUGUUUGAAUAUGUGGCUGUCUGAACAUGUGGUUGUUUGAAUAUGUGGCUGUUUGAGUACGUGGCUGUUUGAAUUUGUGGCUGUUUGUUUUUUGUAGCUGUUUGAACAUGUGGCUGUUUGAAUAAUAAUGUGCCUCUUAUGGAGUUGUUUGACUAAUGCAUGACUAAUUUUUUUUGUAAUGGUCAAUUAGGAUGAUGGUGAAGGAGAUUCUGAUGAUGAAUUUAUAAAUAUGGCGUGCAAGUUUAUGGAGAUGGAAAUCAUACGUCGAAAGAGGAAUCGAGAGAUUAUGGAGUUCUCAAUAAUGCUUGGUACGUGCUAUGACACUUACUUCAACAAAGGGCCACCUAGGGUACCCACUGUACCGGGCAUACAAUGGGUGCAAGAGACACUAUCAAAUGCAACUUCAUGCUACAAAAUGUUUAGGAUGUCUUGCACUUUAUUUCAUCAACUUCAUGACCUGUUGGUUGAGUCUUAUGGUUUGAGGGCAACUAAAGAAUGUCAACGAUGGAGGCUUUAGCUGUGUUCCUAUGGAUAAAUGGUGCGCCCCAAUCACUAAGACAAGUUGCGGAUCAGUUUGUAAGGUCAUUGGAAAAAAUAAGCCGCACAUUCGAUAUUGUUUUGUCAUGUGUUAUUAAGCUAGCAGUAGAUAUAGUUAGGCCAAAGGACCCUCAGUUUACAACAAUUCACCAGAGGUUGAGAAACCCUAGGUAUGCUCCAUAUUUCAACAAUUGCAUAGGAGCUACAGAUGGGACUCAUGUACCAGUUGUGGUGCCAAAUAAUAAGGUGGUUCAGCAUACGGGCAGACAUGGAUAUCCUACACAGAACGUGCUUGCCAUUUGUGACUUCGACAUGAGAUUCACAUUUGUUGUUAGUGGAUGGCCUAGAUCAGUUCAUGAUAUGAGAGUAUUCACUGAUGCCUUAAAUAAAUUUGCUGACAAGUAUCCGCACCCUCCUCCAGGUACAACUUUGCUCAUAACAUGUUGUGAAAAUCAUUUAUAUGCCAAUAUUGCUAACCAUAUUCUCUGUACAUUUGUAGGAAAGUUUUAUCUAGUAGACUCUGGAUAUCCUAACCGCCCGGGGUAUCUUGCACCAUACAAAGGUACGAAGUACCACCUUCCUGAGUUCCAUAGUGGCCCAAAUCCGAAAGGUAUGAAAGAGACGUUUAAUUACGCGCAUUCAUCACUUAGAAAUGUUAUUGAGAGGUCGUUCGGAGUUUUGAAGAUGAAAUGGAGGAUUUUAUUAGGAAUUCCAAGUUUUCCAAUGGAAAAGCAAAGCAAAAUAAUAGUAGCAUGUGUGGCACUUCACAAUUUCAUUAGGGAGAACGAUAAUGCGGAUAGGGCCUUUCAUAUGUGUGAUCGUGAUGAAAAUUUUAUUCCUUUGGCCGAAGAAUCAAGCAUUGAAGGACAUGAGGGAAAUACCGAAGAGUCAGACGGAGAUCAAAAUAUGAACGAAUUCCGUGAUAAUAUAGCUAAUGGUUUGUUCAAUAGAUUGUAGAGGUUUUGUAUUUUUGAGUUGUAAUGACAUUGACGAUGGACUGUGCUUACUGUUUAUUGGACAUUGCACUAGAAUUUUGUUGACAAAGGCGGCAGCAAAGGACCGGCAAAAUAAAAAAAAAAGAGCCAGCAAAAAAAAAACGACAGCCAGCACUUGUGUGCCAGAGGCAGCACUUGCGCGCCACAACCAGCGCUCGCGCCAAAACCACAGCAGGGGCAACGCUAGAAACAGGAGUAAUUAGGGGUACAAAAAUUAUUUUCCCUCUAACAUCCUAAAGAUUAGGAUUCCAUCCAAACAGCCCACUCCUAAAUUUUAGGACUACCAAUUUCUAGCUCCUAAACUUUAUGAGUGUCCUAAAGUUUAUGAGUGUGUAUCAAAACAUGCCCUUAACAGGCCCUUAAGCUAGGACAUACUCCCUCGUUAUUUCAUCGUCCUAGGGGAAUUUGCUUAUAUCUUGAAUAAACAAACAAUAAAAGUCAUGAGAGAUCAUGGUUGGAAUCUGCGUUACACAUUCACGAGUAACCUCGCAUUGGAAUUUGUCCAUUUAAGAAAUUUACCACCUGCAGUUAUAACUGUUGUUGCAAGUUUGUAUGAAGUUGAUGGUUCAUAACAAUAAUUAUCUUGUUGAACUACAUAGGUCAAUUCCAGCUCCAACAGCCGUGUCUAUGUGAGCAAUGCACUACCGGAAACCGAGCUAAUGCCGAGUGUUUUUCCAUUUGCCGAGUGCAAACUAUCGGGCGCUCGGCAAAAUGCAUAUUUGCCGAGUGUAUCCAAAUAAACACUCGGCAUUCAAAAAACACUCGGCAAAACACACAUUUGCCGAGUGCCACAAAAAAAACACUCGGCAAAACGUGACUAUUACACUCGGCAAAACGCCACACUCGGCAAAGCUAUAUCACGUGACAAAGCUAUAUCACGUGACAAACACGCGCGGCCGCCGUUACGCUGCGGGGCCGCCGUUUGCACUUUGCCGAGUGCCCGUUAGCGGCACUCGGCGAACCAUUGCUUUGCCGAGUGUCGGUCCCAGCAGCACUCGGCGAACCUUUGCUUUGCCGAGUGUCGGUCCCAGCGGCACUCGGCGAAUCGUAGCUUUGCCGGGUGUUUUUUUGUAGACACUCGGCGAAAUAGUAAUUUUUUUCCUCCCCUGCCCUCCAAACUUUUUCCACUCUCGACACACAACAUGUGAUACUACAUGUUCAAAUUCCAUAUAUUGUUGGAUCAGUUUGCUAUAUUUAAUAAAUUUAUAGCGCAUAUAGGAUUUUUUCGGUUACGGGCAAAUUUGAACUGCAAGUGUUUUAAAUAAUGGAAUAAGUUCAGUGGAAAAAUCCGAUUCAUGUUAGUGAGUCCACUCUGGGGUCUUACCCAUAAAAAUGAAAAGGAAUAUCGAACAUCUUGGUCACAAAAUACGACCACAAACGUGUGGUCCAAUGAUUUAUAAAUUCUAGAAAAAACAAACGAACUCUGAAAAUCACAAGAUUUCUCAAGAUCUCAUGAUGUCAUCCAUGGAGAUUUUGGAAAACAAAUUGAGAAGGUUUCGCACCUUCUGUCACGUACGACGCUAACAAAUCGGAGCAUCUCGAGAGAAUAGUCUAGAAGUUCAUAAUGAACUGUUAAGAUUUGGAGUCAAAGUGACGGUCGAAUUAGAGUGGACUUCAAAACUUUUUGUAUAGGCAAUGGACAAUAUAGAUUGGUUCCUUUCAAAUUUUGAGAAUUUUUCAUAUCCGUUUGAUAAUUUUAAUGUAUUAACUCCAAUUAUAGAUUUUAAAUUGAGAUAAAUUAAAUUUGAGCUAUAACAGCCUAAAAUAAUGGAACAAUAUUCAUAUAAAAAUCAAAUAUGUAUUGUUAAGUGAAUUUGACCAUGUUUUUUGAAGUACAUCGAACAAAUUUAGUAAAGCACGUUAGAUGUGGUAUAUAUACAUGAAAUAUAAAAGGACUUUGCCGAGUGUAUCAAUUGUUGCCGACUGUUUCCAGAAAUACACUCGGCAAACAUGGAGUACGGGCCCACCAACAGCGCAUAUACGGUUCCCCAGGUGUUUAAAAAAAAUUAAAAAAAAAGUUUGCCGAGUGCUCUGGAUCUGGGCACUCGGCAAAACCAAGUUUGCCGAGUGUUCUGGAUCUGGGCACUCGGCAAACUCGGACUGUAUAGCACCGGUAGCACAGUACGCGCAAACUCAGUGAGGCAGUUUUCCAAAACUCGACACCGCCGCCUGCCCCGUACGCGCUGCCGCCGCACCCGCCAUCGCCGCCGCACCCGCCGCCGCCGCCCAGUCCGCCCCGGCCGCCCCUCCGCCCCUCUGCCCCGGCCGCCCCCGGCGGCCCUCCCCCGGCCGGCUCCCUUCCCAGCCCGGCCGCCCCUCCCCUGCCCGCGGCCCUCCCCCUCCCUCGGCGGCCCUCCACCGGCCGUCCGCCCCUCUGCCCCGGCCGCCCCCGGCGGCCCUCCCCCGGCCGGCUCCCUUCUCGGCCUGGCCACCCCUCCCGUGCCCGAGCCCGGCGGCUCUUUCCCGUUGGCUCUCCACCGGCCGGCCGCCCCUCCACCGGCCGGCGGCCCUUCACCGGCCAGCCGCCCCUCCACCGGCCGGCGGCCCUCCCCCGGCCGGCCAACCCUCCCCCGGCCGGCCAGCUCUCCUCCGGACGGCUCUCCCAGUAAUUCAUUAUUUUGAAAUUAGAAAUUAUUAGAAAUUAAGAAUUAGGAAUUAGGAAUUAGAAAUUCUAUUUUGAAAUUAGGAAUUAGAAAUUAGGAAUUAGGUAUUAGAAAUUAGAAAAUGACUUUACGUUUAGAGAUGAAUUAGAAAAUGACUUUCUUUUAGAAAAGAUAGAGAGGUGGUAUUGUAAGGACUUUGCUUUUAGAGAUGAAUUAGAAAAUGACUUUCUUUUAGAGAAGAUAGAGAGGUGGUAUUGUAAGGAGUUUAAUUUUAGAGAUGAAUUAGAAAAUGAUUUUCUUUUAGAGAUGAAUUAGAAAAGGACUUUGUAAGUUAAAAUCCAUGUCGAUAUAAUGCUAUUGUACCAAACACUUGCAAUAAAUGUGGUUGUCGGCCAUCGUGCCGUCACUUUGGUGAGAAUGUGGUUGUCGGCCAUUGUGCCAUUUUUUUGUUGCAGGUUUUGGUAAAACCUCCCCGUGCAGGGGAGGUGCUGCCGAAAUUUCGACUUAACAGUACAAUGUUCUUUUCUUGCAGGAGAGGCUCACAAGGACCGUCCUCGACUCGUCACUUUGUAGGAUAGCAAGGUGAGGCAUCUUACACUUCUCUUUCCGUUUGAUGUUCGUAUAUCACGUAACCUAGUUAGGCGUCUCCCGUUCGAAAGAGAUAUGGUUGCAAAUAUGCAAAUAUUUGCAUAUCUAUAAUCGUAUCUGUUUCGAAUUGUCCAUGUUUUUUGGACAGCUUGAGGAUCUGUCGGUGCGGUUAGUUUCCAUGCUCUACUUCGAUCCGUGAUAGAGUUUUGGCAGCACCUUCCUGUUGUUCUCCGGAUACACAAUCUCCGAUCCUGGACGUGUAUUUGGAGAACAGCGGGGAGGUGCUGCCAAAAUUCUAUCAUGGAUCGGAGUAGGGCAUGGAAACUAACUGCACCGACACAUCCUCGGGUGGGAUUAGGACCUAUCUUCACCUAUUAGACAGUGUAGGAACACGUAGGACCUAUCUUCACCUAUUACUCGCUGUUAUGUUAGAGGAUGGAUGACCGUGAGUGGAUGUACACGGGCCGCUCUAGUCAGGAUUCAUUGACCGAUGAAUGGAUUGAAAAGACCGAUGCAUUCUUGGAUCGGGUGUUUGCCAGGGUCAAAGGGGCUAGUGUCACUUGGUGUCCGUGCAGUAGAUGUGCAAACAUGCGUCAAAGAACCAAGCUAGAAAUGGGCAAACAUCUUGUGAAGAAUGGAUUUACGCCAGACUACACUAGGUGGAUCUACCAUGGUGAAGCUGAUCGUGGGAGAGAUGAAGUGUUGAGACAAUGCAUCGAGGAAUAUGAUGAUGAUGCCGGGGUGGGAGACAUGUUAAAUGACUAUCAUGAAGCACAGUUCGAUGAGACACGUAGGGAGGAGGAGCCAGAGACUACUGCAAAGGCGUAUUACAACAUGUUGUCUACGGCACAGCAACCCCUGCAUCGUCAUACCAAGGUUUCUCAACUUAAUGCCAUUGCACGCCUAAUGGCCGUGAAGUCCCAGUUUAGCUUGAGUCGAGACGCCUUCGACGUUAUGCUGACUGUUUUUGGCAGCCUACUCCCGGAUGAUCACAUCUUGCCAAAGAGCAUGUAUGAGGCACAAAAACUCCUUCGUGUGCUUAAAAUGCCAUACGAGCAGAUACAUGCUUGUCCGAAGGGAUGCAUCUUAUUUCGGAAAGAGUAUGCGGAGGCUAAGUACUGUGUGAAGUGCGAGUCGUCUAGGUUUCUGGAGGUAGACUCUGGUGAUGGUAAGAAGAGCCAGCUCGCAAUCCCCGUGAAGAUCCUACGGUACCUUCCUUUCAUACCGAGGAUCCAACGGCUUUACAUGAUAGAGGAAUCCGCGAAACAGAUGACAUGGCACAAAAGUGGACGUCGAUACAAUCCUGAGAGGCUGGUACACCCAUCCGAUGGUGAAGCCUGGACAACAUUUGAUGUCAUUUAUCAUGAGAAAUCUCUAGAUACUCGUAGUGUACGUGUUGCUCUAGCAACAGAUGGGUUCAAUCCAUAUGGAAUGGCGGCUGCCCCGUAUACCUGUUGGCCAAUAUUCGUUAUCCCCCUGAAUCUCCCCCCUAGCGUCCUUUUUCAACGACAGAAUAUAUUUUUAUCGUUGAUAAUUCCAGAGCACCCGGGGAAUAAUAUGAGUGUGUACAUGGAGCCUCUGAUUGAUGAUUUGGUCCAUUCUUGGGAGGAAGGGGUAUGGACUUACGACCGAGCUACAAAGAUGAACUUUAAGAUGCAUGUUUGGUACCAUUACUCGCUGCAUGACUUGCCGGCAUAUGGGAUUUUUUGCGGAUGGUGUGUUCACGGGAGGUUCCCAUGCCCAGUUUGCAAGGCUUCUCUAAAGUUCAUUUGGUUGACGAAGGGUGACAAAUAUUCUUCGUUCAACAAACAUCGACAAUUCCUCCCUCCUGACCAUCCUUUCAGACAAGACAUUAAGAACUUUACGAGAGGUGUCGUAGUUGAAGACCUCGCACCGGAGAUGAUGACAGGAGCCGCGAUUCGUACUCAGUUAGACGCUCUCGAGCUUAAUAACAAUGAAGGUGGUUUUGUGGGAUAUGGCGAGCAACAUGCUUGGACUCAAAAGUCGUGCUUGUGGAAUCUCCCCUAUUUUCAUGAUCUUCUUCUUCCGCAUAACAUAGAUGUAAUGCACACUGAAAAGAAUAUCACCGAGGCAAUUUUUGGGACAAUUAUGGACAUUUCUGACAAGACAAAGGAUAAUGUUAAGGCUAGAGUAGAUCAAGCGAGGAUAUGCAAUAGACCAAAGUUAGACAUGGCGCCUCCCAGAUCCGGCAAGUCGUGGAGGAAGCCUAAGGCUGAUUUCGUCCUGACGAGAGCCCAGAGGAGGGAGGUACUAGAAUGGUUCCAAACGUUAAUGUUCCCUGAUGGGUAUGCAGCGAAUUUGAAGAGGGGAGUGAACUUAACUACUAUGCGAAUCAAUGGCCUAAAGAGUCAUGAUUACCACAUAUGGCUUGAGCGCCUACUUCUAGUGAUGGUCCGAGGAUAUGUACCUGAGCAUGUCUGGCAGGUGCUAGCGGAGUUGAGCAAUUUCUUCCACCAGCUUUGUGCCAAAGAGUUAUCUCGUACCGUGAUUGCAGAAAUGGAAAGAAUGGCGCCUGUGUUGCUCUGUAAGUUGGAGAAAAUCUUUCUACCUGGAUUUUUCAAUCCGAUGCAGCAUAUGAUUCUUCACCUCCCAUAUGAAGCAAGAAUGGGGGGGGGGCUGUGCAGGGCCGUUGGUGUUAUUCAAUUGAGAGAUGUCAAAAGGUUCUGCGAACUAAAUGUAAAAAUAAAUGCAAAAUUGAAGCAUCCAUUGCAGAGGCAUAUAUUUUGGAGGAGGUCUCAAACUUCACAACAAAAUAUUAUGCUAACAACCUUCCUAGCGUGCACAAUCCACCCGAGCGUUACAAUGCUGGUGAAAAUGAAUCGAGCCUUAGCAUUUUUCGAGGGCAACUCGGAAGUGCAAGUGGUAAAGGGCUGAGGCACCCGUCGCCUGAAAUAGAGUCAGCGUCUAAGGAGGAGAUACCUUCCGCGCACGGCUCUGGUGAUGAGGAGGAGGUGGAGCAGGAGGAGGAGCAGGAGUAGGAGCAGGAGCAGGAUGAGCAGGAGCAGGAGGGGGAGGAGGAGAAGGCAGGGGGUUCGCAGACCCAGAUCUGGUUGCGAGGUCCAUCGUCCCUCCCGGCUUGACCGAUACCUUUCCAUAGACGCCCGCUGAUUCAACCCAGUGGGAAGCGAUAUGUGACUUUAGAUGUUCUCAAUAAUUUUUCAUUUUAUGUGUUGAAAAUUACAAUGGAAACUAAUAAUUCAUCACUUGUGCAGGAGUUGGAUUAAGCUUAGUGGGGGUGAUCACAACCGCAAGGUCAACGGCAUCCUUGGCCUGUUGUGCAGGAUACACUUCCUGGGCUUGGUCGAGCGCGGUGGACGGGUGGAGCCGGCCUACACUUGGGACCACUACGUCGCUGCCGAUGACUUUGCUGACCGUGAAGGACGGUCAUUCCCAAACAAGGCGUCGUGGGUGAAGGGCGAGCUGUGGGUAAGUAUUGCUCAAUACAUCACCUGUACUGUACAAUCUUGAAAUAACAACUAUAUAUACCUCUAUAUAUAUGCAGGACUUCUACAAAUGCCAGGAGGGUUUCGAGGCCCGGGCGAACGCUGUCUGUGAUGAGGUCGCCAAGAAGCUGGUGAAGGAUAUGCACUACGAGUCGCGGAUCCAGGCCAUUAUCGAAUUCUACGCUCAACAUAGAAAUAUGAAGGUCAAAAAAGAGGAGGCCAGGACAAUGAACCUCACGAAGGACCAAUUCAUGGCGGUAAAUAAAGAACACUGAUACUUACUUUAUAUGAUAAUAAUCACACUUAAUUUCUUUUUUCACAUGUCACACUUGAUGAUGUAGGUGCCUGCGUGGUGGUGCCGGGCGCACAUGCAGUGCUGGGAAAGGAUAGUCGACGUGUGGGUCGAGCCCGGGUGGUUGGAGAACCACCUUGGUUGCCGUCAGCGGCGUUUGAUGAUGUGAGGUGCAUCACACCAUCAAGGCAGCUUGAGCCUUGAUGAGUAUAGGAAAAAAUGGGUACGUGAAUUUAUUUUUUUUGUCUAACGCUCAAUUUAGCUAAAUUUGUAAUAAUUUUGUAUUUUUGCUGCAGUCGUCCUCACAUGAUGGCCAGCCUUGCUCCCAGUUCAAGGGAUGGAUUCUAUCCAAAAAGGGUAAGGCAACGGCCAACAUCGACGUGAACCUGGACGACCCGCCCGAGGCGUACUCCGAUCCUAGCAUCCACAGCCGCAUCACCUCCUACACGGCGAUGGCAAGGGAGAUUCACGGGCCAGAUUACGAUCCGAGCACCCAGGAUCUAGAUGGAGAAGUGGUGAUGAGGGUGGGAGGAGGGAAGAAGCAUGGUCGCUAUUGGAUUGGCGAUAGCGUAAUCGACACGACCUCUACUCCCACUCUCUCCCAGAUCCGAGCAAGGAGCACGGAUUCGAGCCCAGCGAUACGCCCAUGGCUGACCACUACACAGUUUUAGAUGGAGGCUCUUCAGGUUCUUUCUAUUUCAUUCAUCGUUUGUUGGUUGUUACGUACUUUACCUUUGCAUUGUAAUAUUGCGAUGAAAAAUUGUAGGCCCAAGUGGAGAGGCAACAACAGGAUAUGGAGGCGAGGGUUGAGUGGAUGGUUCGGCAGAGGAUGGAGGUCGAGUGGCAGAGGAUGGAGGCGGAGCGGCAGAGGAUGGACGAAGAACAUCGGUUGAGGAUGGAACAAAUGCUUCAAUAUAUGCAAAAUUUUGCUACUGCUACGAGUAUGGGUACACCACUGCCACAACCACCGGUGAUAUUCCCUCCACCUCAGCCACCCGCACAUACUCCUGUGAGUCACUUGAACUUUAGUUUCAAUACUUGACUUAGUUAGCUUAAACUUGACUUAGUUACCUCACAGAUGACUUAUUUAGCUCAAAUGAUAUCAAUCUUGUUCUCACACAUCUUCUUUUACGUGCAGAAUCAAUCGGUGGCUUCAAAUUCCCAAGCUCAAGACCCAGAUUUGAUGUGGCCAUUUGCAGAGACGCCACCUCACUAACUUAUGCAUUGUUUGUGAACUUCUCGUUUAAUCUCGAACAUAUACUUGUGGAAUUGUGGUUUGUUGAAACUAGAAUAUGUACUUGGUGAUUUGUGUGCAUGUGACCUAAAAUAUAUGCCUGUGAUGCUUAUUAUAUGCCUGUGAUGUAAUAUACAUGCCUAUGAUUUUUGUUUGAGAGGGGUCAUUUAUACGUAAGAAAUAAAUAAAAGAGGGUCAGUUUUGCCACUUUGCCGAGUGUUGCACUCGGCAAAAGCCCGCUUUGCCGAGUGUUUUGGCUUGAACACUCGGCAAAACGGCAACAAAAUGGACGUGCUAGUUUGUCGAGUGCCCUUGCCCUAGCACUCGGCAAACACGUGUACUUUGCCGAGUGCCUCUCCCCUAGCACUCGGUAAAGCGGCCUUUCUACCUGACCUGGACGCGCCGGUUUGCCGAGUGCUUCUUCCCUGGCACUCGGCAAACACCUGGACUUUGCCGAGUGCCUAUCGCGUGGCACUCGGCAAACACCUGUACUUUGCCGAGUGCCUCUCCACUGGCACUCGGCAAACAACUCGACUUUGCCGAGUGCCUUUCUGUGAAGCACUCGGCAAACCUCCCAUUACCGUGCCGCGCCGUUCCUCCGUCUUCGCCGAAGGUGUUUUUUUGCCGAGUGUUUACACACGCUCGGCAAAUAUCUUUGCCGAGUGCCCGACAUUUGGUACUCGGCAAAGUUCUGUUCGCCAUCCUUGCCGAGUGCCUGAUGCCGAGUGUUACACUCAGCAAAGCCUUUGCCGAGUGUUUUUAGGCCUUCGCCGCAUCUCCCUUCUGCAGUAGUGAUGCCAUGAUUUCUCCUCAGGGCCUAGGCCGCCGCCUUGUUUCCUCAGGUUGGGGACGUCACCUUCUUUCCUUCUGCAGUUCUUUGGUGGUUCAGAAAAAGAAACAGCAUGCUAGGUGCAGCCUUGCUGGGAGACGUGCUCCACAGCCAUGGCUUCACCCCUCCCAACUUCAAUGCCCUGCAUUUUCUCUUCUUGCAUUCAGUUCGCGAUAGGACAUGGCAUCAUGUGAUGCUAUGGAUGCCACGGGUUCCUCCUCCAGUUUGCUGCUUGUUGUGGGUGAUUAGGCCGGAAGGAAAAAGUUCCCCCCCCCCCCCCCCCCUUGUAGCAAGGUAACAUGAUGCUUCCCCUUUGCUGGAUGCUCAUAAGAAUUUUGGUGCUUGCAAAUUGCUCGAGUAAAUGCCUCUUAAGAUUGUACUUGGAAUUUAUGUGGGUUCAUUUGUAUUUGCACGUCUUAACCAGUUAAUUUCAGUUUUAAGGUGCAGACAUUUGACAUUUGCUGGUUUCGUGUGGAUUACAUUCAGAACAGAUGAAACGAAACCAAAAUUUUUAUAGUACAAAUGAUAUAAACAUCAAAUUCACUGGCUAUUGGACUGAAUUACUUGGCUUUCGAGUACUAUUUUGGGAGUUCCUUCGAGAUGCAAAGGGAAAAAAGGAAUCCAGGUCAUGUUCUUCAUCCCUGCUUUCUCUCUUAAUGCUGUGUUUACACUAUUCUGAUCCUAACAGUACAAAAAGUGCAUCUCUUGAUUGAUUUUGUGCGCUUCUGGAAAAUUUCUUUGCUAGAAUAAAUUAAGUAUUUCUCUCUCUUUUCUUUUGCCGAAUUGGCAUCUCCUUGUAGUUCACUGUUAGUUUUUUCCGUUAGAAAUUAUGGUGUUCUCAGCUUCCAUGGUAAACCUUAUGAGUUUAAUUCUCUUCAACAACCUCUUCCAAAUGAUCAGCUGUUUCCAUUAUGUUGAACUGAAUGAACUAUUCAUGGUAUUUGUUUUUGUGGACCUGGCGCACAAAUUUUCUUCUAUACAUUUUUUAGUGGGAAUGUGGGAUAUCAUAUUCUAUUUGUCAAAUUAUUCCUUGUAGGAACUUGGGAAAUUAUGUGUCUUUGAGGGGAAUCGAGGGCCUUGUCUCUACCUGUAUCACUGUCUGGGCUCCUUGUCUAAGUGGGAGCCAAUCACAUAUGAGGAAUUUCUUAGCUUUGCCAACAAAGUAAAGGUGAGAAGUUUGCUUCAUGAAAAUAGAGAGGGAAUCUGGUGCUUGUGUCCAGUAUCUCAAAUGGAAAAUCGAGAACGCUAGGUUCUCUGUCUGGGUUCUAAUGUUCUAUUUCGUGUUUACUUAUUGGGUGAACCUUUGCAAUGAUGUUAACUUGUAUUGUCAGUAGGGCUAUAUUCUAAACUUCAGUGCCAAGGGAAUGGUAUAAAUGACAAUCUCACUGUUAUGGAUGUGUACUGUAAUUCUCGUCGUCGCGACUUCCAUGACAUUGUCCAUUCAAUGUUGCUGUAUAUGUUGACGACCUUUGCAAUGUUGCAUUCUCAAUUAUUUAGUGAGUUUCCUGAUUCUUAUUUUUCUUAUCAAAUAGAUGAUGGUACUGGGUCAUGCGUUGCUUCUGACAGUUAUCCCUAAAACUUGGUAAGCCCAUUUUCUGAAUCUGCAUCCCUAUAUUUUUUUUCUCUUUACAUUUUGGUAGUAUUAACAAGUAGUUCUCUUUGAGUUUCGAGUGAUAAAUGGAUUCCUUUGAGAAGUUUGUACCAUUGAGCUAAGUGUAAACUCCAUUAUCAUCCUAGGUGCUUGGUCAAUUUGGAAACAUCGAAAUAGAAGUUUACUCUUGUGGGAGCCACCGUUCUUGGAGGUUCCGGUGCAAUCCCAUCAAUGGGGCGACUGCGACGCGGGGGAGCCGACGGCGUGCGGGCUCGUUGCCUAAUUCUGCCGGCGCGCGGUGUAGGGAGAAUUCUUGUCGUAUUUUUGGCUAUCCUCACCAUGAAUUUGUUGGAAAACACCCAGGAAUGCAUACCCAAAUAUCUCACGUAGAGCAGCUAGCAAUAUGUGGCAUUUCUUUAUUAUACUGAAUCACGAACUCUAAUUGAUUCCAUACAUGUUGUAGCUAUUGCUAUAUAUAGAGUUGUAUGGAAGUUCAAUAGAUCGUUACAUAUCCCAUGAUCAUUAUUUCUACGAGUAACAGCACACACUCAGCAUGCAAACUACUCAUUGCUGAUCACCACUUAGAAGACAUGCAGACAACUUAGAAGACAUGCAGACAACUUAGAAGACAUGCAGACAACUUAGAAGACAUGCAGAUACUGCUGCAUGAGGUACUACUUGACCAGCCAGGAGUAACGUCAACAUACUCCCCCUUACUCCUGGCUUGGUGCAAGAUCACGAACACCAAGAAGAUGUCGCAUAAUCGCUAGCUUCGCCGCCGGCAAUGCUUUUGUCAGCGCGUCGGCUCGCUGUUCAUCUGUGCGAAUAAACUCGAUGUGGAUUUUUCCAGCAUCAACACAUUCACGAAUAAAGUGAUAUUUUGUGUCGAUGUGCUUACUCCGUCCAUGGAAGACUGGAUUCUUCAUCAGGGCGAUCGCAGACUUGUUGUCGACAAACAGUUUCACCGACUCUGGUUCUGUUCCGAUCAACUCUUGCCAUUAACGUCCUGAGCCAGAGCGCUUGGCAUGCCGCUGCAUUCGCUGCUAUGAACUCAGCCUCACAGGAUGAUAGAGCCACUGUCUUCUGUUUCUGUGAGCUCCAGGAGACAAGGCAAUCAUUUAAGUAGAACGCCAUGCCACCAGUACUCUUUCGAUCAUCCAGGUCGCCAGCCAGAUCACUAUCUGUAAAACCAAUAAGUUUUUCUCUGCCUCCUCUCCCGUACACCAGGCCAAAGUGAAUAGUCCCCUUAAGAUAACGAAGAAUCUGCUUCACUGCCUUGUGAUGCAUUACAGUUGGCCUCUCCAUGAACCUGCUUGCCACUCCAACUGCAAAUGAGAGAUCAGGUCUAGUGUGCAACAAGUAUCUAAGGCAGCCAAUCAUUCGCCUAUAUUCUGUAGCAUCAACUGGCUGGCCAUUUGGGUCUGUGUGCAAUUGUGCUCUUUGCUCCAUGGGGUAUGUAGUGGAAUUACAGUCCAUCAUCCCGAACUGUGAUAGCACUUUCUUUGCAUAGCUUGUCUGCUUAAUUUCCGUGCAACUCUCUUGCUGUGACACCUCAAUGCCGAGGUAGUAUGAUAGCAGCCCCAAAUCACUCAUGUCAAAUUCAGUUGCCAUCUGAUGCUUGAAGGCCUCAAUCUCCUUAAUUUGGAUCACUUCCUGAGACAAUGAGAUCAUCGACAUAUACCCCAAUUACAAUUGCACUUCUCCCUUGUCCUCUUGUGUACACUGCCUGUUCCUGUACACACCUUCUGAAACCAAGCAUUUUCAGGCUUUUAUCUAGCCUGAUGUUCCAAGCUCGAGGAGCCUGACGAAGGCCAUAGAGUGCCUUACUUAACCUGAGCACAAGGUGCUCCUUGUUCUUCACAACAUAUCCCUCUGGCUGUGACACAUACACCUCUUCUUCAAGUUCACCAUUUAGAAAGGCUGGCUUAACAUCUAGAUGAUGCACUUGCCAGCCACGGUUUGCAGCAACAGCUAGAAUGACACGCACUUGUGUCCAAUCUUGCAACAGGUGCAAAAACUUCCACAAAAUCAAUUCCCUGGCGCUGCACAUACCCUUUUGCCACCAAUCUGGCUUUAUGCUUGAUCACCUCUCCUUCUGAAUUCUUCUUCAAUUUGUAAACCCAUUUAAGACCAAUGGGCUUAUGACCAGCUGGCAGCGUGGUCAAUGUCCACGUUGAAUUCUUUACUAUGGAGUCAAUCUCUCUGUCCAUGGCUUCAACCCAUUCAGGUUGUCCAGCUGCUUCAUUAAAACAAGACGGCUCCUCCAUCUCUACAAGCAUGACUGCUUCAUCAUCGUUGUAAUGAAGUACCACCUCGGAUGUGUUCUGGUAGACAUCAUCCAAGUCGCGAUAGUGCGGUGCUCCUUCAUCUGAGCUAUUGGAUCCUGGUGAAACAGGAGCAGCAUGUUCCUCAUCCGGCAAGGUAGUCAUUGUUUCCACCAAUGGCGUGUGUACGGGAGUGGCUGGUGAUGACGAGGUGUUGACUGCCACUCGCCCUAUGCGUGCAGCCGCUCGCGCCCUGGUGACUGCUCCAGGUGGAGAAACCACAAUGGACGUCGUCGGUGCCUCAUCAAACUCCCUAUCCUCUCGCCCACUGCUGGGUAGGACUGCAGCUGCGGUAGGCUGCAACACUGGAAUUCCUGUUGGUAUUUCAGUAGCAGGCCACACCGAAGGACUCACAUGUGCAUCUUCUUCAAACACAAACUCCAUUGGUUCUCUUGUGCUCGUGCCUACACACCAAUUCCACUCCAAAUUCUCCUCAAAAAUUACAUCACGACUUACAACGAUCUUGCUGCGAUGAGGGUCGAAUAGCCGGUGAGCUUUGCAUCCAUCCUCGACACCAAAGUACACCAUCUGUUGGCUUCGGUCGUCAAGCUUCUUCACGUGCGGCGCCACCAUCUUUACAUGUGCUGUGCACCCGAACACUCGCAGGUGCGCCAGGUGCGGCUUCCUACCGUUCCAGGCCUCAAACGGGGUCGCUCCCCCAUUGCUUUGGUCGGCAGGCGGUUCAAUAAGAAUACCGCGUGCCGCACAGCCUCGCCCCAGAACUUUGCCAGGACAUUCAUGCUCUUGAGCAAGGACCGCGCCAUCGCCAUGACUGUCCUAUUCCUGCGUUCAACAACGCCAUUUUGUUGUGGCGUGUAGGGUGCUGUGAAAUGCCUUCUGAUGCCUGCCUCAUCACAGACAUUGGCGAACACUGCCGAUAGGAAUUCGCCACCACGAUCUGAACGCACCGUUUUUAUGCAGUAACCACUAGUGUUUUCAGCUUGUGCUUUGAACUUGACAAACUCAGUGCAUGCCUGGUCCUUCGACUUCAACAUGUACACCCACAUCCAUCUUGAGUAAUCAUCAACAAUUAACAUGAAAUACUUGUUACCGGCAAUCGUUGAUGGAGUGAUUGGCCCACAUAGAUCAAUGUGAAGCAGUUCAAGUGGCUUCUCCGCUCGGUAUCUUGUUUGCUGUUGGAAAUGGCAGCCUUGCCUGCUUUGCUGCAAGGCACGCAUGGCAAAGUUGAUGGGGAUGCUUGAUCUGAGGCACUCCGGCUGCCAUCUGCUUGUCAACAAGGAGCUUCAGCACUUGAAAAUUGACAUGUCCAAGCCGUGCAUGCCACAGCCAUGCUGGUUCCUCAAGUCUUGCCAUGAGGCACACUAGACUUGCUAGCUGCAAAUCAAUGUGGUACAGACGGUUUGGCAUGCGCUUAACUUUCAUUAGGAGAUGCCAGGGAUUUUUUAUGAACACCUCAAGCUCAUCUUCAUCCAUGAUGACCUUGUGUCCAGUCUCUGUGAGUUGGCCGAGACUCACCAAGUUACUGCGUAGUCUAGGGAUGUAGUAGACCUCCUGGAGCAUCCAUUGAUCUCCAUUCUUGCACGAGAACAAAAUUGAACAUUUUCCCAUUAUUUGCACCAUAGAGCCAUCACCAAAUUUAACCUUACCAGUGACACUCUCAUCAAGUUCACAUAACUUCAUCUUGUCUCCAGUCAUGUGAUUGCUUGCACCAUUGUCUAAAUACCAGACAUCCCCAGUACAUGCACCAUAAUCAGCCAAGCGCUGCUUUGGCAUCACUUUCUCUUCACUGAGAAACACAACCUCCUGCCGUGCAAGGGCCACUGGAAGAGGCUCCUCCAGAGCUGCAAGCAGCAGUAUCGGCUCGGUGUUCUCAACAUGCACGAGAUGCGCUGCCUCUUGCUUCUUGGGGGCUUUGCAUUGAGAUUGAUAGUGGCCCAUCUCAUCGCAAUUAAAACAAUGAAUAUGACUUUUGUCACGACCGCCGCUGCCAAAGCUAAUUGCCCCAUCUUUGUGUGGCGACUUUCCACGACCGCCACGGCCACGACCUCUGCUACGUCCGCGGCCACCACGGCCACGAUUUCCACUGUCCGUGGAGGGCUUGUACUUGUAGCAAGAUGAUGAGUCCCUGCCAUCCUUCUUAGAACGUGCUUCCCACUCAGCCUGAGUGAGGAGCACUUGCCCAUCGGUAAUGCGUCCGCCGCUAGAUGCACAUGGACACGUGCGCUCUUCGUAUGCCUUCAGCCACCCCACGGCCUCCUCGAAAAGCAUGGUGUCGAUGUCAUAGAACUGCUCGAUGCCAGCAAUCACGCUGAGGAAGCGAUCAGGCACGGUGUCGAACAAUUUCUUCACGAGGGCAGCAUCAUUCAGAGUUCCACCGAGGUUGCUAUACCUGACAGACAUGCCGAUAAGCUUACCGGCGUACUGGUCCAAAGUCUCCCCUUCUUGCAUGUGCAAGGCAUCGAAGUCACUCUUCAACGACUGCAGCCACGCAUUUUUGACGCGGUCCGCGCCAACAAACCUCAUCUUGAGGCAGUCCCAAACCUCCUUUGCCGUCGUCUUCUUCGCCACCUGCAUGAGGAGGUCCUCCAGGAGCGCUUGGAGAAGAUAAGACCUCCCCUUCUUGUCCAUCCUCAAGUCGACAGCCACACCGGCUGCCGGCUCAAUCGCCUCCCAGACACCUUGGUCCUCCAUCAUGGCCUCGACACGAAUCACCCAGCUGGUGUAAUUCGUUGCCGUCAAUUGCGGAUACUGGAAUGGACCACCGCCGCUCUCCCGCGACGACUGUCCUUGAGCGACAAGUGACAUGAUGUUGAAACGUGGAUACUUGGGCAUGUACAAACUGUGCUCUGAUUACCAAAUGUUGGAAAACACCCAGGAAUGCAUACCCAAAUAUCUCACGUAGAGCAGCUAGCAAUAUGUGGCAUUUCUUUAUUAUACUGAAUCACGAACUCUGAUUGAUUCCAUACAUGUUGUAGCUACUGCUAUAUAUAGAGUUGUAUGGAAGUUCAAUAGAUCGUUACAUAUCCUAUGAUCAUUAUUUCUACGAGUAACAGCACACACUCAGCAUGCAAACUACUCAUUGCUGAUCACCACUUAGAAGACAUGCAGAAAACUUAGAACACAUGCAGAUACUGCUGCAUGAGGUACUACUUGACCAGCCAGGAGUAACGUCAACAGAAUUCAGAACGCUUCUUCGCCGAGGAGGAAGGGGAGCACUUCUUUGUUGAGGACGGGAAGGGGGCGGCCGCUCGUACCUGAACGACUGACUCAUCAUCAUCUUCACCAGUUAUUCCCUCUCAAUGCCUUGGCAUCUUCGUGAAAAACUUUUGGAUAGCUUGGGACCAACGGGGAGGGGCACAGCAGCACUUAUGGUCGAACACGUUCGGCAAUGGCGCUCCCGGCGGGAGGUGCCUCCAUAGCCGCCUGGGACGGGAGUAGCAGGAGCGACUGGGCCCUCAGAUGUCCACACGGCUUCAAGUGUUGGGGACCAAGCACUAGCCUCGGUAGGAAGCCUAUCAGCAUCUUGAUUAUCCUUGCGCACCGGGGCCGCAUCCAGCAAACUCAACCUCGGCCUGCGAGGGAGCAACAGGGACUCAGCAGCCCGAGGGGCCAAGCAGGGCGCCACCGCUGCCGCCAACGCACCGAAUGCCUCCGGGCUCGGCGGCUCUCCAGUCAAGCCAGCGACGCCUGCAUUCCGCAGGAAAACCGGGCAGGGGGACGCCUCGCAAGUCCCGUUGCCGAAGCCGAGACGUUGCUUUCAACCGUGCACUCCGCCGCCGAAGCCGAGGUGUCGAGCGCAGGGGAGCGCCGCCAAGGUGGGGGGGGGGGGGGGGGGGGGAGGUGAUGAUGGGCGGUGACGACCUUGGACAGCAGCGCCACGUCGCCGGACGAGCAUGAACGUGGGCACAGCCGCGUACGCACCGAUGCGCGGGGACCCAAGUUCGCCGCAGCAGCCCCAUGAACCGCCGGGGAGGAGGAAGACGAGUCCUGUCUCGGCGGUUGUCGAUGGCGUUCCCGAUCCUUACCAUCAGGAGGCGGGGCGGGAGGAUCCUCCGGCCCAGAACCCCCGACGAAGGGAACGACAGAGAUUGUGAUGUUGUAGGUUAGAGUGCGCUUCACUGGAUGAUCCUCCACGACCACCGGCGGCUCGACGAUCUCCAGUUCAAUCUCCGGCGGAAACGACGAAGGUUCAGAGCACCAAGCCGCCACCCGAAAAACUUCUCGGCUCUCGCUGGUCGGCCGUGUUCGGAUGGACGCCACUGAUCCAGCAGUACUCGCUGAUCCAGGGAUUGAACUAGAUAUAUGGAAAUACUUUUCUUUCUUGAUGAAUAUAGUGGGGUUAUUUCUUGGCUGAUUUCAUGUUUCCAGCUGCAGUAAUAGCAGUUAAGUAGCAGAAAAGACAGGCGGAGGUAAAGAUUUGGGAGGCCUUUUUGCAAUCCAUCUCCCCACAUCAUAACCAACCAUAUCAGUGUGACCCAGUAUCAUGCAGAUGCUAAGUGUGUAAUGAAUCUGAUGGGAUACGAGGUAGGCUACGCUAGCGCAAAACAAAAUUUCUACCGCGUAUAACCAGGAAGAACUGCCGUAUAAGGAUCACGGGAUUACCACUCGACGCACUACUGGUGCGGAAGAUGUAGAUAUGCGUCGGUGCAGUGAAGACGAUCACGUAGUCGUACGUAGUCGAACAACGUAGUCGUACGUAGUCGAUCACGUCCAGCGGCUCCUCAGCAGCUCGUCCACGUGCACAGCAAGAUCGCCUCCGGUGCCGCGGCUCGUCGUCGGCUCGUCGUGGCUCGUCGGCGGCUCGUCGAUGGCUCGUCCAAGUGCUGCAGGCGCAACACCUCCAAGGUAUCCACACGUGCAGGGAGGAAGCGUCGCAAGCCGGAUUGCUAGAUCCGCGAGUUGCAACAGGCGAGGGCGUGGGAGGCGCGGCAAGUGUGUUCAGCCAAAAGGUGUGAAACCCUAGGGCGCCCCCACCCCUCUAUUUAUAGGGGUUCCUGAUGGGCCUCUGGAUCCGAGGCCCAUUAGUACUCCUAAACCUAAUCCAACUCGGAUCAGAUCCGAAUUGGGCUUCCAGCCCCUUAAGUGUGUGACCCUAUGGGUUCGGAUACGUAUAGACAUGGCCCGAGUACUCCUACUCGGCCCAAUAGUCGGUAGCGGCCUCUAGCAAGACGUGCCAACUCCUAUACGCAUACGAAGAUCAUAUCAGACGAACCAUCACAACAUAAUAUACAUGCUAUUCCCUUUGCCUCACGAUAUUUGGUCUAGCUUCAAGCCGACCGCUCUUUCUCGAUCCUGUGAUUCGGAAUCCCUUUGUAGGUUAACUCUUAACCGUACGUAGCAUGGCCAUGCAUUUUCUGAUCCGAUCACUCGAGGGGCCCAGAGAUAUCACUCUCAAUCAGAGAGGGGCAAAUCCCAUCUUGAUUGACCAUGUCUCAUAGCAUGCUUCUUGACAAACCCGAAAGCUACCUUUAUAACUACCCUGUUACGGCGUAGCGUUUGAUAGCCCCUAAGUAGGUCAAUCCACAUCUAGAAUACAUGCGACAAUCUCAGGUCUAAGGACAAAGCGUAUAUGUUGUUUAAAGAGAGAACUACUUCUCGUGUUGGGUCAGUCCUAACACAUGUCUCCACAUGUGUCCACAUUAUUAGUUCAACAUCUCCAUGUCCAUGACUUGUGAAACAUAGUCAUCAACUAAUACAUGUGCUAGUCUAAUAUUCAUGUGUGUCCUCACAUGAACUCCGACUAGGGACAACUUUAGAAUAACCAUACAAGUAAAGAGUUUCACAUACAAUUCACAUAAUUGCAAAUCAAUUCAAGUAGCCUUUAAUGGAUAUUCAAUGAACACAAUAUAGAAAUCAUGGAUACAAAUGGAAUAUCAUCAUCUCUAUGAUUGCCUCUAGGGCAUACCUCCAACAGUCUCCCACUUGCACUAGAGUCAAUCUAGAAGGUACCUAAUACCCAUAGCUCUUACAUGCGCAUCAUGCUUAGCCUGCGGGAGUGGUUUUGUCAACGGAUCAGAAAUGUUCAGAUCCGUGUGUAUUUUGCAUAUCUUGAUCUCACCCCGGUUAACAAAGUCUCGAAUGAGAUGAAAUCGCCGCAUUACGUGUUUGUUCUUCUGGUGGUUCCUUGGCUCCUUUGCUUGCGCAAUUGCCCCAUUAUUAUCACAGUAGAGAUUCAAUGGGCUGGACGCAUCCGGGAACACACCAAGCUCAAUGAGGAAAUUCCUUAUCCAAACACCUUCCUUCGCGGCUUCCGAAGCCGCGAUGUACUCGGCUUCUGUCGUAGAAUCGGCCACCGUCUCCUGCUUGGAACUCUUCCAACUAACAGCACCACCAUUCAGUGUGAACACAAAUCCUGAUUGUGACUUUGAAUCAUCUCUGUCGGUUUGGAAACUAGCAUCGGUGUAACCUGUUACAACGAGCUCCUCCUGACCUCCAUAGACGAGGAACAUAUCUUUAGUCCUUCUCAAGUACUUAAGAAUGUUUUUCACCGCUGUCCAGUGACUCUCACCUGGAUCAGAUUGGUGUCUGCUUGUCAUACUUAGCGCAUAUGAAACAUCUGGGCGAGUACUUAUCAUUGCAUACAUGAUAGAUCCAAUAGCCGAGGCAUAUGGUACUCUACUCAUGCGAUCCCGCUCAUCAGCAGUCGAAGGACACUGAGUCUUGCUGAGAUGUAUGCCAUGUGACAUAGGCAAGAACCCUUUCUUUGCCUCUUCCAUGCUGAACCGCUUCAACACUUUGUCAAUAUAAGUAUCUUGGCUCAAACCUAUAAGCCUUCUCGAUCUAUCUCUAUAGAUCUUAAUGCCCAGAAUAUAUGCCGCUUCCCCUAAGUCCUUCAUCGAAAAACUAUUUUUCAGUGAAGUCUUUACGGACUCAAGCAUAGGAAUGUUAUUUCCAAUCAGUAAUAUGUCAUCCACAUAUAAGAUUAGAAAUACUACAGAGCUCCCACUAACCUUCUUGUAAACACAAGACUCUUCUUCGUUCUUGGUGAAGUCAAACCCUUUGACCACUUCAUCAAAACGAAUGUUCCAACUCCUAGAUGCUUGCUUCAAUCCAUAAAUGGAUCUCUGAAGCUUGCAUACUUUUCCAGCAUUUUUCGGAUCGACAAAACCCUCGGGCUGUAUCAUAUACACGUCCUCAGUUAGGUUUUCAUUCAGGAAAGCUGUCUUGACAUCCAUCUGCCAUAUCUCAUAAUCGAAAUAUGCAGCUAUAGCUAGAAUAAUCCGAAUGGACUUAAGCAUCACUACAGGCGAGAAGGUCUCGUCGUAGUCAACUCCUUGAACUUGUCGAAAACCUUUUGCGACAAGUCGUGCUUUAUAGAUGUGAACAUUUCCAUCCAUGUCCUUUUUCUUCUUAUAGAUCCACUUGCACUCUAUGGCUUUAACACCAUCAGGCGGGUCAACCAAGUUCCAAACUUGAUUGUCUCCCAUGGACUCUAUUUCGGAUUGCAUGGCACUCUGCCAUUUUUCGGAGUCUGGGUCCAUCAUUGCUUCUGCAUAUGUCGCAGGCUCAUCAUUGUCCAACAAUAAUAUUUCUCGCAUUUCGCGGAGCCUUGCCGACCUUCGUGGUUGUGGCGGUGCUUCUCUUGCCAUGGGUAUCUCAACUUGUUCUGCUACGUUAGCAUCACUCAUUGAUUCUUGCCCGAUUGGCUCAUCUUGAACUUCUUCAAGAUGCACUGUCUUUCCACUCUUUUCUCCUUUGAGAAACUCUUUCUCUAGGAAAACCCCGUUCCGAGCGACAAACACUUUGCCUUCUGAUCGGUUGUAGAAAUAAUAUCCCAAAGUUUCCUUUGGAUAUCCCACGAAAAUGCACUUAUCCGACUUGGGUGUGAUCUUGUCCGACUGAAGUCGCUUGACAAACACUUCACAUCCCCAAAUCUUUAGAAAAGACAGACUAGGAACCUUUCCAGUCCAUAUCUCAUAUGGUGUCUUAACUACGGAUUUAGAUGGUACCCUAUUUAGUGUGAAAGCUGCUGUUUCUAGAGCGUAUCCCCAAAAUGACAACGGUAGGUCCGACUGGCUCAUCAUUGAUCGAACCAUGUCUAACAAAGUUCGAUUACGUCGCUCGGACACACCGUUUCUCUGAGGUGUUCCAGGCGGCGUAAGUUGUGGAACAAUUCCGCAACUCUUUAGAUGAUUGCUAAACUCGUGGCUCAAAUACUCGCCUCCACGAUCAGAUCGUAAGGCCUUAAUUUUCUUGCCACGCUGAUUUUCAACUUCAUUCUGAAAUUCCUUGAACUUUUCAAAGGUUUCAGACUUGUGCCUCAUUAAGUAGACAUAUCCAUAUCUACUAAAAUCAUCAGUGAAAGUUAUGAAGUAUUGGAAUCCUCCUCUAGCCGUCGUGCUCAUUGGUCCGCAUACAUCACUAUGUACGAGUUCCAACAAGUCUACUGCUCUCUCAGGAAAUCCUGUGAAAGGCGUCUUGGUCAUCUUGCCUAGCAAGCAAGCCUCACAUGUCUCGUAUGAUUCAAAAUCAAACGAAGUUAGAAGUCCAUCAGAAUGGAGCUUCUUCAUGCGCUUUUCACUUAUAUGACCUAAACGACAAUGCCACAAGUAGGUAGGACUCAAAUCAUUAGGCCGAGGCCUUUUAGCACUUACAUUACAGACAGGUGAACCAUCAAGAUUUAAAACAAACAAUCCAUUCACAAUGGGUGCAAAAGCCAUAAACAUAUUAUUCUUAGAGAUCACACAACCAUUGUUUUCACUCGCAAAUGAAUAACCAUCCUUCAUCAAACAUGAAGGAGAUAAAAUGUUUCGACUUAAACUAGGAACAAAAUAACAAUUAUUCAACUCCAUAAUAAAUCCUGACGGGAGGUGGAGUUGCAUCGUCCCGACGGUCAAAGCAACAACUCUUGCAUUAUUGCCCACGCGGAAAUCAACUUCUCCUCUUUCCACGCUUCUACUUCUUAUCAUUCCCUGCAUCGAAUUGCAAAUAUGAGCAACCGAUCCGGUAUCAAAUACCCAAGAAUUAAUAACUGUAUCAGCGAGAAAUAUGUUGUCUAUAACAUUAACAACAAGCGUACCUGAGGUAGAAGUACUCUUACUUCCGCCGUUCUUCAACGAAGCUAGGUACUGCUUGCAGUUUCUCUUCCAGUGACCAAGUUCAUGACAGUAAAAGCACUCUUUAUCUGGAGCAGGUCCAGGUCCAGCUUUAACCUUGGGCGGUGGGUUUGGCUUGGACGUUCCAGCCUUGCCCUUCUUCUUCCAAGAAUUGCCCUUCUUCUUAAAGCUGGGCUUGUUCUGUAUCGCCAUCACAUGGCUGGUACUAGCGCUUUUCUUUAUGUCAGCCUCUGCUGUUUUGAGCAUACCACACAGCUCAUUCAGACCCUUCUCCGUCCCAUGCAUAUGGUAGUUCGAGAUGAAGUUCCCAUAGCUAGCCGGAAGAGAUGAAAGAAUGAAAUCAGUGGCCAACUCUUGGCCCAGUGGGAAGCCUAGCUUCUCCAACCGUUGAGUGUAACCAACCAUCUUGAUUACGUGUGGUCCUACUGCUGCGCCUUCUGCUAGCUUGCUCUCAACAAAGGCCUUAGACACAUUGAACCUUUCAGUCCUGGCCUGUGUUUGGAACAUGUCUCUAAGCGCCACGAUCAUAUCGUGCGCCUCAUGGUUUGUUUCGAACUGCAUCUGCAGCUCGGGUUCCAUGCAAGCAAGCAUAAGGCAGCUUACUUCGAGGUUAGCAUCACAUGCUUUCUUGUAAGCAUUCUUAGCAGCAGCGGGUGCAUCCUCAGCAGGUUCUUCUGGUAGUGGGUUGUCUAGAACAUCUUCCUUUUUCUCAGCCCUGAGAACAAUUCUCAGGUUGCGGAUCCAAUCCGAGUAGUUUGUUCCAUUCAACUUGUCCUUCUCAAGGACCGAACGCAAAGCAAACGAUGUGGUGGUGUUGCUAGGUGCCAUUUAAUCUACAACAAAAGUAAUGCAAAAUACACUAAGACAAACGUAUCCAUGAUAGAGCAAAUUACAUUAAACUAUUUUAACAGAAUCUACUCCCACUAAAAUCAAUAUCCCUCUAUUGAAACUUAGUGAUUCAGGAUCCACAACUAACAAGUCCACUAGUGAGCUUUAGCAUCACCGCUAGCAAACGAGGUAGAUCGGUAAGCAACUUUUGCUAAUCAUAUCACAUAUGACUCCUGUUGUUGGGUGACAUCUCUAUGUCUCGGCGCCCAACCUUUAUGCCCCAAGGUCCUUAACCGUUAAGAUGACCUUGUUAAGCAAACCAACCCUUAUGCAUGUAAGUGUCCGACACAGACCCGUCUAGUCAAGGAAAACUAGUGGCACCCUAAUUUCAUAGACCCACCACUAAUUGUACAAGACAUGGGACGGUGCAAGUUCUAGUUGGGAGGGCAUACUAACUUAAACUUUGUGAGGGAUCGUUCUACUUCUAACAUCACAGCAUGCAGAAAGUAAAACAUAAAUCAGAAUAGCAUUCACACAGUUGUGACACAGUAUGGCCCAUUUUCAUAUGGUGAUCUCCAUCUCCAUUGAAGCUGUUCACCAUGGUGAUCUCCAUCUCCAUGUUCCAUGUGCGCCAUCCUCCUGGUGAUGAGUCCUCCAAGAACUAGAACAUGCUAUUACGCCUAAUAGCUAGUAAAGAAUCUAGUAAUGAAGAUUACAUAGUUGCUUGGAUCAUCACAGAUUGGUACGCAGACCAUUAAAUACAAUAAAGUGACAACACAUAUGGCUCCUGCCGUGUUGCCGUACGCGCGACACGCAGGUCACGAAUUAGUUACACACAUGCAUCACAUACACAAGGGGGCCAUACUGAUCACAAGAUACAUACAUACAUCCUGCAAAACAGAGUUAGGCGUCCUAUCGUUCCAAACUUGGGAGGCCCGAAACUCCAUCUUCCAAGCCGAAUUUGGGAAAUCUAAUCUCGCCGAAAACGGCGAAGCGGUUGAAAUUCAUGUGUAACUUUUUCUGUAGAUCAAUUUUCGUAUAGAAAUCGCCCCGAUCCGAGAUCAUACCGAAAAGUUACGGCUGAUUUACCGAAGCAUGCGCAUACGGCAAAAUCCCGACCCCGGCAGUAGAUCCCAUCUACCAUUGCACAUCUAAUGCGCCUGGCGUAUGACCCUGGAUCUCGAUUCGACCAAUCAUAUUGAUCUUCCCUCACUGCAACUGGAUUUACGUGUAUCACUUAACUCCGAUGGCGGAAACCGACCGGUAGGAGUAUGUCGUUACACUACCAUUGCAGCAAGGGCACGAAACCAGGACAUAAGUCAAACAGACAACUCGCAUAUCUCCAUAUGCACACAUCCCGAAUCCAAAACUAAGCAGCUAAGGCUCUUGAUACCACUGAUGGGAUACGAGGUAGGCUACGCUAGCGCAAAACAAAAUUUCUACCGCGUAUAACCAGGAAGAACUGCCGUAUAAGGAUCACGGGAUUACCACUCGACGCACUACUGGUGCGGAAGAUGUAGAUAUGCGUCGGUGCAGUGAAGACGAUCACGUAGUCGUACGUAGUCGAACAACGUAGUCGUACGUAGUCGAUCACGUCCAGCGGCUCCUCAGCAGCUCGUCCACGUGCACAGCAAGAUCGCCUCCGGUGCCGCGGCUCGUCGUCGGCUCGUCGUGGCUCGUCGGCGGCUCGUCGAUGGCUCGUCCAAGUGCUGCAGGCGCAACACCUCCAAGGUAUCCACACGUGCAGGGAGGAAGCGUCGCAAGCCGGAUUGCUAGAUCCGCGAGUUGCAACAGGCGAGGGCGUGGGAGGCGCGGCAAGUGUGUUCAGCCAAAAGGUGUGAAACCCUAGGGCGCCCCCACCCCUCUAUUUAUAGGGGUUCCUGAUGGGCCUCUGGAUCCGAGGCCCAUUAGUACUCCUAAACCUAAUCCAACUCGGAUCAGAUCCGAAUUGGGCUUCCAGCCCCUUAAGUGUGUGACCCUAUGGGUUCGGAUACGUAUAGACAUGGCCCGAGUACUCCUACUCGGCCCAAUAGUCGGUAGCGGCCUCUAGCAAGACGUGCCAACUCCUAUACGCAUACGAAGAUCAUAUCAGACGAACCAUCACAACAUAAUAUACAUGCUAUUCCCUUUGCCUCACGAUAUUUGGUCUAGCUUCAAGCCGACCGCUCUUUCUCGAUCCUGUGAUUCGGAAUCCCUUUGUAGGUUAACUCUUAACCGUACGUAGCAUGGCCAUGCAUUUUCUGAUCCGAUCACUCGAGGGGCCCAGAGAUAUCACUCUCAAUCAGAGAGGGGCAAAUCCCAUCUUGAUUGACCAUGUCUCAUAGCAUGCUUCUUGACAAACCCGAAAGCUACCUUUAUAACUACCCUGUUACGGCGUAGCGUUUGAUAGCCCCUAAGUAGGUCAAUCCACAUCUAGAAUACAUGCGACAAUCUCAGGUCUAAGGACAAAGCGUAUAUGUUGUUUAAAGAGAGAACUACUUCUCGUGUUGGGUCAGUCCUAACACAUGUCUCCACAUGUGUCCACAUUAUUAGUUCAACAUCUCCAUGUCCAUGACUUGUGAAACAUAGUCAUCAACUAAUACAUGUGCUAGUCUAAUAUUCAUGUGUGUCCUCACAUGAACUCCGACUAGGGACAACUUUAGAAUAACCAUACAAGUAAAGAGUUUCACAUACAAUUCACAUAAUUGCAAAUCAAUUCAAGUAGCCUUUAAUGGAUAUUCAAUGAACACAAUAUAGAAAUCAUGGAUACAAAUGGAAUAUCAUCAUCUCUAUGAUUGCCUCUAGGGCAUACCUCCAACAGAAUCAUCUCCUACUAUUUAAUAGGAUCAAGGCUUGCUGCCUUUCUGAUGAUUGAUCAGUUGCACUUUUCUCAAUUGUUUUUAAAAUGUUCAUCAGCUCCUUUGUUCAUGCUUGUAUCAAGGAAUGAAAUGUGCAUUGCUGACAGCAGUCAAGUUACUGAUUUGUGUAUAUACAUGCAGUACUUUGAGGUUCAUUUUUGUUAUUGUUGCUGCUGCUAUUGUUAAAUUUCUGAAAACUAACAAGCCAUUUCUAAAAACAACAUGCUCUGUUCAGUCCAUUUUGCUGCUGCAUUAGAAUGGUUUUUUUAUCAGUUGCUCUGAACUGGACCUUCAGAAUUCAGACAUUCAGUGCAUUUGCACAUAUGAAAUGUUAGAGCAUGACAUGCCAAUGAUCGGCAGUUCUGCACUGCACCAAACAGCCUCACUAUCACCCUGAUAUGCAUUCUCAAGUCUCAGUUCUACCAUGCUGCCAGAUUGUUCUGUUAUAUGUAAAUUAUCAACUGUUUUGUUUUAAGCUAUAGAAAGACCAAUGUCUGCUUAAAUAUCUCCUCUGCAGGCUAGCUUUGUAAAAGGAGCUGUUAUAGAAAGACGUUGGCUUUGUAAAUUAACGUUGAGGAGAUAUUUAAGCAGAGGAGAACCCGCUAACACCAUCAACGUCUGUAAAAGGAGCUAUAGAUUGUUCUGGGACUGCUUGGUAGUAGUACCUGGAGUGCCGCUGAAUAUGACGUUGAUGGUGUUAGCGGGUUCUGGAAUUUUCCAUUAUUGUUCUCAUCUUUGUCUUCUUCGGCUUUUCCCUUGUCUUUAGCUCCAGAAGAUUCCGGCAGAUUUUUCAUGACUUUAUACAGACUUAUGCAAUCCAUCGCAGAGUGUUUGGAGUUUGGGUGCCAUGGGCACCGCUUCUUCAAGAGCUCCUUGAACGGAGUCCUCUCUUGAUUUCCACCGCUUUUCUUGGAGGACUGGGACAUUACCGCGAUAGUGUUGUCUGGCUUCCUCUUGUAGUUUUGAUGACCUGAGUAGUUGCCUUGUUUGUCAUUGGGGCGAUUGUUGCGGUUCUUGCCGUUACUUUGGCCGUUGUUCUGGCCUCUGUUAUGGCUAGAUUCAAACCGCUCGAUCUCCUUGUCUUCUUCGUCUGCCCAGGAUUACAAUCCUGGGCAGACGAAGAAGACAAGGAGAUCGAGCGGUUUGAAUCUAGCCAUAACAGAGGCUAGAACAGUAACAACUAGAGCAACGGCCAAGGUAAUGGCAAGAAUCACAAUGAUCGUCCCAACGACAACCGAAGGAACUACUCGGGUGGUCAAAAUCGCAAGGGGAAGGUAGAUAAUACUAUCGUGGCAAUGUCCCAGUCCUCUAAGAAGAGCAGUGGAAACCAAGAGAGGAAUCCUUUCAAGGAGCUUCUAAAAAAACAGUGCCCAUGGCACCCAAACUCCAAAUACUCUGUGAUGGACUGCAUAAAUCUUCGUAGAGUUAUGAGAGAUAUGCAAGAAUCUUCUAGAGCUAAAGACAACGGAAAUGUCAAAGAAGAUGGAGACGAGGAUGACAAUGGGAAAUUUCAGAACUCAUCCAACACUGUCAAUAUCAUAUUCGGUGGCACUCCGGGUACUACUACCAAGUGGUCCCAGAAGUUAACCCUUCGGGAAAUCAUGUCCAUUGAGCCAGCAAUGCCCACGUUUCUUAAGUGGUCUGAGGUGCCAAUCACCUUCUCAAGAAAAGAUUAGUGGAUUAGUUUCUUCGACCCAGGAUGCUAUCCUCUCAUCCUGGAUCUAGUCGUUGUAGGCUCUCGCCUCACAAAAGUACUCAUUGAUGGCGGUAGCGCCCUCAACGUGCUCUUCGCCAAGACUUUGAGAAAUAUGUGCCUCAACGUGACAUAUAUGCUCACCCUGACGAACUCUCUGUUCUACGGGAUUGUUCUGGGUAACACGGUUGUACCCCUCAGUCAGGUGGUUUUGCCAGUUACGUUCGGGACCAAGGAUCAUUACCAGACCGAGUACAUCCAGUUUGAGGUGGCUGACAUCGAAACUUCGUAUCAUGCCAUCCUCGAAAGACCAGCAUUGGCCAAGUUCAUGGCCAUCCCGCAUUACGUAUACCUAGUACUCAAAAUGCCAGGACCCAAGGGAGUACUCCCUGCAUAGAGACUUGAAGAGAUCGUGCGACUGUGAUACGGAAGCUGUGGAGCUAGCAGCGACUACUCAGGUGCCAAACUCCAUGAUGCAAUUCUUUGCCGCUUCCAAGAAAUUGUCGCCGACAGAACUCAAAAUCCUACAGAAGAAGUUGGGGGCAACCAAGGUCAAUACGGCAGGUGAAGGUGAUCUCAAAGCGAUUGACCACAAAAUCAGUGACAGCUCCAAAACAGUCCUGAUUGGCGUAGGGCUAGAUCCCAAAUAGGAAGACGUGCUCGUCAGCUUCCUUCGGGUCAACGAGACAUCUUUGCAUGGAAGCUAUCUCAUAUGCUGGGGCUGCCCAGAGAGUUGAUCGAGCACUCACUCAAUGUGGAUCCCAAAGCUACGCCCAAGCGACAACGACUAUGCCGGUUCGCCCAAGAUAGAAGAGAAGCCAUCAAAAAGAGUUGGCCAAACUACUCGUGGCUAGCUUUAUAAAAGAAGUCCUUCAUCCAGAGUGGUUGGCUAACCCUAUCUUGUUGCGGAAGAAGAACAACAACUAGCAGAGGAUGUGUGUCGACAACACAGACCUCAAGAAGCACUAUCCAAAGGAUCCCUUUGGGCUCCCUAGGAUUGAUCAAGUUAUCGACUUGGGUUGGGUGCGCUCUCCUCUGUUUCCUCAACUGCUACUCGGGGUAUCACUAGAUAGCACUCAAGGAAGAAGAUUAGAUCAAGACUGCGUUCAUCACCGCGUACGGAGCUUUCUGCUGCACUACAAUGUCCUUCUGGUUGAAGAAGGCAAGUGCCACGUAUCAACGAGCCAUCUAGGAGUGCUUCAAAACUAGCUACACCGCAAUGUAGAGGUGUACAUGGACGAUGUGGUCAUUAAGACCAUAUAUCCCGACGACUUCGUUGCGGAUCUAGAAGAAACCUUCGCAAGCCUACGAGCAUACCGGUGGAAACUGAACCCAACAAAAUGCAUGUUCGGUGUACCCUUCAGGAAACUACUUAGGUUCAUCAUCAGUCAUCGAGGAAUUGAGGCUAAUCCUGAGAAGAUUGCUGCCAUCACCAACUUGCAUGCUCCAUCGUGCAUCAAGGACGUCUCGAAGCUGAUAGGAUGCAUAGCGGCCCUCAAUAGAUUCAUCUCAACACUUGGAGAAAGGGGACUACCCUUCUUCAAACUACUCAAGCGGUAAGACAAGUUACAGUGGACUGAGGAGGCGGAACAAGCCCUUCAACAGUUGAAGGACUUGAUGUCAAAGCCACCGGUCCUCACGGCGCCUAUUCCCAAUGAAGACUUGCUGCUCUACAUCGCCGUGAGUACUAACAUUGUCAGCACGGCGAUCUUGAUCGAAAGACCAGAACCAGGCCAUGUAUACAAAGUACAGUGGCCCAUCUACUUCAUCAGCGAGGUGUUGUCAGACUCCAAAAUAAGGUAUCCGCUAGUACAGAAGUUGCUAUACGCAAUAUUACUCACCUUGGGACACUACUUCCAAGAACACAACAUCUCCGUCAUCACAGACUUCCCCUUAGGAGACAUACUUCACAAUAGAGAUGCAACAGGAAGGAUCUUCAAGUGGACAGUAUAACUCGAAGCCUUAUCUCUAGAUUUAAAACCAAAGACUGCCAUCAAGUCGCAAGCACUAGUAGAUUUCAUGGCAAAGUGGCGGGAAAAUCAAGUACCCACACUGACAGAACGUCCAGAGCAUUGCGUCAUAUACUUCGAUGGAUCACUCAAGCUUGAGGGUACCGGUGCAGGAGUACUCUUAAUCUCUCCCAAAGGCGAACAACUCAAGUAUGUGUUGCAAAUAUUCUGGGAGGUCUCCAACAACAAAGCAGAAUAUGAGGCACUACUGCACGGGCUCCGUUUGGUAGUCUCGCUAGGAAUCAAGUGGUUUUUGGUUUACGGCGACUCACUAAUAGUCAUCAACCAAGUCAAUGAUGAGUGGGAUCGCCACAAAGAUAACAUGGACGCGUACUGCCUUGAAGUACGCAAGCCGACGAACACGUUCUCCAGCCUGGAGUUCCAUCACGUGGCUCGUGACAAUAAUGUAGCUCAAACAUCUUGUCCAAGCUCGAAUCUACUCGUACUCUAGUUCUAGCUGGGGUCUUUGUCCACGAACUACACAAGCCAUCCAUAGCAGAGUUGGCACCUUCAAAAACCACCAAUCGAGACAACAAUGAGCCUGAUCGGGAGGUUCUGAUGAUCAACGUAGAUUGGAGAACCCCCUUCAUCGACUACAUCAAGGAGCACAAGUUGCUUCCCAACAAGCAGAAGUAGAGCAAGUCUCACAGCAUGGCAAGAACUAAGUUCUAGUUGGGGAUAAGCUCUACAUACGAGGCGGAUCAUCAGGAGUACUCAUGAAGUGCAUCUCACGUGAAGAUGGCAAGGAUAUAUUGGAGGAGAUUCACAAAGGCAUCUGCGGCAACCACACAUCAUCCAAAACGAUCAUGGGCAAAGCUUUUAGAGCAAGAUUCUAUUGGCCUAUAGCUCUCAAAGAUGCCAAAGAGCUAGUUCGCCGAUGUUAAGGUUGUCAAUUCUUUGCCAAGCAGCAACAUGUUUCUGCCUAUAGGCUGAUGACUAUACCGCCCUCCUGGCUCUUCGCAUGCUGGGGGCUAGACAUGAUUGGUACUCUGCCUAUAGUGCCUGGGGGCUUCAACCGAGUACUCAUGGUGAUCGACAAGUUCACCAAGUGGAUUGAGGUGAAGCCAGUGACCUACUCGAAGGCAGACAGAGUACUUGACUUCCUCGACGAGAUCAUCCAUCACUACGGUUUCCCCAAUCGCAUCAUGAUAGGCCUGGGCUCAAAUUUCAACAAUCACAAGUUCUGGGAGUAUUGUGAAAACAACGGGAUUGAUGUUCGGUACCGUCUCUGUUGCUCAUCUACGGGCCAACGGUCAGGUUGGGCGUGCAAUGGGAUGGUACUAAAAAGCUUCGAUUUGAACUACUCCGUAGGUGAUAGCCGAGAACCUAGAAGCUAUCAAGAAGAGACUACAUGACAUUGACAAUGCCAAAUGAGGCAAGUGGCUCAAGGAGCUACCCAAUGUCCUCUAUGGGCUUCGCACAUAGCUGUGCAAGCCUACGAGGUACUCACCCUACUUCCUAGUCUAUGGAUCAGAAGCUAUCCUACCCGCCGACAUCAUGUGGAAAUCUCUAGUAAUUGGGUAGUAUGAGGAAGCUUCGGUAGAAGAAACAAGACGUCUAGAUAUAAAUAGUCUCAAAGAAGCUCACUGUGUAGCACUCGUCCAAUCAACAAGAUACCUUGAAGGAAUUUGCCACUAUCAUGAUCGCAAUGUUAAGGAACGUUCGUUCAACACAGGCGACAUGGUCCUCAAGUGUAUUCUAGACACCAAGGGGCUGCACAAGCUAAACUCGCCUUGGGAGGGGCCUUACAUCAUCUCCAAGGUCACUGGACCUGGGUCAUAUAGGCUCCAAACUCUCACCGGUAAAGAAGUCGACAACUCGUGGUUCUUGUGUUGAUUCUACCCAUAGUCUACAUAUUCAUGUAAAAUAGCCGUCGACCAUAGUUGUACAGUUACAAUUUAAAUAAAGCAAAGUUAUUUUUUGUUGCAAAAGACUAGUCUCUACCCACUCGCAACUUGUACCCACAAGUUUGCACACUUAUCUUUUGGGUUAUUCAACUCAUUAGAUAGCAGCAACUUGAGCAGAAGCAAGCUUGCACACACAAAUCUUGAGCUAAUCAGUUCCUUAGACAAAAUCUAUCCAUCGACGGUCUUCAUAGACAGAAGUCGUCAAUUUACUUAGGAGUGAUCUAUACUACCCGAGUCCUUCUAACCGCGGCUUGUAAUAACAAGUUUGCAAGUUCCAGGUCUUCGGAGCACACCCAAACAAUCUAGAGAGGUUGUCAAGGUAGGUUCCAGAUCAUAAAGUUCUGAAGAGUUUACUCGCCUGAAGAGUUUGACUACCUAGAUACACAAGUACUGGAGCUCCCACAAAAGGGAGUCACAUCCUAAAGGUACUCUACAUAGUGUAUUCAAAGAGGCUCCCAGGAGCAGUCUUGUGCGCGGACACUCACGACUACCAUACGAGCAAACAUCUUGGUAGUCCGUGAGAUGCACUAAGCCGAAGGAAUUCAAACAAGUUGACAAGUAAACAAAAAUUGCGACAAGACUUCAAAACAAUUUGCAUUAACUUAACUUGUUUACAUUACAGACAAUUGUUUUUUGCAUAUCACUGAAGGUCUAUCUUAUCGGCUACUUCUUGAGCAAUGGGAGCCAUCUCCUCCAAGUACUGCUAGAAUUGCUCAACAGAGCAGUCCUCGGCAAUGCCCUUUGCCACAGGAGCCAAGUUGGCUUGUGAGUAGAACGACUUCACCAUCACCAGCAGUUGCUUGGAGACGGACUCCGCAGUCUUCUUCACGUAGCUGGUGAACUUCUCAGGUACAUCCCUGAGUCGCUCUACCAAGGAACGGGGCUCCACGUCUUUCUCUAGGGGCUCCACCGUAUCAGCAAUGGGCUGAGCGGCUUCUGAUAGCUCCUUGAGAGCAAGGUCCUUCGCCUCCAACUCAGCCCACUGCACUUGGAGUUUCUCCAUCAGAUCCACAAGUUGGACCUCCCCGUCCUUGCGUAGCUACUUCUCCUUGUCAAACUUGUGUUCCAGGGUCUCGUACUUCUUGAUCACCUUGUCAAAUUCAUUAGUGACCUGGUAGUACGCGCUUUGCCAGUCAACGACACGAUCAUGGAGAUCGUUAUUCUCCUUGGUGAGCUCUGCAAGCACAAAGGCAACCAACAAGUCAGCAAGGCCUGACAAGUACCUGAAGACAAUGGAGGUUAACAACUUACCUUCAUUCCGGUUUCUCAACCCUUUGUUGAGAUUCUGAAGGUGGUCCUUCUCCUCCGCGGUGCUCUGUGCAUUAUUCCGGUACUGGGCGGCCUACCCAUCAUACUUCAUCAGUAGCGGGGAGGAGUAUUCCCGCUCUUAAGCUAGCUUCUGCUCCAGUGCCUCCGCCCGCUGGAUGGUGUCCCCAAUUACUUCGAGAACUCUCAAUUUCUCGCGGGAGUGCUGGGUCAGUGUCUACAACAUAGAGCAAAGUACUCGUAUAAGCAUCAAGUACCAAUUUCAAGAUGAAGACCAAAAGUAGAAGUAAAGCCUACUUGUGUGUACUCGCCUACUUGGCGGUACAUGUCCAUCAGCUCAGUCUCAAAAUCCACGGUGGCCAGGGGUUCAGCUAUCAGCCAGCCUCUCUCUCGGUUCGCCACAGAAUGGAGCUGCGUGUCAUCAUGUUCCCCGGCACUGGCGCACCGAGAGGGACCAUCACCCUGCUGGACGAUGGACCAGCCUCUGACGUCAAAAAGAUAGUCGCCACGUGACUAGUCGAUGCUCUUGCCUCAGACGGCGGGACAACGGGCAACACUUGCAGCACCGUCCCUUCCAUGUCGUUGCGUCAAUUUUCAACACACUAAUUAAUGAGAUGGCAACAGAGAUGCCCUAUGAAAAAGAGAGGGAGACAAAGAUGUUGCAUUGUGUGCCUGAGUUUCUACCAUUUAUUUUCCCUUUUUCCUCACACUAAUACACACUAGCCAGUCGAAAGACGCACGAACGAUGAUGAAGAGUUGAUUUACCCGAAAGCGGGACAGAGUUAUGCGCCUACGAAAGAUAACACAAACGUGCAGUGGUCUUCUCUUUUUCUUUCCUUCUCUUCUCCAUCGAUGGUGGGGCGUCUGCCAAUAGCACUCUAGUAUGGUCCCGCCGGAAAAGGGGAAGGAAUAUUUAGGUAGGCUGCACUAGUAGAGAAACGACUUUCCAUCCGCCCCUUUUUGUCCCGGUUUAAAGUUGGCCCGGGACAAAAGGUUCACCAACCGGGACUAAAACUCGGUCACUGGUGGGGGGCUCACCAACCGGGACCUUUUAUCCCGGUUGCAAAGGCUAGUGGGAAAAAAAGACUCUGAGAGGCAUUUUAUCCCGGUUUGAAACACCAACCGGGAUAAAAGACCCCCCCUUUUAUCCCGGUUGGUAACACCAACCGAGAUAAAAGGGUCAAGAGCCUUUUAUCCCGGUUUGUAAUACCAACCGGGAUAAAAGGGGGUCAUUUAUCCCGGUUGGUGUUUCAAACCGGGAUAAAAGGGCCCCCAACGAGGUGACUGGAAAGUGACCGGGAAGGAAUUAAAUCGGGGGACCCUUUUAUCCCGGUUCGAAUCCCACGAACCAGGCACGCGCAUAUUUCGCGUGAAAAAUCGCGUGACUUGUGCCUUGCGACGUGCGCGUGUGGGGGGCCUCCUGGGAGCUCGGGAAUUUUUUUUUUUGCAGCGUCGGCGCUCUCGACCCUUUUAUCCCGGUUGGUAUUACCAACCGGGAUAAAAGGGGAUCUUUUGUCCCGGUUGAGUGACCCGGGAUAAAAGAUCCCCCCUUUUGUCCCGGUUGGUUUAUCCCGGAUGCAUUUUCGGGAUAUUUGCACCCUACCAACCGGGAUUAACGCCCAGUUCUCUACUAGUGCUGGCAAAUUCGUCGCCGGGGCAAGCAAACCAACUCCUAUAGUAUACUAGUUGUUGCUAUCAAGCCAUCCAUAUUUGCGCUAAUCAACGCCAAUAGAUUGAUUGAUUAGGCUUGGAUUAAUUAGAGACUAGAAGUUUUGUAGCUAAAUUCAUGGAUAUGUGCAUGGUUUGCUCUCUCCGGUCAUAAAAUAACUGAUGUACUACUGAUGUUGGCUUCGGGCAUCCGGUAUUAUUAACUUUUUACCGUGUUGUGUAUGGAUAUUCGGAAAUGAUACGGAUAUAAUAUUCAUCUCGAGACUUCCUUUCACAAAAAUAUAUUCUUGUACCUUUUUAGAAAAAAAAUUGCUGCUUAAACAUUCUUUUAGCUGGUUGAAUCCAGCUAAACUGAUAAAAGACCAAAUUGUCCCUCCACUUACAUUCUUAACGGGUAAAACCCAUCGGGUACUUAGAUUUCGGGUACCCAUUGAUGACACAUAUUAAGACCCUCUUUGGAACAAGGAACUGAAUGUCAUUGUACCUUGAAUAAUCCUAUGGAAUGGAAAACCCGGGGAAAACUACAGCAAAGGGCCAUUUGAAUGGUGCACAGGAAAAACACAUGAAUUGUAUGAGAGAGUGAGACAAAGAAACUUAUCAUGUGGUCCAACCUCUUAGUAGAAUUCCUCCAGAAUUGCUACUUCCUCCGUCCAGAAAUAUAAGGUAUUUUGGUUGUCCUAAGUCAAAUUGUUUUAAAUUUGACAAAAUUUAUAGAGAAUAGUAUUAAUAUAACAUAUCAAAUAAAUAAAUUAUGAAAAUAUAUCUCAUAAUAGAUCUAAUGAUACUCGUUUGACAUCCUAAAUAUUAUUGCUCUUUUCUAUAAACUUGAUCAAAUUUAGAGCAGUUUGACUUAGGACAAACCGAAAUGGCUUAUAUUUCAAGACUGAAGGAGUAUGGUACAAGGAUUGAGUAUGGUACAAGGCAUGCCAUAGCAAUUUCGUAGGAUCGGUAGGAAUUCAAUCCUUUGUUUCAAAAGAAAAGACUUCAUAGGAAAAUUUCCUGUAGGAUCCAAAUCCUCCAAAAUUCCUACAUUUUUCCUAGGUUUUCGAGGGGGCCUAUGUACUAUGUAUGAUACGUUUUCACAAGUGAAUAAAUGUUAGUAUGUGUUUGCAUGAGUAUCGCUUUAUAAUAUUUAACGACUAAGAGAGCUUGCAGGUAAACUUUAUCAUUAUUAAGUAUUAACUCUGUCCCUUAAGUUUUUCAUAAAUUUUUAAGUACUUAUGUUUGUCAAAAUUAGAAGCCCUUACGGAAAUAUUGACGGAUGGUCUAGUAUGUUGAAUUAAUGACCAUAUAAAUUGUUGUCUGUUGACGUUCAUUAUUAACACAUUUUUACCCCUAUUUAUCUGCAAUAAUGAUAUGAAUUUGAUACCUAAACUAUUGAUCAUACUUAAUUAAUAAAUGGGUCAUUUUUACAUAUGCAAUAUAUUUUGGAGGAUAUUCUGUUUUCGCAUAAAAUUAGGCUAAAUUAAGCAUAAUUGGAUAAAGCCUUGAACAAACAACGAACCAGAGGAAAACGAAGGCCAACAAGCCCAGAAAGGGCCUAGGCCCAUCGGCCUAGGGUCCCCUGACCCCCUCUUGUGCUUGUUUUUAGCAGGUACCCCUCCAAGAUUACUUAAGGGCAAAGUUUGCAAGGAUAUGACAAGAUGAGCUUGGUAUCAAAGAGGAUCAAGCGAAGAUUUGGAAGGUUAUCAAGGAUCAAUCUCAUCUCGAAGCUAUCAACAUGUCAGGACCACAUGCAAGUGAAAAGAAGCAUCCAGAACACCUGAGAAGACUCGGGGAUGAAAGAGAGCGUGAACGGGCAAAAGGAACGCCGAGGCCGAUCAGCCUGGACCCACCCAGGCCGAUUGCCUAGGGUAUUUCCUCGCACUCUCACCUUCCAAUUUCUACCACGUGUUCUUCAGACUAUAUAUACUCCUAUUCUCCAUCGAGGACUGCAUCCAAGACGACGUAUUCGAGGUGAAGCAGCAGAAAAGUGGAAGGAGUUUGAGGGACACCACUUCAGAGAGCCGAGGGCCGUGCGGUUGUCUAGGGAUUAGCGUAGCUAAGCCCUAGCUGACGUGGGAAUCCUGCGAGGAAGAUCCAUGUUGUAGUUUUGGAGCUAGGAUCAUCAGAUCAAGGUAGGAUCUCGAUGGAGAUCUGGUGAUGUACAAUCAUUCAUGGCGAAGUAAUAGAUGUGUUCUUGUUCUUAGCGAUCUAAGUGCCUCCUUCUAUAAUUUUAUGCUAUUUCGGGUUUGCUUUCUUUUCAAUCCAUGAUUAAUGAUAGAUUGCUUAGGGUGUUCAUGUGGUCGUGGUGACCGGAUUUGCAUACCUGAUCUAUCGAUGAAUAUAACACGUUCUUAUGAUCAUGCCCUUAGACUACCUAUGCUGAUAAAGGUGAUCAUGACAGGAUCUUUCUUGUGUAAGAUGGUUUAAAGAUCGGGAGCUUAGACCGGAGCUAUAGAUUUAAAGAUGGUUUUAGCUAAGAUCAUGUCUGUGUUGCUUUGGUACCCAUGCUUAGAAUUACAUCAUACGUAUAAUCUUGGUUGCUCUUGAUUGGUUAUCUCCGCUCCAUCUGUUAUCUAUCUAUAUAUGCUAGAUUAGAUCUAAAUCACUCAAUAACACAAAUAUAUCUUGUAUUAUAAGUUCCACGAUAUCCUCAUGGAGAGGAGCUAUAUGGCUGCCGGUGCAAGGAGGAGGUCCGCCGCUGCCGGAUUUUGGCGUAGAUAGGAGGGGGUCGUGCCGCUGGCAGCUGGCAUGGUUAGAGCCGAGGAGCGUGUCGGCGGGCGCCCGGCGGGGGAGGAGGGAGGGCUGGGGCCUGGGUGCUCGCUGGCUUGCGAACAGCGCAAGGAGGCGCGGCAAGGCUGAGGCGAGCGCUGCGCAGACGAGUAGAGGUAGACGAAAGGAAGGACUAAUAAUUUUUUCCUAGGUGGAUCCCACAAACUUCGUGAAUCAUGCCAAAAGGUACAUUAUUUGACGGCUGAGAUGGACAUGCUUUGGUGGGGGCCGGCGACUUGACUCGGUGGCCACGCGGUCACAAUCGACCACCGGCACCCUAUCCCUCCAUUAUUGCCGUCUGCCAUUAUUGCCUUCUGCAGUGCAGAGGAGUCGUGGUUGGGGGCUUGUUCCGGCAGUGGUGGUUACUCCAUGGUUAGUCCAUGAUUGGUGGGAAUCAAUAAUACCAUUACCACUACGUGCUGAAAGUAAUAGCAAGAGAGAUGGCCAAUCAUCGGAAGCAAUAUCACUGUUUGGACUUUGGAUGGGGUCCAACUUAAUUCUUCACAGGUAAAGAGAGUGCUCCACUACAUAGAAAGCCUGCUCCUGCCAUUCGCUUGCGCAUAGAGAGUCCGGGAGAGAUGGAGGAGCGGUUUGCCCCCGUAACCGCGGCGACCGGGGCGUUGGGGCCGGUCCUGGUGAAGCUCGCUGCUUUGCUGGGUGAUGAGUACAAGCUUCAGGAGGGAACCCAGCGAGGCAUCGAGUCCAUCAAAUCCGAGCUCGAGACAGUUCACCAUCUCCUGGGGAAGUUAUGGGGGAGGUUGGAUCUUGAUGUGGCAUGCAAGAACUGGAUGACAGAGGCCCGAGAGCUGUCCUACGACAUGGAGGGCGACAUCGACGGCUUCACUCUCGGUUUGGAGUGUGGUGACGGCAGCUUCAUCCAGCGGGAAGCCACGGACAGCCCUUUCAAGGAAUUCAUGGAAAGGGUCAAAGAUGUAUCGAAGCGGUGCGGCAAGAUGCAGAAGAUUGGCGACUGCAACCGUAGCAAGCUGCCCACCGACCCUCGAGCUCUCUUCCUUCACAGGGAUGCAUCGGAGCUCGUGGGCAUGGAAGAAAAGAAGGAGAAGCUCAUCAAAUUGCUUCAGAAGCACGAAAUGGUAUGCCUUCUUGGACCUGGAGGGAUGGGCAAAACAACUCUUGCGGAUCUGGUGUAUCACGCAGUAGGAGAUGAAUUCCAAUGCCGGACAUUCGUGUCCGUGCACCCAAGUCCUAACAUGACGGAUAUUCUGGGUACCAUCCUCAGCCAAGUAAUAACAGAUGGUGCAAUGUCUGCUGGCAGUGGCACCGAACCUGCAGCCGAACAAAAUAUCGUCACCGACAUAUCAAUUUCCCUCUCUGAGACGAGGUACGACCUCUCCAUUCUCACUCUACUUCAUUCCUCACUACCGGAAACAGUAAAUUCGCCGAGUGUAAAAAUUUUGCCGAGUGCAUUUUCUCGGGCACUCGGCAAACAGCCUUUUUGCCGAGUGUACAAAAUGGGACACUCGGCGAACAUAAAACACUCGGCAAAAAGCAGGUUUGCCGAGUGCCAAAAAUCAGACACUCGGCAAACAACUCCACGACACUCGGCAAAGAAGACACACUCGGCAAAUCGGUAUCGCGUGCGGCGCACGUGCGUCGUGCACUAACAGCGUGGGACGGCCGUUACACCUUUGCCGAGUGUUAGACGGGUGACACUCGGCAAAGUCCACUUCGCCGAGUGCCAGACGCAUACACUCGGCACACGCAAACGUUCGCCGAGUGUCUCAGCCGGACACUCGGCAAACGAAACACUUUGCCGAGUGCCGUCCUUGAGGCACUCGGCAAACAAAAAAAAAAUUCCUUCCAACACCUUCCACACUUUUUCUACUCCCCACGUAGGACAUUUGGUUAUGCAUAUUAAAAUUUGGUAUAUUUUCGGGUCUGUUUGGGAUUUUUAAUGCUUUGUUUGCAUUAAUAGGAAUUUUUUGAUUGAAGUCAAAUUUUAACUACACGUACUUGAAAUAAUGGAUUGAAAUCAGUGAAAAAAUCAUAUUCAUAUUAUGGAGACCAAAUUGAGGUCUCAACCAGAAAAUGAAAAGAAAUUUUGAACAUUGUUUUUAAAAAACACGACCACGAACCUUUGGUUCAAUGGUUGUUAAAUUGUAAAAAAACCAAACGAAAUCUGAAAAUCACAAGAUUUGUCAAGAUGUCAUUAUAUUUUGUGUGUAGGCUGUGGUAAAAAAUUGAGAACGUUUCGCCCAAUUUCUGACCUAUCAUGCUUAGAAACCGACUAAUCUCCUGGAGGGAUUCAUAGAAGUUAGAAAGGAGCCAAUAAGAUUUGGUGUUCAAGUGACACAUGAAUUAAGGAGUGCCUUCAAAUCUUUUUGUACAGGCAACAUACAACACAUGUUGGUUCAUGUCAAAUUUUGGAAAUUUUUCGGAUGCAUUUGAUAUUUUUUAUUGAUUAAAUGCAAUUAUAGAUUUUUAUUAGAUAUAAAUGGAAUUUGAGCUAUAACUGCAUGAAAUAAUGGAAUAUUUUCGGUAGAAAACUAAUUUAACAAUUUUUUAGUGAUUUUGACACGAUUUUGAACAAGUAUAUUUGAAAAAGGCCACUAAAAUACGUUAUUUCAUGUAACGUUUGCCGAGUGUAACCAUAAAACACUCGGCAAACAUUGUAUUUUGCCGAGUGUUUUCUAUGUGCACUCGGCAAACAAGUUGCACGGGCCCACUUUCUUCGGCCUCGGUUGGUAAAAAAAACCCCCGAAUUAAGUUUGCCGAGUGCCCUGGAUCUAGGCACUCGGCAAACACUAGUGCUUUGCCGAGUGCCCGCGAUCUGGCACUCGGCAAAGGCUUGUAUUUUGCCGAGUGUUUUCUAUAUGCACUCGGUAAACAAGUUGCACGGGCCCACUUCCUUCGGCCUCGGUUGAUAAAAAAACCGGAAUUAACUUUGCCGAGUGCCCUGGAUCUAGGCACUCGGCAAACACUAGUUCUUUGCCGAGUGCCCGCUAAGAAGCUUGUUAAGGACAUGCACUACGAGGCGCGCGUUGAGGCCAUCAUCGACUUUUAUGCUGAAUACAAAAGGAUGAGGAUCAAAAAAGAAGAGGCCAGGACAAUGAACCUGACCAAGGAAGAAUUCAUGGCGGUACGUACAUAAAGACUAUAUUUACUAUUUGAGAGAUUAAUUACGCUUAAUUCCGUUAUUUAUAUGUCAUACACUUCAUAUAGGUGCCUCCGUGGUGGUGCCGAUCCUUUACCCGGUGCUGGGAAAAAAUGGUGGACGUGUGGUUGCAGCCUGGGUGGUUGGAGAACCACAAUGCCUGCCGGGAGCGGCGUCUGCAGAUGCCAUAUGCAUCACACCAUCAAGGCAGUCUGAGCCUUGAUGAGUACAAGGAAAAAUGGGUACGUGAAUUAAUUUCUGUUUUCUCAGACAUAAUACUGCAUAUUUUGUAAUCAUUUUACAUUUUUUCCGCAGACUUCAUCACAUGAUGGUCAGGGGUGCUCCCGGUUCAAGGCAUGGGUUAUGUCCAAAAAGGGCAAGGCCACGGCAGACAUCGACUUCAACCCGGAGGACCCGCCCGAGGCGUACAGCCAUCCCAGCAUCCACAGCCGCGUCACCGAGUACACAGCCAUGGCGAGGGAGGUUCACGGGCCAGAGUUCGAUCCGAGCUCUCAGGAUAUCGAUCCUGAAAUAGUGAUGAGGGUAGGAGGAGGGAAGAAGCAUGGCAGGUAUUGGAUUGGAGAUAGCGUGAUCGACACUGCCAGUACUCCCACUCUCUCCCAGAUCCGAGCAAGGAGCACGGACUCGAGCCCCGCGAUACGGCCACGGCCUACCGCUGCACAGCUACAGAUGCAGGCUCUGCAGGUUAGUUGUGUUUCUUUAAUUUUUCAUUCAUUUUGUACUUACCUUUUGCUUGACAAUAAGUGGUUGGGAUGAAAUAUUGUAGGCCCAGGUGGAGGUAGAACGGAAGCGCCGAGAGGAACUAGAGGCGAGGAUCGAGGCGGAUCGGCAGCUUGAAAGGCAGAGGACGGAGCAGAUGUUCCAAUACAUGCAGAGUGUGUUCCACAGUUUAGGUCAAACUCCACCACCUAUGCCACCGAACCUCUUCCCGCCACCUCCACCACCUCCUGCAGCUACUCCUGUGAGUCAAUCUCAACCUUACAAUCAAUCUAGACUUACUUCCACUAGAAUUACUUGUUUAGACUAUGAAAUCUCUUUACCUACAUUUGUGCAGAAUCAAUCGGCGGCGUCCAAUGCAGAAUCUUCCUGGGGGCACUGGACACCUGCACGUCCUCCUCAUCCUCCUCAGUGACUUGUCAUUUCUGUGUUUGUGAUGUAAAACUUGUGAAUUACUUAUUUAGACGAGAACUUAUGAAUGCUAUUUGUGUGCUUGUGAAUCCUGUGGUGCAAUUUAUAUGCUUGUGCUGCCAUUAAUAUGCCUGUGUAUCUGUGGUUGUUUUUUGAGAGGGGUCCUUUAUACCUAACAUUUCUAUUUUGUAGCAGGAAUUAGGACACUUUGCCGAGUGUUAGCACUCGGCAAAGAGGACAUUUCUGUAGUAGUAGACGGGUUUGCCGAGUGUAUUCUUCAAACACUCGGCAAAGGGGUCAAAAAAUUUGGCGAAAUUGCUUGUUUGCCGAGUGCCAUUGGGUAGGCACUCGGCAAAGGGGGCAUAAAAAAUGGCGGGCCGGGCAUCUUUGCCGAGUGUUUUCUUAAAUACACUCGGCAAAGAUGGAAACUUCGCCGAGUGUAUCUAGGGAAACACUCGGCAAAGGGGGCAUAAAAAAAAUGGCGGGCCGGGCAUCUUUGCCGAGUGUUUUCUUAAAUACACUCGGCAAAGAUGGAAACUUCGCCGAGUGUAUCUAGGGAAACACUCGGCAAAGGGGGCAUAAAAAAAUGGCGGGCCGGGCAUCUUUGCCGAGUGUUUUCCUAAAUACACUCGGCAAAGAUGGAAACUUCGCCGAGUGUCGGCCGUCAGACACUCGGCAAAGCUCCCGUCGCCGUGACAGCCCGUCAACGCCUUUGUACCGAGUGUCAUAUUUUGCCGAGUGUAUUGCGGCACUCGGCAAAGGCUUUGCCGAGUGCCCGAUGGUUGACACUCGGCAAACAACCUGUUUGCCGAGAAAAACUUUGCUGAGUAAUGUUCGCCGAGUGUUACACUCGGCAAACACUUUGCCGAGUGUAUUUGGCCCUUCGCCGAGUGCCUGAGGCACUCGGCAAACUUACUGUAUCCGGUAGUGCCUGAUUGUGUUCCUAAGUACUCCGUGUGUGUUAUUCUACUAUUUUGAACAAAUCAUACUGUGUUAGAAAAUUGGAACGCUAGUUCCAAAACCCGUGCAUGCGUCCGCACAUAUUUGCAUUAUUUUUUGAGAAUCCAUAUAGAUAAUAAUUGAACUUCGUAAAAUGCCUAUAAUUUUGCAUUAAGUGACCGAUGUGGCAUUAUUGACCAAUUCAAUUCAAAUUUCCUAAUUUUCUUUCUGCUAGCAGUGGCACUGAACCUGCAGCCGAGCAAAAUGAUUUCAUCAAAGGCAUAUCAAAUUUCCUCUCUGACAAGAGGUACGUCGUCUCCAUUCCCACUCUACUUCCUGAUUCCGUUCCUAAAUACCACGUAUGUAUUUGUUAGUGUACUAUUCUGGGGUGUUUGGGAGGAGGGGGUUAAAUUUUAGCCCCCAUCACAUCGAAUAUUUGGUUACUAAUUAGGAGUAUUAAACCUAGACUAAUUACAAAACUAAUUACAUAACCCCUAGGCUAAAUCGCGAGACGAAUCUAUUAAGCCUAAUUAGUCCAUAAUUUGAUAAUGUGGUGCUACAGUAACCAUUCACUAAUGAUGGAUUAAUUAGGCUCAAUAGAUUCGUCUCGUGAUUUAGCCUAGGGGUUCUGCUAUUAGUUUUGUAAUUAGCUCAUAUUUAGUCCUUCUAAUUAGCAUCCGAACAUCCGAUGUGACAGGGCUAAAGUUUAGCCCCUGUCUCUCAAACAACCCCAAAAUCAUAUUAUGUUUGCAACGCUAGUUCCACAACCAGUGCGUCCGCUCAUAUUUGCGUUAUUUUGGAAAAUCCAGAGACAAUUGAUGAACUUUGUGAAAUGCAUAUAAUUUAACAAUAAUUCAGAGGUGACCAAUGUGGCAUUAUUGACCAAGUAUCCGAUCAAACUUCUUUGUUUGUAUCAGUUGUAACAUGUUAUUUUUACUUCCUCCUAUAUGAUUAUGUGAAGGUUUUAUGGAGUACUCAAUUAAUAUUUGCUAGACCAUUGACCGUUUUGCUAGGUACUCCAUAAAACAUGUGAAGGUAAGAGUUUGAAUGAAUCCUAGCCAUCAAUUUGUAUAAAAGAUGCAAUUAGAUAAUUAAAAUAAUAUGAAAAAAGGCUGGCAAACUCGCGGGCAAUCUCGCUCUCGGAGGUGUAACUGUCAUUUAUCUAAGGCUAUAUUUAGUUACCCUCAAAUUCCCAACUUUGGCACUAUACAAAAAGAAGAUUUCCCAUCACAUCAAACUUGCGGUAUAUGCAUGAAAUACUAAAUGUAGACGAAAUCAAAAACUAAUUGCACAGUUUUGUUGUACUUUGCGAGACGAAUCUUUUGAGCCUAAUUAGUCAAUAUUUGGACAAUAAUUCAUAAAUACAAACGAAAUGCUACAGUUGCGCAUUUAUGGCAAAAUGUCAAUUUUGCUACUCCCAAAUUAGGAACUAAACAAGGCCUAAAAGAAUUGGACCCGUCACGUGUAUGUAAUGAUUAAAAUAUGCAUAUAAUGCAACGUAUUUCCAAAUAUAAAUUAGAUCUAUCAUGUGUCAUUAUGAUCCCAUGUCACACCCGGUUUUAAAACAAAAUCAAGUGCUACCUAUAUGUAUGCUAGGAUCUAAUUUCAUACAUAUAGUGACAUCAUUGGUGAAAACAGUAACAGUAUCUCGUAAAGGAAUAUAAAUAAUAACUUACGAGUCCAUCAGAGAUAUACAGCAUAAUCCUGGAAACGGUGGCUCCAAACAGUCAUCUUCAGAAAACUUCUGACAACUUCCUCUUCUGAGCAGCAGUAAGCAAGGAUGAGUACACUUAUGGUUGAUACUCAGCAAGAUCACAAGAAAUAACCAAAAUAUCGAUUUAAGUCCAUCUUCAAGUUUAUUAAUCAUGUGAGGGUCUAGGCUGCUCUUGACCGUGAGUAUGGCUGAUAUAUCAGUUUUACACUCUGCAGAGUUGUAUACUUUCACCUCAAGUCACGUAAAAGUUCAGAAGAACUUUAGACCCAACCAUGCUGUGCAAAAGUAGGCACUUAUCACACUAUCGAGGUGUGACUACAUAGGGACGCUACGAGACUUUACAAAGAUUCCCUAAGAAGUGAUAACCCGCUAAGGUUUUGUCAUAAGGGGAUGAACCCUCCCUCAAGUGGUGCGUACACCCCUUGGCUGGACAAGCCAUCGCACAACCUAUGAGCCCCUCCUGCCCUCUCGAUAAGACUAUCACAAACUAGAGUCUCUAAUUAAUUAGCCAAGACCAGAGCCCGUUAGUCUUAUGGUUGUACUAUUUUCCUAGAUGGUCACUCUAUGUUCCAAUUAAGGCAUGGUAUUCUUGUAAAAUAAGCAUAGAUAGAAGGAUGGUUAGGGACACUUGCCUUUCUCCAAUGAAAGGUUACUCUUACUACUCUUCAGCUCUUGCUUUCUUGAAACUCUUAAUCUUCAAAUCUUUCGAACAUCGAUCCUUCUACUCAAAGCAAUCACCGGCACAAACAUAUAAGCAAACAAACAAGUACAACUAAAAACAAUACACUAAAACAAAAGAAAAGCUUUAAAAGACCAUAUCAAAGGAUAGAGCUUGAAUCUAAGGUCACGCGAAUGCAAGAAACGCUGGGAACGGAACUAUGGUUGAAAAGAUAAAACCUAUCGAGAGGUUUGAAUUAUAAAAGAAAACACAAGAGCUACCUGCUUCAUUUAUUUUAGUUGAGAAAAAUAAUGUAAAGAUAUUUCAGAGAAAUACCCUUAGUUGGAAUUAAUCAAGUCAUAUUUACAUAUAAAAAGAUGAUGUACAGCUUAGUCUAAUUUUAUUUAUAAAUAUUUAAGUACAAUUUAAGAAAAUUAAACAUUUUAUUUUAAAAGCAGCAUGUAAAAGCAUCUAAGCAUAUAACUUUGUAUCUUGAGUUCAACUAAGCAAAUUAUAUUAAAAACACAUUUAUAUUUACUUUAGUCAAAUUAAAAUUUAAUAAGAAAACCUCAAGAUAUAACUUAUAUAGCUUUUAUCUAUAAAACAAAUUGAAUACACAUUAAUCAAAUUAAGUUUAAUUUAUGAAAAGCUGAGGUACAUCUCUAAUUAGCUUUAAUUGGAAAAACAUUUAAGAGUAAGCAUUAAUCAAAUUAACAUUUAUUAUGAAAAAUGGUGUAUAACACUAAAUAGCUUUUAAUUAAAGACAGCAUGUUUAAUAGGUAUUAACCAAAUUAAUAUUUAAAUUUAUUUUAAAAACUACAAUGAUGAAAAAGAUCACCACUAACGUGUAAUUUAUAUUCCUUCAAAACUAAUAGAAACAGAGCUAAAACCUGUAAGAUAUGACUUAACGAAGCUCUAGGGACUUGCUGGCGAGGUUUAGAAACUUCCUGGCACUUAACUGCAAGAAACUGAGGACCUAAACCUAAUUUCGUUCAUAAACUCGAGGGCUAACGUUUAGAUGGAUUGGAUCGUGAGAAUCUAAACUUUCUGGGGACUUUUUCAAAAAGCCUACCAAACACAAAAUUUAGAUCAGCAUUUCCUUUUUCUUCAAGGGCUAAACUACAAAACGCAUCUUCUUCUUCCUCCAGAUUCCUCCCGGCCGAUACACUCCAAUUGGCCGGCGGCCAGCUCACCGGUGGUGGCGCGCAGGCGGUGGCGGUGCGGGGUGGUUGCGGCAGUGGCAGAGGUGGCGCGCAGGAGCGCGGGUGGCGGGCGGUGGGGCGCACGAUGCGGCUCGGCCAGAAGCGCAGGCGGCGGUGGCAGCAGCGGUGCGGAACACAUGCGGCUUAGGAGGUAGUGGAUGGCGGUGCAACUCUGCUCCGACGGCUCGGGGCAGGAGGCGGUGAGCCGGGUGUGGGCACCCCGGAGGCAGUAACACUAGGCCGAAGCCUUGGCCAGCGGUGAAAAAGAGAGAGAAAGAAGGGAUCGCUAGGGAUGGAGUUCAAACUCACGCUUGAAUGGAAAAAUAGAACGAGAUCGACGAUACGAACGCGAUGGUGUGCUCAUCUUCGACCGAAGACUUAUGGCUUUGCUAGAUUUGCUCGCCGGAGUUCUCAGCGGAAAGUUUGCCGGGGUUUAACAAAUCCGUAUGUUCGGCGUUGAACCGCGGGACCUAGGGUUGUCUAAACGAGGUGGGGUUUACGGUAUUGAAACAAGGAUGUCAAGGAGAUCACCUAAAAGUAUUUAUAGGCCAGUUUGGAGCCUGGAUUUAUUUUGCCCCCUUUUUCUAAUUUCAGGAAUUAAUUUCGGAUUCGAAAACAAUUCUAGAAAAUUCUGAAAUCAUAAUGAAAUCACGAAAAAUACUCCAAAAACUCUGAAAAAAUCAGGAAUGUUCCUGGAGAUGAUUUGGGACACGAGGAACCAAUAUAAAAUAUUUGGAUCUCGUGAAAAGGAUUCUAAACCUUCCAAAAAUUGGAUUUAGCUCUAGGAAAAUGAGAAUAAAUUCUAGGAAAUUUUGGAAAAUUCUAGGACGAACGUUAUCAUUAUCUAGAUGAUUUUUUAAAAUAUUUGCACUCAUGAAACACCAAAAUAAAUCAGCAUGAAUGCAACACAUAAAGAACAACUUUAUUUAAUUUAGAAAAACAACUAAUUGUUUUUCAUGUACUAUAUUUCCUUUCAAGAAAAUAAAUGUUGGAAAAAAUUUAAAAUUAUGAGAAAAUCAUUGUUCAAUUUUUGUUUUUAAGCACAUCCUGAAAUCCAAAAAAUUCAGGGUGUGACACCCAGUUGCUUAUUUGCAGCUUCUACUUAUUUUUAAGCUGUGUAGCCACCUAAACGUGCAACUUCUCAUCGAAUUAAUAAAAAAGCUCUUCUUCCAUUAUAACGUCAAACUUGAAAAACUCAGAAGCUGACCACAUCCGGCUUGUUGGCUUUUUCCCCACCAAACUUUUUCUUCCCUACCCGAGCUGCUCCUGUGCGUGCAUCGCUGACGAGCAUGCCAUCCUCCGCCCCGAGAUAGUGUCGCUCGCAGCUUCCGAGCUUAGCGCCGUCUAGCGUGCUGCCUUCUGCCCCGAGCUAACGCUGCCCACCACUCCCGAGCUCAGCGGUAUCUUCCUCCUCAAGAUCUGCUGACGAGCGUGCCGUAGUCUUCCUCCUAGAGCUCCACUGACGAGAUGCUGCCCCCGACCUCCGCCGAUGAGCAUGUCGCAGUCUUCCUCCCGGAGCUCCACCGACGAGCUACUACCCGCGAGCUCCGCAGGCGAGCGCCGCUCGCCGCCCCUUAGCUCGACGCCAUUCUCGGCGCCGACCUCGCACCGCCCAUGGAGGUCACAAGAUGAUCCAUCGAAAACAAAACCCAUGGUGCCAACUCUAUCAUGUCAACAGAUUCAUCACGAUGUUGAACGAUGAAAUCGGCUACAGCCUGCGCCUUUACUGCCUUAACGGACUUAUACCGUAAGUCAAAUUCAGUUAACAUCAAAAUUCAUUUUCCCAUCCUUCCUUUCAUGAUAGGAGCCGACAACAUAUAUUUUACUACAUCAGCUUUGCAUACCACCAUGCACUCAGAUUUCAGAUAAUGACAUAAUUUCAUGCAUGAAAAAUACAAGCACAAACAUAAUUUCACAAUGGGAGGAUACCUGGUUUCUACAUCCAAAAGCCUUCUUCUCAAAUAAAAGAAAAUCCGCUCCUUCCCGUCAACUUCUUGGACAAGCACCGAUCCGAUCGCAUGAUAAUUGGCUGAUAAGUACAACUUGAACAGGCGAUCUGGCUACGGCGCAAUCAGAACCGGUGGUGAUUUAAAUAUUUCUUAAUUCCAUCCAGUACCCCUUGUUACUUUUCUCCCCACACAAAUUCUUGAUCAGGCUUUAACUUCAGCAGGGGCAUAAAUGGCUCGAUGCGUGUUGAUAUAUUGGAUAUAAAUCUCCUGAUGAAGUUAAUUUUCCCAAAAACAGACUGCAACUCGGUCUUGUGUGUUGGAGGAACAUUAGUAUUAAUAGCUUUGAUACUCCUUUGACCAACUUCAAUUCUUCUGUCAUGCAUAAAACCCAAAAAUUUACGAGCCGAUAUACCAAAAGCACACUUAUUUAGAUUCAUCUUUAAAACAUGCUGCAUUAUGCAGUCUAGUGUUUUGUGUAGAUUGGCCAGAUGUUGUUCUGUGGUCUUAGAUUUGACUACCACAUCAUCGAUGUAGAUCUCCACCACUCUGCCAAUGAGCUUAUGGAAAAUGUAAUUCAUUGCUGGUUAAUAAGUUGCAUCGGCAUUCUUUAAGCCAAAAGUCAUGGCCACCCAUUCAUACAACCCAAGAGCCCCUGGGCAUCGAAACGCAGUCUUUGAGAUAUCUUCUUCUACCAUCAAUAUCUUAUUGUACCCUGCGUUCCUAUCCAUGAAACUCAAGAUCUUAUGACCUGAUGCUUCAUCAACCAUUGUAUCUGCAACUGGCAUUGGGUACUCAUCCUUUGGUGUAACUUUAUUCAGAUUCCGAAAAUCCAUGCAAGCUCUACGUUUUCCGUUUUUCUUGAUGACAGGCACAAUAUUAGACACCCACUCUGCAUAUCGGCACGGCCUAAUAAACUUGGCCUCAUACAAUCUUGUAAUUUCAGCUUUGAUCGUUUCAAGUAAUUCUGGCUUAAAUCUCCUUGCAGGUUGCUUGAAAGGUCGAUAGCCUAGUUUGAUUGGUAACCGAUGCUCCAUGAUCAUUCGGUUUAAUCUUGCCAUCUCAUAGCACUCCCAAGCAAAGCAAUCUUUGUGCUCUUUCAACAGCUCUAUUAAUUUUUUCUUAUACUCAGGACUUAAUUUAGAAUUUAUAAACAUCGGCCUUGGCCUGUCACUUGGGCCUAUAUCAACUUCUUCUAGUAGGUGAGCUGACAUAAAUCCUUGUCCUAACUUCCCAUCUAUAUCAUCAAUUGUAGCAUCCAUUAGGACUCCCUCCAAUGAGCCGACUAUUGAAAUCUACCAAGUAAUCAGGCGAUUUAUCCCACCGGGCGUGCCAAGAGCAUGUUGACGCAAAAUCUGGACUUCAAACUCUACGUUGAACAACACGUGAGGACCUAGGAUAUUUGCUUAACUCCAGUGCAAGCUCCAAAUCAAUUCCUGAAGAUACGUGGCGUGCUAGUCAAUUUGACUUGCAAUUGACAAGGAAACGUAAAAUUCUUGAGCCGAUAGGCGGCUAAGCUUUCGAACUCAUGGGUAGUCAUUCUUUGAAUAAACACUGAUAAGAUAUGUUAAAUGUAAUCAUGCGGUAUAAGUAAAAUAGAUAACAUUAAUGGUAUGUGCCAUCGGCUAUAUGAGCCGACGGGCUAAGAUAGACCUAAGUAAAACAGCUGCCAUUAAGAAAUAACCUGUCUAUUACAUUGUAGUUAAUUAGACCGUUGGAGCUAAUCAAUGUCACGAGCCGAUGGAUCGGACUAAACCAAGACAGCAUGGCAACGCAGGGCAUUAACUCGCUCUUUCUGGUUUAAAAGACUAGAAAGUAAUAACAAGGCCUUGUGCACGUGGCCAUCGGCUCGAUGGCAUCAGACUGCUACUGGGAUGGAUGGAUCGGACCCAACCAAGACAACAUCGGCUCCACAGCAGCAGUCUUAUACUAUAGAUCUAUUGGUCGGUAAUGGAAGGGGCGAGGGUAAAGAUCUAUUGGAUCUAGUAAAAAUAAAGCAAUAAAGGCAUGCAAAGAAAACUAGCCGAUACAAUAAGAUAAAUGGUGAGUGCUUAGAAACAACUAGGAAGUUGAUGCGGAACAAACCUAAUUAGAUAUAAGCAACAUGAUAACUGGGAGCAUUUGAUGUAAUUAAGAGAUCGAUGCGAUGCAACUUAAUUAAAAUAAACAACUCGAUAAUUAUGAGCACUUCGAAGAUAAACAGGAGGUCAAAAUGAUGCAGCCCUUUUCAAUUCUUGGUAACUCGAUAACUAGUCUUACGUUAAGAGAUCAUAAUAUCAGACUUAACCGAGAAAGUUCUAAUACAUGUAACGUAAUGACCGGGUGAAGGUACUAUCAAGCUCGCCUGAGAUUGAAGCUGAUGCAGCCCCCCGCACAAGAACAAACUUGCCGAUUCAACUCUACUCCUAGUUCUAAGAUUUGGCGGGGGGCGCCGAAAAGGAAGAACUGUUGUGUGGUGUUUUCCAUCUACUUCUCUACAUGGUAUCACGAGAUUAGAUUGUGGGCCUCCUCUCCUCUCCCUGCCCCUCCCCCCAAUUCAUGCAAACCUAGGCGGUGCCCCCUGCUACGCCACCGCCACCCACCCUCCGCUGCACCUCCCCGUCCAGCAUCCCCAUGUCCUCCGCCAACUCCUUUAUGUCCGGCAACACCACUCCUCUUGCUACUGAUCUUGUGCCACCUCCUAGACCGCCCCUGCUACCGAUGACGGUGCAUCUGUGCCGCCACCUGGCACCGGUGGCUCCUCUGGCAGUGUGUCUCAAGCUUCUCCUGCCGGCGACGCGCCCGACAACGACGGCAGUGGCUUCAUCAUGUACCCGGCACCGCCGCCAGCCAUCCACCCCUACGCCACUAUCUCCAUCAAGUCUCACGUCCCUGUGAAGUUGGCAAUGAAGUCCAACACCUACUCCAGAUGGGCAUCCUUGUUCACGUCCAUGUGCGGUAAGUUCGACCUCUGGUUCACAUCGACGGCAUGAUGGCUCCUUGUCCCCAGGACCCUGACUGGGAUCAAGCGGAUUGCUAUGUCCGCUCCUAGUUCUUCGGCUCCGUCUAUGACUCCAUCCUCGACCUUGCCAUGACCAACGAUGACCAGACUAGAUGGGAACUCUGGCUCACCAUCGAGGGACUCUUUCGCGCCAACAAGCAAUCCAUGACGCAGGGUGACUGCUCCGUCAUCGAGUACUGCAACCGUAUGAAGACUCUCGCUAACGCCCUUCGCGACGUUAGCCAUCCUGUUCAGGACUCCCAGCUUGUCCUGAACCUCCUCCAUCGCCUCAACCCAUGCUUCUCCAACACUACCGAAGACAUCGCCAACUCCACCGCCGGCUUCCCGCCCUUCGCCCAAGCGUGGGACAUGCUCACCCUGAAGGAACUUCACCUCGCCAAUGAGGCGAAUGUCUCCAACUCCACCUCCCUCCUCGCUGUGAACUCUUCGUCGUUGUUGUCCUCCUCCGGCUGUACGGGCGGGUGUCACCCACCAUCUAGCUCUUCUCAGACCGGCAGUGGUGGCAGCACCAGUGGUGGUGCCCGCUGUAGCAGCAGUGGCGGCCGCACCGGUGGCGGCAACGACAAGAAGAAGUGGCUGCAAAAGAAGGGUGGCAGCGGCUUCCAGGCGCCCUCCGGCGGUGGGCCCCCAUGGCCCACUGGCCCGUGGUUUUGCUUCAAACCAAGGGAUAGCUCCUAUGACGCUCCAGGCUUUCAGCAGGCCAGCGAUCGGGGUAGCGGGGGAUGGCGCACCGGCACCCCUGGCCUCUUCGGCCCUUCUCCGCAGGCCCACGCUGCCUACGCCCCCAUUCAGGCACCUACUCUGGCGCCAACCUGGGCCUAGGCAGGUCUUGUUGCCACCUUGAACCAGAUGGCGCUACAUAAUGGUGGCUGGGUCAUUGACUUAGGUGCAUCCGGUCACAUGUCGUCUUCGGAUGGUAUUCUUCUUUCCCGCCUCCCUCCUUCUCACUCCUCCAUUACUAUCGGUAACAGUCACACCCUUCACGUCACGUGCCGUGGAAGCUCCACCCGCACCACCCCCACCUCCCAAUUUCAGCUUAACAAUGUCCUUGUUGUCCCUUCUUUAAUUCACAAUCUAAUUUGUAUUCGUUAGUUUACUAAGGACAAUAACUGCACCAUAGAGUUUGACGCCUUUGGUUUUUCUUUCAAGGAUUUUCCAACCAAACACAUGAUUCUUCACUGCAAUAGUGUCGGCAACCUCUAUACCAUGCCUCCAGUAGCCAGCUUCACAAUGCUCACGCCGAUGUCGCCAUCUCCUCCAGUUUACAGCGUCUUCGUCUUGGUCAUCCUGAUCCUGUCGCCAUCGCUACACUUAGACAGAAUUCCUCCAUUACUUGUAAUAAAGCCAAUCACACUAUAUGUCAUUCAUGUCAGUUUGGGAAAUAUGUGUGGCUACCUUUCUCUCAUUCUAGCUUUCGCAGUUCUGCUCCCUUUGAGUUAGUUCACUAUGAUGUUUGGACUUCUUCGGUCGCUAGCGCUUCUGGUUAUCGCUACUACCUAGUUAUUCUAGACAACUUCUCACAUUUUUGUUGGAUGUUUCCUCUAGUUCACAAGUCUGAAGUCGCCUCAUAGAUCACUGACUUCUGCACCUAUACUCAUACGCAGUUUAGUCUUCCCAUUCGCAGCAUCCACGCUAACAAUGGGAUCGAGUUUGUUAAUAGGACUCUCACAUCUUUCUUAACUUCUCGGGGUAUCCACCUGCGCCUCUCGUGUCCCUACACUUUUCCCCAGAAUGGGAAAGCCGAGCAUGUCCUCCGCACACUUAAUAAUCUCACUCGCACAUUGCUCAUUCAUGCAUCCAUGGCCGCCCCAUACUGGGCAGAGGCGCUCACCACUACCACCUAUCUUCUAAACCGGCACCCCUGUUCUGCCGUUCAGAAUGACAUCCCCUACCGCCUCCUCUACUCCCAGCCACCCGAGUACUCUCACUUGCGUGUCUUCAGUUGGCUUUGCUACCCCAACCUCUCAGCCACGGCACGCCAGAAGCUUGCUCCUCGCUCCGUAGCUUGUGUCUUCCUCGGUUAUCCCUCGUCUCACAAGGGGUAUUGCUGCCUUGAUUUGUCCACUCGUCGAGUCAUCAUCUCUCGCCAUGUUUUGUUUGAUGAAUCCGUCUUUCCCUUCUCCUCCCAUACUACUCACCCAUCGCAGCUUGACUUCCUUUUGUCGAGCCCCUUCGAUGUUCUCGCUUCCACCUCGGUCGCUCCGUCAUCAGACGUUGAGCAGCCGCGGCCCUCACCAGUUGUUUUGCAGGAACUCACUAACGACGACCUUGCCAUCUUGUUACACGGGCCGACCGUGUACCCUGCUCCAUCUGCAGGCAGGUCGCCGCUCUCUACUGUGCCUCCAACUGCUCCGACUGCGACCGCAGCACUUCCGACCGUGACCGCGGCGCGUGCGGGUGGACACCCGACUUCUCUGAUCGCGCCCGCACCGCUACCGACCACGACCAUGGCGUGCGCGGGCACGCUCCCGACGGUUCUGACCGCGACUGCGCCACGCGCGGUUACGGCCGCGAUCACACCGGCGAGCACUUCUACCGCACCGGCGAGUGCCCCGACCGCACCGACGAGCGCUCCGAUCGGUUGGGCAAGCGCCCGAACUGCACCGGCGAGCGCUCCGACCGGUCCGACGAGUGCCCACGGUCCCCUCCCCCCACCCCACCCCGCACCCAUGGCCCUAGCGCCUCCUGCGUCCUCCUCAUCGCCACCUGCUCCUCCACGCCCUAUCACUCGGUCUAUGACUGGGGCAAUCUAGCGGGUCUACUACCAGGGCACGAUAGCCUCAACUUCUUCUCCAUCCUCUCUGAUUCUGGCAAACUAUCAUAGUGCUCUAGCUGACACCAACUAGUGUGCCGCCAUGGUCAUCGAGUUCUAGGCCCUCAUCGACAAUGACACCUAGUGCCUCGUCUUGCGGCCGCCCAGUGCCAAUGUCAUGUCGGGCAAGUGGAUCUUCCGACAUAAGUUCCAUGCUGAUGGGUCCUUUGCCCGGCACAAGGCGCGCUGGGUGGUUCGUGGCUUCUCCCAGCAUCACAGCAUUGACUACGAUGAGACCUUCAGUUCGAUUGUCAAACCGAUGAUGAUAUGGAUCGUCCUCAGCAUCGCCACUUCUAGCACCUAGCCGAUCCACCAGCUGGACGUGAAGAAUGUGUUUCUUCAUGGACACCUCACGGAGACUGUCUACAGCCAGCAGCCUCCCGGCUUCGUCGACCCCACCACCCCCGAUCACGUCUGUCUCGUGCAAAAGUCCUUGUAUGGAUUGAAGCAAGCCCCGAGGACAUGGUACCAGCGGUUAGCCUCCUUCCUUUGACAGCUCAGCUUUGUCGCCUCGACCUCCAACACCUAACUCUUUGUAUACAAAGAGAUACAAAGAGGGGCCGAGCAUCGCCUACCUGCUACUCUACAUCGACGACAUCGUCCUCACAACCUCAUCCUCACCUCUUCUUCAGCACAUCAUGGGGUAUCUUCACGUCUUGUUUGCCAUGACAAAUCUUGGCGACCUACACCACUUCCUCGGCAUCUCCGUCACGCGUUCAACCUAGGGCCUGAUCUUGUCUUAGCGACAGUACACCCUGGAUCUUCUUCAGUGUGCUGGCAUGGCUGAGUGUCACUCUACAGCAACUCCCAUUGACACUCAUGCCAAGCUUUCGGCACAUGACGGUGCCAAGCUCUAGGACAACUCUGAGUAUCGGAGUCUUGCACGUGCUCUUUAGUACCUCACUCUGACUCGACCUGACCUGGCGUAUCCGAUCAGCAGGUGUGCCUCUUCAUGCAUGACCCGCGUGAGUCCCACAUGGCCCCGAUCAAGCACAUCCAAUGCUAUGUGAAGGGCACACUCUCCUCCAAGCUUCACAUUGUCACCGGAUCUGUUCAGUCUCUAAUUGUCUACUCCGACACCGACUGGGCUAGCUGCCUGGACUCUAGAUGCUCCACCUCCAGCUUCUACGUCUACCACGGUGACAAUCUGGUGUCUUGGUCCUCCAAGCGCCAGACCACGGUAUCUCAUUCCACUGCUGAGGUGGAAUACCGGGUUGUGGCUGAUGUUGUGGUAGAGUGUUGCUGGCUGCAUCAACUUCUUCAGGAGCUUCAUGUCCCACUUGCUUCGGCUACUAUUGUCCACUGUGACAACGUGAGUGCUGUCUACAUGACAGCCAACCCGGUGCAUCAUCGGUGCACGAAGCACAUUGAGAUUGAUAUUCACUUCGUUCGUGAGAAGGUGGCCUUGGGUGAGGUCUAAGUCCUCCAUGUGCUGUCCUCUCACCAGUUCAUGGAUAUCAUGAUGAAGGGCCUACCAACUCCUUUGUUUACUAAGUUUAGGUCCAGUCUGCGCGUUCGAUAUCCUCCCGCUUCGACUGCGGGAAGGUAUUAGGAAGUAUAAGUGUAUAUUAGGAUGUAUUUAUCCUUUCCUUGUACACUUGAUGUAUUCCUUGUACUCCAAGCUAUAUUGGUCAUAUAUAUAGAGGUCACCCUCCCUUAUUAGGGUGUGUGGUGUUUCCCAUCUAUUUCUCUACAACAACGCCUUGGGCUUAUAUUUAUACCUUGGCACGUACCAAAUCCUAGUCGAUUACGACAAUGACUAUUACAAUUAAUGCAAAAACUAAAACUAAAGCUUUCUAAGAUACAUCUCCACGCUCUUUCGCUUAUCUAGUGGAGUCGGUUCUGCUUCGAUCUUCUUUGCCUGUAUCGGCUUCAAAACUCUGUCCUGUCUAGUUAACUCUAGUAAAAAAACGGGUGUCAACACGCGUCCAGCGUGCCCAUCGCCCUGCCAAAACCCCUUCCCCGACCCUAUCUCCUCCUACCAUCCGUGACACAUGUCGCCACCGCCGUCACGCACGCACCCCGGCCGGAUAAGCUCGGCCGAGGCUCACCACAACAUCCCUGGGCUAUAAAUAGCCCUAGCGCUCCUCACUGCUCCCUCGCCCCUCCCCCUCCACCUUAAUCCCGUCUCGCCAAACAUAGAAACUAUGUCGCGCCACCCCCACCUGCCACCACGCUCUACUCCCUAGAGCCGAGCUGGGUCAAAGUUGGGGAUGGCCGCGCGGCACUAACCACCCCUCCCCAAGCAUCGCAACAGCCCCGCCAACUGCUCCCUGCGAGCUCCUCUACCGCCGCUCAACCCACCGUUGCUGCUCAUCGUCAUUCCCUCUCUGGUCGUUGUGCUACUCGCAUACGUACCUGAGGUACUCCCCCAUCCUCCCUAGGCUGUUGCCCAGCCUCUACUACCCCUAUUCUCCUCUCCCCUCUCUACCGUUCUGCCACAUGAACUCCGAUGAGCUCUAGACUCACCAUCGGCCACUCCUUGAUCUACACACCACCCUCCAUAGCCUCGCCAUGACCCCCUCUAGCACCCCGGCUGCCUUUUGACCUGGCCCAAAGUCUACCCCGCUCGGAGCAGCUCGCCCCGGCGAGCGGCUCUACCCUAUGCGGUGGUCCGGCAUCACAGCUCGACUGGUGCCACCCCUUCUCCCUCCUUCCUUGCUCCCAGUCCACAAGGACCGUAGGCACGCCCCCCAGUCCACCACAUGGACCACUAGUACACAGCACAGCCCGACCAUGCUAGCCCCACGCGGACCCCCUUUGCCACAUCGCACUCUGGCCCACCUGUUAGCCCUUGCUAUCUUUCCCUCUCAUCUUUACUACGGCCACCCGGGUUCUUGUACCCCAAACUUCACUUCACCAUGAUAAAAAUUACCAAAAAAUUUACCAACAAUAUUAGAGAUGAUUCUAAACCCAUCCAUACCCUGUUUACCCAAAUCCCACACCAAAAACUCCCAAGAGCAAACUCUCAUCCUUUCCAAAAAUAGAAAAGCCUAUAUUUCAUGUGACCAAAAAUAGGAAACCAUUCCAAUAAACUCUAGAAAAUCCUAGAAAAUUCUAGAAAAUCACUCAAGCCUUCUAAACCCUAAUUCUACUCUUUUAACUCAUGUUUGAUGUAUUUCCAUGUUUGUUUGAUUGAUUUCUUAUAACUACGAUUAUGUAGAAUUCGACGAUACCGAGAACGAGUUUGACAACCCGGACUACGAAGAGGAAGUUAUCAACGAACAAGACUUUGAAGAAGGCAAGUCCCACGCAUUACCAUCUCUUGAAUCCCAAGUUUUAUAAAUAAAAUGAGCCAGGAUAAUAACAUGGACUUUCCAUUCAAAACCUUGCAUAAUAUUUUCUCUGCGCUGCUUAGUUAUUCCUAAAUAAUUCAAGCCCUCCUUGAUACCAUAAACCUAGGAUGCAAUAGAAACGCUUAGGAACUACUUAUGCAGCCAUUCACAAGUUUACAAAAUACCAAAAGCAUGAGUUCUUUGAAAAUUAGAUAAAAAUAACUAACAAGUCUAGCAACCAUAUAAGGCUAGACACGAGAGUAAGAGGUAGCCUCGAUGGAGGAUCCUAUCCAAAAAGCUUACUCUGGUCAUAUAAGGACCGGUUCAUGGGCAAGUCUAUCCGGUGAAUUGUACAACCACACACGCUAAAAAGGUACAACCCUCAGGAGUACCUAUCUAUGUGAGGCCUUGAUUCGCACCCCACCAGCUGAACUUAGUGAACCACCCAAGGGGCCACGGUGGGCAAUGGUUAGACUGGAACAUGAUCUUUGCUUUGUCCUAGGUCUGGUCGACAUGGGUCAUAGGUUGAGGUCUAGAGUGGUCUGGUGGUAUUGUAUACCACAUGAUGUAUCUGGAUACCCAAGGCUCACAAAUAUGAUCCCACUUGGUCAAAGCUCCCAUUCAUUAGUCAUAACAUUGUUUUUAUGAAAAUCUUGUGUCUCGAGCCUUGGCCUGAGGAUUUGUUUCUAAAUAAGGCAAAGCUGGCUCAGGAAGUCCCUGAUGGAUCCUGAUGCUAAAUAAAAUACGGGGACUGGAAGGGAUGUAGUUUCCCCCUUCCAGGACCAACAAACUGUUGUUAAAUGUCCUGAAUUCCUUUUAAAAGCUAUGACCUUUCACCCCGCAUAAAAAUGGCUUUUCGGCAAAUAUCCAACCAGAGCCCUCCAUGAAAAAACAGCAUGAAAUAACUCUAUGACAGUGGGAUUUGCUGAGUACUCUACUUUCUUUACUGCUUUCUUUCUAUAGAGGAAGAAAUAGUUGUUGAAGACGAUGAGGAUCUUGGAGAUCAACCUUAGGAGCCAAGUUGCCUGUGGACUUGGGAAUACUACAUAGAACUCUAUUGUAUAGCUACUCUGAGGCUACUCUUAGUGGUAUGCACUUUAUUUCUCUUUUGUAACCUUAUGUAAAAUGUCAAUAAAAGCUAUACAAAGUAUGGAUGUGUUACUUCCUGUGAUAAAUUCUUGUAUCAUCUACUGAACCAGGAAAUGAUACAAAUGACAUUCGGGAUCUCUUUUAGGGGUGCCCCCCACACUAUCUGUCGUGACUUGACAAAUCUAGAUUUUGACUUCCCAAUUCAUUCUUGCCUACUAAUAUUGCAAGAAAAAACAUAGGCGGUACAUGUUAGUUUGAAAACCUAGCUUUUGGUGUAAUCUAAUUCCAACCCAUCUCUUCGUUUGUUACUAAAAUGUGGAUUCUAGAUGAUACAUUUCAUUUUUUUGUUACUGUAAGGAAAAUUUCCAAAUUACUUCCGUCAAGUAUGCCCACAGUCGUGAUAACCCCUAAACUAUUUUUUUCAUUUUACACCUACAACUACGUUAAUUGGUCCAAUUUACCCCUUAGCAAGACAAAUCUUAUAAGGAUAAAUUGGACCAAUUGACACAGUUCUAGUUGUAAAAUAAACUAAAAAAAGUUUAUGAGGGUUAUCUAGACUUUGGCCAUACAUGAAUGGAGUAAUUUGAACUUUUUUGUUAUUGCAAUGGCAUGAAAAGUUGUUUCAGCACACAACUUAGUACCAAGAUGUCAUUUAUGAAGGAACUAUGUUUGGUCGUAUAGUAUUUUUAAAAAGUGGUUACCAAUAAUUAUUUGUGUAGAUACAUUAUAAUGUUUUGUGUCAAAAUGUAAUGAAUUUAAUUAUUUUUGUAGAUACAUUAUAAUAUUUUUUUGUCAAAAUGGAGAUACAUUAUUUGUGUAGAUACAUUAUAAUGUUUCGUUAUUGCAAUGGCAUGAAAAGUUGUUAUUCUCUUUCAUAUAGCUAGUCCAUCAACCCGUGCUCCUGCACGGGCUAAUGUUUUUAUAAGCUAUUGGAGUUAAAAAUUGUUUAGAAAUUAAACUCUUAGCUAAUAAUCAAAAUUGUUUACCUACUACUCUCUUAUUUUUCCAAUACUUCAACAUAAUACUUAUAUAGCUAUGUAUUCGUCCAGUUGUGAUUGAUUUUUAAUUAAUAAUUAUUCUAUGCACUUUUUCAUUCAUAUUCAUACUUUUUAUCACACCUCCAAUCCUCUAUACAUUAUGUUUAGCACACAAAUCAAUAUUUUUCAUCGAUUCCGCACGUACAUGUAUACAUGGUCUAAUGGUGGCACUCAUCAUGUGUAUAUACUUUAAGGUAGUAUUUUUAUAUUAACAAUGACAUAAAUAGGUAAUUUAGAAUCAUAUAUUAGUUUACUUUUUGACAUUUCUAUAUGAUGCACAUGAAGAUAAUUAGAUUAAGAUUUAGGUAUUUACUUUAGGUUAUUUUUAAUAACGACAUACGUGGGUAACAUAGAUAAAAUUUUAGAAUGACAUUUUAAGUUAUGAUUUAUAAUGAUGUGUAUUAGUAAAUUGGAUGAAGAUUACGGGGUUACUUUAGAUUAUGUUUUAUAAUAGCUAAGCUCGGUAAUUUAGAUAUAGGUUUAGAGCUCAUUUUUGAAUAUUUCCACAAUGACAGUGGUGGAUAACUUUUUAGAAAAUAUAAUAAAUUAAUGGUUAUGAUUAUUAGAAUUUACAGGAUUGGUGUUUGAUGAUUUUAUUUUUUAUGAGAAUCUCUCUUUUUUCUAGCGUGUCUCAUGGGAACUAAUGCGGAGUCUCCAAUGAAAAAAAAUGAGACUACAUUGCUACAAAACUAUUACCAUAAGCUACCUCUUGUUUGUUAAAUAUUCGAACACAAUACUUAUGUAGAUAUUAUACUUAAUAUCUUCAUCCAAUUGUGAUAGAUUUCAGUUAGUAAUUACUCUAUAAUAUUUUCAUCCACAUUUAUAAUCUUUAACUUUCCACUUUGGACCAAAUGUAUGGGUUUGAAUUUGUUUAAUGAACCCUAAGUUUGAGUGCUCAUAAAUUUAAUAGAACUAUCCAUAAUGCUAAAUAUAAUUUUAGCAUAGAAAUGUAUAUUCCCAUAACUUUAUAUCCUUAUAAAUGGUGACACACAUCAUGCGUAUAGACCUUAAUUAUUAUAUCGUAUACCAAUAGUGUAAGAUAUAGACGAUUUAGAAUCAUAUAUUGUUGUAUAUUUCUAAUUAAGGUUAUUUGAUUCAAACAUAGGGUUACCUCAUGUUAUUUUUUAAUAAUAACAUGUGUGGGUAAUAUAGAUGCAAAUUUAAGGGGUUACUUUAAGUUUUUUAAAGUAAUAGUGGUAGGCAAUUCAGUUGCAAAUUAGGGAGCUAUUUUAAAUAUUGUUUAUAAUGGCAUAAGUGGGUAAUUUUGAUGAAAAUUAGGGGUUUACUUUAGUUUAUUUUAUAUAAUGGCAGGGGUGGGUAAUUUAUAUAUAGAUUUAGGGGGUUACUUUAGGCUAUUUUCAUAAUAGCAUAGGUGGGUAAUUUUUUAGAAAACAUAAUAGAUCCAAUGGCUAUGAUGAUUUGAAUCUAUCGAUUGAUGGUUGGAUGUUUUGCUUUUUUGUGAGAAUUUCUAGAAUUCUCUCUUUUCUAGAGUGUCCACCUAUGAAUCCUAGAUGGCUUCAUUUGGAGGUUUCAAAAGGAGCCUCCAAUUAGUUAUAGUAAGAUGGCAGACGUGAAUUGAAUAAUUUAGAAACAAAUUAGACCCGGUGCCUAUGGUUAUCCAGGCUAACUACCAAAUUGAUGGCUGCAUGUCUUUGGGAAUUUCUAGGAUUCUGUUUUUUUUAUAGGUCAUGUGAGUACGAACACUCCAAUCAAUUAGUAAUAGUAAUAUGGGAUAAGAUGGCCCAAAUGUUAAAGUUUCUUUGGUCUUGUUUUUUUAGGUACUUGGUCAUAAUUGAUGACAUUUGGCACUGGGAAGAGUGGGAAGUCAUCCGUAAGGCUCUUCCCAAGAAUAAUCUGGGCUGUAAAUUUAUUAUGACGACCCGGGUCUGGAGUAUAGCUUGGAAAUGUCAAACUGAACAAGGUGCACGUGUGUACGAACAGAAGUUUGGUCUUGCGGAAGCUGAGAGUCUAUCAGCUAUGAGACUGCGCAAAUCCGUCGAGGGAACCAACGCGAAGGGGCUGUCCACUAAGAUUGCGGUUAUGUGCGGCGGGCCACCAUUUGAUUUUUGUCCGCUAGCAGUAAUCUGUUUGUCGUCAGCAUGGGCAGAGAGCCACCAUGUGCAAGGUGAUGAUGCGGAAUGGGAUACAUGGGCAAGCCACGUUCUGGAUGAUGGGUUUCUGAGUACUCCAUCCUUGAAACCAGUGGUCCAGAGUCUAUGCCUUGGUUUCGACGAUCUUCCCGUUCAGCUGAGGACUUGCUUGCUAUACUGUACUGUAUAUCCUCCGUGGUAUAUGUUUUAUAAGGGAUGCUUGGUGAGAAAAUGGAUUGCUGAAGGAUUUGUUUCGCAAGUUGAAGUAGCAGAAGGUUACUUUGACAAGCUUGUCUCCAGGAAUCUGUUGCAGCGGAAGGGUGUGAUGCAUGCAGUUCACCCCAUUAUGGGAGCCUUUCUCGUGUGCAAAGCAAAGGAAGAUAAUUUUAUUGCUUACGAUGGGGCCGGCAACUCCUCGCAUGCCAAACAGAUCCGUCGUCUUUCUCUCAGCACGGAUCGCUGUCCAGAUGAGGAUGUGCUGUCUCAUACUCGCUCCCUUGUUGUUUCUGGUUAUCAAUGCCAGCUGGAUGGUGUCCCCUUCAAGGCGUUCAAAAAGCUGCGAGUGCUAGAAAUACAUGACAGCAGUCGUCUAGAGAAUGGUCAUCUGGUGGAUAUAUGUGGGCUGAUCUGGCUCAAGUGUCUGGAUCUUAUGGGCUGCGGUCAUAUCACAGAGCUCCCACGGGAGAUUGGAAGACUGCAGAAUCUGGAGACCCUGUACGUGGCAGGUACAGGGAUUAGUAAACUACCAACGGAAAUUGAGAAACUACAGCACUUAGAGACUCUGGAUGUAAGUGGCACAAAGGUCACGGAGGUGCCUACGUGGAUCGAGAAAUUGCAAUCUCUGAAGACUCUGGAUGUAAGUGACACAAAGGUCACGGAGCUACCAAGGGAAAUCAAGAACCUUGAGCGUUUGGAGAGUCUGGAUGUAAGCUGGACACGGGUGAGUGAGUUGCCUAAGGAAAUCGGGGAACUGCAGCAUCUGAGGACUCUGGACAUAAGAGGUACUAAGGUCCGAGAGCUAUCCUGCAGUAGAGACCCGAAUCCGUUAUUAAGUGUGGUUGUUGAUGCACAUAUACAUAGGUUUUCUGAUGAAGUGGAGACGUUGAUGUCGCCUCUGGGUGUCAUUAGAUCAAGUGGUGGUGAAGAGGUUACCUCUUCUGAAGCAAAGUGCAGGGAUGACCUAUCCAUCCUCAUCCUCUUUAACCAUUUCGGCGAGAGGUGUGAAGUCCUACCAGUUCGGAUGCUUAGAGUUGCCGGGAGACACAUGAAAGUCCCGCAGUGGGUCAAGCAAGACUUGUGCAAUGUCUGCUCCUUAGAUAUCAGGCUCUACAAACUUGUGCACGAAGACCUCGAGUUUCUGAAGACGCAGAUGCCGCACCUGCAGGCUCUCCAACUCAGGUUCGAGGUCCUCCCACGGGAGCCGGUUGCUAUCACUGGUGGAGGGUUCUCAAAGCUGGAAACGUUCUACGUUGAUUGCCGUCUGCCAUGGGUGAUCACCUUUGGGGAAGGAGCGAUGCCGAAGCUGAAACAUCUUGAGUUCAAGUUCUACACCGGCACAGCAAGGCAACACUACUCCAUAGGCAUCAAGCAUCUCGACAGUCUUGAGGUGGUCGUGUUCCGAUGCUCCGAGUGCUAUACAAGUGACGGUCCGGGCAUCUGCGAGACGAUUGAAGUCGUGAGAAAAGAAGCCGCGGACCACCCCAAAAAGAUCAACCUUUGCGUCAAUGAAAAGAAAGUGGACUUCGGCAGUAGUUAUAAAUGGGAAAGCCUUGCGGAUAAGGCCGUUACUAAAAGAAGGGAACAACUAUACAAUGCAGCAGAGCGUCGCCGAUGCAGGGGGCUGUUUGUUUGAGCUGCAGUUUUAAACUUUUCUGAAAAAGCUGCUGCUACUUUUUUUUUCUAAAAAACUAACGCCAGCUUUUAGAAGAUGUGUGAGCUUAAAAAGCUAUGAAAAAUUUAUAAAAUUAAGUUUUUCAGCUUUCCAUGUAAACUCGGAUUUUCUGAACUUUCAGCUUUUCAGAAUCUACACGAGAAGUUCACUGUUAUUUAAGUUUCUAACUUUUCACACUGAGAAGCUGCUAGGAAUCCCAAACAAACAAGCCCUAACUUGGUUUUAAAGCUGGUUCGAACCUCAGGUUUUGUCACACCCGGUUUUAAAACAAAACCAAGUGCUACUUAUAUGUAUGCCAGGAUCUAAUUUCAUACAUAUAGUAACAUCAAAAGUGAAUAACAGCAACAGUAUUACCUAAAGGAAAAUAAAUAAAUACUUACGAGUCUAUCAGAGAUAUACAGCUUAAUUCUGGAAACGGAGGUUCCAAACUUCACAGGCAAACGACUGGGGGUUGCGUACGCCUAGAACUCAGCAUCAUCUUCAGAAAAUUUCACACACCUUCCUUUUCUAAGCAAUAGUAAGUACGGUUAAUACACUUAUGGUUGGUACUCAGCAAGGUCACAAGAAAUAACCAGAAUAUCGAUUUAAAUCCAUCUUCAAGUUUAUUAAUCAUAUGAGGGUUCAGGCCGCUCUUGACCGUGAGCACGGCUGAUAUAUCAGUUUUGCACUCUGCAGAGGUUGUACACUUUCACCACAAGUCGCGUAAAAGUUUAGAAGAACUUUAGACCCAACCAUGCUAUGCUGAUCAAGCACUCAUCACACUACCGAUGUGUGACUGCAUAUGGACGCUACAUGACCUUUACAAAGAUUUCCUAGUAAGGAUAGCUCGCUAAGGUUUCAUGAUUAGCGUAAUGCAUUAACCUCUCUAGUGGGCAUAGGGUCUUAGCAAAGCUCCCUUCCCAUGAGGGCCAGGUUAUACACCCACUACUGUCUCCCCCUCUUUCCCCUUUCGGGUAAAGCUACCACAAACUAGAGUCUUUAAUUAAUUAGUUAAGACCAGAGGCAUAUAGUCCUUGUGGUUGCACUAUUUUUCUAGGUGGUCGCUCCAUGUCCCGAUUAACAUUAUCAUGGUAUUAUAAACAAAGCAUAGGUAGAAGGAUGGUUAGUGACAUUUGCCUUUCUCCAACGAAAAGUUACUCUUACUGCUCUUCAGCUAUUGCUCUCUUGAAACUCUUAUCCUGCAAAUCUUUCGAACAACGAUCCUUCUACUCGAAGCAAUCAUCAGCACAAACAUACAAGCAAACAAAUAAGUACAACUAAGAACAAUGCACCAAAAGAAAAGAAAAACUUUAAAAGAACGUACUAAAAGAUAUGGCUCAAUUCUAGGAUCACGGAGGCACAUCAGACACUAAGCACGAUGAUAUUGUUGAAAACAUACAUCUAUCGAGGAAACUUUGGUUGUAUAGGAAAACAAAGAGCUAUAUGCUGCAUUUAUUUUUAUUUAGAAAACAUAUGUAAAGGAUACUUUUAGAAAAUAUCCUAAGUUAGAGAUAAUUCAAAUUAUAUCUGUUUAUGAAAAUAUGAUAUAAAACCUAGUCAAGUUUUAUUUAUAAAUAUUCACGUAAUUAUGCCAUUCAAGCAUUUAAAUUUGGAAAAUAAACUAUAUGUAAUAACAUCUAAUGACAACUUUAUAUGUCGUGUUGAACUAAAACAAGUUAUAAUUCAAAAAUACAUUUAUAUUUACUUUAAGCAAAUUAACAUUUAAUUAUGAAAACUUGAGAUAUAACCUAUGUAACUUUUAUUUAUAAAACAAAUUGAAUACACAUUAAUCAAUUUAAGUUUGACUAUGAAAACCAAGGUAUAACUCUAGUUAGCUUUUAAUUGGAAGAUUUUUUUUAUAAGCAUUAAUCAUAUUAACAUUAAUUAUGAAAACCGAUAUAUAGCCUAAUUGGCUUUUAUUUAGAAAAGGAUAUGAAGUAGGAAUUAAUCAAAUUGAUGUUUAUUAUGAAAAGCGGUGCAUAACUCUAAGUAGCUUUUAUUUAGAGAAGACACAGAAAUUAAUCAAUUUAAUAUCUAAUUUAUUUUCAAAAACAUGCAUGAAGGCAAACAUCACCACUAACGUAUAAUUUAUAUUAUCAUGAACCUAACGCAACUUGAACAGAUUAAAACAGAGCUAAAACAUAGAUUGUAUGAGCUAAACAAGUUUAGAAGGAUCUAGAUGUGAUUAACUAUAGACUUCAGAGGCUAGCAAGGAAGAUUCACAAGACACAUGGAACAGUCUUCGUGAAUAGGUGAAACCUUGGGGUUAGAUCUGUAAAAGGUCAUGGCAAGGGUCCGUUGUGGGCAUGAACUUUUUCCAGGGGGUUUUUUGCUAAAGACUCAAGACACAAGAACUAAUCAAAUCAUUGCAGCCUUCCUUAGGGGCCUAGAAACAAAACUGCCAGGGCCUUCUUCUUCCUUUCGCUAGGGCUCCAGCCAGCUGGCUUGCCGGUGCUCUGGCGAGCUAGGGUCGACGGCGGGCGGCGCAAGAGGGAGAGGGGGUCGAGGGGAUCUCGUGGGGUGGCUCACCGGCGACGGGGCGGAUGGAGACGGUCGGUAACGGCGGCGGAUGAUGACAGACGGUGGCUCGAUCUCCAGUCCAAGGCGGCACUCCGGCAGCGGCGCGGCGCGUAGGGGUGGCACAGGAGGUGUGGAGAGGCGGCGCUUGGCUAGGAUGUUGCGCGGGCGGCGACAGCGGUUGGUGGCAGCAGUGCGCAAAAGGUGCCGCGGCGGCAGCAGUGGCUCGUGGCUUGGGCGCGCGGACGGGCGGUGAGGCGGCAGCGGGCGAGGACGGCAGGGCGCGCGGGGGUUCGAGCGGUGCAUUAAAUAGGGCACGGGGUACAAGGACGACUGGCGCGCACGCUUAGGCCGAAGCGGUGACGGCAGCGCACGGCUACGCUUGCCCCGAGGAACGGUGCAGCGGCCCUGAUGGGCCUUAGUUGGCUGGGCGGCCUGACGCGGGUCGAGCCCACGGGCUCAACCCAAACUGAUAGGCUAGGUUUUCUUUCUUUUUUCAGAAAAUAUUUCCCGUGUAAAUAAAAAUCUAGAAAAUCUAGAUACUUCAUUUAAGCCACGAAAAAUACUCUAAAAUUCCAAAAAUCCCAGAAAAAAUCCUAGAGAUAGAUUGGGACAUGAUAAAUCCAAAUAAAAUACUUAGAGAUAUGAAAAGGAUUACAAAACCUUCCAAAAAUUUGAAUUAGUUCUAGAAAAAUGAGAAUAAAUUCCAGGAAAUUCUGGAAAAAUUCUCGAAAGAACUUGAUCGUUAUCAAGACGUGUUUUUAAAAUAUUUACACUCAUGAAACAACAAAAUACAUCGGCAUGAAUGCAACACACACAACAACCUUAUUUAAUUUAGAAAAACAAACAAUUAUUUUCCUAUACUAAAUUUCCGGUAAAGAAAAAUAAAUGUUGGGAAAAAUUUUAAAAUUAUGAGAAAAAUUAUUGUUGAAUUAUUCUUUUUAAUCACAUCCUGAAAUUCAAAAAUUUUAGGGUGUGACAUGUUUGAUGCUAGUGUUCUCACCGUGGUUCGCUCCGAAUCCAUUUUCUCCGGCCUCUCGCGCAUGGAGUUACAAAGGGAAUGUGACGCGCCCAUCAUCUACGGAGCCAGGAUGGUUUUGGUGAUCUCCUUAAGGAUGCGAUAUUUCGGUCUGAUUGUAGUUGUAGGUAUGCUUGUGUACACGUGUGGUGUGAGUAAUGUGCGUGUUAGUGUCAAACAACACACUGUGACAACGGAAUGGCGGUGCGCCUCGUCAUAAAUCCAGAGAGCACGUUCGCGCCCAUCGUUGGAAUUGAUGAGGAUCCAAUAGAUACGAGUGAAAUGAAAUGCAGUCAUUCUACUAGCACGGCGGUGGUGGCGAUGAUGCAUUGGGAACGCUCUGAAUGGUGUCGCGCACGCUGCAAAAGGCACAUUCGAUUACCAGGCGAUAAUGCGAGAUCGUUUUCGGCAAAUCAGCGUUUCUCAAGUUCCGAACAGAGCCUGAAGAAAUAUGGAUGUUUGGCAAGGCAACCUUCCUCGAGCAGUUGAACUGUUCAGGUGCAGUUCCGUGCCUCCGGGUGAAAUUGGAGGAGAGCAUGGCGUCGAAUCUCCGGAAGCCCAAGCUAUGUUUCGAUGCAUCGAGCACUCGUCAGGUGUGUUGGGAGAUCGAUUCCCGUGAAAAAUAAUGGUCGUGUAGAUGCUGGGGCAGAGCACGCUCUGCCUUGACGACCUCAGCUAGCGAAUCAGAUUCAAAACGGCUUCGAGAAUGGCAGCCCUGUUGGGGCUUCUCGUCACAGCGAAUGACUGGCCGGCGGGCUUUUCUGAGCUCACCAAGCAAUUCUGUGGGUGUGGAAAUAUAAUUCACUACAAAAAGAAAAUGGAAGAAAAGCAUAAGCGGACCAGUACUACUAGAGCAGUGCGCUUCCUGAGCUCAGUUGGUUAAAAUUUAGGCUGCACCUAGCCCGCUGUUGUUCUUGGCCCAUGAACAAAGGUUCACAAACACCAGAAGUCAGACCAAAGAUAAAUUGGACCGACCUAAUACCUUGCUCUGUUCGUUUUGCUAUUUUAUUCAUUUUGUACUCGCGCAAAUAUAUUUCUCGAUGAGUAUUCGGAUCCAAAAGACAAGGUGCCCUUAGCUGGCAUCCAACAAGGAUUUUUCAUCACGUUAAUACCAGAAGGGAGAUUCGUUCACUGACCAGGACAAUAAAGCCCGCCUCAUCGCCUGUCUCGAGACCUUACCGUACCAAACAGAGCACCCUGUCAGUAAUUGAUGGAGGAGGUGAUACUGAAGUGGUUACAUCCAACACCAGAACUACUUCCCAGAACAUGAAAUCUUUGUCACGGCUGGUUCCUCUCACACAAGUGCUGGACAUGACAACGACAACAACGAAAGGCUCGAGGACAUAUCAGCUAUUGAAGACACUCCUGAAGCUGGCGAGGAAACCCCACAGCAAACGGCACGCCGGCGCCUCGAGAACAAGAAAUGUGCAGAGUCAUGUCAACCUGCAGCUUAGCAAACUACCUAACGCAACUUGACGGGCGAAUUCAAUCAAGCCACAACCCAACGCAACUUGAUGGGCGAAUUCAAUCAACCCGCAGGUGGAAGAAUAAAUCGCACCCCGAUGGCAAAUAUCAUGGAGGUAGCCUAUUGGUUGAGGGCCCUGCCUCAGACCCAGCAAACGGAAAAACUCCUCACAUACCUCAAAACAGCUUGUGAACAACUUGAUGACUUUCUUACUCUUACCUGACCGUGAUUGACUUUGAGUACAAACUACGCUACAUGCCUUUUAAUUCAAAUUCAUAAUCCUUUUUCCACUUUAGUUGAAACCUUAGCUGUAGGUAUGUUAGCUUUUGUUGCAACCUAUAUGUUUAUUUGUCGUGACUUAACAAAUCUAGAUUUUGACUUCCCAACUUCAUUAUUGCCUGCUAAAAUUGCAAGAAAAAGCAUAGGAUGUACAUGUUUGUUACUAAUUUCUACCCAUCCCUUUGUUUGUUACUAACAUCUGGAUUCUGGACCAUACAUUUCAUUUUUAGUUACUAUAAGGCAAAUGUCCAAAUUACUCCCCUCAGGUGCUCACAGUCCCAGUAAACUCCUAAACUAUUUUGGUUCAUGGUACACCUACAACUAUGUUAAUUGGUCCAAGUUACACCUUAGCAAGACAGAUCUUAUAAGGAUAAAUUGGACCAAUUGACAUAGUUCUAGGUGUAAAAUAAACUUAAAAAGGUUUAGGGGUUUAUCUAGAUUUCGUCCAUACUUGAAGGGAGUAAAAUUUGAGCUUUUUAAUUGUUGCCAUGGCAUGGAAAGUUGUUUCAGCAGACAACUUUGUACCAAGAUGUCAUCUAUGAAGGAACUAUGUUUUGUUGUAUAUUAUUUUAAAAAAAUGGUAACCAAUAAUUAUUUGUGUAGCUACAUUAUAAUGUUUAUGUCAAAAUUUAAUAAAUUUAUUGUUUAUGUAGAAUAUAAUGAAUUUAGCUAAAGGAAACCUUAUUGUUUAUUGUCAUCCGUAAGGCUCUCCCCAAGAAUAAUCUGCGCUGUAAAUUAGUCAUGACGACCCGGGUCAGGAGUAUAGCUGAGAAAUGUGAAACUGAACAAGGUGCAGGUGUGUACACACAGUAUUUUGGUCAUGCGGACGCUGCAAGGCUAUCAGAUAUGAGACUCAGCAAAUCUGUCGAGGGAACCAACGCGAAGGGGCUGUCCACUAAAAUAUGUCCAUCCUUGAAACCAGUGGUCCAGAGUCUAUCUGUCUAUGCCUUGGUUUCGACUAUCUUCCCUGUUCAGCUGAGGACUUGCUUGCUAUACUGUAGCGUAUAUCCUCCGUGGCGUAUGUUUUAUAAGGGAUGCUUGGUGAGAAAAUGGAUUGCUGAAGGAAUUUGUUUCGCAAGUUGAAGUAGCAGAAGCUUACUUUGACAAGCUUGUCUCCAGGAAUCUGCUGCAGCAUUACAUUGGGAAGUACACAGUUCACCCAUCAUGCGAGCCUCUUCCUCGUGUGCAAAGCAAAGCAAGAUAAUUUUAUUGCUAAAUUACGAUGGGCCCGGUAACUCCUUGCAUGCCAAACAGAUCCGUCGUCUUUAUGUCACCACGGGUGAUCGCUAUCCAGAUGAGGAUGUGCCGCUGUCUCGUACUCGCUCCCUUGUUGUUUGUGGUCAGCGAUGGCAGCUGGAUUGUAAGGCGUUCAAGAAGCUGCGAGUGCUAGAAAUACGUGACAGCAGUCGUCUAGAGAAUGGUCAUCUGGUGGAUAGAUGUGGGCUGAUCUGGCUCAAGUAUCUGGGUAUCUUGGGCUUCCAUCAAAUCACAGAGCUCCCACGGGAGAUUGGGAGACUGCAAGAUCUGGAGUCCCUGUACGUGGCAGGUACAGAUAUUAGUAAACUACCAGCGGAAAUCAAGAACCUUGAGCGCUUGGAGACUCUGGAUAUAAGCCGGACACGGGUGAGAGAGUUGCCUAAGGAAAUCAGAAAACUGCAGCAUUUGAGGACUCUUUUACACCGGCACAGCAAGUCGAGACUACUACAUGGGCAUCAAGCAUCUCGACAGUCUUGAGAAGGUCGAGUUCCGAUGAUCCGAGUACUGUACAAGUGACGGUCCGGGCAUCCGCGAGACAAUUGAUGUCCUGAGAAAAGAAGCCGUGCAGCACCCCAACAAUAUCACCCUUUGGGUCAAUGACAUGUUGCCAGAGGCUUUCGGCACGGGUGCCGAUAAGGCCAUUUUCGGAAAAAAGAGAUAAACUAUUCAGGGCAGCACGGGAAAGAUGGAAAGGGACCUUGAGGAUAUUAUGAACGACGGAAGUCACAUCUCAUGGCAGCAGAGAAGCGAGCUCAGCUUCAACGGGACAAGUACCGCGGAAGAGGGGGAAUUCGCUCCUGAUUGCGGGUUCGUGUGGUACAGGAGAAUCAGAGGUGUACCGUUUGUGAAUUAAAGAUGCGCCGUUUGUGCGGGUUUAUGUAAUAAUAAUUUCUGCAACUUUGGAUUGAAGUAUGUUCUAUGUUGUAUGCAUUGGUUUGCUAAACCUAAACAAAAAAGUUACGUAUGUUUUGAACUUGGGGUCUUCCUUCUCUAUGUCACACAUUAUCUGUACGCACGCUUGUUCGUCAUUCUCAAUAUUUUUUUUUACAGAUCACUUUCUGUUCGUCAUAUGGUAGCUUGCACCAUCUGCAAACUGAGCAUUCCGUCCAACAUUUCCUUUGGGUCAAUGUAGUCAUGACUCAUGCCAGUGAUCCAGUUCUGUUAAUAAUUUGUUCCCAUACGUAUUCUGAAGCAGUUGCAAGAUUGUCUUGAUGAUGCGAAUGGGCUCAUCCUUAAUGUGGUUGCACGCAGACUUUUAUGUCAUCUUCUUCUCAACAGUUUUUUCAGUUCGCCCUACUGUACCUUCUGGGAUAUGUAAGCCUUGGUCAACAUUGUCAAACCCCUUGGAGCUGCGGCUAAACUGCCCACAUGAUAGCACACUCUGCCUUGACGACAGCAGCUUUCCAACAUGGUGGAUCAGAUUCAAAAAUGGCUUCGAGAAUUUUGAAUGACUAGUUGGGGGCUUUCUGAGCUCACCGAGCUUCUGUGGGUGUGGUAAUAUAAUUUCACUUAAAAAAAGAGAAGGAAAGAAAAGCUUAAGGAAACUUUCUGAGCAGAAGCUUGGUAAGCUUCUCAAGGUGCAGCCCAAAUUCUCAGCAGUGAGCUUUCUGAGCUCAGUUGGUCAAAAUUUAGGCUGCACCUAGCCCAUUGUCAUUCUCGGCCCACGAAGAAGGAUCCACACACCACAGGUGGACUAAAGAUAAAUUGGGGCGACACACUCACACCCAGUUGUGUCCGUUUUUCUAUUUCAUUUAUUUUUGUACCUGGUCAAAUAUAUUUCUAACGUCAUACCAACCACCAAUUUUGUAAACUUAAUAAAUCCUUGUAAAGUCACCUUCGUACAAUAUUCUAGUGUAUUAUGCAUUCAGUUUGAAACACAAUAUUUUCUUUUUAGACAAAUAAACUAGCACAAGCUGGAACUAGUUCUCAAUUAGAGAACACUGCAUAUGCCCGAAGAAAAAUAUUUUCAGUACUAAGAACUUAUAUUAUGUAUAUUUUAAGCUCUAUAAUUCAGAUCUUAUUUUUCUGUCGUCUAUUAACUGUUGAAUGUUCUUGAUGGAGUCGUAUGUUCCUUAAUAAUCAUUGGUCAAAUGCGUCAUGUAUGUUGCACAUUGAAGAUGUAGAGGCUGGGACAGUGUUUUAUUCCAUCAUCAAAAAAAAUCUUGAAGCUCUAGAAAUGGACACAAUCCAAUUUAUGUAUCUGCAGUGCAUAUACAGUUGUAAUAACAAUGAUGAAACCUGCUUAUUCUAUACUCCGUAACAUACAGGAAACAUGAAUAUAUUUGAGUCGCUCAAACCUCUUACUAAUGCAACGUAGAUGUAUACUUAGCAAUUGACCCUUGAACACCAAACCAUAAUGUGCUAGUAGACACCAACAAUACUUUAUUGGCCCUCUAAUAAUGCAAAAUGCAUAGUUUACAGGGGUAUUCAACUAUUCAUCAUGUAUCAACGAGAUGCUUGGGCUCCAAACGCAGUUCAAAUUUUACUAUUGGCAGUUAGGGCUCCUCCCAGGUCCGCCAUAGUAGAUGUAAGUGCCCCAGUCGCUAUUGGCACCAUUCUGCACCUUAUAGCAGCUGGAUCGCUCAGCUAUCAAAACCACACCAUUUGGCAAUUUGAGAUUGUUGGAUGAAUCUACGACUUGGAUGUUCUUGAUGUAGCUAGCCUUGCCGAACCCUUCCUCUGGGAAGUGUCCGCUACCCAUUUCAGUGGAAGUCUGGCCGGCGUCCGGUGAGUAUACCUCACCGCCCCAUUCAACACUGGAGGCACUGUCUGACAAGUAAGAGAAGAUGGACGAUGGCCAAUAGCCCAAAAUAUGGUUUCCUACUUGCAACCACCAGUUGCCCCCCUUUGGAUCCUGCAAAACGAAAUUACUUGGAGAGUUCAGCAGACAGGAUUAUGAUCGACGAGAGAAGUAGGGAACAUAGUUGUAUAUUCCUUUUAGUCCUAAAAUCAAAGCAUGCACAAAAGUGUGACUUUACUUAUUCCUUAUCUGCACUAUGGAAAGUACUGCACAUUGAUGGAAACAAAAAUUCUAAGUGAAGGGGUGCCGGUUAUCAAAAAUUCGAAACAAAAUAUAUUAUAAAUCUUGUUGAUUAUGAAGGGGUGACGGCUGUCAUGCAAGAUUUUUCAUGGCAAUUAGGACAGAUUUAUAAUAUUUCCUUGCAUAAGGUGGAGGUAAAGAUCCUUUUAAAGCUUUAUUAAUGUAUAAGGCUAACUUAACAGUGUUGCAUUUGUAGACAAAAUCCGGUACGUGCAUAGGGAUGUGAUUCCGUGAGGGCGACCACAAACAGGCAAUACCACAGUUUUAGCCUCGUUUUGUGCUGGAUGAGAUUGUGAACGAUUUUUGUGCUUUACCUUCCAGAUUAAGAUAUCGAUAUCACGUUGCGAGCCACCAUAUAUUGAGACUGGGGAGAUGCUGCCACCGAUGGCGAUCUGAUUGUUUGUCUGAAUGAACCCUGGGCAGCCUAGGUUGUAACAUCCUGUUUGGUGGUAUGCAUCACGCUACAAUAUGCCGCAGCAAUAGAAAAUUAAUAAACAUGUGUUCCAUUCCUCAACUUAAUAAACAUGUGUCUAGUAUUUCAAAGGAAUGUGAUGUUUGUCUUACGGUCCAGUAGAUGAAGAGCCUAGUAUUACUAUCAUGAUACCUCCCUGGGUAAACCUGCAAUUUUGUAGAGCACAGAGCCAUUAGCCACUACUAUACAAUGAAAGAGGUUGCACAACUUAUUAGUGCAUCGUUACAAGAACCUUUAGAUCGUAAAACAGUGUGAUUUAGCCAUAUAUAAAGAUUUUUAGAAAAAGUUCUCUAUGCUUUUCGACAGGCCAUUAGUUCCUAAAAACAGUGAUGUUAGCGUUACAACUAAUGAAAGAAACUUUUUUGCAUGAAUGGAGAAUUGAAGGAACUUCUAAUCUUUGAUGAAGGUGUGUUUAUGUUUUCCCCUUCGUGGUAUCACCUGCCAUCCUGCUUCAAUGGUAUUGAGAUCAUUGCCUUGAUAGGACCCCCCUGUGAUCCAUAGUUGGGCCAGGCUGAAGCCAUUGCCCCUCUCAAUCGUUGGUUGCCACAAAUUAAUGGUGGCUUUUGUUCCGUAGUAUUUGUCAACCAAUGCAGACGCUACAGCAUGCUGAUCAAUGAGAGAGCAAACAAAUUGUUUAAGCAAUGUCAGAAAUGAUACUACAAAUCCAAAAUGAAGAUUGGUAAUAAUAUGAAGGUGAUUCUCGAAUGAUGUUUUGUACCAGGUGACCAAUUGUUGCACUAGCGUCAGGGUCAUCAACAGAAACAAGUUUUGGGAUGCUCCCAGGUCUCUUCUUGCCAUACCUCUUGAUAGAGCUGGCCCUCAGCACUUCCUCCUCCUUGGUCCUUCGGAUCGGUAUGGUGUUUUCAGGGCACUUGCCAUUCUGAUGCCAUAAUUGGGUAAUUGGUUGUGUUUCAAUUUUGGAGUCAUCAUAUAAACCACCAGGGUGAUAAGAAGGCCGCAUCUGAAAGGUUACAAGUUGGGGGCACCAUUGAGUGAUAUCAUGAUACAUGUGUUUGUAUGGUGGUGGUGAGGGCACUGGUACAUCUGUUUGUAUGGUGGAGAGGUACCUGGAUGGUAUGGUUCUUGAGGAAAGGAUGAUCGAAUGCAGGCUGUUUGGAAAUGUGCACACAGUCUAUGAUAUCUCCAUCUGGGCUCUAUUAAUUUCGCAGUAUCAGUAGUUGCAACAAAGUUUAUAGAAAAUAUAAUAACAUCUAUAAUACAAAAUAAAUAUACUUUGAAGACAUAUAUUUUAUUGUGGAUCUAAUAAAACUAGAUGUUAUAUAUGUUGUCUGUUGAUGCUUAGGUUUUUUUCGACAAGCUUGGUCAAUGUGAGAGAAAUGUUUUUAGAUACUGGAAGAUAACAUUCCGGCUUCAGACUUUUUUUUCAAAAAUACAUCAAACCACAAACAUUACAAAGGGGUACAUAUUCCAGGAAAAUAUGUAGCCAAGACAUAAGAUCUGAUUUACUAAAAAGAAAUAAUAAAAUACAAGAAAAAGAUUCAAAAUCUCUAACAAGCUAUUAAAGUGAAUUAUAAUUAGGAACAGAGGGAGUACAUAAUCUAUAUUCAAGAUAAAAGACGACGGACAGGUCGGUCAUUACCUGAAUGCUGGCGAGAGGAGGUUUGUUGAGCCGCCUGAGAAGGUUUUGCACCUGCCACCGCCGCUGCCCGCCUGCAGUCCCCGCCGCUGCACCCUCCAUGAAGAGAAAGGCGAGAGCCACAACGAAGCAUGCUCGAGUAGUCACUGCCAUUAGUCGCUCCAACGAAACAGGCGAGAGCUAGUGAGCUACCCUGUUGGUGUUGGUUUUUGGUAGCUUCGGCUGGUAGGUGUGUUAUAACAAGGCCGGCCUUGGCUCUGCCGUAUUUUUGGGGCGUCAAAGUCUUUUCAACACUUCACUUGUGGAGGUUCUAGGAAAGGAUUCUGCAGUUUCGUGGAGCCGUGGGUGGAUUCUUGGUCUUUGUCGAUACGUCGAAGGCGACGGGUAACAGAACCGGUCGAGCUAGUUGACCGUUGUUUACACAGCAAUAAUGCAAGUGUUGCACGCCCUAGCCUGUUUCAUGCAUUCAGACACGUCCUCAUUUCCUUUUCCUCUUAUUAUUGAAACAGAAGCAAAGGGAAAAAAAAAGCUUGACCUGCAACGCAUGUUUGACACGUCCUCAUUUCCUUGUCCUCUGAUUAUUGAAACAGAAGCAAAGGAAAAAAAAAAGCUUGACCUGCAACGCAUGUUUGGAAUGCGAAGAAAUGUUCGAUCCUCCAAUCUGAAAAGCUUGACGCGCAAGGCAUGCACAUGGUGUGCCUAACGUACAGAGGACGGUUUCCCUUGAGGCACCAUAAUCAUUCAAGUCUCCGUUGCUCGCCGUCAAUUCGCACCUGGUGACAUCGCUUUCCAGAAGAUAGUAACAUUUAUCCUUGUGCCCGUUUUUUACCUUUCCAAAAAAAGAAUCUAAACAUUUUAUAAUUUAAAUCAAAACAUAUAGAAAAUAUGUUUCUAUGAGGUUUAGAACUUUUACCAGAUAGUAUCGUCAAAGCGAUUGGCUCUGGAGAUGGGACUUGCCGUCGUCAUAUAUAUGUGCAAUUCAGAUCAUCGAGACGGAGACUCACCUAGCGACGACGAGCCGACAAAUCACGUAUGCGUACAGCACCACUGGUUACCAGAGAGCAUAUGGUUUAUACGUGCAGCAUACAACACCACAGACCCUGUUGACGCUGCAACGUAUGGUCGAGGUCGACUCUCCGUCAUCUUGCCCGACUCCGAUCGACUUUGACCAUCUAAUGGCGAAAUUCCAGAGAGAAGACCACGCAAUGGCGCGUCCGGCGAGAAAGCGAUACAUCUUGGUUUGCCAGUCCAAGUCUUCGAAGGAACUAUAGCACAGCGUUUUUCCGUUUUCAGAUUGUUCUGGGUGAUUGGGACUUGUACAACGCUCACCACUCGACUUCCUGCUGCUUGGGAAGUCUUAGGCAACUACACAAGCGUGUGAUUCGGUCUCAAGUGUUGCAUGCUGUACAAACCAUACUGAUUCAAAAAGUAGCAGUGCAUCUACACACUACACUGAAAUCAAAGUUUGCUGCACUGCACCUCAGUCGACAGUCGUCGUCCAUUGAAUACAAACCAGCCUAGUGGCAUCGAUCAAUGUCAUGUGUUGAUCUCAGCACUAACCUAAUAACUCAGAAAAUGUUGUGCUGAGCCUAGACGAGCUGACCCAAUCUGGCAUGGUCGAGGCCAACUCAAUUAAGACAGUUUUUCUCCGACACUCCCAAGGAAAAAUGUUUCACGGAGAAAAAUUAAUGUUCCAUGGACAAGGAAAAAACUGAGUACACAAUCACAUUUAUUUAUUUCAUGGAAGUAGUUAUUUUGAGCUCUAAAGAUCUCAUGGAUGUACUAUGUCUUGACAAUACACUUAUCCGCAGUGCAGAUACAGUUGGAAUAAUGUGAAGAAUCGGUACUCUUAGCCUAAGAGAGGGAGGAGGUGAAUUAGACAACUUAAAAACUUAACCUAUGACUUCCACUACUUUGCAUCAAAAUAUAAACUAGAUCAUGCUAUCUAUAGUUGAUCUAGUGUGCAACACUCAUCCCAAAAUAACUUUUGCAACCUAUAGCGAAUCCUAUCAAGAUAAUACUUUAGGAAAGUAAAGGCACACAAGUUGCAAGUAUGAAAUGCGAAAACGUAAAGAGGGGACGAGGGGAAGCAAACUCUUGACACAAAGAUUUAUCCCGUGGUAUCGGUAGGCACUAAGCCACCAGUAGUCCAUGUUGUUGAAGCACUCAGACAAGAGUAUUGCUUCCUGGUCACCAAGUCUCUCCCAAGGUGCCCCUUGACUUGCUACAAAAGCUCGGCCACUAAGGCUCACACCAAGUCCCUUCAGUCACCUUGAUGUUGUCUUCAGUAAGGAGCUUCUCCACGAAGGAAGGGGUCUCCACGUCCCCACAUAAGGUCGUCGACGCCGCUCUACACCAAGCUGGAGGGUCGAAGACUUAUCGGCGAGCCACCAAGGCUCUAAGGCACUGGCACACCUCUUGUACAGCGGUGAUUCACUCUAGAACCUGAUCACAAGGUCGGCACACCUUGCACUCACUCCUCUCUAGGCAUAUCCUAGCACUAAUUACUCUCCUAAGAUUGCACUAAGCCUUUGAUGGAUCACUUAAUCACUUUUGGUGGCAUGGAUGUAUUUUUGAUGAGUCUUGGUCUUUAAUGCAUCCCUGGACACUCCAGCAACUCUAAAUGGGUGAGUGGUGAGGGUAUAAAUAGCCCCAAGAGCUCAAAGAGCCGUUGCUCCAAUGGCUAGUAAAAAAGAUACUAUCGGAUAUUCCGAUGGUCUAUUUUUGACCUGCAUCAGAAUAUCCGGUGCAACUAGCCAUUGGCUCCCCACACACAAGUUCCUUAGGAAUUCAUUCGACACUUUAUUCGAUGCCCUAAUCGGAUCAUCCGGUACCACUGUUCACGUCACACAGCUGUUGGAUCCCCUUGAUGUCAUUGCUCCAACACUUUCUAAGAUGGUGCCGUUGGAUCAUCCGAUGCUGAAGGAUUUUUGACCAAAAUCUCCCUGGAACUUCUCAAAGAAAAUAUGCUUCGUCCGAUGGUCAACUCCAUAGGGUAUCGGAACAUCUGGUGCUACAGGGUUUCCUCUUCCUCCUCAGCAAAUUACUCCGACGCUUGUAAAAUUACCUCCAUUGGAUCAUCCGGUGCACUCGAGAUUUUUCCCUAUUUGUACCCAUUGCUCCAAUGGUUGCUCCGACACUUCUUAGGUGGGGCAUCAAAACAUCUGAUGGUGUAUUUUUUAUUCCAAUUCGUCCAAUGCAAGCACCAAAGAUACCGUCAUUUGGAACUUGACGUGAGGUUGUGACCAUGUUGUUAAUUCGGGGGUGGCCACCGUGUUGUUUCGAUUCUAGUUUCGUCCAUGAAAUUUUGGUCAAACUAUAUCCGUUUCUUUGCGGGCGACACAUGCAUGUACAUGUACUAGACGUCACCCGUGUCUGUUAAUUAAUUUCCGUACUUGUCAUUUGGGUAACCGUAACCGAGUGUUUUUCUGUAGCAGUGAAUUCUUCAUGUUUACUAUGUAAUAUGCUCUUCGAUCUCACUGCGAGUUUAGUUAGGAUGCCAAUUAAUUAAUAUACCUCAAUGCUCUUGAGAGGAGCCUUGUUGACCCGCCGGAGGAAGCUUUGCACCUGCCUCAGGCGCUGCACCGACGAUGCUCCUCCGGCGGUCGUCCCCGACGCCGCCGCCAUUGCUGUUGGCCCCUCAAAGGAGAAGAGCAGCGCGAGAGCCACGACGAGCGCGACCAAGCACUCUCGCUUUGUAGUCGCUGCCAUUGAUCAAGCUGCUAGCGUGUAUUGCCUUACUAAAUCUGGCUGUGCUGUGCUGUGUACGUUCUGCAUGCAGCUGGGCUUUUAAAGGGGUUGAGAGUGACUGAGUGAGUGGAGACGUCUCGGUCGAUGUGGCUGCUAAUAACGUGCUUGUUGGAAAGGUAGGAGCACCACCGCGCUCGUGCAGGUGGUGGUGGAUUCUUCGAAGACGUCGCAGGCCAGUUGCAUGCAUUACAUAUACAUAUUGGGUUAGUUCCGGCCCAACUAUGUAUCUUUGUGUCAAUCUUUUUAUUUAAUUUUAGGUAAUGAAUUCAAAAAAUAUUUUUAUAUUUUCAAUCAUUUUUUUUGAAAUAUAUAUAUAUAUAUAUAUAUUCUCCAAAAUGCGUCGUACGUACGUGUGCAGUAUUUACGGUGGGAGUGGCGGCCGACGGCGACGACCCUGUGCAAGAUGAGGUCGCCGCGCCCAUAUACGACGCAGCAGCGUGCAUGCACCAUCUCAUAUGUCAUCGUCAGUGGUUGACAUUCACUAAGGGAGGAUAAAUCGCCGUGCAACGACCGCCACAGCAUUACCAUAUCCGUUCGGUCAAAGUGUGCGCCAAGAUGAAUUGGAUCACUCUUUCUUAGUCCUUGUUUACUUCCCUCCAAACUCCUAACUUUGACACUAUGCAAAAAGAAGAUUCCCCAUCACAUCAAACUUGCGGUACAUGCAUGGAGUACUAAAUGUAGACGAAAUCAAAAACUAAUUGCACAGUUUUGUUGUACUUUGCGAGACGAAUCUUUUGAGCCUAAUUAGUCAAUAUUUGGACAAUAAUUCACAAAUACAAACGAAACGCUACAGUGUCACAUUUAUGGCAAAAUGCCAAUUUGGCACCUCCCAACUUGGGAAGUAAACAAGGGCUUAUUAUUUUUUCUUUGUUGAUGAGAUGAACCCGAUACUAUUUCUGUUCUUCCACCCUUCCCAGUGCAACAAGGAGAUGCAUUCGAUCGCUAACCAUACAUGCAUGCACUGGGCCCUUGGCGAGCAGUGGAGAUCACAACCAAAUUCAUUUUAAUGCAAAGCGGGGGCCUGGGCCUGGCAGACCUACUUAGCGGUCUGUGAAAGUGAGAGGCACAAUUGGAUGGAUGGAACGCCGUGACCUUCUCCUGGCCGGCAAUGCGUGUUAAUAUAGGUGAGGAAACUCCCCUCACUUGGAUUACAAGUUGUGAUUCGGCUGGAGAUAGAGAUACAAAUUACAACAGCCUUAUCUACAAGAUUCUACUCAACAAACCUAUCCAGCCAAACCCAACAUACCGCACACAUGUUUGUUACAAUUUAUUGUUACAGAUAUAUCUAACAGCCCCCUCAAUCAUAACCGAGUGAGGUUAAGAUUGUGCUUAAAGUUCUCUAGCUCUGCCAAGGCUUUAGUAAACCCAUCAGAAACUUGAUCUCUGGAUGGAACAAAAUCUAUUUCCAACAGAUUUUUGGCAAUAUGUUCCCUCACAAAAGAUAGUCUACCUCGAUGUGUUUAGUCCUUACAUGAAACACCGGAUUUGCAGACAUGUUUGGCUCUCAUGUUAUCACACCACAACUAUGCUUUGGCCAGACUUUGUAAACCAAUUUCUUUCAACAGAGUCUGAACCCAUAUGUUCUUUGCAGUAGCAUUAGCUAUUGAUUUAUAUUCAGCUUCUGUGCUAGAUCUUGACAUAGUGGCUUGCUUUCGAGCACUCCAAUAAAUCAAAUUCGAACCCAAGAAAAUUGCAAAACCACCAGUAGACCUCCUAUCAUCUAGUGAUCCUACCCAAUCAGCAUCUGUAAAACCACUAACCAGCAUUGAGUCUGAUCUCCUGACCUUUAAGCCAAUCUUAGUAUUAUAUUUCAAAUACCUCAAUAUUCUCUUCACAGCCGCCCAAUGCUCAACAGUAGGAGAGUGUAGAAACUGACAUACCUUGUUAACUGAGAAGGCUAUAUCAGGUCUGAUAAGUGUUAGAUAUUGAAGUGCACCAACAAUACUUCUAUAUUGUGUAGCAUCAUUUGCACCCAAAGGAGUUUCUUCAUAGGAAAAUAACUUCUCACUUGUUGACAAGGGAGUACUUAUUGGUUUGCAAUCUGACAUGUUCACCUUCUUUAAUAAAUCUGAAGCAUACUUGUCUUGUGUCAGAACAAUACCAUCUCUUACUUUAUUUACCUCUAUGUCCAAGAAAUAAUGAAGCUCUCCUUGAUCCUUCAAAGCAAAAUCUUCCUUUAGUUUAUUCAAUAACCUAGUUGUUGCUUCCUGAGUAGAGCCUGCCACAAUAAUAUCAUCAACAUAUAUCAACACAAAAACAAUUAUAUUCCCUUUACUGAAAUAGAAUAGAGAUAUAUCAGCCUUAGAAGAUAUAAAACCACGACCAAUCAACUUGGAACUGAGGUGUGCAUACCAUGCACGUGGUGCCUGUUUCAAUCCAUAAAGAGCCUUGUCUAAUUUACACACGAAAUUUGGCCUUGCCUUGUCUCAUAUCCUGGAGGUUGCCUCAUAUACACUUCCUCUUCAAGAAUACCAUGUAAGAAAGCAUUUUAAACGUCUAGUUGCCUUAGACUCCAUCCUCUUGAGACAGCUACUGAAAGAAUUAAUCUGAUUGUAGCAAUAUUCACAACAGGGCUAAACGUGUCUUUAUAAUCUAUCCCAUGUCUUUGUUUGAACCCCUUAGCUACUAAACAGGCUUUAUAUCUAUCCAAGCUCCCAUCAAAUUUUAACUUGGUUUUGUAAACUCACUUGCAAUCAAUAAUGUUGGUGCCUUUCUGGGGAGGAACUAAAUCCCAAGUCUUGUUUCUAAUCAAAGCAUCAUUGAAAGGAUCUUGUGAUGCCUAAGGAGGGGUGAAUAGGCUCACUUCAAGUUUUUUCUGAAAAACUUUGCAGCGGUAUUAGAUAUGUCAGAACUUCCGACGCUAUGUCAAAACUUCCGGUACAGGGUCGAAACUUUUAACAAUAGAAAGUGAGCUGACCGAAAUUCAAAAUGAAACCUGAAUCUACCAAUUCUACUUAAAUCAAAAGAUAAUAAAUGAAGUGUAGAGACUACUGCAGGUAAUAGAUAUGCAAGGAACCACACAAAUUUAUAAAUCGGCUUAAAUCAAGCUUCUAGGUCAAUAUGAACAUGACGGACACAAUAAGCACACGAGACAAGGAUUUAUUUUCCGAAGUUCACUUCCACAAAGGAAGCUAUGUCUCCAUUGAGGAUCUCACAAAGAGCCAGGUCCUCGCUAACCCUUUAUCUCCCUCAAUCAACCACAAAGGAGGAUUGAGGUACUUACUAUGAAUCUACAAAGGAUGGGUAAUACAAAUGUUCCCGGGCGCACCACACAAAGAGGACGCUCAAACGGGCGACUUGCCUAGCUGUCUUGAAGCAAGCUUCAAGAGUAAUAAACGCGAAUCGAUGGCUGAAGAUGCUUGGAGUGCUCUUGAGAUGAAUUUGUUGGACCUCACACCCAAAUCCUCAAGACUCACACAUUCAACCUUACUCUCACCCAAUCCCUAGCUCAAACUCUCAAGGAUUUAGCUCAAAGGGGAGUAAGGGAGGAGUAUUCAAUGCUUGGGGGCUGUUUUAGCUCGAGUUGUUCAACAUCAAUGGAUGGGGGGGUAUCUAUACCCUAGCCCCUAAAACUAGUUGUUACUGUAUAUUUAUGUGCUUGUCGGAACUUCUGACACAGGGUUGGAACUUCCAACAUAGUUAGAUUAAAACGGCUGAGAGUCUCUCCUCGGAAGUUUCAAAAAAUAUCUAGUGACUUUUAUCGAAACUUCCGACACAUCAUCGGAACUUCCGAUGCUAUUAGAUAAAAUCGGCCGAGGACCCCUGGUCGGAAGUUUUUGAAUACUUCCAGCCAGUAUCGGAACUUCCAACCUUCUGUUGGAACUUCCAACACUCACAGAAAAUGUGAGAACACAAGUAUGUAAGUGAGUAAGUUGUGUCUCUCAAUGGGUGGUUAACAUCUCAAACAAGCACUUUAGCAUCUUCAAGCUAUCCAUCUGCACCCUCUUUAUAGUACGGCAUUCCUAUACUCAAAUUCAAAAUUAGAAAUCAUAGAAAAGUCUUCUUUUGAGCUCAACACCGUUCUUUCUUUGAAAUUUGGGGGUUGUUGAGAUUCCUUUCAUAACCUUUGCACUUCUUUAGAAUUAAAACCUAUUAAUCACUACAUAAAAUUAUUAGUCCCUUAACCAUGCAUGUCAUCAACACCAAAACCCACUUAGGGGGCCAAAUGCACUUUCAAUCUCCCCCUUUUUGGUGAUUGAUGACAACACAAUUAGGGCUCACAUGAGAUAUAUAAACAUUUUGAAUCCAACUAUAUAGGUGACCUCCCCCUUAACAUGUGCAUAGAAAAUAAAAAUGGCCUCAAAUGCCAUUUGCACAUAUUAAGUGAGCUCCCCCUAUAUCCUUGCAUUCGUGGGGUGCAAAGGUGUGACAUGUAUAUCAAGAAUACCAUGUAAGAAAGCAUUUUAAACGUCUAGUUGCCUUAGACUCCAUCCUCUUGAGACAGCUACUGAAAGAAUUAAUCUGAUUGUAGCAAUCUUCACAACAGGGCUAAACGUGUCUUCAUAAUCUAUCCCAUGUCUUUGUUUGAACCCCUUAGCUACUAAACGGGCUUUAUAUCUAUCCAAGCUCCCAUCAGAUUUUAACUUGGUUCUAUAAACUCACUUGCAAUCAAUAAUGUUGGUGGCUUUCCGGGGAGGAACUAAAUGCCAAGUCUUGUUUCUAAUCAAAGCAUCAUAUUCAACAUCCAUUGCAUCCUUCCAAGCUUUACUACUCAAGGCUUCUUCUAAAUAUUAAGGUUCACCACUAGAAGUAAAAAGAUUGCUGUAUUGAAUAGUACCAUAUGUAUAUACCUUGGUUUUCUUAUCCCGUCUUGUAGACGGGUGCAGCGUGAUGAAGUUUGAGUGGCUGGAGGUGCUUAUGGAGCUAUCACAGAUGAUCCUGGAGGAGCAGAAGAUCCCAGAAGCUCCAAUCCCGGAGGAGAUCCUGUUGUAGGUGCGUGAAUAAGGUAGGGAUGCGGUUCCCCCCUACGCUCCGACGCUGGACGCGUGGCGUCGUGCGACUGGCUCGUCAUCGGAUCGCCACCAGGCGCUGUCGGGUCUGCACGUGGAGUGGGGCACGUGGCACAGCCUAGUUGGGGCGGAUCAGCACUGGUAGGAGGGGCUGCCAUAGACCUUGCAUACGCUGAUUCCAACGGUGAUUCAGUUGGAUCAGCCACCAAAUGUUCCUGGAUUCGAGCCUUGGAUCCCCUGCAGCUGGUUCAACCUACACAGGCUUGGUUUCUUCACAAAAAUCACCACCAUUAGUCAUAUUACGCAUAUGAUCACCUACAUAUUCAUCCCCAGAACUUGGAUUCUGUAGAUAGGAAGGGAGGAGAAUUAUCUGUGAUCUGAGACAUGGUCCAGCAUUGGCGUGCAUGCUAGAGAAAGGGAAAACAUUCUCAUCAAAUACAACAUCACAGCAAAUAUAGAUGCGCCCUGUGGAUGUGUCAAGGCACUUAAACCCUUUAUGGAUGUUGCUAUAGCUAAGAAAGGUGCAUUGCUUAGAGCGAAACUCAAGUUUAUGCUUAUUAUAUGGGCGAAGAUGCGGCCAACAUGCACAACUGAAGGCUCUCAAGGAGGAAUAAUCUAGCUUGGUGUGGAACAAGCAUUCUAGAGGUGUUUCAAAAUUGAUAACUCAGCUAGGAGUUCGAUUAACGAGGAAUGUAGCUGUGAGAAAAGCCUCGUCCCAAAAUUUUAGAGGCAUGCUUGCAUGAGCCAACAAGGACAAGCCUACAUCUACAAUAUGCCUAUGCUUACACUCAGAUGAACCAUUUUGUUGAUGCGCAUAGGGACAUGAUACAUGAUGAUAGAUGCCAAGUUUGGCGAAAAAAGAGUUAAGAUUAUCAUAUUCACCACCCCAAUCUGAUUGAACUGCAAGGAUUUUUCCAUCAAAAAGUCACUCAACAAGAGAUUGAAAUUCAUGAAACUCGUGAAACACCUCAGACUUGAAUUUUAACAAAUAAAUCCAAGUCAAUUUGCUGAAAUCAUCGACAAAACUAACAUAAUAUUUAAAUCUCCCAACUGAAUGAGGUGCUAGACCCCAAACAUCAGAGAACACAAGCUCCAAAGGAUGACUAGAGACACUGGUAGAUUUGGGAUACGGCAACUGAUGACUCUUUGCUUGUUGACAAGCAUCACACACCGAUUUUUUUAUUCAACUCAAAACAAUAAUUAAGAUUAUGACUCUUAAGCACCCUUUCAACAAUGGGCAUUGUGAGGUGACCUAAACGACUGUGCCAUCUAUCAAGAGAUGUUUUAUUGUCUCCAAGAACUUGCUUUGUAGUUGCUGUGGGGGGAAGAGGAUAAAGCCCUCUUUGACAUGGUCCUCUAAGCAGAAUGCUCCUCGUGUCCCGAUCCUUUAUGCAAAAGAAAUUAGGGUGAAACUCCAAAAAGACAUUAUUAUAAGAUGCUAGAUGGUGAACAGAAACGAGAUUCUUUUGAGUAGAUGGGACAUGGAGAAUAUUGUGCAAAUUGAGAGGAUGACUAGGGGUAUGAAUAGUAGAUUGACCAAUAUGACUAUUAUGCAUACCUACACCGCUGGCAGUGUGGAUCUGUUUACCACCAUUGUACUUGUCAUGGACGGCCAACUUCUCUAGCUCUCCAGUAAUGUGACCAGUAGCACUGGUGUCUGUGUAGCAGUUGAUGUCGACAUCGUAGGAGUUUGUUGCUGCAGCUGUGAUGUGAUGCUGUUCAGGCACGAAGUCGUCUUCGAACCUUAGACAACUAUAGGGAUACGAGGUAAGCUACGCUAGCACAAAACAAAAACUUUCUACCGCAUAAACCAGGAAAACUGUCGUAUAUGGAUCACGGGAUUACCACUCGAUGCACUGGUGCGAAAGAUGUAGAAUUGUGUCGGGGCAGCGAAGUGGACCAGCGUAGUUGAACACGUAGUCGAUCACAUCGAUGUCGAGUAGCUCCUCAGCAGCUCGUCCACGUGCAGCUCGUCGUGGCUCAUCGGCGGCUCAUCGUGGCUCGUCCAAGUGCUGCAAGUGCAACACCUCCAAGGUAUCCACACGUGCAGGGAGGAAGUGUCACAAGCCGGACUGCUAGGUUCGUGAGUUGCAAUAGGGCGAGGCCGUGGGAGGUGUGGCAGGUGUGUUUUUGGCCAAAGGGAUGAAACCCUAGGGCACCCCACCCCUCUAUUUAUAGAGGUUCCUAACAAGCCUCUGGGUCCGAGGCCCAUUAGUACUUCUAAACCUGAUACAACUCGGAUCAUAUCCGAAUUGGGCUUCCAACCCCUUAAGUGUGUGACCCUAUGGGUUCGGAUAUGUAUAGACAUGGCCCGAGUACUCCUACUCGGCCCAAUAGUCGGUAGCAGCCUCUAGCAUGACGUGCUAACUCCUAUACACACACGAAGAUCAUAUCAGACGAACCGUCACAACAUCAUGUACAUGCUAUUCCCUUUGCCUCACGAUAUUUGGUCUAGCUUCAAGCCGACCGCUCUUUCUUGAUCAUGUGAUUUGGAAUCCCUUUGUAGGUUAACUCUUAACCGUACGUAGCAUGGCCAUGCAUUUUCGGAUCCGAUGACUCGAGCGGCCCAGAGAUAUCACUCUUAAUCAAAGAGGGGCAAAUCCCAUCUUGAUUGACUAUGCCUCACAGCAUGCUUCCUGACAAACCUGAAAGCUACCUUUUUAACUACCCUAUUACGGUGUAGCAUUUGAUAGCCCCUAAGUAAGUCGAUCCACAUCUUGAGUACAUGCGACAAUCUCUGGUCUAAGGACAAAGCAUACUUGUUGUGUAAAGAGAGAACUACUUCUCAUGUUGGGUCAGUCCUAGCACAUGUCUCUACAUACGCCUACAUUAUUAGUUUGACAUGUCCAUGUCCAUGACUUGUGAAACAUAGUCAUCAACUAAUACAUGUACUAGUCUAAUAUUCAUGUGUGUCCACACAUGAACUCCGACUAGGGACAACUUUUAGAAUAACUAUACUAGUAAAGAGUUCCACAUACAAUUCACAUAAUUGCAGAUCAAUUCAAGUAGCCUUUAAUGGAUAUUCAAUGAACACAAUAUACAAAUCAUGGAUACAAUCAGAUAUCAUCAUCUAUAUGAUAUCCUCUAGGGCAUACCUCCAACAACAACACCUGUCCGCAGUAUGCCCAUACUUGAGCAGACUUGGCACUAAGGGCGUAAGGAAGAGUUGUUGUUGCCACCACGAUGUGGAGGGUUGUUGUUGUAGCCGCGCCCCAUGACAAUGCCCUGACGCGCGGUGCUGCUGCUGGUGUUGUUGUUGCCGUUGCCGCGGUCAUUGCCUCGACCACCUACGCCACUGCGAUCGUGGCCAUUGCUUCUGCCACGGCCGUCGCCAUGGCUGCCCCGGUUGGCCAGAUUGGCUGACGAGCCAGAGCCGCUUCCUCCGCUAGUGAUGAGCUCCAUGCAUGUUUCAAACGCAAGGAGCUGGGAGUAGAGCUCAUCCACUAAAACAAGCUUUGGUCUAGCAACCAGAGCGGAGAUGAUCGGGUUGAAGUUGAAGUCGAGGCCCGUGAGUAUGUACUCCACGAGCUCAGAGUCUUCAAGUGCUCUCCCAGCAGCAGCCAUCUCAUCACCAAGAGCAUGCAUCUUGCCUACAUACUCAGCAAAAGAUUGGUUACCUUUUGAAGCAGUGGCAAGUGCAAGAUGGAUGUUGAUUGCGCGUGCCCUUGUCCUGGACGCAAACAUCACUUCAAUUGCCCCCCAUAGCUGUGAUGCAGUCUCCCUUGUAGACACUUGAGGAAGGACUUCUCUUGUCAGCAAGGCGAGGAUGAACCCAGAACCUGCUGAUCUGUGGCGUACCUAUAACGACCAACCCCAAAUCUUUCAAGUUAAUCAACUCCGAGUCCCUAAUCCCCCUCUCAGUUACCCGAGUUGAGUGCUCACCCUCAGUUCUGGUCCCGACCCCCGGUCUUGACCCCAGAGAUCCGACCCCUCUCCGUUGGUUCCCCGUUCCGACCCUGCUGACCCCAAACCCAUACCGCCAGAUCCUUCUAAGUCUUCCCACAAUAUCUCUUUUCAAUCUGAGCAGUGGACCAACCGAGACUGACCGGUGGGCCCACAAAAUCUUUUCCCCAGAUCUUCCGAGACAGACGCACUCGUGUAGCAUGCCCACCUCAGAGCUUCUCCACCGCGUGGCUCAACUUCUCCGACACCCGCCGCUCCGCCUCGUCGCCGACCAUGACUGGAUGGAUUCUCGCGCCCCCUUUCCCAAUCGCAGCGGAAGCUCCUCUGCUACCCUUUCUGCAGUACCUCACGGCUCGCGCCCAUCAUCACCCCACCGGACCCCGGCUAUAGAGCCUGAUGCCUUCCGUCUUUUCCGCCACCUCUCCACCGUCGCGCCGCCCCUGAUGCGCUACGCGAUGAUUCUUCCUCCGCCAACCCCGACCCCGGCCGCGAUAGCUCCUUUUCCGCCCUGUCAGAGCUGCGCCCCCGACAAUCUGUUGCUUCGCGCUCGCCCGCGCGACCGCAGCUUGCCUGUGUUCGCACCUGUGUGCCCUCGCUUCUAGCGCCGUUCCCCUGGUCACUUCCAUCAGAUCCCCCGCACGACGACGCCCGCCUCCGCCAAAUCUUAACCACCGGCAAAACCACGCCUGUGCCGCCCUGUCUUCGGUGCCCAAUGGCCGACGGUGUCAUCCCCGAAGUCCUGCUCCGCCGGCCCGCUGCUCAAUCGCCACCCCGGCAGCGCACUCCAUCGCUUCUUCCCGGUCUUCGUGCCGCUCUAACCCUCUUUCCUCCGCGUAGCUAUAUAAGGGAAUACCAGAGCCCCGCCGGAAUCCCCUUCGCCAUCGCUGCCCUUCCGCCUUGCUCUCUGUUUCAUGCUCGAGCACUACAGCCUAAGUCCCUGAGGAACUCUCCUCUCUGCUUCACAUCCGCCCUUUCCAAUCCACUCAGCCGCUUGCUCCUCCGCGCUGCACAAGAACUUGCUUGUGGUCCACAAGAAGCACCGCUGCCGCCGGAGCACAGCUGGACGUCACCGCUGCAAAUCUUAGUGCUCCAGUUCCUCCGCCCAAGUCUGCUCUUUCCCGACCCCAAGCUUCACCUGUAAGACGAAGGUAAGCUACCGACCCCUUGUCCGUCUCGCCCGACCCUACCUGUUUCGCCGACCCUGCUCGGCCUCGCCUGAAGGCACGGCUGUAUCUUUUUCCUUGACCUGAGGGUAUAUGUGUAACAAUUGGGGACUUCUCUGCGUUAAGUCUGAGGACCCCUAGCACAUCUAUUCCUCUAGUCUAAGGGUCAGAUCAUAAGCUUCUUCCCAUCCGACCCUUUUACCUUGUUCUUCUCCAACUCAAGUGAACUUGCUCACUUUUCCCGUAGCCUUGCUACAAAGUUCUGAGCUAGAACUCGCAAGUGUUGCUGUUGAAAUAAUCGUCUAAAUGCUAACCCCUGCAUUGCAUUUCGUGUAGAGUUGCAUCUCGCCGACGGCUUCUACGAGCUGCACCCAGCACCAAAAGACGAAGCUGCAACCGAGCUCCCGCUUCCAGAAGCCGAAGCCGCCCAAGUAGAAGAGCAGCUUUCCCCCUCCUUGUUUGAAGGCAAGCCCCGGAGCAUGAACCCCAGUUUCCCAAACUUGCGCAUGCCUUCUGCAUCUUGUUUGUGCAUUUACGUAUAGGAGUUGUUUGCAACCAUAGAUGCAUGACUUAGAUCCCUAGAGCUGAACACUAGUAUGUUGGGUCCGAGUAGUUGCUAUGCUUAAUAAGGAGCGGUAAAAGCCGAGUGAUUUCCUAUCACUCGCGAGUUGUAGGAGUUGGGUGGUUCUCCUUCUGUUACAACGAUAAGGACGAUGGACGGGGCAGGGUUUGGUUAACUCUUUGGUGGUCGGCUGAUCGCCCCGUCUGUCUAUGGAACUUGUUAAGGACCAACAGUGGUGGUGUUCGUGAUCAAGUGUUUGAAAGUACUAACCUCAUACUUAUUGUGAGAUGAGGAAGCCGAGUACCGGAUUGAACCUAGACGUGAGCGGUCGCCCCAUUGUCCUUGGAACGGAGUUUCCCCUGCGGCCACACGUGGUGGUAAGUGUGGUCACAGAACGGCAGAGGCCGGGUCUGUGGAACAUUGCACCAAUGGAAAUGGGCCCGACACGGGUUAGGGAAAUGAUGGGGAAGGCCGAUACAGGAAGCGACCCUCGGUGGUGCGCGGAUGUCGUGAGGUUAGGUUCACCAUGCAUGGUUAAAGAACUCGAAUCGAUUCGUCUGCCUCUCACAGUUUGAGACUACUUGAUCGCUAUGCUACCCUGAGUAAUAAAGGAAUCUGAUGAUGACAUGGUCUCAAUGAUGAUAUAUACCUUUUGGUUGGUUCUAUGUUUGCUUAGAGUAAGUUGCUAACUUAGACCGGAUAAUGAACUUAGAACCUGAGCUAAAACUUGAAAAUAGGGAUCUACAUAGUGCUUUUGGCAAACAACCCCUCAGCCAAAGAGCCUUGCAUGUCUAGAAGUGGUGGAGUAGUUACUCCCGGUCGGUUAAGUCUUGUUGAGCUUAGUAGCUCAGCCUUAUUGUGGCUUUUCUUUUUCAGGUGAAGCCGCUGCUCCCGAGUCUUCUUCUGUUGGCACUUGGCCGCCCCAACUCCCUCCGGGUUGGACGGUCGAGUGGGAUCCUUCCUCGGACGGCGAGGAGAAGGAUCACUGACGUCUUGGCUGGCCUCACCAAGGACGUCCGACCCCCUGCGUUUAGCUUCCGCUGUUUUACCUUCUGUUGUUUCCUUUGAGCCAUGUAAAACUUUGUUUUUGUUUUGUUGUUGAGCUAAAUGGCCAAAUUUGUUUAACUCAGUGGACUUGUUGUAUUCUCUGGAACCGCUCACCUUCGUGUGAGUUUGCUAACUCGAUCCUGUUCAAGUGGUUAAAUCGGAUGAAAUCCGACGGCACUUCGUGUUAACUUGGCUAAGGCAUGAGUGUCACGUGUUAGGCGACUUAACCAUGUUUAGUCAAGCUAAUCCGAAGCGGAUCCGCCAUAGCUGGUAUCAGAGCAGGUUUAGCAAGACAGAGAACACAAUAGGCCCUAAAACACUUCUUCUAAAUAAAAGUUGUGUUGACACCAGAUUUCGUCACAAGUAAAAUCGGCGUCAGGAGAAGAAGAAAUGGGAAGGUACAGUAGAAUACAGGGGUGACAGUUGGAAAUUGGCCGAAUGGCGCUACAGUUAGAGAUCGGUUGGUUGGUGCUACAGUCCAGGAUCGACCAAUGCUACAGUACAGGAUCGGCCGAUGGAUCUUUAGAAAUUCUGCCUCGCUUAACCCUUGGGGUUUGGAUCGGACACGCCUGGUUCCCGAUUGGUUACCUUUUUGCCAAUGAGGAAUCGGCCGAUUAGGAGGUUGAAAUAAUUGGGCCGGUAUGGGCUUGGAAAGGAUUAGAAGGAUGAAGAGGAAAUCAGCUCAUGAAGCUUAUAAUAACCAACCUAUUUGAAUUAGGGAUAGAGUUCUAGUCAGAUAAGGAGUUGUCUAUACGGGGCUAUAAAUAGCCACCUUUGAAGAUCUGUAAUCAUAUCAACUACUCAAUACAACCAAUUACUAUUUCCUCGUACUUACUUUCAAGCAGGCGACUUCGCCAAAUACUUUCUUCUUUUUCACGAGUUCGUACGGGUUGGCAGGGCUACAUCAAUUUGACCUCCGGCCGAUCUUGUAAGUUCCGUUUACCGAGUAAAUUCUAAGCUUUAACUUCGGGUGCAUCGCUGUUGUUUCGUUUAGAUUUAUUCACUAGUUAUCGAUAUUUACUAGAAUUGUAGGUUUUACCUGUUUUUCUAGUUUUAUCACCAGUUAUCCAGCUAGGAAUCGACAGUUUCGGUUUUUCUCAUAUUCUGUUGUUUAAUUUACUUAUUCCACGCAUAGCCGAUUAGAUCUGUUCCUAGUGUUGCUACUAUAGCGUUGUACCGAUUACUUCAAUUAGUCGUCGUUCACGCUGCCUGAUAGUCGGCUGCUUCAUAGUCGAUUUCUUUAUUACGGCAAAUCGGCCGAUUCGCUAGUAAGCUCCCUCGAGAUCGGAAAUUUAGCUGAUCGUGGCUUUUGGAUCUGACAGGUAUUCUUCAUUGCCAAUCAACAGGUCAGAUUGGCUGGCACGCCGCGCGAACCGCACCAGGGCAAUCACCCGAACAGGAGUUAAGCAGAUUCUCCCGGGUCGUGUGUCAGACGCUUGGGAUUCGGUUGACCGAUUUCUAGCGCCAACACACUUUUGGCACGCCCAGUGGGACAAACACAACCGCCACCAUGUCAAAAGCAGCUGAAGUCUCCGAAGAUAACGUCAUCGAAGUGACAGAGGCAGAUCUCAGGGAUGACCAGAAGGAAGAACUAGAAAAGCAGACGGCACAAUACCGAAAGGUUUGCCUGCAGUUCUUCAGUCGCACCAGAAGCGGGGAGACUAUCAAAAAGUCUCCGUUUCCAACUCCCCGCCAGAUCACAAUCACCGAGGACUCGGACAAGAUGGCCGAGAUGGUCCAACAGUCCGUUUAUCACGCCUUCAUUGAUCAAUCCCCGGUGCUUGCAAAUACGGUGUACAAUGCCGUCAUCAGCUCCUUGGCUAGCGGGGUACCUCAAGGGUACAAGGGACCGGCAUAUGCUCCGCCGAUUCCACCAAACAAGGGUUAUCUAAAUUCGGCUUCUCAGCCGAUUCAAUUUCCUGUUGGGGGUUCAGGCGCUUCCUCAUCAUCAAUUCCUUUGGGGUAUAAUGGCACACAACACCUCCAGCCACACCCCGUUCAGCUGUCCUUCGCGCCGUUCCCUCCAGUUAAUCCAGCGCCUUGGGGGGCACCAUCAGCUAUGGCCGUUCAUGAUCAAUCGACCGGUCAGGGAAGUCCCCAAUUCCAGGCAUCUUUCCAAGCAGCCACUCGACCAACCAUGCCACCGUACCAGGCUGUCGCACCAGAGAUGAGCAAAGCAGUAGAGCUCGUACUAUACGAUGAGACGAGUGGCUCAUUCAAACAGCCGAUCCUGAAUACACAACCGGCUUUCACUCAGAUGCCACAUACUUUCACUCAGCAUCAGGCCAUUCCACCUCUGAUGUACCAGCACGUGCCAGUCCCUCAGCCAACAGUUUACCAGCAACAGCCGGACUGGUCAGCACGUAUAGUAGAAGUGAUUCAGGAACAAUUCGGCUUGAAGCCGAAGGUACAGACUUACACAUAUAGGACACCAUACCCAUCUACGUACAACCUACUGCCGUUUCCCCAUCGGUAUAAAGUUCCUGACUUCACCAAGUUCUUGGGGAUGGAUGACACUUCAACCGUGGAACAUGUUAACAGGUUCAUCAUCCAAUGUGGAGAGGCAGCAGCGCAAGAUGCUCUACGGGUGCGGCUAUUCUCGUCAUCCUUGUCUGGGUCGGCCUUCCAGUGGUUCACGACAUUACCGCCGAACUCGAUUAUUACAUGGGCCGAUUUGGAAAGACAAUUUCAUAAAUACUUCUACGCCGGUGUGCAUGAGAUGAAGCUGUCCGAUUUGACCAGCCUCAAGCAGAGAAGCGACGAGCCGAUAUCCUCAUAUGUACAGAGGUUUCGGGAAAUCAGGAACAAAUGCUACUCUUUGGCUCUAAACGACGCACAGCUGGCUGAUAUAGCCUUUCAAGGUCUCCUGCCCCACAUCAAAGAUAAGUACGCCUCACAGGAGUUUGAGAGCUUAAGCCAAAUCGUCCACCGAUUGUCUGGACAGGAGGUACGUUCUUUCAAUCCACGGAGGAACUUUCAAAAGAAGGUUGUGUUCCUGGAAGAGGUUGAAGCCGAAGAAGAUGCUGAGGUCGGUCUUGCGGAGUGGGUCAAGGGAAAGAAGCCAAUAUCAUGCCCGUUCGGCAAGAAAGAGCCAGAAACGUUCGGCUUUGACAUGACGAAGGCCGAUAAAAUCUUUGACCUUCUCCUCCAGGAAGGACAGAUCAAGCUCUCGCCAUAUCAUACAAUACCUUCUGCCGAACAAUUGAAGAAGAUGAAAUAUUGCAAGUGGCACAACGCUACAUCCCAUGACACUAAUGAGUGCAAAAUCUUCUAGCAGCAGAUACAGUCGGCCAUUGAGCAGGGCAGACUUAAGUUUGAAGUACCAACAAAAUCAGCCAAGCCGAUGAAGAUCGACCAGCACCCCUUCCCCACCAACAUGGUUGACACAGGGAGGAACUCGCUCCAAACAAAGGUGCUGACGUCCGAAUCGGCUAAAAAGAGUGGUGCCAUGGACCCCAGGAAUCAAGCUACACCUGAAGAUGUCAAGGGGAAGCGGCGGAUCGAGGACGACGACGGUGAAUCGGGUGAGCCACGCAUUACUUCCCAAUUCCUGCUCCAAAAAUAUCAGCGGCAGCAUGAACGCUCAAGAUCCCGGGAAGAAGCGAUGCGGCGACACGAAGAUCACUGGAGGUGCCCGUUCUUCAUCCACUGUUGGGAGAGCAACCUCAGGCUACCUUCGGCCGAUAAUUGCCCUGAAUGCAACGGCCCGUAUCGUAACAAUCGGCCAUUCAACAGGUCUCGCUCCAGAGAUGGGAGACCAGAACCGAUCAACAGGAAUUGGCACGACCAAGACGAUCGGCGCCCUCCCGUGCGUGAUCGGCUGGGGGGCAGAAGUGACCGAUAUGACCGAUCAGAAGACAGACGCCAUGACAGGCCGGGGGGUAGGUUUGAUCAACAUGACCGGCUAGAAAACAGGGCCAACGUUCACAGUCGGCUUGAAGAGAUGGCCGACGCUCAGGUGACAGACGAAAACCCUUUAGGACGCGAGCCGGAGUGGGAACGCGCCAGGCCAAGAACCAAACCAGUAAACCCCAGGUGGUGUCCCGACGGAUUGACCAAAUCUCAAAAAUGAAGGAUCCAACGUCUCCGCCAAUGGGAGCAGCAGGAGGAAGAACAACAAUGCACGACGGACAAGAGGGAAGGCAGGUCUCGGGUGUGGCGCCCCACAAGAAACGAUAGAGGGGGUGACGAAUCGGCAGGCGAUGAAUCAGCAGCCGACAUCGGUAUGGUUUUCAUACUGCCGAUGGAAUUUAUGACUCCUGCCGACCGACAGGAUAUGUCGGCGAUAGAAGAACAUAUGGCACAAUUGGCUUUGGAGCCCAUGAUAGCCACGUUCGAGAAGCUCGAAGACGACAAACGGCAACAUCUGAAAGCGUUGUUCCUUAAAGGGCAUGUCAACGGCCGACCCCUCACCAGAUUAAUGGUGGACGGAGGAGCCGCAGUCAAUAUCAUGCCAUAUGCCGUGCUCCGGAAGCUUGGGAAAAGCGAUGAUGACUUGACCAAGACAGACAUGAUGCUCAAAGACUUCGAGGGCAACGUGUCUCCUACUCGCGGCGCCCUCUGCAUCGACCUCACCAUCGGCAGUAAGACCCUUCCCACUACCUUCUUUAUUAUUAAUGGCAAGGGAUCCUACAACAUGCUACUCGGCCGAGACUGGAUACACGCAAAUUGCUGCAUCCCAUUGACAAUGCAUCAAUGUCUUGUACAAUGGGUCGGCGACAACAUCGAGGUGGUCAACGCCGAUUCCGCAUACAGCAUCGCGGCAGCCGACACGCAGGAGUGGAGCUGCGAAACCGUCAAGUGCAUAUCCGGUAGAGUAUGGGAUACUGACUUCCUGAAGGUGUCCGAUUUUGGCCUACAGCCGAUCCGAGCAGUCGGCUCCGAAGACUCAGAUUAAAUGGAUCAGUUCGCCCGAGAAGAUGGGAAGCUAGGGCACGGGUUCACGUUGGCCGAUUCAUUAGAGAUGGUAGACUUAGGCGAUGGCACCAAGUCAAGGCCGACUUAUAUUAGUGCAAAUUUAGACUCGGAAUACAAAUGUAAACUGACAAAUUUGUUAAGAGAAUUUAAGGAUUGUUUUGCUUGGGAGUAUCAUGAGAUGCCUGGAUUAGAUCGAUCUAUCGUUGAAUAUCGGCUACCCAUAAAACCAGGAUAUCGGCCGUAUCAACAGCCGGCACGGCGGUGCAAUCCUAAAAUUCUACCACACAUAAAAGCCGAAAUAACUCGGCUAAUCGAAGCCAAAUUUAUUCGGCAAUGCCGUUAUGCCGAGUGGAUCUCCAACAUUGUACCAGUGUACAAGAAGAACGGAAAGCUACGCGUGUGCGUUGAUUUCAGGAAUCUUAAUCAGGCCACACCGAUGGACGGGUACCCCAUGCCAACGGCCGAUGUGCUGAUAGACGCUGCCGCGGGACACAAGAUUAUUAGCUUCAUGGACGGAAACGCUGGGUACAAUCAAAUACUUAUGGCCAAAGAGGACAUACCCAAAACGGCCUUCAGAUGCCCGGGCCACCUUGGUUUAUUCGAAUGGGUGGUGAUGACUUUUGGCUUGAAAAACGCCGGCGCCACGUAUCAGAGAGCCAUGAACUACAUAUUUCACAAACUCAUCGGCAUUCUGGUAGAAAUCUACAUCGACGACGUCGUAGUCAAGUCCAAAGGACACGAAGAGCAUCUGGCCGAUUUGCGAAAAGUGUUGGAAUGCACUAAGAAACAUGGGCUGAAGAUGAACCCAAAUAAAUGUGCCUUCGGCGUGUCCGCUGGACAGUUCUUAGGAUUCAUGGUGCACGAGCGGGGAAUAGAAAUCAAUCGGAAGACCAUAGCGGCUAUCAACAAAGUCGUGGCCCCGCAGAAUAAAACUGAAUUGCAGUCUCUAAUCGGCAAGGUGAAUUUCAUCAGAAGAUUCAUAUCUAAUCUAUCCGGGCGGAUCCAGGCUUUCACACCACUAUUAAAGUUGAAGCCUGACCAGGAGUUCAUAUGGGGGGAGGAGCAACGCAAGGCACUGGAAGAUAUCAAGCAGUACUUGGUCUCACCACCGGUAUUGGUUCCUCCUCAAACUGGUAAGCCAUUUAAAUUAUACUUAUCAGCCGAUGAAAAGGCUAUUGGGUCGGCUCUAGUCCAGGAAUUCGAAGGAAAGGAACGAGUAAUUUAUUAUGUCAGUAGAAGACUUCUGGACGUUGAAACAAGAUAUCCUCCAGUAGAGCGGUUGUGCCUGUGUCUUUACUUCUCAUGCACCAAACUCAGGCACUAUUUACUGACGGCAGAAUGCGUGGUCGUAUGCAAAGACGACGUAGUAAAAUACAUGCUGUCACUGCCGAUCUUGAAAGGACGAAUCGGCAAAUGGAUCUUAGCUUUGUCAGAAUUUGACCUGCGGUAUGAAUCGGCGAAAGCCGUCAAGGGUCAGGUCAUGGCCGAUUUCGUCGCCCAACACUGCGGACCAGAGACUACCUUCGUAGAUCUGGUGCCUUGGACUUUAUACUUUGAUGGAUCGUCAUGUGGGGUCGUAUCAGGAAUCGGCAUCGUCCUCAUAUCGCCUUGGGGGGCAAGUUAUGAUUCUUCACUGCCGAUAGAAGCCACCGCCACUAACAAUCAAGCAGAGUACCGGGCUGUAUUGAAGGGUUUACAACUACUAAGAGAAGUCAAGGCCGAUUCUGUUGAAGUCUUCGGAGAUUCCAUGCUUAUUGUGGAUCAAUUAACGGGGAGGUCCGAAUGCAAGGACGAUGUAUUGAGAAUUUAUUAUGAAGAUUGCCUGCAGCUCUUAAAAGAAUUUAAAUCGGCAGUAAUCGAGCACAUCCCAAGGGAUCACAACGAGGAUGCCAACAAACUCGCCCAGCACGCAUCUAGAUAUCGGCCAAUUCUAGGUGCUAUGGCUUUGGAACUCGCGGCUGAUGACUGGCGAAAAGAAAUUGCCGACUACUUGAAAGAUCUGUCUAAGAAAGUGGAUCGACGGGUGCGUUUCCAUGCUACCAAAUACGUACUGCUUGAAGACGACUUAUUCUACCAAACGAUUGACGGUGUCCUGCUCAAAUGUCUGGAAAUAGAGGAGGCUAAGACUCUGAUGGGAGAAAUCCAUGAAGGGGUGUGUGGAGCCCAUCAAUCGGCCCAUACGAUGAAAUGGAUGAUCAGGAAUAAUGGGUAUUACUGGCCAACGAUCCUCGAAGAUUGCUUCAAAUAUUAUAAGGGAUGCCAGGAUUGUCAGAAAUUCGGGAAUGUCCAAUGUGCGCCCGCAUCGGCCAUGAAUCCCAUUAUCAAGCCAUGGCCGUUCAGAGGAUGGGGAAUAGACCUUAUCGGCCAAAUUUACCCUCCAUCAAGCAAAGGGCACAAAUUUAUUUUGGUGGCUACCGAUUACUUUACCAAAUGGGUGGAAGCAGUUCCGUUAAGAGCCGUGACAUCGGCUACCAUGGCCGACUUCGUAAGGGACCAUAUCGUCUACCGAUUCGGUAUUCCCCAGACUAUUACAACCGAUCAGGGAACAAUGUUCACAUCAGGGGAAUUCGAGGAAUUCACAGCCGAUAUGGGAAUCAAAUUGUUAAACUCCUCUCCAUAUUACGCCCAAGCUAACGGCCAGGCCGAAUCCUCCAACAAAGGGAUAAUUAGGUUAAUCAAAAGGAAGAUAGAGGAGCAGCCGAAAAAAUGGCAUCUAUGUCUAACUGAAGCCCUAUGGGCAUAUAGGAUGGCUUGCCAUGGGGCCACCAAGUUAUCCCCUUAUCAGUUGGUGUACGGUCACGAUGCAGUACUACCGUGGGAAUCAAGGGUGGGAUCGAGGCGCAUUUCACUCCAGGACCAGUUAACGGCCGACGACUACUCGUCACUCAUGAAAAGGGAACUUGAUGACUUGGCUGGUCAGCGAUUGAGAGCUUUGAUAAGCAUUGAGGAAAACAAGAAGAAAGUGGCCAUGUGGUAUGAUAAGAAGGUCAAAGUCAAACAAUUCUCCCCAGGGGACCUGGUUUGGAAGUUAGUAUUGCCGAUUGGGUCGAAAGAUCCUAAAUUCGGAAAGUGGUCCCCUACAUGGGAAGGGCCAUAUAAAAUCGGCAGAUGUGCUCCGGGAAAUGCUUAUAUUUUGGAGACAAUUGAGGGAGAAGAGUUUACUAGGGCUCUGAACGGAAGGUACUUGAAAAGAUACUACCCUAGUAUAUGGGUCGGAGCAUAAAGGAUCGACCACAAUACAACGGCACACAGCCGAUACAAAAAGGUUCGUCUAGAAAAAACAUGUAAUUGUCCAAAUCGGCCGAUGUAUUCAUUCGGUACGGAUGGUGGGUUACACGGCCGACAAGGUGCAAGUCGCCCUUAGAACAAAAAAUAAUAAUUAACCAUUCUUUUUCUUACGCUCUCUCUCAGCCCAACCUAACUCUAUCAUAAGACGGAUGUACUCUUCUUCUAUCUCUUUCAUCGAAGCCUCCGCUUCGACUUGACGGGGAAGAGGGUGGCUCCGGUCCAUGGCCGGGCGCGAUGUUCCUGCUGCCGCAUCUUCAAGGGCCACUCGUGGAGGAAGCGGAUGACUUCUGUCGGCUUGAGGUCGCCGGUGGGCGUUGCCGUCCAGAAAGUCCCAGAUCCAACGGAUGUCAGCAGGGACAUGUUCUUGAAGUUCGUCACGAUGAGCCCUGAUUAAAUCCUUGUCCUCUGACGACAACAGUUCAUCAGAGUGCAUGAGCUCGAUGGCGCGCUCAAGUUCGGGGCUAAGGCGUCGAGGCUGAGGAAAGAACGAUUUAAAAAGUGAUCUCCUUCAAAAGAGCUAAACUGAGAAGAAGGAUCAAGGUAAGAUUUUCACCUGGUUAACAGAAGAAGAGGAAGACGAUGAAGACAUGACUGAAGGUUGCGCCGACGAGAGCAGAUUGGGGAAAUAAAACCAAGCCAAACUGGUACUCUCGGAAGGAGGGUCUAGGCCGGUACUUAUAAGAAAAAGAGGCGUAGAUAUUUGGUAAAGGUGCAUCCCGUCGGAAGUAAGAAAGGCAAUGAAUAAAAGAGGCGUCGCGAAGGACGGUCAAAGCAGUCAUUAAAGGUUCGUACAAAAUAGUUAGUACUUUUACAGAUUACCUAGAAGGGCAUCGAUAGCCGCAAUCGCUCGAUGCCGGAUCUGAUCGGCAGAGUCCAAAAUCCGUUGGUCAUCAUCCGCCGAUCCGGGGACUUCUGACGCACUGCGGUGGAGUUUUAGGGCUUCAUGGGCCAAAUGCUGCCUCUCCUGUUUUAGAUCAGCGAUGACAGAAGGGAGUUCUUGGAGCCUUUUCUCUUCGGCAUUUAUUGCCUUGGUCACCUGUUCCAUCUCCUUGGCGAGCUCCGCCCUUCGGCGUUUGAGGCGAUCUAUCUCGCCGACGAUCCCUGGGCGGGAGUCCUUCAGAAAAUGAAUGCGUUGGUGCACCUCUUGGGCCUGACGUUUAUACGCAUCCUCUUCUUCACGAGUCUUGGCCAACUUGGCGCGAUCGGCCAUGUGACGAAGGGCUCUGAAGACCGGGAUCCUCAUCGACUCGAUGUAUGCGGCCGGCGCCAAGGCUUCCUCCGCUUCUUCCGGCACUCGUCCGCUGACGUCACCAAAGAGCUGCCGAAUCGGCGAGGCAUCUUCUACCAAUCGGCCGAUGUCUUCUUGAAGAAGGGAUCGGAUGCUGGCAAGUUUGGCUCGAACGUCGUCGGUUGGAGCUCAAGGUGACCUGGCGGGAGGCGACUUCUUCGUCGUCAGAGAGGGCGACCGCAAAAGAGAAGAGGCUGUUGUCAGGGGUGUCCUGUUCCUGGAAAUAAUAAAGAAGAAAAAUAAAUCGGCUAAAUAAAGUUGAAAGAUUUCUUACCUCUUUGAAUCGGAUUUCCUCAAGCUGCAUUUGGGAAGCCGUUAUCCUCGGUUCAGGGGCUGGUGCCAUGGGUUCGUCAGAGGAAGAAGACUCCAUGAUGAUUGGUGUUGUGCUUGGACCAGCUUCCCGAGAGGGGACCAGUGGUUGAGGGGCGCUUGGCGUGCCGAUGACCUGUGUCAAAAGGUUGAAUAAGCACAUUAUUCAAAUACUAGGGGAAUCGGUGAAAUAGUGUUAUACCUCAAUGGAUGGAAGCGGGGGCGCGUCGAUGGCCGAUUGGGUUGCUACCGAUUGUUGUGUGUCCAUAGGGGUAAUCUGUGCAGUCUAAGAUAAGAAGGAUUAAUAUCGAAACAACAAUUGGAAGGGUUAAACAUAAGUUUACCUGCACGGCCUCUAACAGUAGUGACGCAGCGGCUACCCCAGCUUGCGCGACAACUUGAGUGUCGAUGUCUCUAGCAGCUGGAAGAGGUGGUGCGGCCGAAAUCUCUACUGAUACGAUCGUGGGAGGAUCUGUCGAUUCUAUACGGGCUCGGACUCGACGACUGGUCUUCUUGGUGACUUUUUUCUGCGCUUGCUUCGAUCGGCCGGCAAUUACGUCCACGGAAGGGGCGUGACAGCCGAUAAGAGGAAAAGUGGUGUAUGGAUGAUGAUCUUCUAUUAGCCGACCACUCCGGGUGUGUGUUGGGGGGACACGGUUCUCGGACUGAAGCAAUAGCAAAACGUUAGUGUUCAGCUGCGUUGAUAAAAGAAUAAAAAUCGGCUAAGGAAAAAUACCUUGGCGUUCGGGUGGAUGUUGGUUGGGUCCAGGAGAUUGCAGUAUGCCGAUGCGGAGUUGCAGAAAAGGAAUUGUUUCCAUUCGGCCCACCAAAGCUUGAAAGGCUAGACAGCAAAGGGAGCUACUAUCCAGUUGUUCAAGGCAAUAGUGGUGGAGUCUGGGAUCCGGUCUCGCAGCCGACUGUAGUCUGGACCUGUUGUAAGCCCAUCUCUGAACUUGGCUCGGCCAGCAAAAUCCACUUGAAUCAGCAGCUGACCCAUGCCGAGUUGACGUGCUGCAGCAGAGGGAUUGUAGAACUCAUAUGUAGGAGCAUCUUUCCCUGAAAAGAAGUUGGUUGGCAGGAUUCCCAGUUUGAUUAACUCAUCGGUGAGGUCCUCGUCGAAUCGGCCAGUGGUCGAGUCGAAGCAAGUUGGGAGUUCGAAGAUUGGGUCAUCUCACCGAUAAGGAAACCAGACGGUUGCAUCUUCAUUGAAACCGUUGUAAAAGCAUCGGAAGUACUCGGCCACUUUCGUAGCAGAGUACAGGCAACCGGGGAAGGCCGAUGCCGCUUCACCAAAAGAUGUGCAUCGGCGUCGAGCAGUGGGAUCUUCUGCCGAUUCAAUGUUGGGGAACGUCAUGUGUUCCACCCUCUGCUGAGAGAUCUUGCUCAUAUACAGGUUCAGCCACAAAUUGAUGAACCACCAGGGUCCGCCUGGAUUUCCAAUCGGCUCCCCCUUGGAAAGUUUGAUGCCGAUUUGAUGAAGCAUGUGGUAUGCCGCUCCUAGCAAGUGUUUUCUGAGAGGAACAGGAGUUCCUAUUGAUAGUGCUUCUGCUAAGGCUUGGGUGUUGGUUGAUGGGCCGGCUGCUCUCCCGCAAAAGAAAUGUUUUUCCAACCACAUCCUUAGGAAGGCCGUGUGCUCCCUGUUCUCAACAGACCCGGCCCUUUUGUUGCAUCUGAUAAAUCCUUUCCACCCGCUGAUUCCCCUCGUGUCCAGUCGAUGCGAUGUUGCGGCUAAGAGGUGGAAAGGUGUCCGGGGAGGAGAUGUCUAGGCCGGUCAGCAGAACCACAUCGGCCAGUGUGGGGGUCAUAGGUCCAUGUCCAAAGAAGAAUGCAUUGAGGGCAUCAGACCAAAAGUAAGAGGCUGCUAUCACCAAUGGUUCAUUUCGCUCCAUCUGGGACAAAGAUAAGUUGAUGCAUUGGCCGAUUUUGAGCUCAUCCCAUUGGACCCUCUUCGGUUCGGCUAUCUGUUGGUACCACUCCCUCCAACCAGGAGUUUCGUUCGGCCAAGACCUAAAGGUGCCCAGCCAGUGAUCCAGGUCCAUGGUGGAUUGUUUGAAGGGGAUUCUAUGGGUUUCCAAAUUAAUGAUCUCGGUUGGAUCUGGGUUCCCCAUGGGUCCGAGACAGAUAAGGCCGGGAUUUCCCGUAAGAUGGAUAGUGAUACGAUGUCUAACUGCCUAAAAAAGGAAAGGGGGUGCAAAAGUAAGAAAUAGAUCUAAAGUAAAUGCAUUGCCGAUAGAGGAAGGAUUCGGUAAUAACCUCAGGGAUGAAGUUCCUUGUAGUCGGCGUGACCGCCGGUGCAGCUGCGGAGGAUGAGGCCGCUAUUGGGAUCGCCAUUGGGAUCUCCAAUGAAGCUCCUUCUUCCGACGACGGAGCCACCACUGUCGCUACUUCCGCCGGAGGUGCCAUUUCUGGAGCAGCGCACGCGGGUGAGUUGCCUGAAGGUGCCGCCAUUGGAGGGGAGGAGGAGAAGUGAGAGGAAGAUGGUGCUAGAAAGCUUUGGAGCUAAGGGAAAGUGCUGGGGGAAGAAGAAGGCGUGGGCGCUGAGGAAGAAGGAUGUGAGCUUGAAAAGGAGGUGCGGGGUGUACUGAUAUUUAAAGGGUGCCUGAUGAAGGGUAAAAAUGGAAUUUUAACCGCGCCGACGUUUCGAGUUUUUUGGGAGUAGUGGUUGUCGUGGGCGCCCGUUUCGAAAAGAUUGGAAUCAUCAGGUUGAAGACCGCAAAACGGAAGGAUAUUUUCAUUGCGGUUAUUUCGGAGGGGAAGUUGAAAAGAAUUUCGAAGUAAAAGACUAUGUUUUACUCCGAAACUGGGGGGCAUGUGUUGACGCCAGAUUUCGUCACAAGUAAAAUCGGCGUCAGGAGAAGAAUAAAUGGGAAGGUACAGUAGAAUACAGGGGUGACAGUUGGAAAUAGGCCGAAUGGCGCUACAGUUAGAGAUCGGUUGGUUGGUGCUACAGUCCAGGAUCGGCCGAUGCUACAGUACAGGAUCGGCCGAUGGAUCUUUAGGAAUUCUGCCUCGCUUAACCCUUGGGGUUUGGAUCGGACACGCCUGGUUCCCGAUUGGUUACCUUUUUGACAAUGAGGAAUCGACCGAUUAGGAGGUUGGAAUAAUUGGGCCGGUAUGGGCUUGGAAAGGAUCAGAAGGAUGAAGAGGAAAUCAGCCCAUGAAGCGUAUAAUAACCAACCUAGUACGAGUCGUGCUUGUAAAUAUUCGUUUUCUAUUUGAAUUAGGGAUAGAGUUCUAGUCAGAUAAGGAGUUGUCUAUACGGGGCUAUAAAUAGCCACCUUUGAAGAUCUGUAAUCAUAUCAACUACUCAAUACAACCAAUUACUAUUUCCUCGUACUUACUUUCAAGCAGGCGACGUCGCCAAAUACUUUCUUCUUUUUCACGAGUUCGUACGGGUUGGAAGGGCUGCAUCAACUUGACCUCCGGCCGAUCUUGUAAGUUCCAUUUACCUAGUAAAUUCUAAGCUUUAACUUCGGACGCAUCGCUGUUGUUUCGUUUAGAUUUAUUCACUAGUUAUCGAUAUUUACUAGAAUUGUAGGUUUUACCUAUUUUUCUAGUUUAUCACCAGUUAUCCAACUAGGAAACGGCAGUUUCGGUUUUUCUCAUAUUCUGUUGUUUAAUUUACUUAUUCCAUGCAUAGCCGAUUAGAUCUGUUCCUAGUGUUGCUACUGUAGCAUUGUACCGAUUACUUCAAUUAGUCGUCGUUCACGCUGCCUGAUAGUCGGCUGCUUCAUAGCCGAUUUCUUUAUAACGGCAAAUCGGCCAAUUCGCUGAUAAGCUCCCUCGAGAUCGGAAAUUUAGCCGAUCGUGACUUUUGGAUUUGACACGUAUUCUUCCUUGCCAAUCAACAGGUCAGAUUGGCUGGCACGCCACGCGAACCGCACCAGGGCAAUCACCCGAACAGGAGUUAAGCAGAUUCUCCCGGGUCGUGUGUCAGAUGCUGGGGAUUCGGUUGACCGAUUUCUAGCGCCAACAAGUUGCAAAGAAAGUUCUUGAAAAAUCUCGUACGAUUGUUAAGGAUGACUUUAGUACGAGAGGCCCUAGGGGAUUUUGGGGUUGUUUUUAGGUGGCUAAUACUUAUUGGUUAUCUCGCUAACCUUCCAGUACUUCACCACGUGUAUCAUACGUGCACCGAGUCCGCAUCACGUGUAUGUGAGGGUUGAUAGGGAGUUCUAUUCAAAGGACCCUAUCAUCGCGGUUGUCUCGCCCACGUGCGUAGGUUUCGUAUGUUUAUUCAUACAAAGGGUGGUAUGCCUCGAUUCUAAUGAGCCUAUCAUCACGGUUGUCCGCCACGUCUAUUAUAUGUGUGCUGAUUCCGCAUCAUGAGUAUGCAAAGGGUUAUACGGUUCCAUUCAAAGGGGGCCUAUUUCCACGGUUGUUGUGCUGUCCAUGCAGCCUUGAACGCAUGGGUGCCGUUCCUAUAGUGAACGGUAAUGUUUGGGGACGCUUUCGUGGGUGCUGGCACAAGAGGUUCAUGUGGUUGUGUUUCUGCAGGUACACUAACCGCGUUCGCUAGGAAAUGCUACUAGAACCGACUAGCUACUAUAGGGAGAGAUGUAAUUGUUGCCUUGCCACCGGCACUAACCGCGUAAGACCAAGUUUUGGCAGUUGUUUUGGUUGAGAAACGAGGUAGGCCGUGCUUGCGACAUAAACUAAAAUCUGUAAAACCACCCUCCCCAAAAGCAACCUUGCCUCAGAAAAGCUCUUCUUCGGUUCUAAGGAUUUCUAGUUUUCUUCCAGCUUGUGCUCAGUCAAAUCCGAGUGCUUUUCUGUCCAACCCCUUUCUUCUUAAGAGCUCUAUCUCAUGUUGUUUUGGUUCUUGGUUCCAGAUGGCCGCCCCCGGACACGUUCUGUACGGCGCCGAUGGCAUCUCCCAUUCGACGUGCUUGCACUUCGAAGGUUUUCCCACUAUUCCGUGGGACACCUUGAGGUGGUUCGGUUAUCAGUCUCCACCUUUGUAUGCGGGACGGAUGUACCUGGAGCACGGCGUCCAGAGGUGCAACGUGCAAGCGGUGGUGCCUCCCCCUUCUGUGCGGCCCGAGUGGCCCCAGCUCGGAAUCUCGACAUACGGGCACGCCCUGGAAGAUUCGUGGGAGUCGGCUGCUCUACAACUCCUCACUCAGUUCUGUCAGCUGCACCCGCUAGAGGUCACCCUAGACCCAAUCGGCCUGUUCCCUGCCAGGGAUCGGCUAGACCCAGCGUGGCUUGAUCAUGUCAACAACAUCAAAGUGUUGGCCACAUCCCACUCGAUGGUCACCAUCUCCACCAACAUCAGAUGCAUGUCAGCCCUAUAUCGGCUGAUCGAGCUUCAAGGAUGGGCCAUGGCUGUCUUGGCUCAGAUCGCCGUGGACACCCAGAGGCACUUCAACGCCGCCAAAAGAGACCUGGUGGGCCAAACCUAUCAAAUCAUCCAAAGAGGCAUCCAAAUCCACGACAUGCAAGAUCGAAUCUCCGAACUUGAGGGAGAAGUAACCGAUCUGGUGGAUGGCAUGAUCGAGCUGUCCGAAGAGAAGAUGGAAGUAGAGAUGGAGUUAGCGGUUGCCAAUGUCCAUCUAGACGAGCAUCACGCUAAGCUUGACGACAUGCAUGCCCUUCAGGUGCAGUUGGAGGAGCAAGAAGACCCUGAGGAGGUCGAGGGAGCGGCCAGCAUGGACAUUGAGGAUCACGACGCCCCUUCUCCAACUCACAGUGUUCCCUCGUAGAUGGAGAGUUGUAGGGAGCAAAUAUUUUGCUGUACUCCUCGGCAACCUAAGCUUUGGAUAGUCCUGUAAUAGGUUAGUCUUGAGUUGAGUAUCCCCUGUGUUUUGGGAACAACCGUGUAAUGAUCUCAGUUGAAAUCAGAUCUUAGCCUGACCUUUGACUCCUUUGCAACACGUUUGGGAUGCCAGACGGUGUGAGUUUGUUAUGUGACCACACACCCAUUUUUCUGUGGGUCUGUCCAAAGUUGGGCCGACCCCAGGUCGCGAGGUCGGACGCGCCCGACCCUCGAGGUAGUUCUCCGCCUCGCUCGACCCCUUCUUGUGCGGUUCGUUUCGCCGACCCCUUUCUUGAGCUGUUUCGCCUAGCCCGACCCCUUGGCCUAAGGUCAGAUGUAAUGGAACUCCUGGAAUCUGGUUAUGGUUCGCCCGAAGUCAUGUGCAGAACUAAAAUAGUGCUAACUAAGAUGGCAAGAUGAAAUGUGUAUCUCCUUUAUAAAGCUGUGUUGUGUUGCAUUGUCGGCAAGAGUCGCAUUGAGGAUUUAACAUGUGCGUUCCCAUUUGGUUGGAAUACUUCUGAGGUUAUGGAAUUAAUGGAACGAUGGCUCUUGCAGAUGACACAUCGCACCAGGUCCAGCUCUGUGCCUAGCAGCAGUGAGCAGAGGCAGGAUCUUCCCCCGCCCCCGCCCCCGUCUCCACUGGAGGCAAUCUUAGCGGCUCAAACCGAGCUGCUGAGGCAUCUCGUGCAGGGGCAACAACAGCAGCAGCCCCAUGGGGGAAGGGCUCAGCAGCAGCCUCAUGUUGCUCGCUAUGAGGACUUCUUGGGGACGCAGCCCCCUUUGUUCUAGAAGACGCAAGACCCGCUCAACGCCGACGCACAAUUGAAUCCAAGUUCGAGCUUCUCACCGCCCCGUGCCCUGACCAUAACAAGGCCCGAUUUGCGGCUCAACAGCUACGUGGUUCCGCCUGGCUCUGGUGGGAUCACUACCAUGCCAUGUUGCCGGCCGACCGUGUUGUCAGCUGGAACGAGUUCAAGACUGCGUUCAGAGGGUAUCAUAUUCCGGAAGGUCUCCUGGAGCGCAAGCUCAAUGAGUUCCUGGCUCUUACCCAGGGAAACCGAGAUGUCCUGCACUAUGCCCAUGCUUUCAAUGACAUGUGCCGUUAUGCCGGCUAUCAUGCGGACACAGACGAGAAGAAGCGGGACAGAUUUCGCCGAGGACUAAGUUUGGAGCUCAGAGAGAGGUUGAACCCCAUUAAGGUGGAUACCUACAACGAGUUGGUCAAUUUGGCCAUCUCCCAAGAGGAUUGCAUGCAGGCUCUCAAAGCCGACCAGAAGAUAAAGGCCUCCGUGGCGUUUCCGAGCCAGCUCGCUCGAAGGUUCCGGAUGGUUCCUCCGCAGGCGCCCAGCUGACCCCCGCAGUCGGGAAGAUGGGUUGCCCGACCCCCGCCAGCGGCAGCACCUCAUUUUCCUGGCUUCCAACCACAGGCGCCCCGGCCGACCCUACAGCCACCACCGCGUCCUGCAACUGGUAACCGUUGCUUCACCUGCGGCAAUGAAGGGCAUUUCACUAAGGACUGCCCCAGGAACAGAAAUCAGCAGCCUGGUCAGAACUCCAUGGCGAACAGAGGAAGAAGGCCCAAAGUGCAAGUUCGACAAGGAUGGCUCAACUACACCAGCUUGACCGAACUUCCCGAAGGUGCGCCAGUGAUGACGGGUACUUUCCUUGUCUUAAAUCAAGCUAUUGUUGUUUUGUUUGAUUCGGGAGCCUCCCAUAGCUUCAUCGGGAGUAAGAGUAGAGAAAGAUGUGAGCUAAGUGUCGGUCACACUAAAGGGUCCUAUGUGAUCUCCACUCCUGGAAGGAAGAUAGCCUCAGACCAGAUCGUUACCCUUGUACCUAUCCAGCUAGGCCAGACCCUUUUCAAGGAAAAUAUUAUCAUCCUUGACCUGGAAGUAAUAGAUAUCAUCCUUGGGAUGGAUUGGAUGAUGAGAGACCAAGUGGUUCUAGAUGCAGCUGCCCGAACUCUCCACAUCAACUCACCCUUUCAUGGCAGUUCUACCCUACCCUUGAAACCCCCUAAGUUCGCACUUCCUUGUGCAUACCCUCUAUCGGAAGCCCGGCUAGAAAGCAUCCCUGUUGUUUGUGAGUACCUGGAUGUGUUUCCAGAAGACUUGCACGGCAUGCCGCCCGAUAGAGAUGUGGAGUUUUCCAUAGAGUUGAACCCCGGCACCGCUCCAAUAUCGAAGGGACCCUAUCGGAUGCCACCUGCUGAGCUGGCCGAGUUGAAGACCCAGUUGCAUGAUCUGUUGGAAAAAGGCUUCAUCCGACCCAGCACAUCACCUUGGGGUUGCCCAGCCCUGUUUGUGAAGAAGAAGGACGGGAGUCUACGCAUGUGUGUAGACUACCGACCCCUCAAUACGGUGACUGUCAAGAACAAGUACCCACUCCCCCGCAUUGAUGUCUUGUUUGAUCAGUUAGCUGGAGCAAGAGUGUUCUCCAAGAUCAAUCUCCGCUCAGGUUAUCACCAAAUCAAGAUCCGACCAUGCAACAUCCCCAAAAUAGCUUUCUCCACAAGAUAUGGACUCUACGAGUACCUAGUUAUAUCUUUUGGACUCACCAAUGCACCUGCCUAUUUCAUGUAUCUCAUGAAUUCGGUGUUCAUGCCCGAGUUGGACAAGUUUGUAGUGGUGUUCAUUGAUGAUAUCCUAGUGUACUCGAAGAACGAAAAUGAACAUGCCGAUCAUCUUCAUCUAGUUCUCCAACGGCUGAGAGAUCAUCAGCUCUAUGCCAAGUUCUCCAAGUGUGAAUUUUGGUUAGAUAGUGUCAAGUUCUUGGGACACACUAUCUCUUGGAAUGGCAUAGCCGUCGACCCUAGUAAGGUACAGGAAGUCAUGGACUGGAAGCCUCCCGCCUCAGUGCACCAGAUCCGAAGUUUUCUUGGACUGGCAGGCUACUAUCGGCGCUUCAUACCAGAUUUCUCCAAGAUACCUAAGCCGACAACUGAGCUUCUGAAGAAAGAGGUCAGAUUUGUGUGGAACGAUAAGUGUGAGAAGCCUUCAAGACCCUGAAGCACUUGUUGACCUCAGCCCCGGUUUUGGCUCAACCCGACCCCUCUAGGCCGUUUGACGUGUACUGUGACGCCUUUGGUACUGGACUUGGGUGUGUUCUUAUGCAAGACAACCGAGUCAUUGCCUAUGCCUCAUGGGCGUUACGACCUCAUGAGAUGAACUACCCAACCCAUGAUCUUGAGUUGGCAGCAGUGAUUCAUGCCUUAAAGAUAUGGAGACACUAUCUGAUGGGCACCCACUGCAACAUCUACACCGACCACAAGAGCCUCAAGUACAUCUUCACUCAAGCCGACCUCAACUUGCACCAAAGAAGAUGGUUGGAGUUGAUAAAGGACUAUGAUUUGGAAGUGCACUAUCACCCCGGCAAGGCCAAUGUGGUGGCCGAUGCUCUUAGCCGCAAGAGUUUUUGCAACUGCUUGUCGGCAACAACCUUCACCGAGACUCUGUGUCAUGAGAUGGGAAAACUCAGUUUGGAAAUUGUUUCCCAAGGAACCCUCGGCCACAUAUCUCUUGAGUGUGUUUUGGAAGACCAAAUAGGGUCAGCACAGUUAGAGGAUGAGGAAGUAAGGCAGAUCACAAGGAAGAUUUCAUUGAAGGAUGAAGGGUAUAAACAAUUCCGACAGGAUGAGGCUGGGAAGGUGUAUUAUGGAAUCCGACUUGUUGUACCAGCCGACCCCAAUUUGAGAAAGCAAAUCCUAGAUGAGGCUCAUCUUUCUAAGUUCUCAAUCCAUCCUGGCAGCAAUAAGAUGUACCAUGAUCUCCAUCAAACCUUCUGGUGGAGUGGAAUGAAGCCAGAGAUUGCCUGGUAUGUUUCAGAAUGUGACACCUGUCAACGUGUCAAAGCCAGCCAUCUAAAAGUAGCCGGUACCCAGUAGCCCCUACCUAUUCCCUCUUGGAAAUGGGAAGACAUCAGCAUGGACUUCAUAGUUGGACUACCCCUUACAUCACAGCAACAUGAUUCCAUCUGGGUUAUAGUGGACCGCCUGACCAAAUCUGCCCACUUCCUUCCUGUCCACACCACCCACACGGCCAAGAAGUAUGCAGAGUUGUACCUUGACCGCAUUGUCUCCCUACACGGUGUGCCUAGGACAAUCAUCUCUGAUCGAGGAGUUCAGUUUGUAGCACGCUUUUGGGAACAGCUACAAGCAUCAAUGGGCACCCAGCUCAUUCGCAGCUCAACCUAUCACCCUCAAACCGAUGGUCAGACCGAAAGAGUAAAUCAGAUCCUUGAAGACAUGUUGAGGGCUUGUGUCAUCCAUUAUGACAAAAAUUGGGACAAGUGCUUGCUAUUGGCAGAGUUCUCCUAUAACAAUAGCUACCAGACUAGCUUGAAGAUGGCACCGUUUGAAGCAUUAUAUGGCCGGAGAUGUUUGACACCUUUGAAUUGGUCACAAGCUGGAGAAAGACAAACCUAUAGUCCUGAUCUAGUGGUAGAAGUCGAAGAGCAAGUAAAGGUAAUUCAAGCAAAUCUCAAGGCUGCCCAAUCUCGACAGAAGAGUUACUUUGACAGGAGAAGAAGGCCCCUGCAAUUUGACCUUGGCUUGGUGAUCAUGUGUAUCUUCGGGUCUCCCCGACCAAAGGAGUGCAACGGUUUGGAGUAAAAGGGAAAUUGGCUCCCCGUUACAUUGGCCCAUAUGAGAUUGUGGAAAUUUGUGGACAAGUUGCCUAUCGGAUCCAACUCCCGGAACAACUCUCGGCCGUACAUGAUGUUUUCCAUGUAUCUCAACUGAAGAAAUGUGUCCAAGUCCCAGCCAAGAUCUUAGCGCAAGAGCAACUUCAAAUCGAGCCUGACUUGACCUAUGCCGAGUACCCAGCCAAUGUUCUCGACCAUAAGGAGAGGCGCACCCGACGUCAAGUGGUGAAAAUGUACAAAAUCCUCUGGAGAAACCACACGGAGGAUGAAGCAACAUGGGAGACAGAAGAGUAUCUGAACAAGCACUUCCAAGGUUUUCUUCCCAGCAAAGGAGGUAAGGACUGCACACCCCCACUAGUUACCUCUUACACCUGAAUCUCGGGACGAGAUUCUUUUUAAGGGGGGUAGGCUGUGACGACCGACCCCAAAUCUUCCAAGUUAAUUAACUCCGAGUCCCUAAUCCCCCUCUCAGUUACCCGAGUUGAGUGCUCACCCUCAGUUCUGGUCCCGACCCCCGGUCCCGACCCCAGAGAUCCGACCCCUCUCCGCUGGUUCCCCGUUCCGACCCUGCCGACCCCAAACCCAUACCACCAGAUCCUUCUAAGUCUUUCCACAGUAUCUCUUUUCAAUCUGAGCAGUGGACCAACCAAGACUGACCGGUGGGCCCACAAAAUCUUUUCCCCAGAUCUUCCGAGACAGAUGCACUCGAGUAGCAUGCCCGCCUCAGAGCUUCUCCACCGCGUGGCUCAAGUUCUCCGACACCCGCCGCUCCGCCUCAUCGCCGGCCACGACCGGAUGGAUUCUCGCGCCCCCUUCCCCAAUUGCAGCGGAAGCUCCUCUGCUACCCUUUCUGCAGUACCUCACGGCUCGCGCCCAUCAUCACCCCGCCGGACCCCAGCUGCAGAGCCCGAUGCCUUCCAUCUUUUCCGCCGCCUCUCCACCGUCGCGCCACCCCAGAUGUGCUACGCGACGAUUCCUCCUCCGCCAACCCCGACCCCAGCCGCAACAGCUCCUUUUCCACCCUGUCAGAGCUGCCCCCCCCGACAAUCUAUUGCUUCGCGCUCGCCCGCGUGAUCGCAACCCGCCUGUCUUCUCACCUGUGCGCCCUCGCUUCUAGUGUCGUUCCCCCGGUCACUUCCAUCAGAUCCCCCGCACGACGACACCCGCCUCCACCAAAUCUCAACCACCGGCAAAACCACGCCUGCGCCGCCCUGUCUUCGGUGCUGUCGUUGUCAAGAUUUGCGGAUCAAGACUCUAGACUAGUAAAUUUCUUUUUUGUGCGUAAGGCUUCGGAUGGUGGCGUGGGAGACACGGGAUUAGACUGGUUCGGGCAAAGGAAGCCCUACGUCCAGUAUCGAGGCAGCUUGUGUUACCCACGCGGGGUUCUGUAGUAGGGGUUACAGAUGGGCGAGAGAGGGAAAUGAUCCCAGGUCUCUUGAGUGUGCUUGUGCUCUACGGGAGUGUGAGAGUGUGCUGUUGGCUUUAGGAAAAGAGUUCAAGUCCCCGUCUUGUGACCCCCAGUCCUCCUUUUAUAGCGCAAGAAGGGGCCCGGGGUUACAGUUGAGAUGGGCCUUAGGAGAAUAAGCAGAAAGGAUAAGCCAAAAAGAAAAAUAAUACAAGGGAGGGCCCCGAGGCCGCUGCUCUCACUCCGGCCCCCAGUCCCUGUCAACGCGCCCGACGAGGGAGGGCGAUUCCCUCCUGAUCUUGUCGAUGAUCUCCCUGGUCGCCGUCACUGUCGAAUGUGAUGACGAGCCUCAACCUCGGCAUCCGUGCCCGCCGGGGAGGAGGCCCGAUUCUGUUGUCCCGCCAAUUACCGUAAGACCCGGAUGUCGCGUCCCUGACGCUGCCGUUAGGAGCACGGGGCGCGAGAGCAAGCGAUGCGUCCUCCUGUGUCGUUCGGCGCGGCUCAUGAGUACCCUGUGGCGAAUCAGAAGGAGCCGCGGCUACUGCAGCCCGCGCCGCAUGGCCACGCACCGGUAUUCGUGACUGGUUACGUUGGGGACGCCGCUCCCCUCUUGGCUUUACAGGGCCGUAGCGCAUUUAUGGCGAGGUCGACAGGGGGACCCACGAGAUCGUUAUCCUGAUCCUCAAGCCCACGCCCGAGGAGAAUAUCCGUCUCGUGGACCCGAGUGAGUCCGACCCCCGCGUCCGGGGUCGGGCGAGGCGGAGUUUUUGGGGUGGGGGCCGGGCGCUCCCAACCCCGGUUCCCUGGGUCGGACGAGGCGGAGCCUUGCGGUGAGGGGUUGGGCGUUCCCGACCCUAGGAUCGCGGUCGGGCGAGGCGGAGCCUUGCGGCGAGGGGUCCGGCGCUCCCGACCCUGGGAUCGCGGUCGGGCGAGGCGGAGCCUUGCGGCGAGGGGUCGGGCGCUCCCGACCCUGGGACCACGGUCGGGUGAGGCGGAGUCCCUCCAUCUAGGGGUCGGGAUUGUUUGACCACGGGGACCCGGGUCAGGCGAGACGGAGUGGGGUGUUCUCUGCCUUCACUGGGUCGGAUGUAAUCGUAAUUACCGUAGGUGGGCCGGGGCCUUCAUGACAUUCGCUUUGAGUGGUAUUAGGAUGUCGUUAAUAUUUCCCCCCAACAGUAGCCCUCGAGCCUGUGGUGGAGCAAGAAUGCUCCUCCAGAGGCUUCUUUCAUCGUUUCGCUAGAGAUCUCUGCUCGCCCUGCAAGCUGUGGUUGAUCAAGGGUAGGGAGUCCUCACAUCGCGACCACACGCGUGGUCGUUGGUUGCGACGCUAGCCCCCGAGCCCCCGCGCGUUGCGGGAGACCGAUCGGGAGGCUAGAUCGGCUUUUGAUCGUUAUCCCUCAAACAUUCGUUCGCUGGGACGGAGGGGUUGAGCCAUGCCACGCUAUCCUCGUUGGACGAACCAUGGUGCUCGUUUGAGCUGCGAACGGGUUGGUUCGAGUGGAGUCCCGGUCCCCGUUCGGGGGGGUCGGCUCGGGCCAAGCUGGUGGCGUACUCCAGGCUCCAGCCGGCCAGUUCAUAUAGUUCUCGAGUCCGUUCGGUCGGAUCCGGGGGCUCGUUGCCUUUCCUCAUGGAAAAACCAUGAACUUUGAUGUCGGUUUGGACUCGAACGUGAGUUCGGGACGCCCUUGGAUUUCGCUCGCCUAGGUGGUAGCCGCUAGCGGACCCGUCCCGCCUUACCCCUCGCUCGGGGGAUGUCCUGAGGCAGCUGUCGAACCUGUAGCGGGCCAGCCUUCGAACCUCUGGAUCGUAAUGGGCCGUAGGGGCGUUUCCAGCCCCGUAUCCCUUAUUACCUUUUGGUGGGCCUCGGGCUGAAUCGGGGCGGAUGUUGCGUCUCGGGCCUAAUGUGGGGGUCAUCGCGUGCGCGUCUGCCGAGAGGCGGAGUUAUGGAGGGUGCUGACCCGCGAAUCGAGGAGGGGAGGAUGUCUCUACGGCCGAUUGUGCGCGCGGUCUUCGAAAAGAAAGUGGGCAUGAUGGGGGCGUACCUGGUGCCACAUUUGUGGCGACAAGGGCGUCGGUUCCACUCUCUUCGCGCCUUCCCUAUAAAACGUAGGCUCCGCCUGACUGGUUCCACCUGCCUUCUACUUUCAUGUCUUUUCACCUUCCACACUUGCGCUCAACUCAUCCGCGCCCGCUUCGUCUUCCUCCGCUCAGAGCUACGCCCUUUCUUCUCAUCCCCGUCGAGUUCUCCCCCCCUUCGGCGAUGGGAUCCUGGGGGAUCUCCCACUUCAACUCCUCGCGUGCCGAAGAUCUGGUGAGGAAAGGCCUCCUCUGCGAAAGGACGGAGGUGGGCGAGUGGGAGCUGCCAGGGUUGGAGCAGGUGCCGACGCCUCCCGCCGGCUACGUCGUCUCCUUCGCCCACUUCCACGAGCGGGGAUUCGCGACUCCGCCGAGCCGAUUCUUCCGCGGGCUCCUCCAUUACUACGGUCUCGAGCUUCAGCACCUCAACCCCAACGGGAUCCAGCAUAUCGCGACGUUCGUCGCACUGUGCGAGGGGCUCCUGGGCAUCGAGCCCAACUUCUCGCUGUGCAAGUACUUCUUCACGGUCAGCCUGUACCAGAUGACGGAGAGGAGGGGGAACCAGCAGCGGUCGCCCCCGGUGCCAAUCGGGUACGCCGGGAUCCACCUCCGCCAUACUCACUCCAAGGAGUACAUGGCGAUGAAAACCGCGACGUCCCACAAGGGGUGGCAUAACUAGUGGUUCUACGUGAAGAACUACUCAAACUCCCCCCUGCCAGGAUUCAUCGGCCGCACUAUCGACGUGGCGCCGGAUGUGUGGCCGUAUGGACCGGUCGAGAAGGAGAAGAAGCGGAUCCUCGACCUGCUGCAAGCCAUCGAGCAAUUGAAGAGGAGAGGUCUUACCAGAGCCGGGGUCAUCGGGGCGUACCAUGCCCGGCGGGUGGUGCCGCUGAUGCUCCGGGCUCGUUCGCUCACCGACAUGACUCCGGGCGCGUCGACUGAGGGUACCGUCCUGGCGACAGGUGCGCUCGCCGCCUCCGAGAUCCGACAGCCUAUCCGGGAAGCGUUGGAGGACAAGUACGCCGACUACCCGGUGCCCGGGCACCCGCCAAUGCGCCCGGAGGAGGACUUGGUAAGAAAUUUGUGCGCCGACCUUCUUUUUUCGUGUUUCUUGGUUGUCACUCUGACACGGGGCCACUUCGUGUUCGCAGGGCAUGCUGACUCGAGUUGUGGACUCGCACCCGCCAGUGCCGGAGGAUGCCGAUCGGCGGCUGCAAAACCAUCUCCAUGCUGAGGAGCAGAAACGCCGCAAGGACAAGGAGACGGCGAAAAAGAAGAGGAAGGCCGCCAAGGAGCUCCAACGGCGGCGGCGAGGGCGGGUCGUGUCGGACGACGAAGACGAUGAUGAUGACGAUGAUGAGGAUGAGGAUGAGGAUGAGGAUGAGGAUGAUGAUGAGGAGGAAGAGCUACCUUUAUCCCCUCGGUCGGGUGCGCUCGUAAUACGGGAGGCGCGCCCGCAAAUGGCCGUGAGGGAUGAGGCGGAGGGAUCAUCUGCCCGGGGCUCGGCUCCGCAAGGCUCCGGGGCCAUGCCCCAGGGGUCGGUGUGGAGCGCCCCUUCGGGGUCGAUGCGGCGCCUCCCAGGAGCCGGCGCGGGGCGCCCCCCAGGGGUCGGCGCGGGGCGCUCCUCAGGAGUCGGCGCGGAGCGCUCCACAGAGGUCGUCGGAGCCCGUCCCCACCGUCGUGCAGGAGCCGGCGCGGGGUGCCCCCCAGGAGUCAGUGCGGAGUGCUCCCCGGAGGUCCACGGAGCCCGCCCCCGCCGUCGCGCCUGAGACCCAAGAGCAAAGGAGUGGCGACAAGCGGCCGCUGCUGGAUGCCCCGGAGUCGGCGUCCGGCUCUGAGGCGAAGCGCGCGCGCCGUCCUUGCUCUUGGGGAACGUAAGUUGGAUUUCCUCGUGAACCUCGCUCCUUUCCCCACCUUGCGUUCGUUUCCGCUGACAUCCGUUCAUUGUCUCGCAGCGCCGUCCCCCGUGGCCUCGUUCUUCAGCUGGCGCCCAAAAAGGCGCUGCGGGUGUCGUCCGCCUCUACGGGGCGGACCGUGGUCCCGCCCGCGGCGAGCGGCGGGAUCCCUGGUGCGAUCGCGUGUCCCACCGCGGAAGCGGCCCCCGUGACGGCGACCGGCGGAGUGGCGGCGCCAUCGAGCGCGGGAGAGGGAGUGGACCCCGCUUAACCUUCCGCUUCCCCGGUCAACCCCUUGGUGCAGAGCGUCGCUCCCCAGGGCACUCAGGCCGGGGAAGUGAUCGACCUCGACGCCGACGAGGUGGAGGGAUUGGGGGCGACGGGAAUAGGGACUGAUGUUCCUGCAGCCGCGACGGGGACGACAGCGGUGACGGAGGAGGGAGUGUCUGCCUCCGCGGCUGCGGCGGAGGGGGCAGCAGUGACGGAGGCGGGGACCUCGGCCCCGGAGGUCCCGGCGGAGGUGGCACCGGAGGCGGAGGUGCCCGCUCGAGGGGCUCCAGCAGGGGCGGAGGAGCUCGCCUCGGCGGUUGCAGCGGAAGGCUAGGAGACCGCGGGGAUACUUGUUCCGCCGCCCGCGUCGGAGGCGGUGGCGCCGUCGGGUGGGUCCGCGGCGGCCCCGACAGUGACAAGGACGCAGGCGCCGGGACCGUCGGCGAACCCAGAGGCUUCCGGGUCAACUCCUGCUUCGGCUUUGGCCACUUCCGUCCCCAGGGCAUGGAGGGGGUCUGUCCUGCGUUGGUCGUCCUGUAAGGACCCGCCGAGGCACCUCUUCACCCUGGAUGACGCCGCGGAGUGGCGCAAGUGGCAGGCGGUGCAGGGCAGCCUCGCCAGCGCCCACGCGGCUCUGUCCUCGUUGUUGGGGGAGUUGGACAACGUCGUCCUCCCUGGUAGCCAGGUACGUCACCCCUCCUGUCAGUGAUUGUCCCUUUCCCGUUGCCUUGCCCCUGAUGGUGUAUUGCUUUGUAGGCUCUCCAAGAAUGCAGUUGGGGGAAAUCUGAUUUCCUCCUGUUGGAGCGGGGGCUCUGGGAGCGCUUCAACUUGGAGAGGGAGUGAACUAGGGAGCUAUCCAUGCAGGUUGCUGCCACCCCGGGGGUCAUCAACAACCUGCAAAGGCGCGAGCAAGCGGCGCAGGAGGAGGUGCGGCGGUCGGAAGCCAAACUCCAAGCCGUCGUCGAUAAGGCCCACCUCGACCGCGAGGAACUCCAGGCUGCUGCUGCCGAGAAGGCCCGCCUUGAUGCCGAGGAGCUCGGACGGCUGAGGGGAGAUCUUGAUGCCCUUCAGAAGACUGUUUAGCGCAUCCGGCGCGAGCGGCAAAAGGCCUGGCAGGAGCGGGAUUCCGAGACGGCCUGGAAGAACGAGGUGGAGAAGAUGGUCGGCCAGCUCGGGGCACAGGUGCAGGGGCUCCAGACCGCUGUGUCCCAGGGGGCUGACCGGGAGUGUGAGCUGAAGGCCUGGUCCAACGGUGAGAUUCCUUUUCGUUCCCGUGUCUCCGUGGUGUUGCAGUAAUUUCUAACUUGGUGGGUCUUUCCGGGUGGUUCUUGCAGACAAGAUCACCAGGCUGAGGGACCUACUUGACACGAAGCGUGGUGAGCACGGCGCCCUGCGGGAUGCGGUCCGCGUCGUCUGCGACGGCCUCGGCGUGGUCCAGGGGGAGGGGUCAAGCUCCUUGACGGCUUGUGUCCCCGGGAUGUACCACCGGACCCGCGAGAUCGCCGUGGAUGCGCUCCACACCGGCGUGCAGCGAGCCUUCGGGGUCUUCGGCUCCCAUUAUUCCGGCAUCAACUUCGCCGGGAUGAGCGGAGGAUACGCCGCUGGCUACUCUGAGGCUGAGCUGGAUGAGAUCGACGCGUCCGUGUUCACCCCGGUAGAGACCCUGGCGAAGCUCCUGGAGGAUGAAGCUGUCCCUCCCGAAGAGCCCCCGGCGAGCUAACUGUACCGGGCUGGCGCCCAAGUUGUAAAUAUGUUAGGUUCAAACUCGUUUUGUAAUGGCCAUGGGGGCCUUUUCCCUAACUUAUCGUAAAAAGGUUCUCGAUUCCCUUUCUUGUUCUUUGGACUGGAAAGUUUAGAGUGCGUUGCCGGGGAUGUCAGUAAGCUUUGAUGAGCGAGGGCGCCGUAGCCGCUGGGGCAUAGGUUUUUUCGCAGUUCGAUCAAUCUUGCCUGAACACCGUUCGUGCACUCUCUCCUUUUUAUGCCCAAAAGUUCAAAAAGGGAGGCUCGGUUCAGAAGGGAAAAAACAUUCUUUAGACGGUGCCAAGUGGCUUGAGCUGAAGCCCCUGAUAGCCCCUGAGGGAUAUGCGACCCUGGGGCGAAGCCAGGGUCGGAUAUCCCUGAGCUCGACGGGAAAAACUUGAAAAGAAACGGCUUGAAAUUCCUUUUUCCGCAAAAAGAAAGCUUCGAAUUUAUAGACAAGUCUAUGUACAGAACUUGGAAAUGAAAACUAGGGGUAAGAAUGCCUUAGCUGUUCUAUGUUCCAAGCAUUGUUGAAGAUCUGCCCGUCAGGGGUCGCUAGCUUGUAGGUGCCCGGGCGUAGUACUUGCGUGACGAUGAAAGGACCUUCCCACGGGGGAGUUAGCUUGUGCCGACCCCUGUUAUCCUGGACGAGGCGGAGCUCCAGGUCGCCGACGUUUAAGGCUCGGCCUUGUACCUUGCGGCUGUGGUAACGCCGUAGGGCCUGCUGAUACUUAGCCGAGUCCAGCAGGGUUACGUCUCGUGCCUCGUCGAGUUGAUCUUGUGCGUCUUCAAGCGAUGCCUGGUUCCCUUGUUUGUCGUACGCCUUGACCCUUGGCGAUCCGUAUUCCAGAUUGGUCGGUAGGAUGGCCUCGGACCCGUAAACCAUGAAGAACGGGGUGAAGCCAGUCGCCCGACUGGGGGUUGUCCUCAGGCUCCAAAGGACUGCGGAAAGCUCGGCGACCCACCGUCCGUCAAACUUUUUGAGGUGGUCGAAGAUCCGUUGCUUGAGACCCUAGAGUAUCAUGCCAUUGGCUCGCUCGACCUGCCCGUUCGUGCGGGGGUGUGCCACGGCCGACCAGUCCACUCGGAUGUGGUGGUCGUCGCAGAACUGGAGGAAUUUCUUCCCGGAGAACUGCGUGCCGUUGUCGGUGAUGAUGGAAUUGGGGAUUCCGAAGUAGUGGAUGAUGUCGGUGAAGAACUGUACCGCCUGCUCGGACUUGAUUUGCGCCACCGGUCUUGCUUCAAUCCACUUAGAGAACUUGUCGACGGCGACAAGUAGGUGGGUGAAGCCCCCGGGCGCUUUCUUGAAGGGCCCGACGAGAUCCAGCCCCCAGACCGCGAACGGCCACGUGAUGGGGAUGGUCUGUAGCGCCUGCACGGGCAGGUGAGUUUGGCGCGCAAAGAAUUGGCACCCCUCACAGGUGCGGACUACCUGGGUAGCAUCGGCGACCACCGUCGGCCAGUAGAAACCUUGCCGGAAGGCAUUGCCGACGAGGGUCCUUGGCGCGGCGUGGUGACCGCAGGCUCCGGCGUGGAUGUCUUGGAUCAGUGCCUUUCCCUGUUCGAUCAGGAUGCAGCGCUGGAGGAUGCCGGUGUGGCUUCUCUUGUAGAGCUCCCGAUCGAUAACGGUGAAGGAUUUGGCACGACGCGCGAUCCUACGGGCCUCCGUUUUGUUUGCCGGGAGCGUGUCGCAGACGAGGUAGUCGAGGUAUGGGGCUCUCCAGUCGGCUGGGGGGUCGGCCCCCACCGCGGGGUCUACCACGAUUUCCAUAACCAUGGGGCCGGAGGGAUCGGCUUUCGGGGCCGAGUCGGGCGAAGCGAUGCGGACCCUGUCGUGGCUGGUGUCUGGGCCUGGGACGAGAGGCGCGCUGCCGACCUCCCCUUGGUUGGGGCCCGACCCCGGGGCUGAGGGCGCUUCGCCGACCCUCGCCGGCUCUGGGUAGCGGAUUGAAGGCUUGAACUGGUCACUGACGAAGAUGCCGUCGGGGACGGGCAUUCGGCCGGAUGCUGCCUUCGCCAGCUCGUCGGCGGCUUCAUUGAAGCGCCUUGCGACGUGGUUGAGCUCCAGCCCGUCGAACUUGUCUUCAAGCUUGCGAACCUCGUUGCAGUAGGCUGCCAUCUUGGGGUCGUGGCAGCUCCACUCCUUCAUGACUUGUUUGACGACUAGCUGGGAGUCGCCCCGGAUGUCUAGCCGAUUGAUGCCCAGCUCGAUGGCAAUGCGAAGCCCGUUGAGGAGGGCCUCGUACUCAGCGACAUUGUUGGAUGCAAGGAAAUGAAGGCUGAUCAUGUACCUGAUGCGCACGCCUAGAGGAGAGACGAAGAUGAGAACCGCUCUGGCACGGGCCCUCAUCAGCGACCCAUCGAAGUACAUCGUCCAGUACUCCUGCUUCUCCGGCGUCGAUGGCGUUUGAAUCUCCGUCCACUCUGCCACAAAAUCAGCGAGUACGUGGGACUUGAUGGCGGUGCGGGGGGCGUAGGUGAUGCCCUGGUCCAUGAGCUUGAGCGCCCACUUCGCGAUCCGUCCCGUGGCGUCCUGGUUCUGGAUUACUUCACCUAGUGGGAACGAUGAAACAACCGUUACCGGGUGGGAGGUGAAGUAGUGGCACAGCUUCCUCUUCGUGAUGAGGACGGCGUAGAUGAGCUUCUGGAUCUACGGGUAGCGCGCCUUGGAUUCGGAGAAGACUUUGCUGAUGAAAUACACCGGGCGUUGCACCUUGAGAGCGUGUCCCUCCUUUUCUCGUUCCACUACCAGGGCCGCGCUAACCACCUGGGUGGUCGCCGCGAUGUAGAGCAGGAGGGGCUUGCCGUCAGUCGGCGGGAUCAGGAUUGGGGCCUUCGUCAGGAGGUCCUUGAGCCGGUCAAGUGCCUCCUGGGCCUCACCGGUCCAUUCAAAGCGGUCAGUCUUCUUCAGGAGUCGAUAGAGAGGAAGCCCCCGCUCACCAAGGCAUGAGAUGAAGUGACUCAGGGCCGCUAAGCAUCCCGUGACGCGCUGAACUCCCUUUAUGUUCCGGAUUGGCCCUAUGUCGCUGAUGGCUGCUAUCUUCUCCGGAUUGGCUUCGAUGCCGCGCACGAAGACGAUGAAGCCUAACAGCAUGCCCCUUGGGACUUCAAAAACACACCUUUCGGGAUUGAGCUUAAUACGCUUAUCCCUCAGCCUUUCGAAGGCUAGUUCGAGGUCGGGGACGAGCUGGUCGCCCCUCUUGGAUUUGACUACGAUAUCGUCAACGUAAGCCUCAACGGUCCACCCGAUGAGGUCCCCGAAACAUUUCAGCAUGCAUCGCUGGAAUGUAGCCCCCACGUUUUUGAGGCCGAAUGGCAUCUUAACAUAGCAGUAGGGGCCGAAGGGGGUGAUGAAAGAGGUAGCGAGCUGGUCGGACUCUUUCAUCGCGAUCUGAUGGUAGCCGGAAUACGCGUCAAGGAAGCUAAGGGUAUCGCACCUGGCGGUUGAGUCGACUAUUUGAUCUAUGCGUGGCAAAGGAAACGGAUCCUUCUGACACGCUUUGUUGAGACCGGUAUAAUCAACACACAUCCUCCAUUUCCCAUUCUUUUUUCAUACAAGAACAGGAUUAGCUAGCCACUCGGGGUGGUACACUUCCUUGAUGAAUCCGGCCAUCAAAAGCUUCUGGAGCUCCUCGCCAAUGGCCUUGCGCCUCUCCUCGUCGAAGCGGCGUAGUCCUUGCUUCACUGGCUUGGAGCCGGCCUUGAUGUUCAAGGAGUGCUCGACGACUUCUCUUGGAAUGCUGGGCAUGUUCGAGGGCUUCCAUGCGAAGACAUCGCUGUUCGCGUGGAGGAAGUCGACGAGCACGCUUUCCUAUUUGGGGGAUAGGGUAGCGCCGAUCCGCACGGUCCUGCCGUCGGAGCUGCUGGGGUCGAGGUGGACCUCCUUGAUGCCUUCGAUGGCCUUGAAUGAGGUGGCCGACUGCUUGGAGUCGGGCUGGUCCUCGGCGCCCUCCGCGAGCUGGACCGCUAGAUCUCCUGUGAAGGAGAUGGCUGCGGCAUACUCACAGCAUUCCACGUCGCACUCAUACGCCUUCUGGAAAGACGUGCCUAUGGUGAUGACCCCGUUGGGCCCCGGCAGCUUGAGCUUGACAUAGCUGUAGUUGGGGAUGGCCAUGAACUUCGCGUAGCAUGGCCGCCCCAAGAUGGCGUGGUAGGUUCCGCGGAACCCCACCACCUCGAAGGUGAGGACCUCCUUCCUGUAAUUGGAGGGGGUCCCGAAAGUAACGGGCAAGUCGAUUUUCCCAAGAGGCAUCGCCUGUUUUUCCGGCACGACACCGUGGAACGGCACCUUGCUGGGACGGAGGCGGGAGCGGUCAAUCCUCAUAGCAUCGAGGGUCUCGGUGUAGAGGAUGUUGAGGCCGCUGCCUCCAUCCAUGAGCACCUUGGUGAGGCGCGUCGUGCCGACGAUGGGGUCGACGACGAGGGGGUAGCGUCCUGGAUGCCGGACGCGUCCCGGGUGGUCGGACCGAUCGAAGGUGAUGGCCGGUCCCGACCAGUCGAGGAAGGCCGGCGUUGCCGGCUCGGCCGCGUAGACCUCUCGGCACUCCAGCUUCUGCUGGCGCUUGGAGUCGUACGCCGCCGGGCCGCCGAAGAUCAUGAAGCAGCCGUCCACCUUGGGGAAGCCAUCUUCCUUCUCUUCGUCGCCCUUCUUCUCUUCAUUGGGCUUCCGCUUCCGGUCGCCCUUCACUGGAUUACCUACAAAGUACCUCUUCAUGAGGUUGCAGUCUUUGUAGGCGUGCUUCGCGAGGAACUCGUGGUUCGGGCACGGUCCCUCAAGCAAUUUGUCGAAGAAGCCAGGAGUGCCCUCCGGGGGUGGCUGUCCUCGCUUGCGCUCGACAGCAACCACGAGGGGAGCCUCGCGCUGCUGUUUGCCCUUCUUCUUCUGCUAGCGGUUGGAGGUGCCUUCGUCAGCAUCCUCCUCCCACUUUGCGUUGCCUUUGGAGCGGUCGAAGAUCGCUCCAACAGCCUCUUCGCCCGAGGCGUAGCUGGUGGCAAUGUUGAGGAGCUCCUCCAUUGUCUGUGGGCCUCGGCGCCCUAGCUCGUGGAUAAGGGGUCAGCAGGAGGUUCCCGCUAAGAAGGCCCCUAUGAUGUCGGCGUCCGUGAUGUUGGAGAGCUCGGUGCGCUUCCUCGAGAAGCACCGGAUGUAGUCCCGGAGGGACUCAUCCAAUCCCUGGCGGCAGCUCCAGAGAUCCUAGGAGUUGCCGGGGCGCGUGUACGUGCCCUGGAAGUUUCCUAUAAAUAUCUCCUUCAGGUCGUUCCAGCAGCGGAUCUAUCCCGAAGGGAUAUGUUCCAGCCAGGCUCGUGCCGAGUUGGCCAGGAAGAGUGGUAGGUUGCGGAUGAUGAACAGAUCAUCGUCCGUCCCGCCGGCUUGACACGCGAGCCGGUAGUCACUGAGCCAAACCCCAGGGUUCGUCUCCCCCGAGUAUUUGGCUACGUUGGUCGGCUGCCUGAAGCGCGGCGGGAAGGGCGCGUUCAGGAUGCGCGCGGAGAAGGCCCGGGGCCCCAUCGGGUCGGGGCUCGGGCUGCGGUCCUCCUUGCUGUCGUAGUGCCCACCGCGGUGGACGUGGUAGCCGCGAUCUACCCCAUCCUCCCUAUCCGCGUGGGAGCGCCUCCGCACAUCCAGGGUGUCGCGGGCAUCGCGGACGGGUCCGACGCGUCGAUGAACGGAUCGAGCCCCACCUCCCGCGGGUGGGGGUGUCCGCCGGGCGGACGCGGCCUGGUUUGCCCUAGGAGGAGGCUGGUGGACAGACUCCCCGCAUCUCUCCGAGGGCGCAUCGGGCGCCGCCCUGCUGGCGUUUUGCCCGCGUCGCCGGGACGCGGAACUUUCCACCUGCUGGACGGCGGCGCAUUCGAGCAAGUCGCGCAUCUCUUGGCGCGCCCGUCGCUCCUCGGGCGUCGCCGGCUUGAGGAGUUGCCGGAGUAGGGCCGCCGCGGCUACGACGUUCUGGCUGGCGCGAGCGAAGAGCUGAGGACGCUCUUCAUCUGCGCAAAUGCGCUGCUGGACGUCGCGCGCCCGCUGUCGCGCUCCACCUUCGUGGCGGGGGCACUCGUCCUCCUGGCGGGACGCUGCGCGCGCCUCCGGCUGCCGAAGGCGCUCCGGUGCCCUUGGCAAGGCCCCGGUCGUGGCCGCGGCACGCGUGGGGGGGAGUCCUCUGUCUCCCUUCGGCGCCGUCAUCGUUGGACCCCUUGGAGUGUACUUCGGCCAUGAAGCACUCACGCAAGGGGUGGCGGCUCCCGCUGCUGGAGCUGGCGUCAGAGAUCAUCCUCGCCAUGCCCGCGGGCUUGUUGCUCGCCGGCGACACGGUCAUGGACCGCGUCAAGAGACGACUGUAAGUCACCGAGGCAUUGUGUAGCCCGAAGAGCCGACCACCUAGGAGGGGCCCUUCGGCGCGCGCCUGGCCGCUCGCCGUUGUCCCGGUGGCGGGGCCGGGGAUGGCGGGACGAGCGGGCAAGACAAGGAAAGGGAUCAGCUCGAUCCCCUCCCCGGUGGCGAGGAAGUCCAGACUCCCAAAGCGGAUCAGGGAGCCCGAAGCGAAGCUGGUGUUGUGGUUGGCCAUCUGAAGCUGGAGAUGUACGCGCAAAGGUCCCCUACCUGGUGCGCCAACUGUCGUUGUCAAGAUUUGCGGAUCAAGACUCUAGACUAGUAAAUUUCUUUUAUGCGCGUAAGGCUUCGGAUGGUGGCGUGGGCGACACAGGAUUAGACUGGUUCGGGAAAAGGAAGCCCUACGUCUAGUAUUGAGGUAGCUCGUGUUACCCAUGUGGGGUUCUGUAGUAGGGGUUACAGAUGGGCGAGAGAGGGAAAUGAUCCCAGGUCUCUUGAGUGUGCUUGUGCUCUACGGGAGUGUGAGAGUGUGCUAUUGGCUUUAGGAAAAGAGUUCAAGUCCCCGUCUCGUGAACCCCGGUCCUCCUUUUAUAGCGCAAGAAGGGGCCCGGAGUUACAAUUGAGACGGGCCUUAGGAGAAGAAGCAGAAAGGAUAAGCCAAAAAGAAAAAUAAUACAAGGGAGGGCCCCGAGGCCGCUGCUCUCGCUCCGGGCCCCGGUCCCUAUCAACGCGCCCGACGAGGGAGGGUGAUUCCCUCCUGAUCUUGUCGAUGAUCUCCCUGGUCGCCGUCGCCGUCGAAUGUGAUGAUGAGCCUUAGCCUCGGCAUCUGUGCCCACCGGGGAGGAGGCCUGAUUCUGUUGCCCCGCCGAUUACCGUAAGACCCGGACGUCGCGUCCCUAACGCUGCUGUUAGGAGCACGGGGCGCGAGAGCAAGCGAUGCGUCCUCCUGUGUUGUUCAGCGUGGCUCAUGAGUACCCUGUGGCGAAUCAGAAGGAGCCGCGGCUACUGCAGCCCGCGCCGCACGGCCGCGCACCUGUAUUCGUGACCGGUUACGUUAGGGAUGCCGCUCCCCUCUUGUCUUCACAGGGCCGCGGCGCAUUUAUGGUGAGGUCUACAGGGGGACCCACGAGAUCGUUAUCCUGAUCGCACAUCUAUUCCUCUAGUCUAAGGGUCAAAUCAUAAGCUUCUUUCCAUCCGACCCUUUUACCUUGUUCUUCUCCAACUCAAGUGAACUUCCUCACUUUUCCCAUAGCCUUGCUACAAUGUUCUGAGCUAGAACUCGCAAGUGUUGCUGUUGAAAUAAUCGUCUAAAUGCUAACCCCCUGCAUUGCAUUUCGUGUAGAGUUGCAUCUCGCCGACGGCUUCUAUGAGCUGCACCUUCCGCCAGAAGACGAAGCUGCAACCGAGCUCCCGCUUCCAGAAGCCGAAGCCGCCCAAGCAGAAGAGCAGCUUUCCCCCUCCUUGUUUGGAGGCAAGCCCCGGAGCAUGAACCCCAAUUUCCCAAACUUGCGCAUGCCUUCUGCAUCUUGUUUGUGCAUUUAUGUAUAGGAGUUGUUUGCAACCAUAGAUGCAUGACUUAGAUCCCUGGAGCUGAACACUAGUCUGUUGGGUCCGAGUAGUUGCUAUGCUUAAUAAGGAGCGGUAAAAGCUGAGUGAUUUCCUGUCACUCGCGAGUUGUAGGAGUUGGGUGGUUCUCCUUCUGUUACAACUAUAAGGACGAUGGAUGGGGCAGGGUUUGGUUAACUCUUUGGUGGUCGGCUGAUCACCCCGUCUGUCCAUGGAACUUGUUAAGGACCAACAGUGGUGGUGUUCGUGAUCAAGUGUUUGAAAGUACUAACCUCGUACUUAUUAUGGGAUGAGGAAGUCGAGUACCAGAUUGAACCUAAAUGUGAGCGGUCGCCCCAUUGUCCUUGGAACGGAGUUUCCCCUGGGGCCGCACGUGGUGGCAAGUAUGGUCACAGAACGGCAGAGGCCGGGUCUGUGGAACAUUGCACCAAAGGAAAUGGGCCCGACACGGGUUAGGGAAAUGAUUGGGAAGGCCGACACAGGAAGCGACCCUCGGUGGUGCGCGGAUGUGGUGAGGUUAGGUUCACCAUGCAUGGUUAAAGAACUCGAAUUGAUUCGUCUGCCUCUCACAGUUUGAGACUACUUGAUCGCUAUGCUACCCUGAGUAAUAAAGGAAUCUAAUGAUGACAUGGUCUCAAUGAUGAUAUAUAUACCUUUUGGUUGGUUCUAUGUUUGCUUAGAGUAAGUUGCUAACUUAGACCGGAUAAUGAACUUAGAACCUGAGCUAAAACUUGAAAAUAGGGAUCUACAUAGUGCUUUUGGCAAACAACCCCUCAGCCAAAGAGCCUUGCAUGUCUAGAAGUGGUGGAGUAGUUACUCCCGGUCGGUUAAAUCUUGUUGAGCUUAGUAGCUCAGCCUUGUUGUGGCUUUUCUUUUUCAGGUGAAGCCGCUGCUCCCGAGUCUUCUUCUGUUGGCACCGUGCCGCCCCAACUCCCUCCGGGUUGGACGGUCGAGUGGGAUCCUUCCUCGGACGGCGAGGAGAAGGAUCACUGACGUCUUGGCUGGCCUCACCAAGGACGUCCGACCCCUUGCAUUUAGCUUCCGCUGUUUUACCUUAUGUUGUUUCCUUUGAGCCGUGUAAAACUUUGUUUUCAUUUUGUUGUUGAGCUAAAUGGCCAAAUUUGUUCAACUCAGUGGACUUGUUGUAUUCUCUGGAACCGCUCACCUUCGUGUGAGUUUGCUAACUCGGUCCUAUUCAAGUGGUUAAAUCGGAUGAAAUCCGACAGCACUUCGUGUUAACUUGGCUAAGGCAUGAGUGUUGCGUGUUAGGCGACUUAACCAUGUUUAAUCAAGCUAAUCCGAAGUGGAUCCACCACAGUACCACUCUUCGUACGCCGGAUUGGAGACCUUGGCCUGCUUGUCGGUCACCUUGCUAUCAAUCUCGACGGGGGAGCUGCUGCGACACCAGUAAGGCACCCCAUCAGGCGUGCACCUCGGACGGUGGUGAGGACUUACACCUUCCACAUGGUGUGGUUGUUCUUCGACAGCUUCUCAGUGAUGACGAUGCCUACUAGAGGAUUCAUGGCUCUGAUUACCAUGUGAAAGUCAGAGGUGCAAUUGGAUGGGUGGAACGCCAUGACCUUCUUCUGGCUGAUGAUGCAUGUUAAUAUAGGUGAGGAAACUCCCCUCACUUGGAUUACAAGACAUCAUGGAUACGGUUAGUUGUGAUUCGACUAGAGAUAGAGAUACAAAUUACAAUAGCCUUAUCUAUAAGAUUCUACUCAACAAACCUAUCCAGCCAAACCCAACAUACUGCACACAUGUUUGUUACAAUUCAUUGUUACAAAUAUAUCUAACAAGGUCAACUCAAUCUCAUUGGCCCAGCCCAACGACAAAACAUCACCCCGGCCUUGCGACUAUGAGCCAUCGCAGACGCACCCUUCCGCUCUCUGCAAGUGGGCCUGCCUAGGACAGUUCUUCUUCCUCGUAGCGGCAGCGAUGGAGUUCGGGGAGGAGGGGCCCGCGGGGAUUCCAACACUGCCUACCUUAGAAGAAGAGGUGGAGGGCAGUAGGGAAGCCUGGAGGUGGAGGUGCAUUGCCUGUGUUACCAAUUGUUUUCCUAAGAUGGCUUGACUACAUACUACCGUCUAACCAUAAGGUCUUACUAGUAGGUAUCCCAUUCAUUUUUGUACAAAAAAAACCAUGUGAUCCCCUGAAAUACUAGCAUAUUUCAGAUCUACAACUAAUGACCAGCAUCUAAGCUAAAGGUCUUACAUAUUUGUUGUCCAUGUGAACUUAAAAAAAAGUUUUGAUCCACUUGAAGAUCGGCAUCUUGAGGUCUAUGCUUAUCUAUUGGCAUCUAUCCAAUGGGUGUUACUUAUUUGUUUCAAUAUGAUAACAAGUAUGCAAACAAAUAUCCGUGAGAUAUAACGUGCUUCAAUGCAGUGGAAAGUAUAAUGAUAACACUACUAGAGAACUGACUUUAGAUCCCAACCCCUUUAGUCUCAGUUUAAUUUCAGCUCGGGAGAAAAGGGGGUGCGCCACGGUAGGCUGGAAUGGGACAACCUUUACUCUCAGUUCUUUUUUUGCAACCGGGACUACAGGCCACCCUUUAGUCUCGGUUAAAACGGCUAGUUGCCGGGCACCGACGGCGCCACCCUUUACCCCCGGUUGGAGCCACCAACCGGGACAAAAGAUCCAACCUUUUGUCCUGAUUGGAUUUACCAACCGGGAUAACAGGUUUACUCCCAGUUGGUAAUUCCAACUGGGACAAAAGGUUGGAGCUUUUGUCCCGGUUGGCAUUACCAACCGGGAGUAAACACCAACCGGGACAAAAGAUUAGAUCUUUUGUCGCGGUUAGAUUUACCAAUCAAGAUAAAAUCUUAUCUACAAGAGGCCUUUCUUCCUCCUCCACUCCUCCAGCCCAAGCCACUCUACUCCACAAAGACAGAGAAGCUCAUCCUCUCCAUGGGGCUGAAGCAAGCAUAGGGGAGGUGCUGUUGAAAUUUUUUUCCUCAUUUUCAUGAGGAUUUCACUCAUCCAAAGUGUUGUGAAGGUUAGCUACUUCAUGCUCUGUUCAUUUAUUGUUUGUUAAGCUUUGUUUUAUACUUUAGAGAGGGAGAAAAAUGAGUUUGUUUGCUGUUAAGCACGUAGAGGAUUUGUAUUUAUACAUGUUUUUGAGCUACAAUGUGAUGGAUAGUUUGAAUGUGAGGGAGAAUGGACAGUAAAUGUGAGGUAGAAUUGAGAUUAUUUCAAUUUUAUGUAUUAUAGAAAAAUUAGAGUAAAUGUGUUUUUAAUACUUAUAAAUUAGCCAUAUAAAUUGUAGGUGUAAUUUCAUCCUUUAGUACUUUUCAGAUAGAGGUAUGGAAUUAGCCAUUUUUAGAAUAAGUACAUUAUAUGGGAAAUAUUGAAUUUUUUAAUAGUUUAGUUAUUUGUAAUUAAAUAUGAGCUAAAUAAUUUGUGUAUUUCUAUGUAAACUUUCCACAAUAUUUGAGUUUGUCACAGUGUAUCAUGUUGUUUGCUUCUGAAAUUUUAAUUUGUGUAUUUCUAUCUAAAAUUUUAGCAAUGUGAUGGAUAGUUUUAUUGUAAUCCAUUUUAUUGAUGCCUUGUGUAAUACGAUGUAGAUGGACCGGCAAUGGAUGUAUAAUGCGGACAGGCGGAGCAAGGUGUUUAUUGCUGGCAUGAAUAAUUUUCUUGAAGUGGCCAAAACGAACAAGCCAGAGAACGAGUUCAUAUCUUGUCCAUGCGCCCAAUGCAGUAACCAGAAGUGAUAUUCAAAGGCUUGCUGGGGUACUAUUCACAACCACUUAGAUACGGUUUCAUGUCCAACUAUUUGGUUUGUACCCAUCAUGGUGAAAGAGGGGUUGUAAUGGAAGAUGGAGAAGAGGAGGAGGAUGAUGACAACAUUCCGGACUGCGCUAUAGGCCAAUCUUUUGUAGAUACUACAAUGGGUGAGGUUGAUGAAGAUGAGUUUGCAGAAGAUGGCCAUACCAGUGACCUCGGUCAGGUGCUUAGGGAUGCACACAGAGAUUGCGAAACUCAGAAGGAAGCAUCAAAGUUGCAGUGCAUGAUAGAUGAUCACAGGAAAUUGCUACACCUAGAUUGCCAGGGAGGCCAUAAAAAACUGGGUACCACACUAGAAUUUAUGCAAUGGAAGGCCAAAAAUAGUGUAUCUGAUAAGGCAUUUCAGGGGAUGUUGGAAAUUGUCAAGAACAUUCUUCCCAAGAAUAAUGAAUUUCCAUCCACAACAUAUGAUGCUAAACAGAUUGUUUCCCUUCUAGGAUUGGAGGUUCAGAAGAUACACGCAUGCCCUAAUGAUUAUAUCCUUUAUCACCGUGCUGAAUAUGAGGAUCUGGAUGCGUGUCCCGUGUGCGAAGCGCUGUGUUAUAAGAUUAGGCAAGAUGAUCCUAGUGAUGUCGAGGGGCAACCUCCUAGGAAGAGAGUUCCCGUGAAAGUGAUAUGGUAUUUCCCUAUAAUACCACGCUUGAAGCACUUGUUCAGAAAGAAGGUGAACGCUAAGUUGAUGCGAUGGCACAAAGAAGAACGUAAGGAAGAUAAGAUGCUGAGACACCCCGUUGAUGGGGCUCAGUGGAGAUCAAUUGAUAGAGCAUUCCUGGAGUUUGAAGGUGAUCCAAGGAACAUAAGGUUUGGUUUAAGUACCGAUGGAUUCAAUCCAUUCGGUGAGUUGAGUAGUGGUCAUAGCACUUGGCCUGUAACCUUAUGUAUGUUUAACCUUCCUCCUUGGAUGUGUAUGAAACGGAAGUUCAUUAUGAUGCCGACGCUUAUCUAAGGCCCAAAGCAACCCGGCAACGACAUUGAUGUGUACCUAAGACCGUUGGUUGUUGAACUUUUACAGCUUUGGAAGGAAGAAGGUGUACGUGUGUGGCAUGAGGAUAAACAAGAGAUGUUUAACUUGCGAGCACUGUUGUUCGUAACCAUUAAUGAUUGGCCUGCACUAAGUAACCUUUUGGGAUAGACAAACAAAAGAUAUCGAGCUUGCACCCACUGCUUAGAUGACACAGAUAGCAUGUAUUUGAAGCAUUGUAAGAAGGUAGUCUAUAUGGGUUAUCGUCGAUUUCUCCAUGCUCACCACCAGUUGCGAGAAAGCAGGAUGCAUUUCAAAGGGGCGCCAGAAACUCAUAAAAAACCUUUACAUCGUAAUGGAAAAUGUGUUUUUGAGAUGAUAAAGGAUGUAAGGGUAGUAUUUGGAAAACAUCUUGGUAGCCAACCUGUUCCGAACGACGAUGACGGAUGUGCAGCCAUGUGGAAGAAGAAGUCAAUAUUUUGGGAGCUACCUUAUUGGUAAACCCUAGAUGUCCACAACGCAAUAGACGUGAUACACCUGACGAAAAAUCUUUGCGUGAACAUGCUAGGUUUUCAUGGGUGUUUAUGGGCCCUCAAAAGAUACACUGGAAGCACGACGGGACCUUAAAGAAAUGGGGCAACGGGAUGACCUACAUCCGAAAAAGAGAGAUAACGGACAGCACUACUUACGUCCUGCUAGUUACACUCUCAGCAAGGAAGAGAAGGAUAGCAUGUUUGAAUGCUUGAAUAGUUUGAAGGUCCCGUAUGGGUACUCAUCGAAUAUAGAGAGAAUAAUAAAUAUGAAAGAAAAGAAGUUCACAAAUCUCAAGGCCCAUGAUUGCCACAUGUUGAUGGCCCAGUUGCUUCCGGUUGUAUUGAGGGGUGUUCUACCAGAGAAUGUUCGAUUGCCACUCGUAAAGCUAUGCGCGUUUCUCAAUGCGAUUUCACAGAAGGCAAUCGAUCCAUUGAAGCUAACAAAGCUACAGAACGAUGUGGUACAAUGUCUUGUCAGCUUUGAGUUGGUAUUUCCACCAUCUUUCUUCAAUAUUAUAACUCACCUUCUGGUUCACCUAGUAAAAGAGAUUAAUAUUCUCAGACCAGUAUACCUGCUCAAUAUGUGGCCUUUCGAGAGAUUCAUGUCAGUCCUUAAAAAAUAUGUUCUUAAUCGUGCCCGUCCAGAAGGAAGCAUCACCAAUGGAUAUGGAACAGAGGAGGUGAUUUAGUUUUGUAUUGAUUUUAUUGACUCAAUUGACCCGAUUGGGAUUCCAACUUCACGCCACGAGGGGAGGCUGCUAGGAAUGGGCACCCUUGGAAGGAAAGCAUGUUUGAGCAAUGAUACUGAUUUGUUCAACAAGGCACACUACACUAUUUUACCGCAGUCAACCUUUGUGGCUCCAUAUAUCGAGCAGCACAAGCAAAUGUUAGUUUCCAAAAACCCGGCGAGAUCCGAUGCCUGGCUUACAAGAAGCCACGUGGAAACUUUUCCCUCCUGGUUGCGCAAACAUCUUAUGGGUAACUCUGAGAUUCACCCACAGCUUGCUUGGUUAGCCAGGGGACCUUCUAGCCCAAUCGUGAAAUUCUAAGGCUACGAGAUAAAUGGUUAUACAUUUUACAUGAGAGCCCAAGACUAGAUAAGCACGAACUAGAAUAGUGGUGUCCGCAUAGAUGCCAUUGGCAGAAAUAGUAGCAUGGACUCUUAUUAUGGUUUCAUAGAGGAGAUGUGGAAAAUCGAAUACGGACCGCUGUGCAUCCCUCUAUUUUGUUGCCAAUGGGUGAAGCUAAAUGGCGUAACCAAAGAUCAGUAUGGAAUGACAAUAGUGGACCUUAGCAAGACUGGAUACAGUGAUGAACCAUUCGUACUUGCCAGUGAUGUGCAUCAAGUUUUCUAUGUGAAGGACGUGUCUAGCAAACCCAAGAGAAAUCUAGAAGAUCCAUGGGAGCUAAAGCGCCACAUAGUCCUUCCAAGUAAAAGAAAACUUGUGGGAGUCGAGGACAAAACAAACCAUUCGCUGUUGAAGUUGACCCUAGCAUCCUGCUAUCCAAAGAAGAGGUUCCGUACUUGCGCCGUGAUCAUGACCAAGGAACAGUCGUGAAGAAGUUUUUUAAUGUUACAUUGUAAUGCGCUAAAUUUUCUUCACAUUUAUGAUUAAUUUCAUGUACUACUUGAUCCAAUUUCAUAUGUGCUUAAAUUAGUUGUUUUCGCGCGUAUAAAUUAUUUAAUUGAUAAUUUCUUGAUGAUAGUGAUGCAGUAAAAUAAUUAUUUAAAAAGGUAAUAUAACUAGUGUAGAAUUAAUGAGUCAUUCAAACUUAUUAUAAAUAUAAUUGCUAAUUAAAUAUAUUUUUGCAUGUUCGAAAUAUGUAAAGUUUUAAUUUUUGCUGUAUGAAAUCCAGUAAAAACAUAAAAAAAUAUAUUUCCAAAAAAGAAGAGGGAGAUGAGAAAUGGGAGAGGGACCGUUUAUCCUGGUUUGUAAGGUCUUUUUAUCUCGGUUUGUAAUUAGAACCGGGAUAAAAGGGUAAAUUUCAGUUUCCGCCUGGACGUGACCUUUUAUCCGGGUUCGAUUUACGAACCGGGGGGUUGCCCUUUUAUCCCGAGUGCGUCAAAAUCGGGAUAAAAGGGCAGGCCUUUUAUCUCGGUUGCUUACAAACCGAGAUAAAAGGGCAGGCCGUUUAUCUCAGUUUGUAAGAAGAACUAAGCUUAAAGGUCCAUUUCUUUCGAUUCAUCUUACAAACCGAGAUAAAAGGUAGGGGGUGGAUAAAAGUAAUUGGCGUUUCUACUCCCCCCGCACCCGGUAACUUAGUGAAAUUUUUACUACUCUCUAGCCUCCGCAUCGUCUCCGUCGCUGGCUCCGUAGGCAUCACACAGCUGCCUCCAUCCCCAUCGCCGCAUCAUCUCCGUCCGCGCUGUCGUCCUCCGCCUCAAUCCGCGUCGCCGUUCGUCGUCGUCCGCGAGCCAUGUCCUCUCCUCCAUCUGGUGCCCCGUCCUCUCCUCCAUCCGGCGCCCCGUCCUGCCUCCUCCGCCUGGUGCCCCGUCCUCCCUGCUCCGUCCACGCACCUUGUCCUCCCUCCUCCGUUCGGCACCUCGUCCUCCCCUCCUCCAUCAGAUGCCCGUCCUCCCUCGUCCUCCGUAUAAAUUUGGCAGUGAUGCAAGACUUUUUUAUUUAUUUUUUUCUAGUUAUAAAAUUUGGUAGAAAUUCAUUAGAAAUUGUACUAAUUAGUACAAAUUUUAUAGAAAUUCCAAUAAAUUAGUAGAAAUUUGUGUAAAUAAAUUAUGCUUCAAUUUUGAUAGAAUUCAGUAGAAAUUAGUAUAAAUUUGUAUGGUUUGACGUUUUUCUUCUAUGAGUUCAUGUAUGUACAUUAACUUGUAAUACAUUAAAGACAUUUCCUGUAAUUAAGUUUCAUUCAAGAAUUUUUAUGUAUUUUUUAAGAAGUUUUCAUGUAAGUUUAAUUUCAUGUACAGUUUCAUGUGUACGUUUCUAUGAUUUAAUUUAUAUAUCUUAACGUACAUGUAAUUAUGAUUUCAUGUGUGUUUGGAGUAGUUGAGAUGAUGGACGUCGAGAAUGCAAGGUUCAUGAUGGAGGAUAGUAUUGCUGGUAGAGAUCAUAACGUAACGUACACCAAAGAAGAGAGUAACCAGAUGGACACGUACCUCAACAUAUUCGCCGAUGGCAAUGAAGAGCCCGAGCAAAACCUUGCUGCGGCGGAAGAUACCGCCGAGGUAUAUAUCAUUAAUAAUGUUGUACCCCAUUUAGAAUGUCUUCUUCUUUAUUAUUAUGUACUAAUUAAUGAAUCUUGAACUAUUAGCCAUCUGGAUCGGCGAAACCUAAGAAGACACGAGGUCGAAGCAUGGUGAUGGAUGGAUCACAAAAGCUAGAGAUCACAAAAGUGUCAGAAGACGGCAGGCCGGUUGCUCCCGUCGAUGUGGCAAACAAGUACGUGACUCAGCUCAGGGCAAUUGUAAGGGACAAUGUGCCCAUCAGCUUCACAAAAUGGAGAGGCAAAAGCAAUGAUCCGGACGCGCUGCUGCAAACAGAAAGGAUAUGCUGUGGGAACAGGUCAAGCAACAUUUCAUAUUUCCCGCUAGAUAUAUUGAAAAGGAUGUGAAAGCGUGGACGUUGAAGAAGAUGGCCACACAGUUUCAAACAUUCAAGAAAUUUCUAGUUUCAAAGUACAUUAAGGAGGACAAAACUCCAGAUUUCAACAAAUUUCCAAAGUUCAGCAGCCACUGGAAGGCAUUUGUCGAGUACAAGAGGAGCCACGACGGUCAACAAAAAAUCAACACCAACGUUGAAAAUGCUAGUCGUAAGAAAGAGCAUCAUAAGCUAGGGCGAGGUGGUUACAAAAUAGUAGUGCCAAAUUUCAGAAGAUGGAACAAGACCUGCUCGAACGGGGUAUCGUACCAGCAACUCAUGAAUGGAGCCAACAAGCUAAAAAUUGGUUCUUCGCUCAUGGAGGCAAACUGAACCCAGAGGAUGAGACGUUAAUCUUAACUGAGGAAAUACGUCUCAAGGGCGAACAGCUCACCAAGAACAUUGAAGAUGUUAAGGCUGGGAGGUUGGUGGUGGAUCGAGAAAUGGAUGAGCUCACAUUGGCCCUUGGGAAUCCUAAGCACCCAGGACGUGUCUGCGGGUUCGGGAUCAUUCCGUGGAAGUACAGUUUCAAAGAAGAUAGAGGCUCGUAUAGAAGCCGCAAGCGAAGAAAGGAUCGGGCUGAGCAGAGUUGGUGGCGCAACCUAGAAUCUCAAGUGCAAUCUAUAGAACAAAGAAUGCAUGACGAAGUCAAUCGUUGAGUGGCCCUUUCCCAAUCAGAAGCACAACCCGAUCCACAGGACCAGCAAUAGUUCGCUGUUGAUUUCAUCAGGCAACACACCUCAUGUGAGUUGCAUGUACCGGUCGGCAACCUGAUUGUUAAGGUAUACUCUUAUACAUAAUUAAUAUUUAUAUAAUAAUCUUCUCAAUCCAUCGAUCCACCAUGCCUCAAGAUUGGAGUUUAAUAACAUCUUUAUUUCUGCUAUAUGUACAGGUAGCGUACGCGAAUGCCUUACCAUGCUGGGCAACGCAGGCGAGCCAUGGCAUGGAGAUUCCACCUGGCUAUGGUAGUGUCUCAGUAGAGCAGCUCGUUGAUUGCCAAUAUGAAGGCUAUGAGCUCCAGCUCCCGGGAGGUACUGGGGAAAGGACAUUAGGAGAUGUGGUUCAAGGUGGCAUCAUUCUAUGGCGCAAACGCUACAUCAGCAUCCCUAGUAUGGAGGCAGCACCCCUCCCGGAAGAACCCGAGCCGCAACCAUCUCCUCAAAUGGCAAGACCUAUUUCUCCACCACGGUCAAUUACAGGACCAUCGUCUAUGCAUGCUCAAUCAAAGUCUCCAUCUCCACAUCCAGUUGGCAACGACAACGACAACAGCACUCCUCCCCGCUCAUCGACGAUGCUGGGACUAAGAGGAGUCCCAAGCAAGGUACCUGCAGCCCCGACUGGAGACCUGAUUAUGAAGUCACGAUCAAUGGCUACCAAGCCAGCACAUAAAAAGAGGAAAACAAAUAAGGAGCUUGAAGUGACUCCUGAGGAACGCUGGAAUGCAUUGACUCAAGAGGAACGCUGGUCCAAAAUCCAAGCAGAAUGCAAGGAGUUGUUCAGGAAAAGGGCUAAACAAAAAAAAGCAAGGGCGAUGGAGCCACAACCAACAAUUGAUCCAACUAAAUUACAAUUUUUUCAGAAGAUGUCACAUUCAAACAAGGAGGCGAUGAAUAUAGGGAAAAAAGAAAAGGAAAGUCAUCUUCAAGUGUUGUUGAUCGCUACCUUCAUCAUCUACCAGAAGGAGAUGCUAGAAGGAUAGUAGCAAUGCCCAAGUCUCAACAAGAUCAAGUAUUGGAAUUCAUGAAAUAAUUUGGAGUGGGACUUGAUCAAUGUAUAGAGCUAGGUGGUCACAAGCCAGCAGCUUCACAACCAUUUCAACCGAGAUGGACGUUUGGGCUAGGAAAGUCUCUGGUAAGGCCUGAGUUGGUAGGAAUCCUAUCACCAAAGAUGUACGAAUUCCAUGAAUGGUACAUGAAGAUGUCCGCUGAUCAGACUUCCAUGUUCGCCCUUAAGGUAAAACGAAUAGAUUUUUACGGCGAAGGCGAGAAAUGCCUCUGGCUGGAAUUCAAAGAUUUAUACGAAGUUGUGGCGGAACCACCCAAAUUAACCUGACUAAAAGGCAUUGAAGUCGCCUGACACGCGAUUAUGCACUUUAAGCAAGUCAACUUGGUCGACCGUCGGAUUUCCUCCAAUAAACCACAUAACAGGAUUGAGAAGCAUCGCUCACGCGAAGGUGAGUAGCACAGAGGUUACAACAUUCCAUCAUGACAACAUAGUUCCACAUUUUAUUAUAUCAGAGUUUUCGAAAUUUAGAAUGAAAUUUGCAAGGUUCGAAGUCAAAGGAAAACAGCGGAAACUAAACGCCGAUACAUGACAUCAUGAUGGAGCCGAUCAUGACAUCAAAAACUCCUUCCUUCGCCGUCCGAGGAAGGAUCCCACUCGACGGUCCAGCCUGGGGGAAGCUGGGUCGGCCAAGUGGUACCCGCAACCAAACUAUUGACAUUACUUGAAAAAGAUUAGCCACAACAAGGCUGAGCAACUAGUACUUAGCAAGACUGACCCGUCAAAAAGUCACGACCGAGACCUAGACAUGCAAGGCUUUCUAGCUCUGGGGUUUUCUUGCCAAAAGCGUCUAAAGUUAGUCCUUACUUUCAACGUUUUAGCUCAUGUUCUAUGUUCUUUAUCCAUUCUAGAUUAGCAACUUAUACUGAACAAACAUGGUUUCCAAGCAAUUACUUAACAAACAUCAAGAUUAAAAUCAUCAUCAUGUUCCAUCUUCACUCAAUGCAGAAUAGCGAUCAAGUAGUCCCAAUCUGUGAGAGGCAGACGAAUCGAUUCGAAUUUAUUAACCAUGCAUGGCAAAUCUAAUCUCAUGACAUCCGCGCACCACGAAGGUGUUGGGAUACGAGGUAGGCUACACUAGCGCAAUUCAAAAAAUCUACCGCGUAUAACCAGGAAGAACUGCCGUAUAAGGAUCACGGGAUUACCACUCGACGCACUACUGGUGCGGAAGAUGUAGAUAUGCGUCGAUGCAGUGAAGACGAUCACGUAGUCGUACGUAGUCGAUCAACGUAGUCGUACGUAGUCGAUCACGUCCAGCAGCUCCUCAGCAGCUCGUCCACGUGCAGCAAGAUCGCCUCCGGUACCGCGGCUCGUCGUUGGCUCGUCGGCGGCUCGUCCAAGUGCUGCAGGCGCAACACCUCCCAGGUAUCCACACGUGCAGGGAGGAAGCGUCGCAAGCCGGACUGCUAGAUCCGCGAGUUGCAACAGGCGAGGGCGUGGGAGGCGCGGCAGGUGUGUUUUGCCAAAAAGGUGUAAACCCUAGGGCGCCCCCACCCCUCUAUUUAUAGAGGUUCCUGAUGGGCCUCUGGAUCCGAGGCCCAUUAGUACUUCUAAACCUAAUCCAACUCGGAUUAGAUCCGAAUUGGGCUUCCAGCCCCUUAAGUGUGUGACCCUAUGGGUUCGGAUACGUAUAGACAUGGCCCGAGUACUCCUACUCGGCCCAAUAGUCGGUAGCGGCCUCUAGCAAGACGUGCCAACUCCUAUACGCACACGAAGAUCAUAUCAGACGAACCAUCACAACAUAAUAUACAUGCUAUUCCCUUUGCCUCACGAUAUUUGGUCUAGCUUCAAGCCGACCGCUCUUUCUCGAUCCUGUGAUUCGGAAUCCCUUUGUAGGUUAACUCUUAACCGUACGUAGCAUGGCCAUGCAUUUUCGGAUCCGAUCACUCGAGGGGCCCAGAGAUAUCACUCUCAAUCAGAGAGGGGCAAAUCCCAUCUUGAUUGACCAUGUCUCAUAGCAUGCUUCUUGACAAACCCGAAAGCUACCUUUAUAACUACCCUGUUACGGCGUAGCGUUUGAUAGCCCCUAAGUAGGUCGAUCUAGAAUACAUGCGACAAUCUCAGGUCUAAGGACAAAGCGUAUAUGUUGUUUAAAGAGAGAACUACUUCUCGUGUUGGGUCAGUCCUAGCACAUGUCUCCACAUGUGUCCUCAUUAUUAGUUCAACAUCUCCAUGUCCAUGACUUGUGAAACAUAGUCAUCAACUAAUUCAUGUGCUAGUCUAAUAUUCAUGUGUGUCCUCACAUGAACUCCGACUAGGGACAACUUUAGAAUAUCCAUACAAGUAAAGAGUUUCACAUACAAUUCACAUAAUUGCAAAUCAAUUCAAGUAGCCUUCAAUGGAUAUUCAAUGAACACAACAUACAAAUCAUGGAUACAAAUGGAAUAUCAUCAUCUCUAUGAUUGCCUCUAGGGCAUACCUCCAAUAGUCUCCCACUUGCACUAGAGUCAAUCUAGAAGGUACCUAAUACCCAUAGCUCUUACAUGCGCAGCAUGCUUAGCCUGCGGGAGUGGUUUUGUCAACGGAUCAGAAAUGUUCAGAUCCGUGUGUAUUUUGCAUAUCUUGAUCUCACCCCGGUUAACGAAGUCUCGAAUGAGAUGAAAUCGCCGCAUUAUGUGUUUGUUCUUCUGGUGGUUCCUUGGCUCCUUUGCUUGCGCAAUUGCCCCAUUGUUAUCACAGUAGAGAUUCAAUGGGCUGGACGCAUUCGGGAACACACCAAGCUCAAUGAGGAAAUUCCUUAUCCAAACACCUUCCUUCACGGCUUCCGAAGCCGCGAUGUACUCGGCUUCUGUCGUAGAAUCGGCCACCGUCUCCUGCUUGGAACUCUUCCAACUAACAGCACCACCAUUUAGCGUGAACACAAAUCCUGAUUGUGACUUUGAAUCAUCUCUGUCGGUUUGGAAACUAGCAUCGGUGUAACCUGUUACAACGAGCUCCUCCUCACCUCCAUAGACGAGGAACAUAUCUUUAGUCCUUCUCAAGUACUUAAGAAUGUUUUUCACCGCUAUCCAGUGACACUCACCUGGAUCAGAUUGGUGUCUGCUUGUCAUACUUAGCGCAUAUGAAACAUCUGGGCGAGUACUUAUCAUUGCAUACAUGAUAGAUCCAAUAGCCGAGGCAUAUGGCACUCUACUCAUGCAAUCCCGCUCAUCAGCAGUCAAAGGACACUGAGUCUUGCUGAGAUGUAUGCCAUGUGACAUAGGCAAGAACCCUUUCUUUGCCUCUUCCAUGCUGAACCGCUUCAACACUUUGUCAAUGUAAGUAUCUUGGCUUAAACCUAUAAGCCUUCUCGAUCUAUCUCUAUAGAUCUUAAUGCCCAGAAUAUAUGACGCUUCCCCUAAGUCCUUCAUUGAAAAACUAUUUUUCAGUGAAGUCUUUACGGACUCAAGCAUAGGAAUGUUAUUUCCAAUCAGUAAUAUGUCAUCCACAUAUAAGAUUAGAAAUACUACAGAGCUCCCACUAACCUUCUUGUAAACACAAGACUCUUCUUCGUUCUUGGUGAAGUCAAACCCUUUGACCACUUCAUCAAAAUGAAUGUUCCAACUCCUAGAUGCUUGCUUCAAUCCAUAAAUGGAUCUCUGAAGCUUGCAUACCUUUCCAGCAUUUUUCGGAUCGACAAAACCCUCGGGCUGUAUCAUAUACACGUCCUCAGUUAGGUUUUCAUUCAGGAAAGCUGUCUUGACAUCCAUCUGCCAUAUCUCAUAAUCGAAGUAUGCAGCUAUAGCUAGAAUAAUCCGAAUGGACUUAAGCAUCACUACGGGCGAGAAGGUCUCGUCGUAGUCAACUCCUUGAACUUGUCGAAAACCUUUUGCGACAAGUCGUGCUUUAUAGAUGUGAACAUUUCCAUCCAUGUCCUUUUUCUUCUUAUAGAUCCAUUUGCACUCUAUGGCUUUAACACCAUCAGGCGGGUCAACCAAGUUCCAAACUUGAUUGUCUCCCAUGGACUCUAUUUCGGAUUGCAUGGCAUUCUGCCAUUUUUCAGAGUCUAGGUCCAUCAUUGCUUCUGCAUAUGUCGCAGGCUCAUCAUUGUCCAACAAUAAUAUUUCCCGCAUUUCGUGGAGCCUUGCCGACCUUCGUGGUUGUGGCGGUGCUUCUCUUGCCAUGGGUAUCUCAACUUGUUCUGCUACGUUAGCAUCACUCAUUGAUUCUUGCCCGAUCAGCUCAUCUUGAACUUCUUCAAGAUGCACUGUCUUUCCACUCUUUUCUCCUUUGAGAAACUCUUUCUCUAGGAAAACCCCAUUCCGAGCGACAAACACUUUGCCUUCUGAUCGGUUGUAGAAAUAAUAUCCCAAAGUUUCCUUUGGAUAUCCCACAAAAAUGCACUUAUCUGACUUGGGUGUGAUCUUGUCCGACUGAAGUCGCUUGACAAACACUUCACAUCCCCAAAUCUUUAGAAAAGACAAACUAGGAACCUUUCCAGUCCAUAUCUCAUAUGGUGUCUUAACUACGGAUUUAGAUGGUACCCUAUUAAGUGUGAAAGCUGCUGUUUCUAGAGCGUAUCCCCAAAAUGACAACGGUAGGUCCGACUGGCUCAUCAUUGAUCGAACCAUGUCUAACAAAGUUCGAUUACGUUGCUCGGACACACCGUUUCUCUGAGGUGUUCCAAGCAGCGUAAGUUGUGGAACAAUUCCGCAACUCUUUAGAUGAUUGCUAAACUCGUGGCUCAAAUACUCGCCUCCACGAUCAGAUCGUAAGGUCUUAAUUUUCUUGCCACGCUGAUUUUCAACUUCAUUCUGAAAUUCCUUGAACUUUUCAAAGGUUUCAGACUUGUGCCUCAUCAAGUAGACAUAGCCAUAUCUACUAAAAUCAUCAGUGAAAGUUAUGAAGUAUUGGAAUCCUCCUCUAGCCGUCGUGCUCAAUGGUCCGCAUACAUCACUAUGUACGAGUUCCAACAAGUCUACUGCUCUCUCAGGAAAUCCUGUGAAAGGCGUCUUGGUCAUCUUGCCUAGCAAGCAAGCCUCACAUGUCUCAUAUGAUUCAAAAUCAAACGAAGUUAGAAGUCCAUCAGAAUGGAGCUUCUUCAUGCGCUUUUCACUUAUAUGACCUAAACGACAAUGCCACAAGUAGGUAGGACUCAAAUCAUUAGGCUGAGGCCUUUUAGCACUUACAUUACAGACAGGUGAACCAUCAAGAUUUAAAACAAAUAAUCCAUUCACAAUGGGUGCAAAAGCCAUAAACAGAUUAUUCUUAGAGAUCACACAACCAUUGUUUUCACUCGCAAAUGAAUAACCAUCCUUCAUCAAGCAUGAAAGAGACAAAAUGUUUCGACUUAAACUAGGAACAAAAUAACAAUUAUUCAACUCCAUAAUAAAUCCUGACGGGAGGUGGAGUUGCAUCGUCCCGACGGUCAAUGCAGCAACUCUUGCAUUAUUGCCCACGCGGAAAUCAACUUCUCCUCUUUCCACGCUUCUACUUCUUAUCAUUCCCUGCAUCGAAUUGCAAAUAUGAGCAACCGAUCCGGUAUUAAAUACCCAAGAAUUAAUAAUUGUAUCAGCGAGAAAUAUGUUGUCUAUAACAUUAACAACAAGCGUACCUGAGGUAGAAGUACUCUUACUUCCGCCAUUCUUCAAGGAAGCUAGGUACGGCUUGCAGUUUCUCUUCCAGUGACCAAGUUCAUGAUAGUAAAAGCACUCUUUGUCUGGAGCAGGUCCAGGUCCAGCUUUAACCUUGGGCGGUGGGUUUGGCUUGGACGUUCCAGCCUUGCCCUUCUUCUUCCAAGAAUUGCCCUUCUUCUUAAAGCUAGGCUUAUUCUGUAUAGCCAUCACAUGGCUGGUACUAGCGCUUUUCUUGAUGUCUACCUCUGCUGUCUUGAGCAUACCACACAGUUCAUUCAAACCCUUCUCCGUCCCAUGCAUAUGGUAGUUCGAGAUGAAGUUCCCAUAGCUAGGCGGAAGAGAUGAAAGAAUGAAGUCAGUGGCCAACUCUUUGCCCAUUGGGAAGCCCAGCUUCUCCAAUCGCUGAGUGUAACCAACCAUGUUGAUUACAUGUGGUCCUACUGCUGCGCCUUCUGCUAACUUGCACUCCAGAAAGGCUUUGGACACAUUGAACCUUUCGGUCCUAGCCUGUGUUUGGAACAUGUCCUUGAGCGCCACGAUCAUAUCGUGCGCCUCAUGAUUUGUUUCGAACUGCAUCUGCAGCUCGGGUUCCAUGCAAGCAAGCAUAAGGCAGCUUACCUCAAGAUUAGCAUCAAAUGCCUUCUUGUAAGAAGCCUUAACGGCAGCAGAUGCAUCAUCAGCAGGUACUGGUGGUAGUGGGGUGUCUAGAACAUCUUCCCUUUUAUCGGCCCUGAGAACAAUUCUCAGGUUUCGGAUCCAAUCCGAGUAGUUUGUUCCAUUCAACUUGUCCUUCUCAAGGACCGAACGCAAAGCAAACGAUGUGGUGGUGUUGCUAGGUGCCAUUUAAUCUACAACAAAAGUAAUGCAAAAUACACUAAGACAAAUGUAUCCAUGAUAGAGCAAAUUACAUUAAACUAUUUUAACAGAAUCUACUCCCACUAAAAUCAAUAUCCCUCUAUUGAAACUUAGUGAUUCAGGAUCCACAACUAACAAGUCCACUAGUGAGCUUUAGCAUCACCGCUAGCAAACAAGGUAGAUCGGUAAGCAACUUUUGCUAAUCAUAUCACAUAUGACUCCUGUUGUUGGGUGACAUCUCCAUGUCUCGGCACCCAACCUUUAUGCCCCAAGGUCCUUAACCGUUACGAUGACCUCGUUAAGCAAACCAACCCUUAUGCGUGUAAGUGUCCGACACAAACCCGUCUAGUCAAGGAAAACUAGUGGUACCCUAAUUUCAUAGACCCACCACUAAUUGUACAAGACAUGGGACGGUGCAAGUUUUAGUUGGGAGGGCAUACUAACUUAAACUUUGUGAGGGAUCGUUCUACUUCUAACAUCACAGCAUGCAGAAAGUAAAACAUAAACAGAAUAGCAUUCACACAGCUGUGACACAGUAUGGCCCGUUUUUAUAUGGUGAUCUCCAUCUCCAUAGAACCUGUUCACCAUGGUGAUCUCCAUCUCCAUCCUCCUGGUAAUGAGUCCUCCAAGAACUAGAACAUGCUAUUACGCCUAACAGCUAGUAAAGAAGCUAGUAAUGAAGAUUACAUAGUUGCUUGGAUCAUCACAGAUUGGUACACAGACCAUUAAAUACAAUAAAGUGACAACACAUAUGGCUCCUGCCGUGUUGCCAUAUGCGCGACACGCAGGUCACGAAUGAGUUACACACAUGCAUCAUAUACACAAAGGGCCAUACUGAUCACAAGAUACAUACAUCCUGCAAAACAGAGUUAAGCGUCCUAACGUUCCAAACUUCAGAUGCCCGAAACUCUAUCUUCCAAGCCGAAUUUGGGAAAUCUAAUUUCACCGAAAACUGCAAAGCCAUUGAAUUUCAUGUGUAACUUUUUCUGUAGAUCAAUUUUCAUAUAAAAUUCGCCCCGAUCCGAGAUCGUACCGAAAAGUUACGGCUAAUUUACCGAAGCAUACGCAUACGGCAAAAAUCCCGACCCCGGCAGUAGAUCUCAUCUACUAUUGCACAUCUAAUGCGCCUGGCGUAUGACCCUGGAUCUCGAUUCGACCAAUCAUAUUGAUCUUCGCUCACUACAACUGGAUUUACGUGUAUCACUUAACUCCGAUGGUGGAAACCGACCGGUAGGAGUAUGUCGUUACACUACCAUUGCAGCAAGGGCACGAAACCAGGACAUAGAUCAAACGAAAAACUCGCAUAUCUCCAUAUGCACACAUCCCGAAUCCAAAAAUAAGCAGCUAUGGCUCUGAUACCACUGUUGGGAUACGAGGUAGGCUACACUAGUGCAAUUCAAAAAAUCUACCGCGUAUAACCAGGAAGAACUAUCGUAUAAGGAUCACGGGAUUACCACUCGACGCACUAAUGGUGCGGAAGAUGUAGAUAUGCGUCGAUGUAGUGAAAACGAUCACGUAGUCGUACGUAGUCGAUCAACGUAGUCGUACGUAGUCGAUCACGUCCAGCAGCUCCUCAGCAGCUCGUCCACGUGCAGCAAGAUCGCCUCCGGUACCGCGGCUCGUCGUUGGCUCGUCGGCGGCUCGUCCAAGUGCUGCAGGUGCAACACCUCCAAGGUAUCCACACGUGCAGGGAGGAAGCGUCGCAAGCCGGACUGCUAGAUCCGCGAGUUGCAACAGGCGAGGGCGUGGGAGGCGCGGCAGGUGUGUUUCGCCAAAAAGGUGUAAACCCUAGGGCGCCCCCACCCCUCUAUUUAUAGAGGUUCCUGAUGGGCCUCUGGAUCCGAUGCCCAUUAGUACUUCUAAACCUAAUCCAACUCGGAUCAGAUCCGAAUUGGGCUUUCAGCCCCUUAAGUGUGUGACCCUGUGGGUUCGGAUACGUAUAGACAUGGCCCGAGUACUCCUACUCGGCCCAAUAGUCGGUAGCGGCCUCUAGCAAGACGUGCCAACUCCUAUACGCACACGAAGAUCAUAUCAGACGAACCAUCACAACAUAAUAUACAUGCUAUUCCCUUUGCCUCACGAUAUUUGGUCUAGCUUCAAGCCGACCGCUCUUUCUCGAUCCUGUGAUUCGGAAUCCCUUUGUAGGUUAACUCUUAACCGUACGUAGCAUGGCCAUGCAUUUUCGGAUCCGAUCACUCGAGGGGCCCAGAGAUAUCACUCUCAAUCAGAGAGGGGCAAAUCCCAUCUUGAUUGAUCAUGUCUCAUAGCAUGCUUCUUGACAAACCCGAAAGCUACCUUUAUAACUACCCUGUUACGGCGUAGCGUUUGAUAGCCCCUAAGUAGGUCGAUCCACAUCUAGAAUACAUGCGACAAUCUCAGGUCUAAGGACAAAGCGUAUAUGUUGUUUAAAGAGAGAACUACUUCUCGUGUUGGGUCGGUCCUAGCACAUGUCUCCACAUGUGUCCUCAUUAUUAGUUCAACAUCUCCAUGUUCAUGACUUGUGAAACAUAGUCAUCAACUAAUUCAUGUGCUAGUCUAAUAUUCAUGUGUGUCCUCACAUGAACUCCGACUAGGGACAACUUUAGAAUAUCCAUACAAGUAAAGAGUUUCACAUACAAUUCACAUAAUUGCAAAUCAAUUCAAGUAGCCUUCAAUGGAUAUUCAAUGAACACAACAUACAAAUCAUGGAUACAAAUGGAAUAUCAUCAUCUCUAUGAUUGCCUCUAGGGCAUACCUCCAACAGAAGGGUCGCUUCAUUUGUCAGCUGUCCCCAUCGAUCCCUUAGGCACGUGUCAGGGCCAACUUCCUUCGGCAUGCAAUGCUCCACAGUCCUGGCCUAUUGCUGCACUGUGACCGCACUUGCACCCACAUGAUGCACCAUGGGAACGACGUUCCAAGGACAGCCGGAGGGUAUGCCACGCCCCAGUUCAAUCAGGUACUAGGCUUCCCCAUCCCAUACUAGGUAUGAGAUUAGUACUUUCAAACACUUGAUCACGAACGCCGACACGUUUCGACCUUAGUUCAUUUUCAUUUAGACAGAUGGGGCAAUCCACCAAGUAUCAAACACAAGCUUGACCCCGUCCGUCAUCCUUAUAGUUGCGACAAAUCUAAAAUAUUCAACUCCUAUAACUCGCGAGUGACAGGAAAUCACUCGACUUUUACCGAAACCUAUUAAGCAUUGCACUACUCGACCUUAGCAACUAGUAUUCAGACAAGGUACUAAGUUUAUGCAUCUAAGGUUUCAUUACAACUCCUCAAAACGUAAAUACGCAAUCAAGUAAUCAAUAAGUGGCAUGAAAGUAAAACAGGGAGUUCAUGCACCGGGGCUUGCCUUCAGAAAAAGCUUGCGGGUCCUCGGGGUCUUGCUCCGGUUCGGGCUCUCCUUCGCAGGGAUGCAGUUCCUCGGCGGGGUCUUCUUCCGGUGCUGGAUGAAGCUCGUACGUUCCGUCGGCGAGAUUCAACUCUACACGGAAAUGCAAUGCAGGGGUUAAACAUUUUAGAUGGUUAUUUCAACACACUCAUGUUUUAACACGGACACUUGUAGCAAAGCUACAGGAAAGGUGGGGGAGUUCAACUUCUGUUGGUGGAGAGCAAGAUGAGAGGGUCAGAUUGGGGAAAACUUAGGGUCUGACCCUCAGGUUUAAGGAAAACCGUACCGAGGUCCUCAGACUCAACACAGAGGAAUCCCCGAAAAUAUCUCACCGAUACCCUCGGGUCAAAGAAAAAGUUACAACCGAGCCCUCGGGCGAGGCGGAGAAAGGGUCGGCGAAACUUGGCAGGGUCGGGCGAGGCGAACGGGAAAAGAUCGGGCGAGACGAAAAGAAAAGGGGUCGGGCGAACCGAUACAAAGGGGUCGGGCGAACCGAAACAAAGGGGUCAGGCAAAACGAAAAAGGACAGGGGUCGGGUGAGACGGAAAGGAAAAAAAAAGGGGGUCGGACGAGACGGAAAGGACCGGGAGGUUAAGUAGCUUACCUCCAGGUCUACCGGUGAAGCCUUGGGGCCGAACAGGAGUAGGCUAGGGUGGGAAGUCGUACGUGCUAAGGCUUGGGCAGCGGCGAGACUUUGACGGUGGUCCGGCGGCGGCGGUGCUUCUUGCGGACACCAGCAAGCUCGAGUACCGCGUGGAGGAGUGGGCGGCUGGUGUGUUGGAAGAAGCGGCUGGAGGGUGGCGGCGAAGUCGCCGGAGUGUGGGGUGGCGCAAAGGGGGUGAGCUCCACGGAAGCUCAGCGGCGGCACGGGGAGAAAGUGGUGGCUCAGAGGAGAAAGCAGGGCGCAGAGGAGAAAGCGGCGGCGCAGGUGCGGGCGGUGGCAAGGGGUGGCAUUGCCGGUGAGGGGGUUCCCUUUUAUAGGGCCGGGGUGGCGCAGAGGGUCGAGGUGGGGCUCCGGUGGGGAAAGGAUAAGGCCGGGAGCGGCGAGUGCUCAGGCGAGGUGGCCAUUGAUCGACGACGCCAUUGGGCAGAGGAGGCGGAGCUCUGGGUGGUCUUCGGCAGCGAUUGGCCUUGGGCGGCGCGCGUCUGGAGCUUCCGGUCUGUCGGGCGGGCGAGGCGGAAGGCUACCGUGGGGGUUGGGCGAGCGGGCGGAGGCGCGGGACGUCAGGGGCGUCUCAGCUUUCUCAGCGAACGGGCGGAACAGGGUUGGCGGGGUAGAGCCGUGGCAGGUGGAAGGCGACCUGCGCGCGGCCGGCGAUUGGCUAGCCCUGCGCUCGCUCCGUCCUGUCGCGGGCGCGGGUUGGGCGUCGUGGCUCUCGUCCUGGCGCUGUCGCGCUGGUGAUACGGCGCCGGUGAGCUGCCGGUGGCCGGCGGCCACGCGGCGCGCGACGUGCGAGCGAACAUGCUCAGGCACGCGGGCGUCGAGGCUCCCUUCGGGCAGCAAGCCCGACCAGCUUUGGAGUGAUCCUUCUUCGAAUCUUUCAACACAACUCCCGAAACUCCCUUAAACAAACUUGUUCAACUCUGGUCAUUCUUCAAACUUUGUUUAAGGUGUUGGUUUAGAUUGUGAAAGGAUUCGAAGAUAUUUUACGCCAAAGUUAGACAAAAAUCUGGAAUUCCAGACUUAGGAUUUAAGGCAUCCGGGGUGAGUUGACUAGUUUACCUCACUUUGACCGGGAUUUUGAACAAGUUCGGGUCUGAUUUGGAUCUAGGUCAGUGUAACAAAGUUGGAACACUCUCGAGGUACUACAACUUCUAUUAAGGCUCUGACUCGAGUUUAGAUAGGAAAACAGGAGAUGAAAGCUUGCAAAGAUGGAGGAAAACUCGAAUUCCAGGACUUGGUUGCUGUUUUUGACUCCCUUCCACUCCGAAUUAGUCAAGGUGCCUUUAACAAAAAUUGUUGGAAUUUAAAAGUUUUACAACUCUUAUUUGGGCAGAAACUUAAGUUUGUAUAUAGAAAUUCAAGCUUUAAAUCAAACUCCAAAAGGAUCUUCUUAAGUUUAUAAAGGUCAUUUCACUUCUUCAAUUAGGGAUUUAUCACCGGUUUAGUGUUAAAAGUACUUAAUUUGGUAGAGUUGUUACAGAAGUGUACCAUCAAGAUGCCCUAGACGUCUCUCUCAUCAGCGUCUGGGCUCUGUAAAUAUUCGUUUAUCUAUAUGUAAAUUUUGGACCAUAUCAUUAUUUUUUAUGCAAGCGUCGCCCUACUAACUUUGUCUUCCUUUUUAUGUAGGCGACUAAUUCAGAAGUGCCGAGAAGAAGGAUACUUGCAUGUUGGCUUCAUGGAUCCAUCCGUAGUUAACCAAACCCAACUACGAGAUUUUAUAGAUAAAAUGUUGGUGGAAUGUUUCAAUAUGCUGGACCUUCAAGGUGGCCAGAGCUACAUACUACUUCCAUACAACUUCGAGUAAGUGUUUGUACGUACGUAUACCAUCUAUCUUAGUAUCCUUUUCCUUAUCUGAUUAAUGAAUAUUUACGUACAUAGUUACCACUGGAUCCUAAUAGUAAUUGAGCCUGAUAGAACCCGAGUUACCAUCCUUGAUUCCUUGCGAAAACCACUAGCGGAGUACUAAGAGAUUCAAGACAUUCUACACUUGUAAUUAAUAAUUCUGGAUCUUUAUCUCAAUACAAAAGUGUGUUUCCUAAAUUUUCACCUAACACUAUACCAUUCGUUAUUUUAAUUCGUAGGGCAUGGAAAUAAUUUGUCAAAAAAUGAUGCCAAGGUGCAUUCCAAGAAAAACUUACAUGGGACAUAGACUUCCCGGUUCGUAUGAAGUUUGCAUAUUUUGUACAUUCUAUAUGAUGAAUAUUUUAUAACUUAUUUUUUUCCCACUGAAGUGCUUAAUACAGGAACAAGGGAAUAAUCUGUGUGGGUACUAUGUCUGUGAGAACAUGCAAAGUUUUUUGUCACACAAGGCCAGGUUGACGUCGCUGGAAAAACAGGAAGUACGUAAUAUAAAAUAAUACUAUUAAUAGUUAAUUGUUUUCUAGCUCCUUAUAUUUAAUUGUUCGUGUAACAUUAUUUACUUCCAAAUUACAUAUGCAUAAUAUUCGAGACAAGAUUUUGGAGAAGAAAAGAAUACACACAAUAUGCGAAAGUCUCGUAGGAUUCGUGCUGGACGAGGUGAUAAAUCCACAAGGAGAAUUUGAUUCCGGUGGAUGAAAUUAACAAGCACCAAGCAACACCUCGACGAAGAUCCUAGAGUUAUAUAGCUAGCUAGCUAGGAAUUAAUUGUACUAUAUAUAUAUAUAUACUAAUCAAGAAUUGAACAUAUACUAGCUAAUUGUAUAAGAAUUGUAUAUAUAAGUAUGUAAUAGUUAAGAGUCGUUUAAAUACUAUAUAUAGUUUGAUUGAUUUCAUUAAUUAUAAAAAAACUCUCAACUAACUAAAGGGAUAUGUAAUGCACAAAAUUAUAGUUAUAGGCGCCAUGCAAGCGGCUGCAUGGCGCUAUAUAUACGCACUUUAGUCCCGGUUUGUUACACCAACUAGGACUAAAGGGGUCUGUCCAGUGCCUGGUGUGGCAGCCCAUUAGUUCUGGUUGGUUUUGCAAACCGGGACUAAAAAAGGGUCUUAUAUCCCGGUUCAGGGACUCGUGAUAAAAGACCGCCACCUUUUAUCUCGACGGGUUAAUUCUGGAUGCAUUUUCGGGAGAUAUGCACCCUACGAACCGGUACUAAUACCCAGUUCUCUAAUAGUGUAACAUAAUUAUGUUAUUUGAGAAACUAUACAGAUGAUUUUUUAUGUUUGUUCCAAACAAUGCAAUGUAUAUCACUUAUAUCGAUCCAGUGAGCUAGUGAUAAAAUUCUUCUAGUGCACCUUUCUGUCCCUUAAAGAUAAGGAUUUUUUCCGGAUAGAUUAGCAUAGAGACUAAACAACUUAGUUUGCAUGAGAGGGGUUAGGAAACUGCAUGCUACGUUGCUGCUCCAAAUAUUAGACAUGCACAAUUUAUUACAAACUCCAGCGUAAUUAGUGGCCAAUUAAUUGAAACAACAAAAAGGACAAAGGAUGCAAUGCUGGAUGUGUGUCAAGAUAAACCAGUACAAGAAUAAAUAAUUGCAUCUUGAUCAAUCAUUACCGUCUCUAAUAUUCAAAGCCUAUAUAAUAGGACCGAUCCAAACAUGGGCCUACAAUAAUUUCUGUAAUAUAUAUAUAUAUAUAUAUAUAUAUAUAUAUCAAUAAUUAUAACAAACCAUCAAACCAACCAACUUAUGAUCCCAUAAAAAAUCAUGGUCCUGAGAUCUAUUAAUAGAGAACACGUAGCUUCCUUACCAUCCCACCUACACACCACAUCUGACUAUAUAGAGGAUGCAAUCCUUUUGUACUAAAUCUUGGGGGACCAUUUUAUCCCGGUUUGUAAUACCAACCUUUUAUCCCGGUUGGUAUUACAAACCAGGAUAAAAAGUUUUGAUAGAUUUAGUUAUUUUUUAGCCACCCGUGGAGGACUCUUUUAUCCCGGUUUGAAACACCAACUGGGAUUAAAACUCCCCUUUAUCCCGGUUGGUAUUACCAACGGGAAUAAAAAGGGUUCGAGGGCUUCAAUUCUUUUUUGCCACCUGUGGGGAACCCUUUUACCCCGAUUAGUGUUUUCAACCGGGAUAAAAGACCUUAUUUUAUCCCAGUUGGUGUCGUGAGCUUUAGUCUCGGGUGGUAACACCAACCGGGAUUAAAAUGGUGACCUUUAGUCCUGGUUGGUCUUACCACCCGGGACUAAAAGGUCCCUCACGGGUAGCUGAUUUUUUCACCCGGGACUAAAGAGUCCCCCAUGGGUGGCUGAUUUUUUACCCGGGACUAAAGGGGGUCUUUAGUCUCGAUUGAUAUUUGACCCGGGACUAAAGCACCUUUUGUCUCGGACCAACUUUAAAUCGGGACAAAAGGGGGUGCAUGUCUCGAUUGCAUUAUCCCGGAUUGGUUUUCAGGAGAUUUUCACCCUACCAAUCAGGACUAAUACCGAGUUUUCUACCAAAUAAUCUUAACUACUGGCAUCUAACCAAAUUAUCUUACUAUUAACUAUUCCCGUUCAUUUUUUUGAAUAAAAACACACGUGAUCCAUUUAAAGAUCAGCAUCUUGUAGAUGUACACCUAAUUAAAGGCAUCUAAUCAAAGGUCUUACAUAUUUGUUAUCCAUGUCAUCAACCUACAAAAAGUUAUGUCCACUUGAAGAUCGGCAUCUUAAGAUUUAAACUUAAUUGUUGGCAUCUAACCAAUGGGUCUUACUUAUUUUUCAAUAGGAUAAUAAAUAUGCAAACCAAUAUCCAUGAGAUAUAAUGAGCAUCGCUGUGGUACAAAGUACAAUAAUUGCAUAAUUCCGUUGUUUGGAAAACUAUAGAAAAUAUUUUCUUUAUAUUUGUUCCAAACAUAUGCAAACUACUACACUUAUUUGGAAGAAUGGGUUUUGUCCUGAAAUUAUAAUUGAGUGCUUGAAUGAUUUGGAAUGGACAAUUAACUAGUCAAGAAAAUUAACUUGAAACCCUAUGUCACUACUGGAAAGAAUAAAUUCGCCGAGUAUAAUUUUUUCACCGAGUGCAAUAAUGCGGGCACUCGGCGAAGGCCCCGUUUGCCGAGUGUAUUUCUCAUAACACUCGGCAAACACAAUGCACUCAGCGACAAAGCGAUUUGCCGAGUGCCAAAUAAGAAAACACUCGGCAAAACCCCGUCGACACUCAGCAAACAUAAUACACUCGGCGAACUAUUGAUCACAUGACCUGCACGUGCGCCGUCCGGUCGAAACCGUGACGGACGUUAGUAGGUUUGCUGAGUGUUGUGAUGGGACACUCGGCAAAGCUGCGAUUAUGCCGAGUGCUAGGGGAACACUCGGCAUAUUUUAGGGUUUGCUGAGUGUUUUUUGACACACUCAGCAAAAGUAAUUUUUUUUCCCUCCUCCACCCUUCAAACUUUUUACACUCCACAUGUAUGGCAUUUGGCACUGCAUGGUAGAAGGUGGACUAUUUAUUGACCUUUUUGCUAUAUUUAAUCAAUUAAUUUCAUUUAGAGUAAUUUGUUGAUUUAAGUCAAACUUGAACUGCAGGUGAUUGGAAUAAUGGAAUAAUAUGAGUAGAAAAAUCAUAUUCAUGUUAGUGAGUCCAAAUUGAGGUCUCACCCAGAAAAUGAAAAGAAAUUUCAAACAUUUUGUUAAGGAAACACGACUACGAACGUGUGGCCAAAUGAUUUUUUAAUUCUCAAAGAUACAAACGAAGUUUGAAAAUCACGAGAGUUUAUUAUUUGUCAUACCCAUGCCAAACCGACAGCCGUCUUUAGGGUUGGGAUGUUGUGUACAAGGUAUCGCCACACGGUAAACUACCGAGCUGUGGGUAAGUACUCCUCGUACUAAAUUGUUCAAUAUAUCACCUACUUUCGACAUUCUUGAAAUAAUAACUAUAUACGCGUCUAUAUGCAGGAUUUCUAUAGAUGCCAGGAGGGAUUCGAGGCCAAGGCGAAGGCCGUUUGUGAUGUAGCUGCCAAGAAGCUCGUGAAGGACAUGCAUUACGAGGCGCGCAUCCAGGCCAUCAUCGAAUUCCACGCUCAAUACAGACAGAUGAAGGUUAGAAAAGAGGAGGCAAGAACAAUGAACCUGACUAAGGACCAAUUCAUGAGGGUAAGUAAAGAACGUUGAUACUUACUAUUUAAGAUUAAUUAGGCUCAUUUUCUUUUUCAUAUGUCACACGCUUGAUGAUGUAGGUGCCUCCGUGGUGGUGUCGUGCGCAUAUGCCGUGCUAGGAGAGGAUGGUCGACGUGUGGUUGGAGCCCGGGUGGUUGGAGAACCACCUUGCUUGCCGGCAGCGGUGUUUGCAGAUGCCGAGUGCACCACACCAUCAAGGCAGCCUAAGCUUUGAUGAAUAUAGAGAAAAAUGGGUACACAACUUCAAUUCUUUAUUGUAACGUUCAGUUCUGCAUAAUUCCUAAUCAUUUUGUAUGUUUUGCCGCAGUCGACGUCACAUGAUGGCCGACCUUGCUCCCAGCUCAAGGCAUGGGUCCUCUCCAAAAAGGGCAAGGUGACGGCCGAUAUCGAUUUCAACCCAGACGACCCGUCCGAGGCGUACAACCACCCUAGCAUACACAGCCGCGUCAGCGAGUAUACAAAGAUGGCUAGGGAGGUUCACGAGCCAGACUUCGAUCCGAGCUCCGAGGACAUUGAUGGAGAAAUCAUGAUGAGGGUGGGAGGAGGCAAGAAGCAUGGCCGAUAUUGGAUUGGUGACGGCGUCAUCGACACGGCCUCUACUCCUACUCUCUCCCAGAUCCGAGCUAGGAGCACGGACUCGAGCUCGGCGAUACGGCCACGACCCACCACUGCACAGUUCCAGAUGGAGGCUCUCCAGGUUCUUUCUCUUCCAUUCAUCGUUCAUUUGUUGUUAUACUUUAGCUUUGCAUUAUAACAUUGCAAUGAAAAAUUGUAGGUGCAGGUGGAAGAAGCAAGGAAGAAACAAGAGGAGAUGGUGGCGCAGAUGGAGAACAUGCGGCGGAGGAUGGAGGAAGAAAACCGGAUUAGGAUGGAGCAGAUGUUCCAUUACAUGCAGAAUUUUGCUUCGAGCAUGGGACAGUCUUUGCCUCCGCCACCGCCGAUGAUGUUCCCUCCGCCUCAGCCACCCACGACUACUCCUGUGAGUCACUUGACACAUUGUGCUUAAGAUUCAAUACUUUAAUUUUGACAACUUUAGAUGUUAGUUCAGAAUGUCCUAUCCUAUGUGCAAAAUCAAUCGGCGGCUUCGAAUAAUGAAGAUCAAGAUUUAUCGCAGUGGUCUCCUUGGCCUCCACGGAACUAGACUUGGUUGUGAACUUGGUUGAAACUAAAUUGUGACUUGAACUUGGAUUUAUGGAUUGUUUUGCGCUUAUGUUGAAUUAUGCAUGUGAUGUUUAUGAAUAAUGUUUCUAAUGGUGGUUGUGAAUUAUGCCUGCGAUUGUUUAUUACAAAUGCCUAUGAUGAUGUGUAUUAUGAAUUGAGAGGGGUCCGUUAUACGUGACAAAAUGGGGAAAAAAGGGGGUUCUGGGCACUUUGCCGAGUGUUACACUCGGCAAAGAGGGGCCUUUGCCGAGUGUUUUGGCUUUAACACUCGGCAAAGGGGGCACUUCCAGGUCCGGUGGGCAAGAGUUUGCCGAGUGUUAAAGCCAAAACACUCGGCAAAGAUCACCUCUUUGCCGAGUGUCAUGGAGACGACACUCGGCAAAAGGGGCCCCAUUUGCCGAGUGCUGACACUCGGCAUACGCGUGGUGUUUGCCGAGUGCUGACACUCGGCAUACGCGUGGUGUUUGCCGAGUGCUGACACUCGGCAUACCCCUGGUGUUUGCCGAGUGCCUGCCAUCCGGCACUCGGCAAAGCCGCCGUUACCCCCCGACGCCGUCAGCGCCUAUUUCGCCAAGUAUUUUUUUUCGCCGAGUGUUUUUGGGCCGUCGGCAAAAUGUUUGCCGAGUGUUCGAGUUUUGACACUCGGCAAAGUAGUGUUUGCCGACACAAAAUUUGCCGUGUGUUGUUUGCCGAGUGUUACACUCGGCAAAGCCUUUGCCGAGUGUUUUCAUGCCUUCGCCGAGUGCCUGUGGCACUUGGCAAUUUGUGUGUUUCCCGUAGUGUGUAGUCAAGAAUUGCACAGUUUGGCGAUUAGUUAUUAGAAAUAAUCUAACUUAACCCCCAAAAUUCUGACCUAUAUUACAUACCUUUAUCAUUAUAAAAACAUAUCUGAAAAUACUCCUAUGUAUGCUUCUAAAUUAUCCGCAUCUACCGCAGUUAAUAUCAGAAACUCACAAUACAGAUAACAUAUACAUAGAUGCAGGAAGCGUUGCGGUUAACAAAGCAUAUAGAGUUACCAAGAACUAUAGUAUGCCAGAACUAGAUAGAACCAAGAAACUUAUCAGCGCGAACAAGCAAGUUGUUGGAAUAUGAACAAAUGUGACAUAUGCAGUGAGAAUCUGGAAAAGGCACCAUCUAUCACUUAUAUCAAUGAAGCGAGCUAGGGACAAAAUUAUACUACUCCAACUUGCUGUGCCAUAGCUGAUCUGUGGGCCCACUGUGGUAGCUAGUAAAAAGGAACAUCAGUUGCAUAUAGAGGGGAAACGUCCACAACUAAAGUGCCAGUGUGCCGCUGGCCCGUCUACCACACGUACCUUGCCCGGACUUUUGGAAUUGCUGAUAUGCUGGCACAACUAAGACAAACAAGAGACUAGCUGGAUGUCAAAUUUCAUUAUAAACUCUAUAUAUACUCCUGUUUCACAAUACUAAUAGUUACCCCAUCACCCUCUACCUUUGUCUAUUGCAUCUCCAGCCACAGUUACCCCAUCACCAACCAAUCUCUGGAUAAUACAUCGAUUCAGGGUUGUAACACCCUACCUUCAAAAUCUACUCAGUCCCCAGCUCCUGGCAUGGAAAUGAGCCCAUAUAUGCAUAACACCUAUCUUGCACUUGCCAGCACCCAUCCACCUAUCUUCGUCUGAGCUCAUCUCUUUCUAGCACCCACCUAUGCCCAUCCCCUUCUUGCAUCUCUUGCGGCUGCUGCCACAGGAUCCACCGCCAUAGACAAUUCUCUCGGUAACCCAUCAAUACUUGGGCUCAUGCAUCUACACCAGCCAAUUGAUCUCCCCUGCCUAAAUCACGCUGCCACCGCCACCUUACGUAACUGUCCAUGCUCUGCCAACCUCAAAUAUGUUGUCAUGCCGCACCACUCACCUUCCCUAUAACACCAACUAACAAUGAUCCCCAAACUCCAAACACUCAAACCCGAACCCUAAUCUCGCUGGAGGCUGUAGGGAAUGAGGUCGCACAGCCUUUGAUUGAAAAAUGGAGGAUGAAGCAAAAUUCAGAAGUGCGGGGCAAGGAAAUGCUUGCUGAAAUUAGGUGUAGAUUUCCUAGACCAAUAAGUAUUGUGGAAUAGAGGAGCAGUACUACACAGUAAAAAUAUAUCAUUAUUUUGUACAUAUGAUGUAGGCAAUAAUUGCGACUUUUUUUUUAGGGUCAACGCAGGGGGGGGGGGGACCUACCUGAAAUUUCAUUGGAGCUGGAAGACCCAGGUGGAUUUUCAGAGUUCGUAAGUAAAAGACCUAGGAAAAGACUGAUUGCGUAAUUACAUGGUAAACAUUUGGCACCAGAUUCAACAACUAUUCUUUCCUCCCUCUUCCAGCGGUGGCACCAUAGUCUUGCCUCUUCUUUGCAGGUAGCACGCAGACGUCCAAGAGAUGGCUCCAUGUUCAACACUGUUCCUGUGUUUCCAGAGUUGCCAGGCGCAGAGAAGCACAAAGGUGGUGUAGUGUAGGAUGGGAAGAUUUGCCGGACGGGGAAGUUCAGUCACCUUGCAGCCUGCAGUGUCAAUCUCCAUCGACUGCCAGAAGGAACUCCCGAAGGGGCAGGCGAACAGAAGGUGGUCACUGGUUUCCUCCGCCCUUUUGCAGACUUCACAGGUAGCAUUGGAUAGAACAUUCUUCAUACGUACGCAGGUUCACCCGGCUCUGGAUUCGGUCCUGCACCAGCAGCCAGGUGACGAACUUGACACGCGGAGGCGCCUUGUUCUCCCAUACGAUUCAUGGAAGACGCAUGGUGCAGGGCCAAUUGCCUGCAUCGUGGCCUUGUAGACCGGCCCUGCUCUCAUGGUGCCGUCAUCGCUCAGCAGCACUGAUGCUUUGUAGUCGUCGCCAUCUCCCAGCUGGAUGUUUUGUAGUAGUUCCUGCAUUAGCCGUGGAACAAAGAGCUGGCGCAGAUUAGAGCUCAGAUUAAGUGCACUUGACGCUUACUCUUUUCUUCCAUGUACUAUUUUAUAUCUUUCAUUUAGUGUGUAAGAUAUUAGAACAUGGGGUGGUAUCAGCACAUGGUUGGCGUGGCGGUGAAGUUGUACUAUGAUUGGAGGGCCACUAUCACAUGUGCUAGUUAAAGGCCAGACCAACAAGACGUCAACCAGACCAUACCGGGCCUCUAUAUAAAGGAACCCGAACCUAGAUAAACGUCCACACCGAAAAUGGCUGCAACACUCUUGUCCUCCUCUAUGGCUCUCGCUCUGCUUCCACUCCUGCUGCUAGCAGCCGCGUCCAUUCCCUCUCUGGCUUCAGCUUCACCUUCCCUCGACCAUGGUUUGGAUGGCGAGGAGCUGCUGAUGCUGGGGAGGUUCCAUGGGUGGAUGGCGGCGCACGGCCGGUCAUACGCCAACGAGGAGGAGAAGCUUCGCCGCCUCAAGAUAUACCGAAGCAACAUGGAGUUGAUCGAGGCGGCCAACCAGGAUGGCCGGAUGAGCUACCAGCUCGGCGAGACACCGUUCACCGACCUCACCAAUGAUGAGUUCAUGGCCCAGUACAGCAGCAAUCUGUUGUCCUCGGUGCCGCCGGAGGAGGAGAUGAUCAGGACUCGCGCUGGCCCCGUCCAUGAGGGAGGUGGCCAUGGCGGUGAUCUCCCUCUCGCCGCCGGUAAGGAGCCACCGCGACCCGCGUCCUACCAACCUGACAUCAUUGCCGGCCAGCAUUGAUUGGAGGAUGAUGGGCGUCGUGACGGCAGCCAGGAAUCAAGGCGCUUGCGGUAAGUAUGCCAGUGACAUCCAAAGCCAUGCAUGCGUGAAAAUUUACUGGUGCAAGUGUCUACGUGCUUGAAGGGUCUUGCUGAGCGUUCGCGUCGGUGGCGACGAUGGAGAGCGCACAGGCAAUACGCACACGAACAGUGCCUUCACUCCAGUCGGAACAGCAGCUGGUAGACUGCGACGGGUACGGCUAGACUUGUCACUGGAUUUGCAUUAUCCAUAGUCCAUUUGAACUAUUUUAUCCUUAGACUCUAUUGGACUGCAUCAUAUUGGUUAGGUCCAAACCUAACACAGACUUGGUUGAUCCCUUUCCAUCACCAUCUCUAGGUACGACCUAGGCUGCCGUGGCGGCUUUUUGGGCAAUGCAUUCCGAUGGGUGAUCCAGAUCGGGGGCAUCAUCUGGGCCCCGUUGUACCCCUACAUCGGUAUGUCUGGUAUGUGCCAGAGAUUCAAGCCUGCUGCGGUUAGGCUUCGGAGCUACCGGUGGGUUGUGCCCAACGAGGUGUCGCUCAUGCAGGCCGUGGCGCAGCAGCCCGUCGCGGUCACCAUCUGACGCGAGCAACCCCUGUUUCCAGCAUUACUACGUAUAAAUUGUAUACAGAUCCCAAAAUAAAUAUUCUCGUUUUGUUGUGUUCCUAAUGAGUCAUAGUUCUGUACAAAAUAUGUAUGCUCAAGCUACUCACUACGGGAAACCUCAAAGUUGCCGAGUGUAAUUGCUUUGCCGAGUGUAUUAUUGCGGGCACUCGGCGAAGGACCGGUUUGCCGAGUGCAAUCCUAGAAACACUCGGCAAACAUAAUACACUCGGCGAAAACACGAUUUGCCGAGUGCCACCAAAAAAACACUCGGCAAACACCCACGGGGCACUCGGCAAAGAUGGGGCACUCGGCAAAGUCUUGAGCACGUGACUUCCACGUGCCGCGCUGGGCCGCCGCCGUGACGGACAUUAGGCUUUGCCGAGUGUCGACGGGGGGCACUCGGCAAACUUGGAGUUUGCCGAGUGUCUCCAUGGGCACUCGGCAAAUAUGCGAGUGUGCCGAGUGUCUCGGUGGGGCACUCGGCAAACCUGAGGGGUUGACGAGUGUUUUUUGGCACACUCGGCAACAAAAAAAAAACCCUCCUCCCACUAGUGUGCCGAGUGUUGCGAAACGUUUCCCCCGAGUCCAGUGCGGCCACGCGUGCGCCGCGCCCCCUGACGCGGCCGGCCACCACCAGGGCUCCCGCUCUCCGAGCCCUUUGCUCUUCUCCCUAUCUCCCCCGCCACUUAUUGCAGCCGCCUCGCGCACGGCACGCCGAAAGCUCGCGUCCUGUCAGUGGCCUCGAGUAGCGUUCCCAGUGCACAGCGGGACGGAACGAAGCCCGACCGCUGCGAGAUUUCAAACCUUGGAUUGCGGCUGCUGCGAGAUUUCAAACCUUGGACUGCGGCCGCGUUAGGGGAUGCCUGAGUGCGCUAGUAUGCCGAGUGCUAAAAAGGACACUCGGCAAACCUACUAGUUUGCCGAGUGUCGUGAUGGGACACUCGGCAAACCUAUUAGUUUGCCGAGUGUUGUGAUGGGACACUCGGCAAAGUGGCAAGUAUGCCGAGUGCUAGAGGGAACACUCGGCAUACUUUAGGGUUUGCCGAGUGUUUUUUGACACACUCGGCAAAAGUAAUUUUUUUUCCCUCCUCCACCCUCCAAACUUUUUACACUCCACAUGUAUGGCAUUUGGCAAUGCAUGGUAGAAGGUGGACUAUUUAUUGACCUGUUUGCUAUAUUUAAUCAAUUAAUUUUAUUUAGAGUAAUUUUUUGAUUUAAGUCAAAUUUGAACUGCAGGUGAUUGGAAUAAUGGAAUAAUAUGAGUGGAAAAAUCAUAUUCAUGUUAGUGAGUCCAAAUUGAGGUCUCACCCAGAAAAUGAAAAGAAAUUUUGAACAUUUUGUUAAGGAAACACGACUACGAACGUGUGGCCAAAUGAUUGUUUAAUUCUCAAAAAUACAAACAAAGUUUGAAAAUCACGAGAUUUUGCAAGAUGCUAUGAUUUCAUAUGCAGAGGCCAUGGUAAAAAAUUGACAAGGUUUCGCACAAGUUUUAACAUAUGAUGUUUAGAAUUCGAAGCAUCUCCGGAGAGGAUUCGUAGAAGUUGGAAGGAUCCAGUAAGAUUUUGAGACGAAUCGAUACUUGAAUUUGUCAUUGAGUCCCAAUUUAUUUUUAUAGGCUAUAGAGAACAUAGAUUGGUUCAUGUCAAAUUUUGAGAAUUUUUCGGAUCCGUUUGGUAAUUUUUAUUCAUUAAUUGCACGUAUAUGAAUUUAAUAGAUAUAAAUUUAAUAUGAGCUAUAAAUCCAUGAAAUAAUGGAAUAAUAUGACUUAAAAAAUGAAAUACGCAAUGUUUAGUGAAUUUGACAAGGUUUUUGCAAACUUUACAUACUUUUAAUUAAUAAAACCAGUUUGGACAUGAAAUAAUAGUACCUAUUUGCCGAGUGUCACGGGAUGGCACUCGGCAAAGAGCCUAUUUGCCGAGUGUCAACCCUGGGACACUCGGCAAAUGUCGCCGCGGUCCACCUGUCAGCCGCAGUUUGAAAUCCGAAAAAAAAAUUUAAAACAAUAAAAAAAAUUGUUUGCCGAGUGCUCCUGAUCUAGCACUCGGCAAAGCCUUUGCCGAGUGCUAGAUCAGGAGCACUCGGCAAAGCGGGCACCCCCACCACACUUAGCGCAUCACGCGCCUCACGCGGACAAGCACAGGCACAACACGCACACGCCCACGCCCGCCCGGCCCCCCGCGCCCGCUCCGCCGCCCGGCCCGCGCCGUCGCCGCUCGCCCGCGCUGCCCCGCGCCGGGACCCGGGCGCCAGCCGUCGGCCCCCCGGCCUCCCCCGCGCCGUCGCCGGCCGCCCGCGCGCGGCCGCGCCCGCUCCGACCUGCCCAGGCCGCCCCCGGCCGGCCGCCCGUGCCGGCCCCCCGCGUCCGCUCCGGCCAGCCCCGGCCGCCCCCGUCCGGCCGCGGCACCGGCCCCCGGCCACCCCCGCUCCUCUGUUCGUGGCCGUCGCCCCUCCGUCACCCCUCCGGUAAGUUGCUAUGCCGCUACACAUCAUAAAUUAGAGUAGGCAUGAAAUUAGAAAUUAGAAAAUGUUGAAAAGACUAGAGAGGUGGUAGGAUGUGGUAGGAUUUAUUUUAGAAAUUAGAGGCAUGAAUUUAGAAAAUUAGAGAAGAAGGAAGAGUGGAAAUUAGAAAAUGUUGAAAAGAAUAGAGGUGUGGUUGGUUGUGGUUGUGGUUGUUGGCCAUCGUGCUAACUCUUUGGUGAGAUUAUGGUUGUCGGCUAUCAUGCCGUUUAUUAUGUUGCAGGUUUUGGAAACCUCCCCGUGCAGGGGAGUUGCUGCCGAAAUUUUGACUUAAACAGUGCUCUGUUUCUUUUGUUGCAGGAGAGGCUUACAAGGACCGUCCUCGACUUGUCACUUUGCAGGAUAGCAAGGUGAGGCAUGCUACACCUCUCUUUUCGUAUAAUGUUCGUAUAUCACGUAACCUAGUUAGGCAUCUCCGGUUCGAAAGAGAUACGUUUGGAAAUAUGCAGAUCUUUGCAUAUCUAUAAUCGUAUCUGUUUCGAAUUGUCCACGUUUUUUGGACAGCCGGAGGAUGUGUAGGUGGGUUUAGUAUCCAGGUAUAUUCCGGUUCGAGAUAGAGUUUCGGCAGCACCUUCCUGUUGUUCUCCAGAUACACAAUCUCCUGUCAAGGACGUGUAUUUGGAGAACAGCGGGGAGGUGCUGCCGAAAUUUUAUCUCGGGUCAGAGUAGACCAUGGAUACUAAACCCACCUACACAUUCUCGAGUGGGAUUAGGACCUAUCUUUACCUAGUAGACAAUAUAGGAACGUGUAUAUGUAAUGUGAAUUUUGUAUUACUCGCUUAAAUGGUAGAGGAUGGAGGAUCGUCAGUGGAUGUACACGGGUCGCAGUAGUCAGAAUACGUUGACCAAUGAAUGGAUUGACAAGACGGAUGCUUUCUUGGAACGGGCAUUUGCAAGUGUCAAAGGAGCUCGAUCGACUUGGUGUCCGUGCAACAAAUGUGGAAACAUGCGUCGGCAAACCAAGCUAGACAUGGGCAAACAUCUUGUGAAGAAUAGAUUUACGUCAGACUACACCAGGUGGACCUACCAUGGUGAAUCUGACCGUGGGAGAGAGGAGGUCCUGAGACAACGCAUCGAGGAAUUUGAUGAUGAUGCCAGGGUGGGAGACAUGUUAAAUGACUACCAUGAAGCACACUUCGAAGAAGCACGUAGGGAGGAGGAGCCAGAGGCUACCGCUAAGGCUUAUUACGAAAUGUUGUCUGCGGCAUAGCAACCCCUUCACGGCCAUACCAAGGUUUCUCAACUAGAUGCCAUUGCACGCCUAAUGGUUGUGAAGUCUCAGUUUAGUUUGAGUCGAGACGCGUUUGAUAUUAUGUUGACAGUUUUUGGAAGCCUGCUCCCGGUUGGUCACAUCUUGCCAAAGAGCAUGUAUGAGGCACAGAAACUCCUUCGUGCACUUAAGAUGCCAUACGAGCAUAUACAUGCUUGCCCGAAGGGAUGCAUCUUAUUUAGGAAAGAGUAUGCGGAAGCAAAAUACUGUGUGAAGUGCGAAUCGUCUAGGUUUCUGGAGGUAGACUGUGGUGACGGUCAGAAAAAGCAGCUCGCAAUUCCUGUGAAGGUUCUACGGUAUCUUCCUUUCAUACCGAGGAUCCAACGGCUUUUCAUGACUGAAGAAUCCGCGAAAUAGAUGACAUGGCACAAAAAUGGCUGUCACUAUAAUCCUGAGAAGCUGGUACACCCAUCCGAUGCUGAAGCCUGGAAAAGCUUUGAUGCGAUUUAUCCUGCAAAAGCUCUAGAGGCCCGUAACGUACGCGUUGCGUUGGCAACUGAUGGGUUCAAUCCUUAUGGAAUGGCGGCCGCCCCGUACACCUGUUGGCCCAUUUUUGUUAUCCCCCUGAAUCUCCCCCCCCGGCGUCCUAUUUCAAUGACAUAAUAUAUUCUUGUCGUUGAUAAUUUCAGAGCAUCCGGGGAAUAAUAUGAGUGUGUACAUGGAGCCUCUGAUUGAUGAUUUGCUCCGUGCUUGGGAGGAAGGGGUAUAGACAUAUGACCGAUCCACAAAGACAAACUUCAAGAUGCAUGUUUGGUACCAGUACUCACUGCAUGACUUGCCGGCAUAUGGGAUUUUCUCCGGAUGGUGUGUUCACGGGAAGUUCCCAUGCCCAGUAUGUAAAGCAUCUUUAACGUUCAUUUGGUUGUCGAAAGGUGGCAAAUAUUCUUCGUUCGACAAACAUCGACAAUUCCUCCCUCCUGACCAUCCAUUUAGACGAGACAUCAAGAACUUUACCAAAGAUGUUGUAGUUACAGCCCCCACACCGCCGAUGAUGACAGGGGCCGUAGUUCGUGCUCAGUUAGAUGCUCUCAAGGUCAAUAAUGAAGAAGGUGGUUUUUUGGGAUAUGGCGAGCAACAUGCUUGGACGCAGAAGUCAUGCUUGUGGAAGCUUCCCUAUUUUGAUGAUCUUCUUGUUCCACAUAACAUUGAUGUAAUGCACACGGAAAAAAAUAUCGCCGAGGCAAUUUUUGGUACAAUAAUGGACAUUCCUGACAAGACAAAGGAUAACGCAAAAGCUAGAGUGGAUCAAGCGACAUUGUGCAACAGACCACAGCUAAACAUGGCGCCUCCAAGAGCUGGCAAGUCGUGGAGGAAGCCUAAGGCCAAUUUCGUUCUGACAAGGGCCCAAAGGAGGGAGGUUCUAGAAUGGUUCCAAACGUUAAUGUUCCCUGAUGGCUAUGCAGCGAACUUGAAGAGGGGAGUGAAUUUAGCAACUAUGCGAAUCAACGGGCUCAAGAGUCAUGAUUACCAUAUAUGGCUUGAGCGCCUACUUCCGGUGAUGGUUCGAGGCUAUGUCCCUGAGCAUGUGUGGCAGGUGCUAGUGGAGUUGAGCAAUUUCUUCCGUCGGCUUUGUGCGAAGGAGUUAUCUCGUACUGUGGUUGCAAAAAUGGAAAGAAUGGCGCCUGUGUUGCUCUGUAAGUUGGAGAAGAUCUUUCCUCCAGGCUUCUUCAAUCCAAUGCAGCAUAUGAUUCUACACCUACCGUAUGAAGCACGAAUGGGGGGGCCUGUGCAGGGUCGUUGGUGCUACUCAAUUGAGAGAUGUCAAAAGGUUCUUCGAACUAAAUGUAAGAAUAAGUGCAAAAUUGAAGCAUCCAUUGCAGAGGCAUACAUUCUGGAGGAGGUGUCAAACUUCACAUCGAAAUACUACGCUGACAACUUUCCUAGCGUGCAUAAUCCACCUCCUCGUUACAAUGCCAGCGAAGAUGAAUUAAGCCUUAGCAUUUUCCGAGGGCAACUUGGAAGUGCAAGUGGUGCGAUCCGCAAGACCCUAAACCAUGAAGAGUGGCGCUCUAUCAUGCUGUAUGUGUUGACCAACCUAUCUGAAGUGGAGCCGUACAUGAUGUAAGUUCUCAUAAACUUGUUUCGACGUAGUCACGGUAUCUCUUGCCUAAACGUAUCUUUCUCGUUGCUAUAGGCAAUUUCAUCAUCAAUUCUGGCGUAAAUCAAGGCAACCGUACCCGCACGAAGCUGAGACUCUUCUUAAAGAGGGUGCGGGAAAUGGAAUGCCCGAUUUCAUUUCUUGGUUCAAACAGAAGGUACAAUUUCAUUUCUUCGAACAUUCUCGUUCUCGUACAUAUGAUUAAUAUAAUGAACUGCCCUGUUUGAACUUGCAGGGCCGAACCGAUGCGUCUAUGAAUGUCGAGUUGAGACAGGUUGCCGAUGGCUGUGACUAUAGGGUCAGGUCGUUUGCCGGUUAUGACGUCAACGGAUAUAGGUUUCACACAACAAGGCACGAGCAGAGUCGGCCCAAUCGAAGAACCACAAAUACCGGAGUUUUCACACCAGGCUCCGAUGGGGUCGAGUAGUACGGAAGAAUUGAAGAAAUAUACGAACUCACUUUUCAUGGGUGCAAACCUCUUAAUCCAGUUAUAUUCAAAUGCUAUUGGUUUGAUCCAUCUGUCGUGAGACGGGCCCCUAACCUUGGGCUAGUAGAAAUUCGACAGUCAUCCAGGUUACCAGGAGACGAUGUCUAUAUUGUGGCUCAACAGGCCACGCAAGUUUAUUAUUUGUCAUACCCGUGCCAAACCGACAGCCGUCUUAAGGGUUGGGAUGUUGUGUACAAGGUAUCACCACACGGUAAACUACCUGUACCAAACAAUAAAGAUUACAAUAUAGACCCCGACACGUACGAAGGAGAGUUAUUCCAAGAAGAUGGGCUCGAAGGGAGUUUUGUGAUAGAUUUAACCGAAGCGAUUGGAAUGGAAGUAGACAACGAGAGGGUUGCUGCAGAGGACGGUGGAGACGAGGUUCAGAAUGUGAAGGACUUAGAAUUACUUCAACGAUUACAGUUAGCUAAUGACAGUGAUGAUGACAUUCCUUCUUCGAAGCACGAGCUUGACUAUAUCGACACGCGUGAUAGUGAUGAUGAGACUUAUGAUCCAGCUAAUCCCGAUCAUGAUGAUUAUUUCUAAUACAUGUAUGAUUCGUACUAAUUUAGUUAUAAUUUAAUUAUAAUUUGCAUAUCUUUGUAAUUAUGUGUUGUUUGCCUAUGCUGACUCGUGUACUCUUUUUAAUUGUAGGUCAUUGAGCAAUGGUGGGCGGUAUGAGGAAGCUCACGUCGAUUUGCGAGAGACUGGCCGCGUCAGGGACUGGUUCAGGGUCAGGGUCAUAUUCAGGGAGCGGUCGAGGGAGGCGUCGAGGCAGGCCUCGACGUAGGGUUGAGGAGGAGGAGGAGGUGGUCCAGAGGCCUCGAGGGAAGGGUAAAGCGGCGAGGCCCCCGUCGCCUGAACCUGAGGUGGAGGAGGAGGAGGAGGAGGAGGUACCUUCCGCUCACGCCUCUGGGGACGAGGAGGAGGAGGAGGCGGAGGAGGAGGAGCAGCAGGAGCAGGAGGGGGACGGGGAGGCAGGGGAUGCCCAGUCCAAGAUAUGGUUGCGAGGUCCCUCAUCCCUCCCGAAGCGACCGAUACCUGAGCAUUUAUGCUCGCUGAUUAAACCGGUUGGGACCAAGUAAGUAACUUUAAAUAUUCUUAAUAUUGUUCUUAUGUUGAAAGUUACAAAAACUAAUAAUUCAUAUUAAUGACUUGUGCAGGAGUUGGAUUAAGCUCAGUGGGGGUGACCACAACCGUAAGGCCAACGGGAUCCUUGGCCUUUUGUGCAGGCUUCACUUCCCUGGCUUGGUGGUGUACGCCGGACAGCAGCAGCCGGCCUACACGUGGGACCACUACGUCGCCGCCCCCGACGUCCCUGAUCGUCAAUAGAGAUGAUUCCCCAACAUAGCGGAGCGGGUCAAGGCCGAGCUGUGGGUAAGUACUCCUCGUACUAAAUUGCUCAAUACAUCACCUACUUUCGACAUUCUUGAAAUAAUAACUGUAUACGCGUGUAUAUGCAGGAUUUCUAUAGAUGCCAGGAGGGGUUCGAGGCCAAGGCGAAGGCCAUCUGUGAUGUAGCCGCCAAGAAGCUCGUGAAGGACAUGCAUUACGAGGCGCGCAUCCAGGCCAUCAUCAAAUUCCACACUCAAUACAGACAGAUGAAGGUUAGAAAAGAGGAGGCAAGAACACUGAACAUGACUAAGGACCAAUUCAUGAGGGUAAGUAAAGAACGUUGAUGCUUACUAUUUAAGAUUAAUUAGGCUCAUUUUCUUUUUCAUAUGUCACACGCUUGAUGAUGUAGGUGCCUCCGUGGUGGUGUCGUGCGCAUAUGCCGUGCUGGGAGAGGAUGGUCGACGUGUGGUUGGAGCCCGGGUGGUUGGAGAACCACCUUGCUUGCCGGCAGCGGCGUUUGCAGAUGCCAACUGCACCACACCAUCAAGGCAGCCUAAGCCUUGAUGAAUAUAGAGAAAAAUGGGUACGCAACUUCAAUUCUUUAUUGUAACGUUCAGUUCUACGUAAUUUUUAAUGAUUUUGUAUUUUGCCGCAGUCGGCGUCACAUGAUGGCCGACCUUGCUCCCAGCUCAAGGCAUGGGUCCUCUCCAAAAAGGGCAAGGCGACGGCUGAUAUAGAUUUCAACCCAGACGAUCCCGUCCGAGGCGUACAGCCACCCUAGCAUACACAGCCGCGUCAGCGAGUAUACAAAGAUGGCUAGGGAGGUUCACGGGCCAGACUUCGAUCCGAGCUCCAAGGACAUUGAUGGAGAAAUCGUGAUGAGGGUGGGAGGAGGCAAGAAGCAUGGCCGAUAUUGGAUUGGCGACGGCGUCAUCGACACGGCCUCUACUCCCACUCUCUCCCAGAUCCGAGCUAGGAGCACGGACUCGAGCCCCGGGAUAUGGCCACGACCCACCGUUGCACAGUUCCAGAUGGAUGCUCUACAGGUUCUUUCUCUUCCAUUCAUCGUUCGUUUGUUGUUAUAAUUUAUCUUUGCAUUAUAACAUUGCAAUGAAAUAUUGUAGGCCCAGGUGGAAGAAGCAAGGAAGAAACAAGAGGAGAUGGCGGCGCAGACGGAGGAAAUGCGGCGGAGGAUGGAGGAGGAAAACCGGAUUAGGAUGGAGCAGAUGUUCCAUUACAUGCAGAACUUUGCUUCGAGCAUGGGACAGUCUUUGCCUCCACCACCGCUGAUGAUGUUCCCUCCGCCUCAGCCACCCACGACUACUCCUGUGAGUCACUUGACACAUUGUGCUUAAAAUUCAAUACUUUAAUUUUGACAACUUUAGAUGUUAGUUCAGAAUGUCCUAUCCUAUGUGCAGAAUCAAUCGGCGGCUUUGAAUAAUGAAGAUCAAGAUUUAUCGCAGUGGUCUCCUUGGCCUCCACGGAACUAGACUUGGUUGUGAACUUGGUUGAAACUAAAUUGUGACUUGAACUUGGAUUUAUGGAUUGUUUUGUGCUUAUGUUGAAUUAUGCAUGUGACAUUUAUGUAUAAUGUUUCUAAUGGUGGUUGUGAAUUAUGCCUGUGAUUGUUUAUAUAUAAUGUUUCUAAUGAUGAUGUGUAUUAUGAAUUGAGAGGGGUCCGUUAUACGUGACAAAAUGGGAGAAAAGGGGGGUUCUGGGCACUUUCCCGAGUGUUACACUCGGCAAAGAGGGGCCUUUGCCGAGUGUUUUGGCUUUAACACUCGGCAAACAUGGGCACUUUGCCGAGCACUUUGCCGAGUGCUGACACUCGGCAAAGCCCUGGUGUUUUGCCGAGUGCCUCCCGUCUGGCGCUCGGCAAACCUGCCGUUAAACCCGACGCCGUCAUCGCGUAUUUCGCCGAGUACAUCUUUUCGUCGAGUGUUUUUUGGCCGUCGGCAGAAUGUUUGCCGAGUGCUCGCAUUUUGACACUCGGCAAACUAGGCUUUGCCGACAGGAAAUUUGCCGUGUGCUCUUUGCCGAGUGUUUUUGGGCUUUCGCCGAGUGCCUGUGGCACUCGGCAAAGCUUCUGGUUCCCGUAGUGACUAUUGUAGAUCGUUUGCGAAACUAAUUUUCUUAGCUUCCUUGUAUCAUUUAUAUUCCAGAUCUGUAACUUGAACUCGUGGAAUAUAUGUGUUUUCCCACUGUUUUGGAUUUAUUCCUUGUUUGCUGAUUGAAUCUUGAAAAGUUCAUAGUAAAUAGCAGAAAAAUGAUAAAAUGUUGGAACUACAUUUGUUAGACUAGUUUUCCUGUACAGAACCUCCGAAAAAUUUUCUCCAUGUCUUCAUUGCCGGCACUUAGCCCAGAACGCCUUGCACUGUUGCACAGUCCGCAACUAACUCUUCUCUUCUACUCUUUUUGCACGGAAGUUCCCUGAAAUCAUAUCAGAAGUCUCAAAUUAUUACACACGCCAUAGCUUUUCGUUGUACACCUCAGAAGCCCUCGAGAAGUAAAAUUGACCAUAAUUUAGCCGUGUAAUCGGCCAAUGCCACAUCAAAUAGUCAAAUCAAGUAGUAAGCAUUUGCCAGAUCAAGUAUUCUGCAUCUCAAGUAGGAGUUAACAAAAGCAGCAAAUGCAUUUCUUCCAAUGUGACGGAAAACAUAAAUAAGCCGGAUUCUCCAAGCAAGUGUAGCCCCUGUGAUAGAUCAUGCAACGGAAAAAAUAUAUCAUUUGGUCAUACCUGAGAAUUGGGAUGGGAUUUUGGGAGGGAUACAUGUAUUUGUAACCAGUUCGUUCCUUCACAUAUUGUGGUCGUCGGUGGCAUGGUGCAGCUGGGUUUUGCCAUCCUAUUUUCGAUAGAAAAAACAAGAUCAUUUAACAUAUGUGCACAGGUAUAUGCAUGUAUACAUUAGCUUCUAAACCGUAAAAGAACUUGAAUUAGUGUGUAUCAUGGCUGGCGAAGGGAUGCGGCUGAUGGACUCCGUGCUUGCGUCGUCGUGCAUUGAUUGGAGGAUGAUGGCCGUCGUGACGGCAGCCAAGAAUCAAGGCGCUUGCGGUAAGUAUGCCAGUGACAUCCAAAGUCAUGCAUGCGUGAAAAUUUACUGAUGCAAGUGUCUACGUGCUUGAAGGGUCUUGCUGGGCGUUCACGUCGGUGGCGACGAUGGAGAGCGCACAGGCAAUACGCACACGAACAGUGCCUCCACUCCUGUCAGAACAGCUGCUGGUAGACUGCGACGGGUACGGCUAGACUUGUCACUGGAUUUGCAUUAUCCAUAGUCCAUUUGAACUAUUUUAUCCUUAGACUCUAUUGGACUGCAUCAUAUUGGUUAGGUCCAAACCUAACACUGACUUGGUUGAUCCCUUUCCAUCACCAUCUCUAGGUACGACCUAGGCUGCCGUGGCGGCUUUUUGGGCAAUGCAUUCCGAUGGGUGAUCCAGAUCGGGGGCAUCACCUGGGCCCCGUUGUACCCCUACAUCGGUAUGUCUGGUAUGUGCCAGAGAUUCAAGCCUGCUGCGGUUAGGCUUCGGAGCUACCGGUGGGUUGUGCCCAACGAGGUGUCGCUCAUGCAGGCCGUGGCGCAGCAGCCCGUCGAAGUCACCAUCUGACGCAAGCAACCCCUGUUUCCAGCAUUACUACGGCGGCGUGUACGACGGAAGGUGCUUCUGGAACGGCGUCUACAUCGGUGGGGCGUGCGGGACGGCGCCGAGUCACGCGAUAGCCAUCGUCGGCUACGGGACCAAGCCGGGCGGAACCAAGUAUUGGAUCGGCAAGAACUCGUGGAGUGGGAGUUGGGGUGACAAAGGUUUCGUUUACCUCCUCAGGGACUCUGCACGCGUAGGAGUGUGCGGCGUUGCUCAGCAAGCGCGCUACCCUAUCAUCUGAUCAUCCCAGUCGCCAAAUCGCCACGCACCUCAUAUGUUUGCCUCCAUGUGCUUGCAUUCAUGUUUUCACCAUACCUUGCUGUUUACUCAUGUAUACUCCAUUGUUGCAGUAUGAAUGCUACAUGUGUAUACGCGUACUGUAUGUUUGUACUUUAUACAUGUAUCAUCGUAAGGGUUAGGAUGCUACACAUGCAUCCUUGCCUAUGAAUAAAUACUCUUUGUAUAAUGGACGUCCAACUUAUAAGAUGUCUGGAAAAUAGGAUCUAUAUAUCUAGGUCAUAGGUGUCGUCCGACCGAUUCCACUACUACAGAACAUGUUAUCUGUGCUAGCCAAAAGCGCACCAGCACGGAAAACUGUUGUGUCAAUCAUAAGUAUUUUUACCUGAAGGUUAUACACAGAAGUAAAGUAAAUGUGGAAGAAUACACAGAGAACAAGUAUGGAAAUUCAUUCACUUUAGAGUACAAUGCAAUUUCCCAUUGUGUGGCUGCUGAAUCACGUGGCCUCGAGAGGCCUCCGGACAAUAAGAGAAGUUUCAAUUUCAAGUAGCGUUGAAGGGAGGCAUACAAUUGAAGGACUCGAAGGGCAACAAGAGGGGUUGAAUGCGAGCCGAUUCAAAUUUUCUCCAAGAACUUCAGCUAAAAACCCACAAGCCUCUCUUCUAGCAAAAUCAAGUCCACUUAGCUAUGCACAAGCUAAUAGACCUAGGAAUGAUGCUAGGAACCCAAUUUGAGAAUAGCGGAAGCAAGAAAAACUCCAAACAAGCUCCGGAAGACAAACUUUGAAAACCAACAUCUCUGUGCGGAAAAAUUCGGAGGAACCUUCGGAAAAUUCCGGAUGUGCGAAAAUUUCUGGAGGUCCGGAGAUUUCCGGAAUUAUGUCAGGAGGUUUCCGGAAUUCCAAAACAGCCUGCGCGAAGAUGGUAGAAAAAUCUGAAACGGGGUCAAACGACCUCCAAAAAUCACAAAAUUUGAACCAUAGCUUCACAUCUUAGUAAAGAAGCUUCUCCUAUGAAAGCAUCCCCAAAAGAUUUGCCAAUCAAGAAGAAUUCCAAAUCUUGUGAAGAACUCUAUUUUCUCAACCCCAAAACUUGAAUCGAUCCGAUCUUUGAACUCGUGAUGUUUCAAUUAAAUCCCUUCGGUGGAAAGGUUCAACUCACAUCCUAGUUCAUUUUCAAACAACUGGAUUGAUUUAAAACUUCCCACAAAACAUGAAUCGACCAAAAAUGUGAAGGCAGCGGAGAGGAAGAAGCAAAAACGUGAAGAACACAAACGCAAAUUGCAAAUCCAAACGGGAUGCAACAAGAUAGCAUGAAAUAGAUUUUUGGAUUACUUCACCAUGUCUGGUUACAAGCCACUCCUUAGCACAAUCAAAGCUAGGAUGGCAACAAGAUCAAACAAAGAUCCACUCUUCUCUCCCUCUCUCCCUCUACCAAAGACUCUCACAAAACAUAUGAGUAGCCUACCACCAACAAGCCUAAGGAGAUGGCUGCCCCAACAGCCCCUCCUCAUAUAUAUAGACAUUUGGCAAAUGUCCAAAUACCCUUACAUUAAGCAUACAACCCAAAUAUCUCUAGGGGUAAAAUUGUCUAACUUUUUCCUCGUACAUUCGAUGGACCCGACACCUUCACGACUUAGCUUCGUCUUGUCACAAGCUUCGCGAUGGUACCACGUGUGCUCCAACUCGAUCCGUCCAGCCGCACCAAACUCGCCCCCGGUUUUGAGGCCCAAACCGGCAAACCUGCCUGCGCGGUGGUUUUGAGGCCCAAACCACCCAAACCCUCUGCACGCCUACCUGGCGCGACUCACCCCCGAUUUUGAGGUCAAACCGGUCAAACCCUCUGCACACCCUCCUGGCAUGACUCACCCCUGGUUUUGAGGUCAAACCGGUCAAACCCUCUUGCAUGCCCCGCAAGCCAUGACUCACCGAUGUCGACGCGUGUCCAGCCUCUGCCAAGCCUUUGACGCCUCCAAGUCUUUCGCUCCUGGCUCUCGGGCCGCCUAUUCGACUCGCCUCCAUCCCGCUUGACUCGACCGACGCCAUCUCCAUCCCGUCCAUGUACUCUUGCUCUUCCGUGCACCAUGUGGAUCGCCCAUGACUCUGCCCGGACUCCUCGGGUCCCUCGAUCCAAGCCUACUCAUGUCCACCCUUCACAACCCUAGUACAUCAGCAUGGACCUUUCGCGCUUGACCAUCACCUCAUGCCGUGGACCGCCAUGUCGCAUCCUACACCUGCACAUUACAAGCCAAGAGACACAACACACAAGAUAUGUUUUAUACAAACACCGCAACACAACUCACACCUCCAGUUAGCCGUUAGCUUAAGCAAGUGCAUAUGGAAUAUGGACUUAACCGGUAAAGCCUGAAAUCAUCUAGUCAAUCACUCAUCACAGAUAGACCAAGGCACAUCUCAACUUGGUCUCUCAGUCUCCCCUUUGAUAAGUGCAUUGACAAAAGAUGAUUUGAAAGCAAAAGAGAACUCAUUCAAGUACCCAAAAGACAAGUAAGAGCAAACACAAGGCCACUUGAAAUGAGAAGGGAUUAUGCAAGCUCCAAACAAAAAACUUUCAGUUCCUAAAGAAAAAGGGCAAAGAGUUAACACAACUGAAAAGUCAAGCGAAAGACACAAGAGCUCCAUGCAUCCCAAAACCUUCAAACACAUUUCAACAAUUGUCAAACGCUCAUCACUAUCAAAUCAAGAUUCAUAUUAACUUGAUUUCUCAAUCUCCCCCUUGAUGAGUGUGUUGACAACAUUCAAGCACAAAGAAAUGGUUUGAGAGGCAAAAGUCAAAAAUCUCAUUCAAGUGAUCGAAAGCUAAAUAAAAACAUAGAUCAAAGUCACUUGAGAUGAGAAAAACCAUAAAAGCUAAGUUGUGAAACCAAUUAGGCAAACCUCCCAUUCAAGUGAUCGAAAGCCAUAAAAGCUAUGAUUAAAGUCACUCGGCAUGAGAAGACAUGGGCAACGGCUCGACACAACCGAGAUAAAUAACACAUGAUCCCUCAAUAAGAGGUAGAAAGAGCUCAACACCAAUCAUGUGAAGGUUGAAAACACAUGAUCCCUCAAGAAGAGGUAGAAAGGGCUCAACACCAAUCAUGUGACGAUCGAAAUCUCAAACCAAAUGCCGGUUCCUCAAGAAGAUGUAAAAUCUCAACACAACAAGCAAAAGAGCAAAAGAGAGCACAAAACUCACAAGCUCGCCCUGACACAUGCACUCCCCCUGGAAACAUGCCACAAUGAAAUGCAUGCACAAGAGCAAAAGAAUGCAUGCUCCCCCUCAAAUGCAACACUCCCUAUUAAAUGCAAGACUCCCCUUAAAUGCAAACACAAGAUUCACGUGGGAGCACAAAAUGCAUCCCAUGAGGUGUACAACCUACCAAACUUCUUAAAUAUAUCACAAAGCACUUGCAAAGUCUACAAGUGAGAUAAUACAAGCAGGUAGAUCAUAAAGAGCAAUUGCAUCGCCAUAAAGAGGAUAUUAUGAUAUAAGCAAAAUACGAAGCAAGCUGUCAAGUUUUGCAGUUCAUAAAAGUAUCACCACAUGAGCAAGCACCUAGUCAUGAGUCACUCAAGCAAGAAGUAAACAAGGCCAUCAGAGCUCAUACAAGGAAGAUACAUUCUGAACAAGAGAUCAUUGCAAACACCCAUAUAUGCAUCACAAGUCAUGUCAAGGCUUGUCGAAACCAUGUGCCUACUUGUUUUGGUAGACAUCAUGUAACAACUAAGCAAGCAAGGAUAUCAACAUUAAGCACAAAAACUUGGUGAAUUACUGAUUUUUUCUUAUCAUCAUUUUUCAUCAUUCACAUUAAACAAGUUACAUGAAGUGCCUUUGCGGCACAAAGAAGCCAUGCUUCCCCAAGGAAUGCAUCAUGGGCUAAACAUUUGCAAUGAUACCUAGAUCUUUGAUCCAAUUGAAAAGAACAUGAAUUCCAAGUAGAAGCUAAACAUGGAGCUAGCAUUCAAGAAAGAGUAAUGCAUAAAUAGGUAGCUAGUCAUGGGUGAUAAGCAUUUCAGAAUUCAUUAUUCAAGAUGAACAUUUGAUUCAUGAAAGCAUUUAGCUCAACAUGGUUAUAUGACAAUAUCAUCAAGAGCAUAUGCUGCACAUUGCUACAUAAUCACCAACCAAUGCACUAGCUCACAAAUAGCAUAAGGAAAUGCUAAGGAUAUAUAGAAGAAGCUCAUCUAGUGCAAAAUGUACAAGGUGCAAUAUGGUACAGAUACAAUGCGAUGCUAAAAGAGACGGGGUUCGACUAAAAUCAAGAAAGCUCAUGAGGGGUCAAACCAAUCUAGGAAAAGCUUCGUAGCAAAAGAAGAACUGCCAAGGAUCCCAAUUGAGUACCAUAGAAAAGAUACCAAUUGAAGGAUCAAAAAUUGAUAUCACUUGAAGAAAAUGAAAUCCAAUUGAAAGAUCAAAUGUGAUACCAAUUAAAAGAUCAAAAGCAGAUCUCAAAAAUCAAAGCAAGUCCUUGGUCCAAACUCCCCCUCGAAUGAAGCUGAACUCCCCCUCAACCAAAGACACCUAGCAAAAAAAAGCUAGAAAAAGAAGGGGCAAAAGAAAAGCUCUAACUCCAAUAAAAAAGCAGAGAAAAUGCAACCCAAAGACAAGACAGCCCAAAAGCAAGAUAAACCCCAAUUCAUGUCACACAAUGCAAUGAUGAUACAAAUGAGAGGAAUUAAAGUAUUGCAACAUGAUUCUACAUUUAUGAAUAAAAGAUUGGGCAAGCAAACAUGUCAAUAAGGUGCAAAGGACUAUACAAAGAUACUAAGCUAAAAUGAUACCAAAUGAACAAUAUGCCAUACCCGAUACAAAAACUAAGCUAAAGCAUGGCACGAUGUUCAUGUGGAUCAUCCACCAAGAUAUAUUAAAAAGCUAGCAUGACAAGAUAUACAUGAAGAUCACACAUGCUAACAUGAAAAGGUGGCUAGCCUACCAUGGUAUAUUCAUAGCAUGAUACAAGUAUAAAUCCACAAGUGAGUAGUAUACACGAAAGGAAAAACUCACUAUACAAGUGUACAUCCAAAUGGUGUGGAGAACCGUCAAGUCUUGAUCACCUCAAGCAAAAGAUUCAAGUCCCUUCGAGCUCAUGUCCUCCACCCGCAUCCCCGUACCUACACAUGAGGGGACAAAGAAGACUGAGUCUUGGAUCCCAAAGGGUUAGCAAGCAUAUACUUGGGAAUCCAAAACUUAGUCACAUGGGUAAAAGUUGCACUCAACUUAUCAUGUGGGUUAGCAUAAUGCAAAUGCUGGUUCAAAUGUGAUGAUUUUGAAACACCCUUGGAAACAUGACUCAAAGGAGCAACUCGAGAAGAAGAACGAGUGCUACCACUAGCAAAAAGGCAAUGAUCCCCGAGGUCUUAAGAGAAGAACCAACACAAGCAUCAUGAGAACCAUGUCGUGGACCAGCAUAGGAAGAAUUAGAAGCAUGUCUAUGAGCAUGACCUAACUCACUAGAAAAGGAGUCAUAAAACCCAUCAAUGAAAUGUGGCUUAUCACUAGGCUUACAACUGCUCAUGCCAUGAGACGGGCCAUGAACAACCAAAGGCAUAGAAACACGAGUUUGCCGCAUUUGUCUUGCACGACAAUAACAAAAGCUCUCUUCAUGCCCAUCUUUCUCACAAUGGGAGCAAUGGUACAAAGGCCUUUUUGGAGGCAUGGUCCGAGAGGACAAAUCACCAUUCUCAUCCAAGUGAGAAGUCCCUUGGGACUUAGAGCAAGAAGCAUCAACAACACCAUUUGACCUGGUGCCCACAUUAGGUUCACACGUGCCAUGGGAACGGCUACGUGGCUUCCUAAACGUUUUGGCAUGUACACGUCGCUCGUGCUUGACACGACGAAAGCAAAACUCAACGGUAUGCCCAUCUUUCUUGCAAAAGGUGCAAUGGAACUUCGGUUUGGGAGUAUGAGUUCUAAAAAUAUGAGACACACCCUUGCCACUUGAAUUGUCUUGGGAAAUACCGGAAGAAGUAACAAGCUUAGGAAUAGCUAUAAAAGAGCUAUCCACAGUAGUAGCACCAGUGUUAUCAUCCAAAGACUCAUGCUCAACACAAGAAGCCAACCCCAAUUAGGAAGAAGCAAUUUUGGAAGCAUCAACAUCGGAGUGACAAGAGUUGCGAGAAUCAAAAGACUUAGCACAAAGACUCUUGCAUCUUGUGGCCAAAACCUCAUUUUCAUGUUUGAAGUGAUCACAAGUACCACAUGGAGCAUUUCUCAAAUUAUCCAUCUCCUUUUCAAUGCAUUUAGCAUAUGUGGUAUGCAAGAGUUCAUUUUCUUUUUCAAGGUUGGCACUCAUCUCAUUGUGCUCAACCAACUUGGCACUCAUAUCAUCACACAUUUGCUUCAAAGCCAAAACUUCACUUUCCAGUUCAAUGCAUGAUGUUCAAAUAAGACCACAUGAAGAAACAUCAUCAUUCACAUCAAGCAAAGCAUCAUGAUUAUCACAAGAAGUAAGGCAAGCAUCAUCAUCAAGAACCAAAGAGCACAUGCUACAAGGCAUAGACUUCAUAUCACAAAUUUCAGCCCUAGCAUGCUCAAGUUGUUCAACACAUGUGGUGUGAGUUAAUUUUAAUUCAUUAAUUUCAGCAAGCAAAGACGCACAUGAAACACAUGGUAAAGAAGCAUUUAACUUCAAUAAAGUAAUUUCAUCUCUAGCUUUAUCAAAAUCAUUAUUCAAAGCAACACAUGAAUUACAUGGCAUAGAGGUAUUCGAUUUCAACAUGUCAUUUUGAGAUUUCAAGCAAUCAAGAGAAGAGUUCAAUUCAUCAUUCUUUCUAAGCAAGGCAUCACAAAAAUUGCAAGGAUUUAAAGCAUGUGACUUCCAAUGAGCAAUUCCACAUUUCAACCUAGCAAGAGAACAUUUCAUCUUAUCAUUCUUUCUACGUAAAGCAUCAGAAAGCUCUAUGUUUCUCUCAUUCUCAUCUUCACAAUCAUCAACACGAUUGCAUAGAACCAUGAUGCAUUUUGCAAGUGUACCUUGGCUCAUGUCUCUUAGCCCGCGGUAGAACUCGACCUUUGUGUGGUCACCAUCCUAGUAGUUCUCGAGGAGAUUCAUCAUUGCCUCCACUUCGGGUUCCAACUCAAUCUCCGAACUCCUUCUACCUGAGGACAAUGAAACACAAGAAGAAGAGCUUGGUGCCAUGGCUCAAAGCACCGGUUAGGAUUAGCCAAAAGCAAGCUCAAAUCGCGAAAACCAAAUCCGAAAGAAAAAGCACCCUUUCGCUUGUCGCCCCGUGGAUCACAAAGCCGAUUAAGGUUGUGUGAUCCUUAACCAAGCUCUGAUACUAAUUGAGGACCGGAAAGGCGACCAGAGGGGGGGGUGAAUGGGAGCCGAUUCAAAUUUUCUCCAAGAACUUUAGCUAAAAACCCACAAGCCUCUCUUCUAGCAAAAUCAUGUCCAGUUAGCUAUGCACAAGCUAAUAGACCUAGGAAUGAUGCUAGGAACCCAAUUUGAGAAUAGCGGAAGCAAGAAUGACUCCAAAAAAGCUCCGAAAGACAAACUUUGAAAACCAACACCUCUAUGCGGAAAAAUCUGGAGGAACCUUCGGAAAAUUCCGGACGUGCAGAAAUUUCCGGAGAAACCUUCGGAAAUUUUUGGAGGUCCGGAGAUUUCGGAAUUAUGUCCGGAGGUUUCCGGAAUUCCAAAACAGCCUGCGCGAAGAUGGUAGAAAAAUCCGAAAUGGGGUCAAACGACCUCCAAAAAUCACAAAAUUUGAACCAUAGCUUCACAACUUAGUAAACAAGCUUCUCCUAUGAAAUCAUCCCCAAAACAUUUGACAAUCAAGCGGAAUUCAAAAUCUUGUGAAGAACUCUAUUUUCUCAACCCCAAAAUUUGAAUCGACCCGAUCUAUAAACUCGUGAGGUUUCAAUCAAAUCCCUUCGGUGGAAAGGUUCAACUCACGUCCUAGUUCAUUUCCAAACAACCAGAUUGAUUUAAAACUCCCCAAAAAACAUGAAUCAACCAAAAAUGUGAAGGGGGCGGAGAGAAAGAAGCAAAAACAUGAAAAACACAAACGCAAAUUGCAAAUCCAAAUGGGAUGGAACAAGAUAGCAUGAAAUAGAUCUUUGGAUUACUUCACCAUGACCGAUUGCAAGCCACUCCUUAGCACAAUCAAAGCUUGGACGGCAAAAAGAUCAAACAAAGAUCCACUCUUCUCUCCCUCUCUCCCUCUACCAAAGACUCUCCCAAAACAAAUGAGUAGCCUACCACCAACAAGCCCAAGGAGAUGGCUGCCCCAAUAGCCUCUCCUCAUAUAUAUAGAUAUUUGGCAAAUAUCUAAAAUGCCCUUACAUUAAGCAUACAACCUAAAUACCUCCAGGGGUAAAAUUGUCCAACUUUUUCCUUGUACAUCGGAUGGACUCAACGCCUUCACAACUUAGCUUUGUCUCAGCAUAAGCUUCGUGAUGGUGCCAUGUGUCCUCCGACUCGACGCUGUCCAUCCGCACCGAACUCACCCCCGGUUUUGAGGCCCAAACCGGCAAACCUACUUGUGCGGUGGUUUUGAGGCCCAAACCACCCAAACCCUCUGCACACCCACCUGACGUGACUCACCCCCAGUUUUGAGGUCAAACCGGUCAAACCCUCUGCACACCCUCCUGGCAUGACUCACCCCCGGUUUUGAGGUCAAACCGGUCAAACCCUCUUGCACGCCCCGCAAGGUGUGACUCAACGAUGUCGACGCGUGUCCAGCCUCCACCAAGCCUUUGACGCCUCAAAGACUAUCGCUCCCGGCUCCCGGGCCGCCUACUCGACUCGUCUCCGUCCCGCUUGACUCGACCAAUGCCGUCUCCAUCCCGUUCAUGUACUCUUGCUCUUCCAUGUACCAUGUGGAUCGUGCAUGACUCCGCCCGGACUCCUCGGGUCCCUCGAUCCAAGCCUACUCAUGUCCACCCUUCACAGCCCUAGUACAUUGACAUAGACCUUUCGCGCUUGACCUUCACCUCAUGCCGUCUACCGCCAUGUCGCAUCCUGCACCUGCACAUUACAAGCCAAGAGAUGCAACACACAAGAUAUGUUUUAUACAAACACCGCAACACAACUUACACCUCCGAUUAGCCGUUAGCUUAAUCAAGUGCAUAUGGAAUAUGGUCUUAACCGGUAAAGCCUCAAAUCAUCUAGUCAAUCACUCAUUACAAAUAGACCAAGGCACAUCUCAACUUGAUCUCUCAACAAUGUUGCAACAUAUCACAACAUGUCGAGAAGGUGGUACCCAAUAAUGCAUAUUUUGAAAAAAGGUGGUUCUGAUCAAAAUCCUUUGGAUUAGUUCAAGGAGAUCGAUAUCUAGAGCAGUUCUUGUACUCCACAGUGCCUUAGGGAAUUUUACAUAUGUUCAGAUGUGAGACCUUUUGAUAUCAUUAAUCUCUAUACAAUGAAUAAUCAACACGUUCGAUGUGAUCUAUUGCAAAGAGAUCCAGAUCUCUAUACUGCUCUUGAUGCACCGGCUCGUGUUUGUUCAUCCACGUGCUGUCUCCACAAGAUGACACAAGGUGCGUGAUGCACCAAGAAUUGGCUGGACACGCAAUGCAAAUUAUUUGAUACAUCAUACUUUCGGAUCUAGUUUCUGGGGCCACAGAAGAAUUGCGCUGCCAGAGAUGAUCUACUUGUUGUUUUUUUAAGAAAAAGGGUUCACCCAGUGUGUGAAGGGGAGAUUAGAUCACACAUGUGUGAUAAAAGAUAUUAUUAAAGUUUAGUCAUACGACUAGGGCCAUAGUUGCGAAUUUAAGUUCUACCACCACACAAAUAUGCCCCUACAUUGGUCCUAGCCUACCAGUCAUCUUUCCGACCGCCGGCGGCCAGCGGCAUCCCACCAGCUCGUCGUGCCUCCCACUCAACUCACACCCGGCGCUGGGCUUUCCUGGUUCCCUUCCCUAACCCCAAUGUCCAUGGUGUCGCCUCAACAAAGAAUAUGAACAAGGGUGCUGCUACACCUGCCAGCGACUUGGAAGGGUUUUCUAUGCCCGACGACGAUAAGUCGUGCGCGUGAUUGGUAGUAUUCUCGGAAUUUUCCUACACACUGACUCGCAGAUAUUAAUGGCGCAAUGUGUUAUUUGGGGCCAGUAUAAUAUACUAUCAACAAAAUGGAUCCAUGAAAUAUAUUCUUGCCCUCGUGCAUCUCACCCAUAUGGUAAGAUUCAAACGUGGAUCCGUACACACAUAUAGGAUGCAUGCAUAACCCCACACUAUAAACCACAUAUUAUGUGACGUGAAUAAGAAAUAGAAAAGGUGCUUGUACAUGGACACCCCUUAGAUUGAAAGAACACUGAAGACGCUGCAGGUACAACACUACUGAGAGUUCCACUUGGGCAUCUUAUUUCCUUCAAAUUAUUAACUUAACAGGUACUUCAGAGAAACUUCCUGUGCAAAUUUCUCAAAGCACAAUUUGAUGUGUUUUGUUGCAUCUUAAAUAGACAUAGGGCCACCAUUAGCCUGUAUACAACAAAGUAAAAUCAAGGCUAAUGUUAGAUCAUAAGCAGACAGUUGUUCUUUGUCAGUAGUCUAGACAAAUUUAGUUUUACUGCUAGAGUCACUACAGAGACUGGUGGAAAAGUGAGCAUUAGUCUAUGUUGGAUAGCCUCAUAUAUCUCAAAUAUACAACUGGGACUAAUUUUUCAAGACUAAAGGUCCCUCCAGGUCACUCACCCAGGACUAAACACAAUACCAACCGGGACUAAAGAGGCCGCCAUGCAGGCGCAUGCAUGUGGCCCCUUUAGUCCCGGUUGGUAUGGUUGGUAAUACCAACAUACCAACCGGGACUAAAGACCUUUUUUCAUUUUACCCUGAAUUCCUUUUCAUAUUAAUGCUAAUUGUUGCUUCACUUAUAUAUAUACCUAUACGUAUACAUCCUUAGCAUACAUUAUUUACACAUAUACGCUUGUAUUGUAUGCAUGUCAUAUAUAUAUUUCAUGGUAGUAUAUGCAUAAUAUUAAUUAUAACUACUAUAUAUACAAUUAUUAGUAGUUUAUACACAUCAAACUAGUAUUUAUACAAUUUCUAUACAUACAAUAAUUUGUCCUCUUCAUUCUUAGGAUCCUCCCAUCGUGGUGUUGCUCGGUUCGGCUAUUGAAUGUCCAACGUAAUAAAAUUCUCCAAUGGGAUUUAUCAUCUCGUCCACCAGAAAUCCUAUGAGAGCUUCUUGAUUACCAAAAGCCUCUCCUUCUCUAAGAGUUCUUCUCUAAUAUGCAUCAUCUGUAAUUUAGAAAUAUGUGAAUGUUACACCAACAAUUAAAUAUAAGAAGUUAGAAAAUGAUUAAUUAUUGAUAGGUUUAUUUUAUGCACAAUUAUAUCAUUCGAUAUCACCUUGUCCCUCACAAAAUGGUACAUGUGCUCAAAGAUGUAGUAUCCACAUAAAUUAUUCACUUACUCCUAUCUCAAGCACAUUACUGGAAAAAAACCAUUUAUGAAAUAUUCAUGUUAUAGAAUGUACAAAAUGUGCAAACUUCAUACAUACCGGGAAUGAUGUACUGAAUGUAAGUUUUUCUUUGAAAUCACCAUAGUGAUGCUUACAGAAUCGUUUCCAUGCAUUGUGAAUUAAAAUAAUGAAUGAUACAGUGUUAGGUGAAAAUUUAGGAAUCAAACUAUUACAUAGAGAUAAAGGUUCGAAAUUAUUACAAGUUAAGAAUUUCUUGAAUGUCUUUGUACUCGUCCUUUGGUUUCCUCAACGAAUCAAACACAACAACGUUGAGUUGAUCAAUCAUAAUUGUAAGGAGAAUCCAGUGGAAACUAUGUACAUAAAUGUUCAUAUUAGAACUAACUAACAUUAAUUAGGUAAGGAAAAGGAAAAUGAAAAUAGACGGUACCCACACUUUACCCACACUUACUUAAAGUUGUAAGGCAGUAGUAUGUAUUGCUUGUGUCUCGAAGUGCGACACGUGUCAACGUGUCAAGGCAAGCCAUUUGAAGGAGCAGGUACCUUGCAACCGCUACCUAUUCCAUCGUUGAAAUGGGAAGAUAUAUUAGCAUGGAUUUCAUUGUGGGAUUACCCGUUACCUCUCAGUGACAUGAUUCUAUUUGGGUUAUAGUGGAUUGCCUCACUAAGACGGCACACUUUCUUCCUGUUCAGAUUGCCUACACAACCCGAAAAUAUGCAGAGUUAUACCUAGACCAUAUCGUCUCCUUACAUGGUGUUCCGAAGACGAUCAUCUCUGAUCGAGGUGCUCAGUUUGUGGCACGUUUUUGGGAACAACUGCAAUCGUCACUUGGCACCAAGUUAAUUCGUAGCUCCACUUACCACCCUCAGACUGAUGGCCAAACAUAAAGGAUAAAUCAAAUCCUAGAAGACAUGCUACGCGCUUGCGUCGUACAUUUUGACAAGAAUUGGGAUAAAUGCUUACCAUUGGUAGAGUUCUCUUACAACAAUAGCUACCAGUCUAGCUUAAACAUGGCACCAUUUGAAGCCUUGUAUGGCCGAUGGUGUCGAACACCAUUGAGUUGGUCACAAGCCGGAGAGAGAAGAAUUUACGGACCCGACUUGGUGAUGGAAGCCGAAGAACAAGUAAGAGUGAUUCAGGCACAUCUAAAAGCCGCUCAGUCACGUCAGAAAAGCUAUUCCGACAAAAGUAGGAGACCCUUGCAGUUUGACAUUGAUGAUCAUGUAUACCUCCGAGGCUCCCCGACCAAAGGAGUGCAACAGUUUGGAGUAAAGGGGAAAUUGGCACCCCGUUUCAUUGGCCCUUAUGAGAUUGUGGAAAUAUGAGGACCCGUUGCUUAGUGGAUCCAACUACCCGAACAGAUCUCAGCUAUUCACGACGUCUUCCAUAUCUCUCAACUAAAGAAAUGUGUCCGAGUCCUGAUUGAAAUCUUGGAGCAGGGACAACUUGAAAUCGAACCCGACUUAUCCUAUGCGGAAUAUCCUGCCAAAGUCCUCGAUCGUAACAAGAGGUACACCCGACGGAAAGUUGUGAAGAUGUACAAGAUUUAGUGGAGUAACCACACAAAAGAUGAAGCGACAUGGGAAAUAGAGGAAUAUUUGAAUAAGCACUUUUGAGGUUUUCUUUUCAGCCAAGGAGGUAAGACCCACAAACCCCACUAGUUCUCCUUGCACUCAAAUCUCGGGACGAGAUUCUUUUUAAGGGGGGUAGGCUGUAACUGUUGGGAUACGAGGUAGGCUACACUAGCGCAAAUCAAAAUUUCUACCACGUAAAACCAGGAAGAACUACCGUAUAAGGAUCACGGGAUUACCACUCAACGCACUACUGGUGCGGAAGAUGUAGAUUUGCGUCGAUGCAGCGAAGAUGAUCAAUGUAGUCGUAUGUAGUCGAUCAACGUAGUUGUACAUAGUCGAUCACGUCAACGUCCAGCAGCUCCUCAGCAGCUCGUCCACGUGCAGCAAGAUCGCCCUCGUGCCGCGGCUCGUCGGCGGCUCGUCGUGGCUCAUCGGCGGCUCGUCCGAGUGCUGCAGGCGCAACACCUCCAAGGUAUCCACACGUGCAGGGAGGAAGCAUCGCAAGCCGGACUACUAGAUCUGCGAGUUGCAACAGGCAAGGGCGUGGGAGGCGCGGCAUAUGUGUUUCAACAAAAGGUGUAAACCCUAGGGCGCCCCCACCCCUCUAUUUAUAGAGGUUCCUAACGGGCCUCUGGGUCCGAGGCCCAUUAGUACUUCUAAACCUAAUCCAACUCGGAUCACAUCCGAAUUGGGCUUCCAGCCCCUUAAGUGUGUGACCCUAUGGGUUCGGAUACGUAUAGACAUGGCCCGAGUGUUGGGAUAUGAGGUAGGAUACACUAGCGCAAUUCAAAAUUCUACCGCGUAUAACCAGGAAGAACUGCCGUAUAAGGAUCACGGGAUUACCACUCGACGCACUACUGGUGCGGAAGAUGUAGAUAUGCGUCGAUGCAGUGAAGACGAUCACGUAGUCGUACGUAGUCGAUCAACGUAGUCGUACGUAGUCGAUCACAUCCAGCAGCUCCUCAGCAGCUCGUCCACGUGCAGCAAGAUCGCCUCCGGUACCACGGCUCGUCGUCGGCUCGUCGUGGCUCGUCAGCGGCUCGUCGGCGGCUCGUCCAAGUGCUGCAGGCGCAACACCUCCAAGGUAUCCACACGUGCAGGGAGGAAGCGUCGCAAGCCGGACUGCUAGAUCCGCGGGUUGCAACAGGUGAGGGCGUGGGAGGCGCGGCAGGUGUGUUUCGCCAAAAGGUGUAAACCCUAGGGCGCCCCCACCCCUCUAUUUAUAGAGGUUCCUGACGGGCCUCUGGAUCCGAGGCCCAUUAGUACUUCUAAACCUAAUCCAACUCGGAUCACAUCCGAAUUGGGCUUCCAGCCCCUUAAGUGUGUGACCCUAUGGGUUCGGAUACGUAUAGACAUGGCCCGAGUGUUGGGAUACGAGGUAGGAUACACUAGCGCAAUUCAAAAUUCUACCGCGUAUAACCAGGAAGAACUGCCGUAUAAGGAUCACGGGAUUACCACUCGACGCACUACUGGUGCGGAAGAUGUAGAUAUGCGUCGAUGCAGUGAAGACGAUCACGUAGUCGUACGUAGUCGAUCACAUCCAGCAGCUCCUCAGCAGCUCGUCCACGUGCAGCAAGAUCGCCUCCGGUACCGCGGCUCGUCGUCGGCUCGUCAUGGCUCGUCAGCGGCUCGUCGGCGGCUCGUCCAAGUGCUGCAGGCGCAACACCUCCAAGGUAUCCACACGUGCAGGGAGGAAGCGUCGCAAGCCGGACUGCUAGAUCCGCGGGUUGCAACAGGUGAGGGCGUGGGAGGCGCGGCAGGUGUGUUUCGCCAAAAGGUGUAAACCCUAGGGCGCCCCCACCCCUCUAUUUAUAGAGGUUCCUGAUGGGCCUCUGGAUCCGAGGCCCAUUAGUACUUCUAAACCUAAUCCAACUCGGAUCACAUCCGAAUUGGGCUUCCAGCCCCUUAAGUGUGUGACCCUAUGGGUUCGGAUACGUAUAGACAUGGCCCGAGUGUUGGGAUACGAGGUAGGAUACACUAGCGCAAUUCAAAAUUCUACCGCGUAUAACCAGGAAGAACUGCCGUAUAAGGAUCACGGGAUUACCACUCGACGCACUACUGGUGCGGAAGAUGUAGAUAUGCGUCGAUGCAGUGAAGAUGAUCACGUAGUCGUACGUAGUCGAUCAACGUAGUCGUACGUAGUCGAUCACGUCCAGCAGCUCCUCAGCAGCUCGUCCACGUGCAGCAAGAUCGCCUCCGGUACCGCGGCUCGUCGUCGGCUCGUCAUGGCUCGUCAGCGGCUCGUCGGCGGCUCGUCCAAGUGCUGCAGGCGCAACACCUCCAAGGUAUCCACACGUGCAGGGAGGAAGCGUCGCAAGCCGGACUGCUAGAUCCGCGAGUUGCAACAGGUGAGGGCGUGGGAGGCGCGGCAGGUGUGUUUCGCCAAAAGGUGUAAACCCUAGGGCGCCCUCACCCCUCUAUUUAUAGAGGUUCCUGACGGGCCUCUGGAUCCGAGGCCCAUUAGUACUUCUAAACCUAAUCCAACUCGGAUCACAUCCGAAUUGGGCUUCCAGCCCCUUAAGUGUGUGACCCUAUGGGUUCGGAUACGUAUAGACAUGGCCCGAGUGUUGGGAUACGAGGUAGGAUACACUAGCGCAAUUCAAAAUUCUACCGCGUAUAACCAGGAAGAACUGCCGUAUAAGGAUCACGGGAUUACCACUCGACGCACUACUGGUGCGGAAGAUGUAGAUAUGCGUCGAUGCAGUGAAGAUGAUCACGUAGUCGUACAUAGUCGAUCAACGUAGUCGUACGUAGUCGAUCACGUCCAGCAGCUCCUCAGCAGCUCGUCCACGUGCAGCAAGAUCGCCUCCGGUACCGCGGCUCGUCGUCGGCUCGUCAUGGCUCGUCAGCGGCUCGUCGGCGGCUCAUCCAAGUGCUGCAGGCGCAACACCUCCAAGGUAUCCACACGUGCAGGGAGGAAGCGUCGCAAGCCGGACUGCUAGAUCCGCGAGUUGCAACAGGUGAGGGCGUGGGAGGCGCGGCAGGUGUGUUUCGCCAAAAGGUGUAAACCCUAGGGCGCCCCCACCCCUCUAUUUAUAGAGGUUCCUGACGGGCCUCUGGAUCCGAGGCCCAUUAGUACUUCUAAACCUAAUCCAACUCGGAUCACAUCCGAAUUGGGCUUCCAGCCCCUUAUGUGUGUGACCCUAUGGGUUCGGAUACGUAUAGACAUGGCCCGAGUGUUGGGAUACGAGGUAGGAUACACUAGCGCAAUUCAAAAUUCUACCGCGUAUAACCAGGAAGAACUGCCGUAUAAGGAUCACGGGAUUACCACUCGACGCACUACUGGUGCGGAAGAUGUAGAUAUGCGUCGAUGCAGUGAAGACGAUCACGUAGUCGUACGUAGUCGAUCAACGUAGUCGUACGUAGUUGAUCACGUCCAGCAGCUCCUCAGCAGCUCGUCCACGUGCAGCAAGAUCGCCUCCGGUACCGCGGCUCGUCGUGGCUCGUCAGCGACUCGUCGGCGGCUCGUCCAAGUGCUGCAGGCGCAACACCUCCAAGGUAUCCACACGUGCAGGGAGGAAGCGUCGCAAGCCGGACUGCUAGAUCCGCGAGUUGCAACAGGUGAGGGCAUGGGAGGCGCGGCAGGUGUGUUUCGCCAAAAGGUGUAAACCCUAGGGCGCCCCCACCCCUCUAUUUAUAGAGGUUCCUGACGGGCCUCUGGAUCCGAGGCCCAUUAGUACUUCUAAACCUAAUCCAACUCGGAUCUGAUCCGAAUUGGGCUUCCAGCCCCUUAAGUGUGUGACCCUAUGGGUUCGGAUACGUAUAGACAUGGCCCGAGUACCCCUACUCGGCCCAAUAGUUGGUAGCGGCCUCUAGCAAGACGUGCCAACUCCUAUACGCACACGAAGAUCAUAUCAGACGAACCAUCACAACAUAAUAUACAUGCUAUUCCCUUUGCCUCACGAUAUUUGGUCUAGCUUCAAGUCGACCGCUCUUUCUCGAUCCUGUGGUUCGGAAUCCCUUUGUAGGUUAACUCUUAACCGUACGUAGCAUGGCCAUGCAUUUUCGGAUCCGAUCACUCGAAGGGCCCAGAGAUAUCACUCUCAAUCAGAGAGGGGCAAAUCCCAUCUUGAUUGACUAUGUCUCAUAGCAUGCUUCUUGACAAACCCGAAAGCUACCUUUAUAACUACCCUGUUACGGCGUAGCGUUUGAUAGCCCCUAAGUAGGUCGAUCCACAUCUAGAACACAUGCGACAAUCUCAGGUCUAAGGACAAAGCGUAUAUGUUGUUUAAAGAGAGAACUACUUCUCGUGUUGGGUCAGUCCUAGCACAUGUCUCCACAUGUGUCCACAUUAUUAGUUCAACAUCUCCAUGUCCAUGACUUGUGAAACAUAGUCAUCAACUAAUACAUGUGCUAGUCUAAUAUUCAUGUGUGUCCUCACAUGAACUCCGACUAGGGACAACUUUAGAAUAAACAUACAAGUAAAGAGUUUCACAUACAAUUCACAUAAUUGCAAAUCAAUUCAAGUAGCCUUCAAUGGAUAUUCAACGAACACAACAUACAAAUCAUGGAUACAAAUGGAAUAUCAUCAUCUCUAUGAUUGCCUCUAGGGCAUACCUCCAACAGUCUCCCACUUGCACUAGAGUCAAUCUAGAAGGUACCUAAUACCCAUAGCUCUUACAUGCGCAUCAUGCUUAGCCUGUGGGAGUGGUUUUGUCAACGGAUCAGAAAUGUUCAGAUCCGUGUGUAUUUUGCAUAUCUUGAUCUCACCCCGGUUAACAAAGUCUCGAAUUAGAUGAAAUCGCCGCAUUACGUGUUUGUUCUUCUGGUGGUUCCUUGGCUCCUUUGCUUGUGCAAUUGCCCCAUUGUUAUCACGGUAGAGAUUCAAUGGGCUGGACGCAUUCGGGAACACACCAAGCUCAAUGAGGAAAUUCCUUAUCCAAACACCUUCCUUCGCGGCUUCCGAAGCCGCGAUGUACUCGGCUUCUGUCGUAGAAUCGGCCACCGUCUCCUUCUUGGAACUCUUCCAACUAACAGCACCACCAUUCAGUGUGAACACAAAUCGUGAUUGUGACUUUGAAUCAUCUCUGUCAGUUUGGAAACUAGCAUCGGUGUAACCUGUUACAACGAGCUCCUCCUCACCUCCAUAGACGAGGAACAUAUCUUUAGUCCUUCUCAAGUACUUAAGAAUGUUUUUCACCGCUGUCCAGUGACUCUCACCUGGAUCAGAUUGGUGUCUGCUUGUCAUACUUAGCGCAUAUGAAACAUCUGGGCGAGUACUUAUCAUUGCAUACAUGAUAGAUCCAAUAGCCGAGGCAUAUGGCACUCUACUCAUGCGAUCCCGCUCAUCAGCAGUCGAAGGACACUGAGUCUUGCUGAGAUGUAUGCCAUGUGACAUAGGUAAGAACCCUUUCUUUGCCUCUUCCAUGCUGAACCGCUUCAACACUUUGUCAAUGUAAGUAUCUUGGCUUAAACCUAUAAGCCUUCUCGAUCUAUCUCUAUAGAUCUUAAUGCCCAGAAUAUAUGCCGCUUCCCCUAAGUCCUUCAUCGAAAAACUAUUUUUCAGUGAAGUCUUUACGGACUCAAGCAUAGGAAUGUUAUUUCCAAUCAGUAAUAUGUCAUCCACAUAUAAGAUUAGAAAUACUACAGAGCUCCCACUAACCUUCUUGUAAACACAAGACUCUUCUUCGUUCUUGGUGAAGUCAAACCCUUUGACCACUUCAUCAAAACGAAUGUUCCAACUCCUAGAUGCUUGCUUCAAUCCAUAAAUGGAUCUCUGAAGCUUGCAUACCUUUCCAGCAUUUUUCGGAUCGACAAAACCCUCGGGCUGUAUCAUAUACACGUCCUCAGUUAGGUUUCCAUUCAGGAAAGCUGUCUUGACAUCCAUCUGCCAUAUCUCAUAAUCGAAAUAUGCAGCUAUAGCUAGAAUAAUCCGAAUGGACUUAAGCAUCACUACGGGCGAGAAGGUCUCAUCGUAGUCAACUCCUUGAACUUGUCGAAAACCUUUUGCGACAAGUCGUGCUUUAUAGAUGUGAACAUUUCCAUCCAUGUCCUUUUUCUUCUUAUAGAUCCAUUUGCACUCUAUGGCUUUAACACCAUCAGGCGGGUCAACCAAGUUCCAAACUUGAUUGUCUCCCAUGGACUCUAUUUCGGAUUGCAUGGCAUUCUGCCAUUUUUCAGAGUCUGGGUCCAUCAUUGCUUCUGCAUAUGUCGCAGGCUCAUCAUUGUCCAACAAUAAUAUUUCCCGCAUUUCGCGGAGCCUUGCCGACCUUCGUGGUUGUGGCGGUGCUUCUCUUGCCAUGGGUAUCUCAACUUGUUCUGCUACGUUAGCAUCACUCAUUGAUUCUUGCCCGAUCGGCUCAUCUUGAACUUCUUCAAGAUGCACUGUCUUUCCACUCUUUUCUCCUUUGAGAAACUCUUUCUCUAGGAAAACCCCAUUCCGAGCGACAAACACUUUGCCUUCUGAUCGGUUGUAGAAAUAAUAUCCCAAAGUUUCCUUUGGAUAUCCCACGAAAAUGCACUUAUCCGACUUGGGUGUGAUCUUGUCCGACUGAAGUCGCUUGACAAACACUUCACAUCCCCAAAUAUUUAGAAAAGACAAACUAGGAACCUUUCCAGUCCACAUCUCAUAUGGUGUCUUAACUACGGAUUUAGAUGGUACCCUAUUAAGUGUGAAAGCUGUUGUUUCUAGAGCGUAUCCCCAAAAUGACAACGGUAGGUCCGACUGGCUCAUCAUUGAUCGAACCAUGUCUAACAAAGUUCGAUUACGUCGCUCGGACACACCGUUUCUCUGAGGUGUUCCAGGCGGCGUAAGUUGUGGAACAAUUCCGCAACUCUUUAGAUGAUUGCUAAACUCGUGGCUCAAAUACUCGCCUCCACGAUCAGAUCGUAAGGCCUUAAUUUUCUCGCCGCGCUGAUUUUCAACUUCAUUCUGAAAUUCCUUGAACUUUUCAAAGGUUUCAGACUUGUGCCUCAUCAAGUAGACAUAGCCAUAUCUACUAAAAUCAUCAGUGAAAGUUAUGAAGUAUUGGAAUCCUCCUCUAGCCGUCGUGCUCAUUGGUUCGCAUACAUCACUAUGUACGAGUUCCAACAAGUCUACUGCUCUCUCAGGAAAUCCUGUGAAAGGCAUCUUGGUCAUCUUGCCUAGCAAGCAAGCCUCACGUGUCUCGUAUGAUUCAAAAUCAAACGAAGUUAGAAGUCCAUCAGAAUGGAGCUUCUUCAUGCGCUUAUCACUUAUAUGACCCAAACGACAAUGCCACAAGUAGGUAGGACUCAAAUCAUUAGGCCGAGGCCUUUUAGCACUUACAUUACAGACAGGUGAACCAUCAAGAUUUAUAACAAAUAAUCCAUUCACAAUGGGUGCAAAAGCCAUAAACAUAUUAUUCUUAGAGAUCACACAACCAUUGUUUUCACUCGCAAAUGAAUAACCAUCCUUCAUCAAGCAUGAAGGAGACAAAAUGUUUCGACUUAAACUAGGAACAAAAUAAUAAUUAUUCAACUCCAUAAUAAAUCCUGACGGGAGGUGGAGUUGCAUCGUCCCGACGGUCAAAGCAGCAACUCUUGCAUUAUUGCCCACGCGGAAAUCAACUUCUCCUCUUUCCACGCUUCUACUUCUUAUCAUUCCCUGCAUCGAAUUGCAAAUAUGAGCAACCGAUCUGGUAUCAAAUACCCAAGAAUUAAUAAUUGUAUCAGCGAGAAAUAUGUUGUCUAUAACAUUAACAACAAGCGUACCUGAGGUAGAAGUACUCUUACUUCCGCCAUUCUUCAAGGAAGCUAGGUACUGCUUGCAGUUUCUCUUCCAGUGACCAAGUUCAUGACAGUAAAAGCACUCUUUGUCUGGAGCAGGUCCAGGUCCAGCUUUAACCUUGGGCGGUGGGUUUGGCUUGGACGUUCCAGCCUUGCCCUUCUUCUUCCAAGAAUUGCCCUUCUUCUUAAAGCUAGGCUUGUUCUGUAUCGCCAUCACAUGGCUGGUACUAGCGCUUUUGUUGAUGUCAGCCUCUGCUGUUUUAAGCAUGCCACACAGCUCAUUCAGACCCUUCUCCGUUCCAUGCAUAUGGUAGUUCGAGAUGAAGUUCCCAUAGCUAGGCGAAAGAGACGAAAGAAUGAAAUCAGUGGCCAACUCUUGGCCCAGUGGGAAGCCUAGCUUCUCCAACCGUUGAGUGUAACCAACCAUCUUGAUUACGUGUGGUCCUACUGCUGCGCCUUCUGCUAGCUUGCUCUCAACAAAGGCCUUAGACACAUUGAACCUUUCAGUCCUGGCCUGUGUUUGGAACAUGUCUCUAAGCGCCACGAUCAUAUCGUGCGCCUCAUGGUUUGUUUCGAACUGCAUCUGCAGCUCGGGUUCCAUGCAAGCAAGCAUAAGGCAGCUUACUUCGAGGUUAGCAUCACAUGCUUUCUUGUAAGCAGGUUCUUCUGGUAGUGGGUUGUCUAGAACAUCUUCCUUUUUCUCAGCCCUGAGAACAAUUCUCAGGUUGCGGAUCCAAUCCGAGUAAUUUGUUCCAUUCAACUUGUCCUUCUCAAGGACCAAACACAAAGCAAACGGUGUAGUGCUGCUAGGUGCCAUUUAAUCUACAACAAAGUAAUGCAAAAUACACUAAGACAAACGUAUCCAUGAUAGAGCAAAUCAUAUUAAACUAUUUUAACAGAAUCUACUCCCACUAAAAUCAAUAUCCCUCUAUUGAAACUUAGUGAUUCAGGAUCCACAACUAACAAGUCCACUAGUGAGCUUUAGCAUCACCGCUAGCAAACAAGGUAGAUCGGUAAGCAACUUUUGCUAAUCAUAUCACAUAUGACUCCUGUUGUUGGGUGACAUCCCCAUGUCUCGGCGCCCAACCGUUAUGCCCCAAGGUCCUUAACCGUUAAGAUGACCUCGUUAAGCAAACCAACCCUUAUGCGUGUAAGUGUCCGACACAAACCCGUCUAGUCAAGGAAAACUAGUGGUACCCUAAUUUCAUAGACCCACCACUCAUUGUACAAGACAUGGGACGGUGCAAGUUUUAGUUGGGAGGGCAUACUAACUUAAAAUUUGCGAGGGAUCGUUCUACUUCUAACAUCACAGCAUGCAGAAAGUAAAACAUAAACAGAAUAGCAUUCACACAGUUGUGACACAGUAUGGCCCGUUUUCAUAUGGUGAUCUCCAUGUCCAUAGAACCUGUUCACCAUGGUGAUCUCAAUCUCUAUGUUCCAUGUGCACCAUUCUCCUGGUGAUGAGUCCUCCAAGAACUAGAGCAUGCUAUUACACCUAAUAGCUAGUAAAGAAUCUAGUAAUGAAGAUUACAUAAUUGCUUGGAUCAUCACAGAUUGGUACGCAGACCAUUAAAUACAAUAAAGUGACAACACAUAUGGCUCCUGCCGUGUUGCCGUACGCGCGACACGCAGGUCACGAAUGAGUUACACACAUGCAUCACAUACACAAGGGGGCCAUACUGAUCACAAGAUACAUACAUACAUCCUGCAAAACAGAGUUAGGCGUCCUAGCGUUCCAAACUUCGGAGGCCCGAAACUCCAUCUUCCAAGCCGAAUUUGGGAAAUCUAAUUUUGCCGAAAACGGCAAAGCCAUUGAAUUUCAUGUGUAACUUUUUCUGUAGAUCAAUUUUCAUAUAAAAUUCGCCCCAAUCCGAGAUCGUACCGAAAAGUUACGGCUGAUUUACCGAAGCAUACGCAAACGGCAAAAAUCCCGACCCCGGCAGUAGAUCUCAUCUACUGUUGCACAUCUAAUGCGCCUGGCGUAUGACCCUGGAUCUCGAUUUGACCAAUCAUAUUUAUCUUCGCUCACUGCAACUGGAUUUACGUGUAUCACUUAACUCCGAUGGCAGAAACGGACCGGUAGGAGUAUGUCGUUACACUACCAUUGCAGCAAGGGCACGAAACCAGGACAUAGAUCAAACAGAAAACUCGCAUAUCUCCAUAUGCACACAUCCCGAAUCCAAAACUAAGCAGCUACGGCUCUGAUACCACUGUUGGGAUACGAGGUAGGCUACACUAGCGCAAUUCAAAAUUCUACCGCAUAUAACCAGGAAGAACUGCCGUAUAAGGAUCACGGGAUUACCACUCGACGCACUACUGGUGCGGAAGAUGUAGAUAUGCGUCGAUGCAGUGAAGACGAUCACGUAGUCGAUCAACGUAGUCGUACGUAGUCGAUCACGUCUAGCAGCUCCUCAGCAGCUCGUCCACGUGCAGCAAGAUCGCCUCCGGUACCGCGGCUCGUCGUCGGCUCGUCGUGGCUCGUCAGCGGCUCGUCGGCGGCUCGUCCAAGUGCUGCAGGCGCAACACCUCCAAGGUAUCCACACGUGCAGGGAGGAAGCGUCGCAAGCCGGACUGCUAGAUCAGCGAGUUGCAACAGGUGAGGGCGUGGGAGGUGCGGCAGGUGUGUUUCGCCAAAAGGUGUAAACCCUAGGGCGCCCCCACCCCUCUAUUUAUAGAGGUUCCUGACGGGCCUCUGGAUCCGAGGCCCAUUAGUACUUCUAAACCUAAUCCAGCUCGGAUCUGAUCCGAAUUGGGCUUCUAGCCCCUUAAGUGUGUGACCCUAUGGGUUCGGAUACGUAUAGACAUGGCCCGAGUACCCCUACUCGGCCCAAUAGUCGGUAGCGGCCUCUAGCAAGACGUGCCAACUCCUAUACGCACACGAAGAUCAUAUCAGACGAACAAUCACAACAUAAUAUACAUGCUAUUCCCUUUGCCUCACGAUAUUUGGUCUAGCUUCAAGCCGACCGCUCUUUCUCGAUCCUGUGAUUCGGAAUCCCUUUGUAAGUUAACUCUUAACCGUACGUAGCAUGGCCAUGCAUUUUCGGAUCCGAUCACUCGAGGGGCCCAGAGAUAUCACUCUCAAUCAGAGAGGGGCAAAUCCCAUCUUGAUUGACCAUGUCUCAUAGCAUGCUUCUUGACAAACCCGAAAGCUACCUUUAUAACUACCCUGUUACGGCGUAGUGUUUGAUAGCCCCUAAGUAGGUCGAUCCACAUCUUGAAUACAUGCGACAAUCUCAGGUCUAAGGACAAAGCGUAUAUGUUGUUUAAAGAGAGAACUACUUCUCGUGUUGGGUCAGUCCUAGCACAUGUCUCCACAUGUGUCCACAUUAUUACUUCAACAUCUCCAUGUCCAUGACUUGUGAAACAUAGUCAUCAACUAAUACAUGUGCUAGUCUAAUAUUCAUGUGUGUCCUCACAUGAACUCCGACUAGGGACAACUUUAGAAUAACCAUACAAGUAAAGAGUUUCACAUACAAUUCACAUAAUUGCAAAUCAAUUCAAGUAGCCUUCAAUGGAUAUUCAAUGAACACAACAUACAAAUCAUGGAUACAAAUGGAAUAUCAUCAUCUCUAUGAUUGCCUCUAGGGCAUACCUCCAACACCGAGUACUCCUACUCGGCCCAAUAGUCGGUAGCGGCCUCUAGCAAGACGUGUCAACUCCUAUACGCACACGAAGAUCAUAUCAGACGAACCAUCACAACAUAAUAUACAUGCUAUUCCCUUUGCCUCACGAUAUUUGGUCUAGCUUCAAGCCGACCGCUCUUUCUCGAUCCUGUGAUUCGGAAUCCCUUUGUAGGUUAACUCUUAACCGUACGUAGCAUGGCCAUGCAUUUUCGGAUCCGAUCACUCGAGGGGCCCAGAGAUAUCACUCUCAAUCAGAGAGGGGCAAAUCCCAUUUUGAUUGACCAUGUCUCAUAGCAUGCUUCUUGACAAACCCGAAAGCUACCUUUAUAACUACCCUGUUACGGCGUAGCGUUUGAUAGCCCCUAAGUAGGUCGAUCCACAUCUUGAAUACAUGCGACAAUCUCAGGUCUAAGGACAAAGCGUAUAUGUUGUUUAAAGAGAGAACUACUUCUCGUGUUGGGUCAGUCCUAGCCCAUGUCUCCACAUGUGUCCACAUUAUUAGUUCAACAUCUCCAUGUCCAUGACUUGUGAAACAUAGUCAUCAACUAAUACAUGUGCUAGUCUAAUAUUCAUGUGUGUCCUCACAUGAACUCCGACUAGGGACAACUUUAGAAUAACCAUACAAGUAAAGAGUUUCACAUACAAUUCACAUAAUUGCAAAUCAAUUCAAGUAGCCUUUAAUGGAUAUUCAAUGAACACAAUAUACAAAAUCAUGGAUACAAAUGGAAUAUCAUCAUCUCUAUGAUUGCCUCUAGGGCAUACCUCCAACAGUAACAAUGCUUAAAUAGGUGUUUUAAACUUAAGAGCAAGUCCUUUGUGCUUAGAGAAGAGCUUUGGCAACUUUUAGGCAAAGUCCAAGUCUUGGGGCUCUCGAUUUAGACGUUUCCAAUAUCAUCUAGAGCUGAGCCCUAUACCAAAGUUUUAGAGCUUCGGGACCUUAACAACUUUGCUUUAAGGAGCAAGUUCGAAAGAUGCCCUGAAAGGCUUCAAAAUCUAGGUCAAAGUUCCCUAGUUUGGUCAACUCAGCCUCUUUAGCCAUUCCGGCUAAGUCUGGAAUUCAGCCUGACCUGGCGCCUUAGGGCAGGUUUAUCUUUGGAAAGUAGAACAGAACAUCAGGAAGUCCUUUUGUAGAAGUUAGGGAACUAAGUUCCUACAAUAACUUUGUUAAUUGGACCUUGGUCCAAUUCACCUCCGAAGCUUCCCAAAUCUGCAGCUCAAAUCAGCUCAGAACCCUGAAAACCAGCCAAACCGCCAUUUUCCCUAAGUCCUGAAACCGGUGUUCCUCCAAACUUUGGAGCUUUGAAUCUCCAAAUCCACCAUGCUUUUGAACUCCGUCAAAUUACAAGAGUUGGACCUUGGUCUAUGUACUACAACUCUUGUAAAGGGAGUCAACAUGACGCAGUUUGAAAAUCCGGAGAUCAAGAGGCAGGAAGAUGGGCCUGGCAAAAGAUCUCGCGCAUCCGUCGGCCAGACAGCACCAGAGCGCGCGUGCGCCACGCGUAGAGCUCCACCGCCGCAUGGCAUAACCUCACCGACGAGCGUCGCCUCGCCCAGUCACCGGCCGCGACACGAUAGAUCAGCGCGCCUCUUUCCCAGUCGCGCGCAGAAGAGCCCUGCAGACCCCUUUGCCCCAUCUCGUCUCGCUCGAGGCCUCGCCGGCCGCGCCAGGUGCCCUGCCCGCAGCUCCGCCGUCGCCCCGGCCACUCUGUAACCGAAGACCGGCUGCUGCCAUGCCGGUACCGCCUCACCUCCCGUGUGCAUCCGCCUCACCCAGAUCCCCGGCCGCGCGCCCCAACGCCUUUCGGCCCUCCCGUCACACCUCAGUCGCGCUGGCCCCGCGCGCACCCCACGACGCUACCGUCUCCGCCAACCGCCACGCAGGCAGUGACAGCUCCUCCCCCCGCCUUGCCAAUAGCGUGCCCCGUCAGAGCCGGUAGUUCCGCGCAUGCUCACGUCACACCACUCAUCCUGUCACCUCUCUGCAGUGCCCUUCCCUUCCUCCUGUCCACCAAUGGCGCCAUCGCCAUGGAUGGCUGCAACCACACAUGCGCGCAGACCUAGCAUAUCCGUGUGCCCAGCGAACCCGCUUUGCCCCCGACCCCAAAUCCUUGCUGCCCAACCAGAGCAAGAUUGCGUCCGAGCUUGCCAAUGGAGGCGCCGACCAAUCGCCGCCGCGGCAGAGCACUUCUUUCUCCCUCGAUCUUAUCCUCUCGCCGCUCAAGCUCAUUUCCUUCCUCUGAGCACUUCUGCGCAGCUAUAAAAGGGGUACUGAAGCCUCUUACCAGAGUUCCCUUCAUUACCACCGCCUUUGCCGCACUACAUGCUUUGUUCUUCUCUACCGCACUCGCCGCUGCACACUCCUCUACUUCGCGCUGAAGCACCGCCGCCUGAGCUCUCUGUGGAGCUCCCCCUUCCGUCCAACACCGCACCUUGCCAACCCCAGCAGCUGCUUCGCCAUCCUUUCACGCAGCGCUAGAGCUUGCUUGUUGUCCACAAGAAGCACCACCGCCGCCAAAACGCCGUCGUUCCUCGUUCCGCCUCGGCUUGUUUCUUCCCAACCCCGAGACCUCGUCAGUGUGACCGGAGGUGAGUUUCUGACACCCUUCCAACUCACCCAACCCUGUCCGACUCGCCCAAGUGCUGUCCACCUCGCGCUGACUCACCCAAGUGCUGUCCGCCUCACCCGACUCGCUCGAGUGUUGUCCGCCUCGCCUGAGGGCUCGGUGUGUCUUUUUCUUUUGACCGAGGGUAUCUGUGUAAAAUUUUGAGGACUUCUCUGUGUUAAAUCUUAGGACCCUGGUACAGUUAUUCCUUAGGUCUAAGGGUCAGAUCGUAAGUUUUCCCCGAUCCGACGCUUUUAACUUGUUUUAAAUCGAUAGAAGCUUGGAAAUUGCAUCUUAAAUCAAGGAAAAAUCAGAAAAAUGUGAAAUCACUUGGGUUGGAAUCCUCGUUCUGAGUAGAAUCCAAUAAAGUGGGUUUCACACCUUUUCCUAUAGUUUUGCUAUAGUUUUGGGUUUAAAUCCUUGCUUACUAUUGAAAUCACCGUCUAAGUGUCUCACCCUUGCAUUGCAUUUCGUGUAGAGCUGAAUCUCGCCGACGGCACAUACGAGCUUCACCCAGCGUCGGAAGACAAAGUCGUAGCUGAGCUGCCGCUUGCAGGAGUCGAGCCCGUGCACGUCGAGGAUCAGUUCGCUACCACCCCGCUUGAAGGCAAGCCCCGGCGCAUAACCCAGUUUUUCUAAACUUGUGCAUGUCUUCUAUUGUUAUGCGUGUGCAUUUACGUUCCAGGAGUUGGUUGAAACCAUAGAUGCAUGACUUAGUUUCCCUUUGAUCUGAACACUAGUAUGAUAGGCCGAGUAGCUGCUUGCUUAAAUAGGACUCGGUAAAAGUCGAGUGAUUUCCUGUCACUCGCGAGUUAUAGGAGUUGCUUGCUUCAUUUGUUACAACCAUAAGGACGAUAGAUGGGGCAGGGCUCUAUGAACUAUUUUGGUGGUCGGUGGAUUGCCCCGCCUAUCUACAUGAAAUUGGAUUAAGGUUGGAAAGUGAUGGUGUUCGUGAUCAAGCGUUUGAAAGUACUAAUCUCAUAUCUAGUAUGGGAUGGGGAAGCCUAGUACCUGAUUGAACCGGCAAGUGGAUUAUACCCCUGCUGUCCUUGGAAUGUAGUUCCCAUGGUGCAUCAUGUGGAUGCAGGUGCGGUCAUAGUACGGUAGAGACUGGGACUGUGGAGCAUUGCAUGGCAAGGGCAGUUUGGACCUGACAUGCGCCUGGGAAUUGAUGGGGACGGCCGACAAGUGAAGUGACCCUCCGUGGUGCGCGGAUGUCGUGAGAUUAGGUUCGCCAGGCAUGGUUAAGAAAUUCGAAUCGAUUCAUCUGCCUCUCAUAGUUUGGGAUUGCUUGAUCGCUAUGCUACACUGAGUCAGAAUGGAAGAUGAUGGUGAUCUAAAUAUUGUUACUUGUUUAAUUGCUUGGAAACCAUUGCUUGUUUAGUAUAGCUGCUAACUUAGAUUGGUAAAUGAAUGUAGAACUUGUGGCUAAAAUAUUGAAAGUAAGGAUCUACUGUAGUCGCUUUUGGCAAAACAAACGCCUCAGCCAAAAAGCCUUGCAUGUCUAGAAGUUGGUGGAUUAGAACCACCCGUCGGUUAAGUCUUGUUGAGCAUAGUUCCUUAGCCUUGCUUGUGGCACAUCUUUCAGGUGAUGUUGAAGCCCCUGAGUUUGCUGCCUAUGGCACUUAGCCUCCCCAGCUUCCUCCUUGGUGGACGGUCGAGUGGGAUCCCUCUCAGACGGUGAGGACAGGGAUCAUUGAUGUCAUGAUCGGCCUCAUCGUGACGUCCAACUUCGGCGCUAGCUUUCGUUUGUUUAUUUCUGCUGCUUAAGAACUCUGCAAACUUUGUUUGAAUUUUGAACCUGGUGUUGUAAUAAAUUAAUGUACUUGUUUAAUUUGGAUGAUCUAUUAUAUUCUCUGGAACCACUCACCUUCGUGUGAGCUCUGCUUCCUUGGUCCUGUGUAGUGGUUUAUCGGAUGAAAUCUGACGGACCGCCGAGUUAACUUGAUUAAAGCAUAUGAUUGCGUGUCAGGUAACUUAAUUGUGCUUUAGCAAAGUUAAUUAGGGCGGUUCCGCCACAUAUAUAUGGUAUAUAUGUAUACCUUAAUUGUGAGGUUGCCAAAUGGCCUUUACAGCUCACAUGAGGUGCACUGAGUGAUGUCAUCCAUAGGGUAACAUUGGUUGUCUUGCACAACCAUGGGUAAGCUUGGCAUGUUCUUAUCAGGGACCCCUGUGGAAGCACAUCUGCUUCGGUGUUGAGAAGGGCUGAUGACAAUGUUGGGAUCCAGCAGCGCUAUAGAUUGGGCCAUCUCAGUAACUGCCAGAGCCACUUUAGCUUAAACAUGCGCUGCCACCUUUAUCUUAUUCAUGCACUUUAGCUUCUAACAUGCACUGCCACCUUUCCUCUUGCUAUAUCUUUCUUCUCUUUCAGCUUCUGUAUGUGUCGAUGUCCCUACGAAAAGCAUACUUCCAUGGAACCACACUGAAGCCUUGGCAGCAUGCUGGGUGCUUGGGAUUCCUGAGCGCCAAAGUGAGCUCAUCGAUCUCUCUAUCAGGCUUGAACUUUCCCACUUUAGAAUCUUCAAUGUUUUUGAUAAGCCUGAGGACCUUCUCACAUAUUGUUUCGUUGAAAACAAGUGACCCCAUCCUUAGGGUUUAAGGGUGCCUUUGUGAGCGUAAUACCAAUUCUUCGAUCGAUCAGGCCAGUCAAAAGUCGCUAAUACGAUACCUCGAUCGAGUAGGUCUUGUUCCAUCUUUCUCCAUCUAGGAACUGCACUCUUGUAACUACCUUGCCCUAGAUGAUGAUGAUACUCCUUCUGACGGGCAUUGCCUGUGUUGAUCUUAACCUUGUUCGCACUAUCUUCAGUCCUCUUGUAUUCCAAAAAUGAGUUUUAGUGAUCUCUUAACUUUGGCCAGGCAUUAAAAUCUGGAGUUCGGCCCUUCUUGAUAUAGUUGGUAUUCAGAUUUUUCUUGAAGGUCUGAAAUUGGGUUGCCAUCUUCUUGAGCGUCUAGUUCUUUCACUAAGUUUUCAUCGAUGCCGUCAAGAAGUGUGAAGUAUUUCUUGACAUCUGCCCACAACAUAUCUUUCUAUGUCUGCGAGAGCACGUAUGGAUCAUCUUAUUUACUGGACUUCAAUUCUCGAAUGCUGAUGGGCAUGUUGUCCCUUACAAUAGUCCUGCAUUGACUUGCGAACUUUCUAGUGACUUUUUCGGGAGCAAUUAGCUGGCCCUCUUCUAUCACUUCGGUGAUAUGAAGCUUUCCCUCCAUUAUCUUUGUACGACCUCACAGCUUCUUUCGCAUCAAUGAUCCAGAGGGCUAAAAGUUGAAGAUUCAUUAAUUAGUGCAUAGUAAUAGUUAAUAUGAAGUUAUAGAUAGGGUAAAAUGAUAAAUAUGAUAUAUACCUCGCCGGAACCUUCCAUCACGACAAUGUCUUGUUCUGCAUUGUCAUCAACACCGUGCUCGUGCUCAUCAUUGCCAUCACCGGACAUAUUGACGAACAUGUCCGCCUAGCUACCCUCAUCCUCGGUGUAGGUUCUUGGAACGUUUGAGCCACUACUGCCAGCAAUAAUCUACUCUGUUAUAUAACUUUCGUCCUCUUCGUCUUCCAUCUCAACUAAUAAUGACAUUAGUUAUACACACAUGUAAUCAUAGAUACAUUAAGUUAAACAUAGUAUAAUAAAUAUAUAUACAUGAAAUCAUACUAAUUUGUACUAAUUUCCUAAGCAUUUAUAGUGAUUUCUACUAAUUUCCUAAGAAAUUAUAACAAUUUUCUGAAGCAUUUAUAGUAAUUUUUACUAAUUUCCUAAGCAUUUAUAGUGAUUUCUACUAAUUUCCUAAGCAUUUAUAAUGAUUUCUACUAAUUUCCUAAGCAUUUAUACUAUUUUAUACUAAUUUCCACUAAUUGUCUAGGGCAUUUGCACUAAUUUUAAUUCUAGUAUAUUAAGCAUUUUUCUAAGCACUUAUAAUUAAUUUACACUAUUUUCUAAUUUAUAAAAUUUUUCUAAGUAUUUAAACUAAUUUAUACAGUUUUUUAAAUAUUUAAAAAAAUUUAUACUAAUUUUCGAUGGAUUUAUUCUAAUUUAUACAAUUCUUCUAAGUUAUAUAAUUUACUAUUUUAAUUUUCUAUGAAAUAAAAAACGCUAAUGCAAGCCGUAGUUGGAGGCGGCGCGCCCGUACCUCAUUGCAGGGGGGCGUCAGGGAUGAGUGCGGCGGCGUGCGGUGGUGGAUGGAAGGGUCGCGGGCCCGUGUGCGGGGCUGGGGGACGGUGGGACGGCGCCGAUAGAGCUCAAUUCAGCCCGCGGCAGCGCACGGUGGUCGACGGUGUUGAGGGCGGCUCUCUGCGAUGCUGGGAUAGGGAGGAGGGUGCCGCCGGGGAGGAGGCUGCCGCCUAGGAGAUGGGGCGCGUAGGCGAAGGGGGAGGACGGCCGUGGCGGCCGACGGAGAGGGUCGGGGUGCUGCUGCCGGGGGGCGCUGGAGGCAUCGUCGAGGAGCCGGGGGAGGCACCGGGGUGGUGCCACGAAGAAGACGCCGGCCGAAGCGACGAUGAGGUCGAGGGGAUGCCCGCAGAGGAGCUAAUGGCAGCGCUGGUGGCGAUAGGGGCGACGAAGGCGGCGAGGAUCGUGAAGUUAGCUAAGUCCUGAGGAGGGAGGAAGGGCUUGGAUAUUUAUACUCCCACCCUUUUUGUCUCGGUUGGUCGUACCACCCAGGACUAAAGGGUCUUUAGGUGGUAUUUCCAACUAGGAGUAAAGAGAGCCUUUAGUCCCCGCUGGUAAUACCACCCAGGACUAAAGGAGGUGAAGUUUCAUCUCCCGCGCGCUGCCCCCCUUUAGUCCUACUGCCCCUCUUUAGUCCCGGGUGGUAUUUCCAACCGAGACUAAAGGGUCCCUCGCCUUUGACUUCCCUGCAUAACCCAUUAUUUCCACCCUUUUAUUUCAACAAUCAGUUUACUCAAAAUGCUGCAAAUUUUACAAAUAUGUAAUUAAUGUACCAGAGUAGAUGAGAUGUUGAAUAUAUUUUUUUAAUUACUAUUUUUAAGAUGUAAUAAAAACAGUACUAAACUAUAAUUCUUAAUAUGUUUUAAGUUGAUUUAAUACUUUUGCUUAAUCAAGAAAAAUGAAAAAAAUCAAUGUUUUAAACAUGCAAAAAUAUAUCCAAUUAGCUUAUGUGAUUAAGUUAAUAUAUUGACCAUAUAAUAUUUUUUAACCUUAUAUUGUUGUUUAUAUUGAUCGAAUAAUCAUGUGAUGAGCCAAAAACUCUCAUAAAGGAUGAUGAUAUAUAGUCCAUUAUAUAAAUGAGUUUUACACAUCACUAAAAUAUAAUAGAAAGGUUCUGAUGAUCAUAGAGCAUUACAAUGUAACGUAAAAAAACUUCUUCUUGAUGAAAGUUCCUUGAUCAUGAGCGCGGUGCAAGUACGGAGCCUCUUCUUUGGCUAGCAUGAUGCUUGGGUCAACUUCGACAGCGAAUGGAGGUGCCAUCAAACUGAUACUAAUCAUCGGACUGGUAUAUUUUGUCCUCGACUCCCACGAUUACUCUUUAACCUGGAAGGAAUAUGUGGCGCUUUGACUCCCAUGGUUUUUUUAUCUUCUGAAUUAUUCUUAGGUUUGCUAGACAUGUCCUUCGUAUAGAAAACCUGAUGCAGAUCAUUGGCAAGGACAAAUGGUUCAUCUUUGUAUGUAGUCUUGCUCAGGUCGACUAUUGUCAUUCCAUACUUAUCUUCCGUUAUGCCACCUCCAGUUAGCUUCACCCAUUGACAACAAAACAGAGGGAUGUUCAGCGGUUCGUAGUCAAGUUCCUAGAUCUCCUCUAUGAAACCAUAAUAUGAGUCUCUCAAUGCUGUCUAGGACAUCUAUAUAUACGGAUACCACUAUUUUGGUUGGUGCUUUUUUGUCUUGGGCUCUUGUGUAAAAUGUAUAAUCAUUUAUCUUAUAACCUUGCGUUGACGUCGGAUUUUGACACGUGUUUGGAAUCGGUGUCAAAGGAGGAGAAAGGGAGCCGAUGCGGCGGACUAGAAGCUACAGUUGUGAAUCGGCUGAUUAAAGCUACAAUGUUUUGGCCGACUGGCGGAAGGAGUCAAUGGAGGCUGGCCGAUUGGGAGCCAGAACGGCCUGGCCAUUUUUGGCCUAAGGUGGGCCAGGAUGAAGAUUUGCUGAAGAAGGAGAUUGGCCCGUGGAUAUAUAAUAACCAACUCGGAUACAAGUUGUGUUUGUAAAUAUUUAUUAUCGUUUAAAAUUAGAGAUAGAUCCUAGUCAGUUAGGAAGUCAGUUGUGGUAGGGUAUAAAUAGCUGCCUCAUGAGGCUUGUAAACAACAAUACCAAUCAAUACAGCAAAUCUAUUUUUUUCUCGUACUUUACUUUCAAGUCGGCAUCUUCGCCAAAACCUUUUUCUUUCACGAGUUCGUACGGGUUGGCAGGGCUGCAUCGACACGAUCUCCGGCUGAUUUUGUAAGUUCUGCUUAUCGAGUAAUAUCUAAGCUUUAACUUCAGGUGCAUCGCUGUUGUUUCGUUUAGAUUUAUUCACCCGUUAUCGAUAUCAACUAGAACUAUAGGUUUUAUCUAUUGUUUUAGUUUUAUCACCAGUUAUCCACCUUGAGAUACGAACUAUCGGCUUUUUCGUCAUUAUUUUCUUUUAUCACAUAGCCGAUUAGAUCUAUUUCAAGUGUUGCUUUGUAGCGUUGUUUGGAUUUCUCUAGUAGUUUCUUUGCAAUCACUACAUGGUCAUCGGCUGCCCUAUAGCCGGUUACUCUCACAGUAAAUCGACUGAUUCGCUGAUAUGCUUUUCAAGACAGAUCGGAACUUUAGUCAAUCGAGACCUCUGGAAUUUAACACUUUUCUCUCCUUGUCAAUCAACAGGUCAGAUUGACAAGCACGCCGCGCGAAAUGCACGAGGGCGAUAACCCGAACAGGAGUUAAGCAGAUUCUCCCGGGUCGUGUGUCCGACGCUGAAAGUCAUUGGCCGAUUUUUAGUGCCAACACCUUGGAAUUUCACGAUUGUGCUAGAAGGUCCCCUAGCAAACAAAGCGAGUUGUUCGGGAAUCGUGGAGUUACCCAUAAGGUGUUGAUGCAACCAAGAGGGAAAAGUAUCCAUGUGAUGAUGUAUAAUCUAGGUAUCAGAUUUCAUCGGGUAUUGGGAAAAUAGAAUCUACUUGUGUUCUUCAAUAUACGGAGCCACCAAGGAUGAUUGUUGUAGAACCGUGAAGUGUGCUUUAUGGAACAAAUCACUAUCAGUGCUCAAACUUGAUUUCCUUUCAAGGGUGCCCUUCCCUGUAGCCUCCCCUUGUGGCGUGAUAAUGGAACCCCAAUUGAACUAAUUGAGUCAAUAAAAUCAACACAAAACUCAAUGACGUCCUCUGUUCCAUAUUCCUUGGCGAUGCUUCCUUCUAGAUGGGCACGAAAACCUCUCGAAAGGCCAUAUAUUGUGCAGGAAUACUGGACCUAGAAUAGUAAUACCUUUGACUAAGUGAACCAGGAGGUGCGUCAUAAUAUUGAAGAAGGAUGGGGGAAAUACCAACUCAAAGCUGACAAGAUAUUGUACCACAUCAUUCUGUAGCUUUAGUAGCUUGGUUGGAUCAAUUGCCAUCUGAGAAAUCGCAUUGGGAAAUGUGCAUAAUUUUACGAGUGCCAAUCGUACAUUCUCUGGUAGAAUACCUAUAAGUGCAACCGGAAACAACUGGGUCAUCAACAUGUGGCAGCCAUGAGCCUUUACAUUUGUGAACUUUUUUUCUUUCAUAUUAAUUAUUCCCUUUAUAUUCAAGGAGUACCUAGAUGGAACCUUGAUACUAUUCUUACAAUCAAACAUGAUAUCCUUCCUUUCCUUGCUGAGAGUGUAACUGGCGGGAUGUAAGUAGUGCUGUCCUUUAUCUCUCUUUUCCGGAUGUAGGUCAUCUCGUUGCUUCAUACGUUUGAGGUCCUGUCGUGCUUCCAAUGUAUCUUUUGAGUUCCCAUAACAACCUAGGAAGCCUAGCAUGUUCACGCAAAGAUUCUUCAUCUGGUGUAUCACAUCAAUUGCGUUGCGAACCUCUAGGAUUUUCCAAUAAGGUAGCUCCCAAAAUAUAGACUUCUUCCACAUGGGUGCACAUCCGUUAUCAUCGUUUGGAACAGGUUCGGUACCAAGACCCUUUUCAAAGACUACUCUUACAUCCUUUAUCGUCUCAAAUACACGCUUUCCAUUAUGGUGUGCAGGUUUUUUAAUAAGUUGUAUUUUUAUUAAUGUAAUUUUUUAUAUAAUAUGAAAAAGUGAUUAUUUUGAAAAUUCUCUUAAAUGUAAAAAAAAUGAUUGGCAGUGUUCAAGGACCUCACAGUUAGAAGUCAAAUCCAAUCUUUUAAAUUCAAAAUGUCACAAAUUUAUUAAAUUCAAAACAUCAUUUCAGUGUCAGUACGUCCCCGCCACGAACAGUUUCUGGCCUUUGUCAAGAAGCAAGGCUCCGACGUCGAGCUCAUUUGGGAAUCGGGUGCCAUGUCAUUGCCUUACUUACAACUCCUGCCAUCUUGUAUCACCCACCCCUGAUGUCGUGCAUACCUAAUACGUGUACGUCUCAAUGUUUCCCCUGCGUGCAAGAGCGACAAAGUUCAUCACAAUCCACAAGGCUUGCCGAACCAACUAAGGGGAUGGUUGGCAGCACUCCACUCCAGAAAAAAUAGCUCCACUUCAUCAACUCCACAAAAUUGCCUGCCAACAAACACGUCCAGCUCCACAAACUCCAGCUGUAGAAAAAAUGUGGAGCUAGGGGUUAGAUUCACAUUUUUCCUGGAGUACCUUAACAUCAGUUUCAGACUUCCUCAUGGAGUUAGGGGUUAUUUACCCACCUUUGCCACUCGUUACACAACAUAUCAGUUCGUUUCUAAUUUUUUCUUUCUGCUCUCGCUAUCUCCAUUUCCUCCCUCUCGCUGUCACCUGCCAGCACUGCGCUGCCUUCGCCAGUCAGCACUGCGCUCCCCACGCGGCCCUUGCCCAAUGGAGCCGCGCUAGUGCGCUACCCACACCGUCGUCGCCCUCCGGAGCCGUGCCGCCCUCACCCCCCUCGGCCGUGGCCACGCCGCCCCUGCUCGUUGAACCUCGCCACCCCUGCCCAUGUUGGUUGCGUGGCCCCUGCUCGCCAGACCUCACCGCCCCCACCCACUAGGGCCAUGGGGCUUCGCCCUCUUAUCCUUUCCACAUUGCCGACCUCAUCUCUUCCUCCUCCUCAUUCUCCCCCUUUCUUCUUCCUCCAGCCGGGCCAAUCCAAAAGUAGAGCCGAGUCUAGCACCUUUGAUCCGCCACCCAAAUUCACCCCUUUCCCUCCACCAAAACAAAUUGCCACCAACCGGACCUCCCUCACCUCUCCAGCUCCACCCUUAGCCACUCCUCACCGUCGGCCAUGGCUCCUGCGGCCGUGGGUUGAAGUUUCCCUGUUUGCCGGGUGCCGCGAGCCAGUGUUGGCCACCCUCACGUUGACGGCCAAGCUCCGACCACCUCUCCCCAAGACGACCGUCUUGGUGAGCUAUGCACGAUGCACUGAUGCUCAUCUCCCCCUCGUCUUCGCUUUUCUGGUGACUUUCCGUGGUGGUUCACCGCAUCGCCCCCCCCAAUCGCGUCGCCGCUCGCUGCCGGCCUUGCUCCGACCAACGUUUGUGCGCGACAACCACAUGGGUAGAUGCGCCUCGUGUUGCUGAUCACCUUGGUCGUGUUGUCAUCACCAGCUGGCCGCCGGUCAAAGCUGGUGAACUUCAGCUUUGACUCGGUCUUGACCGGCCUGGAUCUGUUGACCCUUGCCCCACGCGUCAGCGGCCGUAGAGGAGGGUGGCUGGGUAAAGCUGAGUAGGAAAAGUUUGAGUAGGGUCUUGGUUUUUCGGGAAAAGAUGAGAGAAGAGACUAACACGUGGACCCAUUCACAAAGGGUAAAAUAGACUAUUCACAAUAAGUCUUCAUAUUUGUGGAGCUGCGGCACUGCAAUCAGCCAAACACAUACAACAACUCCAAUAUUUUUGUGGAGUUGGUGGAGUGGAGCUGAGGUGGAUUGGAGUUGGUGGUGUGGAGCUAUAAAAAUUUUUAGUGGAGUGCUGCGAAACACCCCCUAAAAGUCAUUUCCAAUGUGACACAAUUUUUUUUUGGCUUCCGGUAUUUGUACUUUGGAGACCCUGAACUAAAGUCCGGAUAUGACAAAAAGAUCAGUAAUUGUAUGGAGUCACUGACAAUAGGUUUAAGUGACCACGAAUUGCUUGUGUCUGUGCUCAUGGACGUGCGACAUAACUCUAAUAUGCCUCUGCUUACCAAUAUAGUAGGGUACUUUAUAUGCAGUGCAUACUCAGUUCCACUAACAAUUUAACAUUUCAAAACGUGCAUAAGUCUAAUAUAAUUGUUGCAAACUUUAAUUUAACAUAUUUCUUUCAAACUUCGUAUACUUGUUCACACAUCUUACCCAAUGCAUAUGUAGAUACAUACAUAUGUAGCAAUUUAUCCUUGCAGCGCCACAUGUUGCAACACAUUUACAAGCGCUAGUAUAGACACUAACAAUACUUGCUGGGCCUCUAGUAAUGCGUAAUGCAUUGCUAAAGGGUUAUUCGUCAUGUGACAAGGAGAUAUGGUGCCGCUAGGUUUCUACUAUGGGCAGCUAGGGUUCUUCCCUGGUCCUCCGUAGAAUAUGUAAGUGCCCCAGUUGAUGCUAUUGGUGCCGCUCUGCACGUUGUAGCAGUUGGGCUGCUUAUUCCCCAAUCCCACAACAUUUGGUGAAUUGAGUUUGUUGAACGAAUCGACCACUUGUAUGUUCCUGAUGUAGCUGGCCUUGCUGUACCCUUCCCCAGGGAAGUGCCCACUGCCCAUGUCUGUCGAAGUUUGGCCGGCGUAAGGCGAGUACACCUCUCCGCCCCACAUGACAUAGGAUGCACUAAUUUGCAAGUAGGAGAAAAUGGUUGAUGGCCAAUAACCCAAAAUAUGGUUUCCUACUUGCAACCACCAGUUGCCCCCCUUUGGAUCCUGCAGGCAAAAAAAUUACUGGAGAGUCAGACAGGAUUAUGGCAAGGGGAUAUAGUUCAAAAGGCUAACAUGAGAGAUCUAGUUGCAUUUGUGGAAAAAUCUGUUGCGUGCAUGGGAACAACUCGACUCAUGAAUGAGGCCACAAACAGGCCAACGUCAUCACGGUUGUAGCCUCAACUUACAAUUGAACUUUUGCCUCGAGAAAGAACAAGAAGCUGGCACACUUUCGGUGUCCAUCCAUGAAUUUGAUUUGCUAUGCUCGGAAUGUGAAAGAUUUUUUGGUUUACCUUCCAGAUUAAAAUAGUUAUUUCAUAUUGUGAGCCACCGUAUCUGGAUACAGGGGAGAAGCUACCACCGAUGGCGAUCUGAUUGUUUGUUUGGAUGAACCCUGAGCACUGUAGGUUAUAGCAACCUGUUCUUCGAUAUGCAUCACGCUACAAUAUUCCGUAGCAAUAAAGAAUUAGUAACUUAUAUGCCAUUUCCUAACUUACUGAUAAAGAUAAAAAGGAAUGUGAUGCUUAUCUUACAGUCCAGUAUAUGAAGAGUCUUGUAGAUCUAUCCCCGUACAACUCAGGGUAAACCUGCAAUUUUGUGGAGAGAACAGACCGUUAGCCAUACUGAAAGAGAUUGCAUGACUUAAUAAUAUGCAUUACAACAUGCAUAGGAAUCACAAAAUUUAUUGCCAAGAGUUUGUCAAAAUACCUAUGUAGAUACAUUUUAAUUUGGUCCUCGUAUGAAGUAUUUCCAUUAAUUACUAAAUGCUCUAUAUUCUCUUUCAUCCCAACUCUUAGUUUCUCCGUUUUCGUCACACCUUGGAUACGUGUUUACUUAAAAGCUUAGCUUCAUCGAUUUCACUUCCUAUUGCAGCCUUCUAUAAUAACUUGGUGCUAUGGCUAUUGCUAGUUUCGUCAUUUCAAGAUCUGUCGUUUCCGUUCACCUCCUAUGAGCUACUGUUCUAGGCUAUGAUGCGGAUGAAAACUCCCAUUCCUUUAGUGGUAGGUGAUGUGCUCGUAAAAAACCACACGCCUUUUGGUUACUUUAUUAAUCUAAAGAUGUGCGAGCCUAGUCCUUCGAAGCUUUCAUAGGGAUUGGAUGUGCAAGCAUGCCUUCAUAAAGGUGAGUAUUAUGUGCAUCUGUGCGACUCAGGUGUUUAUAGUGGGUGAGUGUACAUGCAUAUAUGUGAGUGUCUUUAUCUAUUCUGUGUUUUUGCAAAAAAAAUUGAACAUGUGUAAACACAAGAGCUGUAUAUCACUGGUAGAAAAGUGAGCAUUAGACCCGGUUGAAGAGACGCAUAAGUCUCGAAAAUCCAACCAGAACUAAUCUUUCGAGACUAAAGGUCCCGACCUUUAGUCCCGGUUAUCUCACCCAGGAUUAAAGCUUACCUUUUGUCCUGGUUGGUAUUACCAACUGGGACAAAAGGCUUCCAAAAAAAUAAAAAAAUUUGUGGGCCGUCCCCAUUGUGCCUGCUCGCGUCUCUACCACUAGCUACAGCUCUGCCUCAACCACCACCUCCUCGAGCUCCAACUCCACCACAGAGAUAAUCAAAUCAAGAGCAUAAAUAAUUGACACUUCACAAAUUGAAGCAUGAAACAUGCUCAUCUUACAUGACUAUCACACAAGUAACAGAGCACACAACCAAUCAAUUCGCAUAUGAUCUGAUUCACAAGUCACAACACAUGAGUUCGAUUUGAUUCACAACACGUGGUGGAUUCAUCAGCAAAAAUCACAAACAAAUCAUUAAUAGAGGUGAAUCAAAUCUAGCUGCUCGCUUGGGAGCAUGAGGCACGCUAGGCCGAAGCCACUUGCACUUGCACUAGGGCCGCCCGCGCCAUGACGGGCCCUUGUCCACCGGUACCGCGCCGGGCCGUCGCCCGCCGGCACCGCAUUGGGCAGCUCCGCCCACGCCGGGCCAUCUCACAGGUAGGGAGCUAGGAGGAGGAGGCCGGGGAGGUGGGGAGGGAGGGAGGGAGCAAACGGAGAGGAGGAGGUGGGGAGGAAGGGAGGGAGCAAAGAGGGAGGAGCGCUAACUAAGAGGCUGGGGAGGGAGGGAGGGAGCAAACGGAGAGGAGGAGGUGGGGAGGAAGGGAGGGAGCAAAGAGGGAGGAGCGCUAACUAGGAGGCUGGGGAGGGAGAGGGAGCAGAGGGUGGAGCGAGUUGAGGGAGAGGAGAGGAGCAUAUAAGGGAGAGAGAGAAGUCGGAGAGAUAAAUGCUGGCGUCAUGAAUUAGUCCUGGUUGGUGGCUCCAACCGGGACUAAUUCAUUUUAUUCCAGCUGGUAGCUCCAACCGAAAUUAAAAGCUCCACUUUUGUCUCAGAUGGAACCACCAACCGGAACUAAAAGGGCUCUGAGUUAUUACCAAUUUUAGACCCGGGACUAAUACCUCUUUAGUCCCGGGUCCGAUUCGUUUUGAGAUUUUUGUCAAGGAUCAAAAGUGGUUUCUCUAGCUCUGUAGCAAAUCUACUUGCCCUUCGCCCCUGGUAAUAAUGCUGCUAGAACAACUCAUGAAAGAAUAUUUUUUAGGUAAUUCCUACUCGUCGUAGCUGUGGCUCUUUCAGCAUCACAUAUACCAUGGAGGCUGAAAGUCAGCGUUUCACAGAACAUUUAUGAAGGUGGGUUAAUGUUUCCCUUGGAGGUCUAACCUGCCAUCCUGCUUCAAUUGUAUUGAGGUCGUUGCCGCUAUAGGAACCCCCAGAGAUCCAGAGCUGGGCCAAGCUGAAAUCUUUGGCCCUCCCAAUAGUUGGUUCCCACAGAUUGAUGCUGGUUUUGGUUCCAUAGUACCUAGCCUUCGGUGUAUACGCUAUGGCGUGCUGCUCAAUGAGAGAGCAAACGAAGUUAAAUGAUAAAUUUUAAAAUAAUAAUUGUACAAUGGUGAUUCUUGAAUAGGUGUUGUACCUGGUGGCCAAUCGUCACAUUGUGCUUGUUAGGGUCAUCAAUAACGGAAAAGAAGUUCGGUAUGCUCCUUGGCCUCUUCUUCCCAUACCUCUUGAUAGAGCUAGCCCUCAGGACAUCCUCCUCCUUGGUCCUUCGGAUUGGUAUUGUGUUUGGAGGGCAGCAUUUGCCAUUCUGAUGCCAUGUUUGGGUGAUUGAAUGUGGUGCGAUGUUGGAAUCAUCGCUCAGGCCUUCUGGGUGGUAAGAAGGCCGCAUCUGGAAGGUGACGAUGCACGCAAUGUGUUUAUGUGGUGUUGGGGGGAACUGCAGCUAGUCGAUCUGCACCCAACAAUGAAAUGAAAAGGGCAAUGGUGCAGCUGAGAGGAACCUGGAUAGUAUGGUUCUUGAGGAGUGGAUGAUCGAAUGCAGGCUGUUUGGAGAUGGGCACACAGUCUAUGAUAUCUCCAUCUGCACUCUGUUGUUUUCAUAGAAUCAGUACUCGCAAUAAAAGUAGAAAAGAAGAGAGGAUUAUGCAUACAUUAGGACUGGAAUGAAUCCGAAGGUCAUAUGAAAAUUUUCAGUUGCAAAAAGUAAGUAAAUAUAUGUGGAUCAUUUUUGUAAUAUAGUGUACUGCACGCAAAUCAUGAAGCUGCUGAAUGACAACACAAGAGAAUGAAGAGUACCUCAAUGCUUGCGAGAGGAUCCUUGUUGAGCCUCUUGAGGAGGCUUCGCACCUGCCGCCGCCGCUGCUCCGACGUCCCGGCAGCGCCCCCCGCUGCCGCCACAACUGCGAGAGCCACGACGAGCGCGAUCAAGCACGCUCGCGUCACUGCCAUUGUAAGAUCCUGUUGUUAUCUCGGUUUCUCUUCAGCAUGAGCUUUUAAAAGGUAAGAGAUGUACGUCUCGGCCGGCCUGGCUCUGGCGUACGUCAGAGUAUUUGUUUUAGGGAUAUGGACUGAAACAAAGUUAUCUUAGCUACUACCUUCUAUAAUCAAGAUGUAUAUUAUAUAUGUGGCGUCAGAGUAUUGUUUUUUCAUACGCUUUGACAUAAGAAGAAGAUGCUUCGAAAGUUGCUAGCAUGUUCGCGGAACCACGGAUGGAUUGGUAAGAGCUGCUCUCCUUCUGACAUGAAUUGACAUUUGCCAGCACCUGAUGCCGAGGUUUCAUGCCGUCGAGGUGCUUUUGUAUAUUGUCACCAAGGUAUUGAGGUGCUGUGUUUUAAAAAGCUUUCUACUCCAUGGAUUUUUAAAGUAUAUACGUGAGCUCAGAAAACAAAAUCAGCAAACUGAUUCCAAGAGUUGACAAACUCCAUGGACAGACGUUGAUUAUGUCACUUAACUAUCUAGCCACCAAUCGGUUAGUUGCUAUAGUUGACCUUGAAUUUGUAAAGAUGCAAAUGCAGAGACAUUAUCCAUUUAUAUAGACGAUUGUACAUCCAAGUAGAUAUAUAAUGUGGGUGCAGACAUUACCCAACUAGUAAAUGUCUUAGUCGUCCGUCGAUCUAUGGUUAAUUGCGUUGCAACAGUAUCCCGCGUAUAGGCACUAUUCAGUCAAUGUCACAGAAAUUUCAAAGCUCUAAUUCGCUCCUUUCGGCAGAUAAUCGACCACAUCCUUCCCUUUGAUUGCGUGAUUAUCGGGUGUAGACUUACUCCAAAUCUUUUGUUAAGUGAUUAUUUGCUGCUAACGAUUAUUCAACUUCGAGGGUAAAUACUUAAAUUAAUCGUAGCGUAUAUUUAACUUCAAGCAAUGUGAUGCCAACAAAUAAUUAAGCCAAUCUGUUAGGUGCUGAUUACGAGGACAUACUUGGUCCAAGUCUUUUUAGUGAAAGAUCACAACUUUUGAAUGUUCAACUGACAUUUUUUAACAUGUUAACUUUUGAAUCGACAGUCUCUCAAAUGAUUUGGAAGUUUGACUUGAGACGGUUGUUGGGAUGCAAUCUCAAAGAGACUCGUGCUCAAAAGAUGGAAUGGGAAAAACACUUGCCAUCUCUGGAAAAUCAUCCCUCCCUUUACAACGGGGUAGGACUCCCCUUUUAUAGUGACUCGGAGGUCAUUUUACAUACCGUGAAUACCCUUUCUCACCUACUACAUUACUGGAAUAUGUUGUACAUAAAGGUCUUUGGGGUAACGUGUACAAAUUAAACUCUCCUGCAGAGUCACGUAUCUCACGUCUCCUUGUAGUCACGCCUCCUUGUAGUCAUGCUUAUCACGUUUUUAUGUAGUCAUGCUUCUCACGCCUUCGAGACUUUAACCACGAGGCUUCUUGUUUUCGUCUAAGUCUUCAGCUUCAGAACCUUAUUAGCUUCGCAUUGAGGAGACUCCUUAGCCUCAUGUCUUCAACCUUAACGCGCACAGCUCAGUCUAGACCUUGAGUAGAAAACAUAACAAAAAACACAGUGCUUGAGAUUAGCUUCGAGCGUUCAAGGGCAAGUUAAUUCAUAUCUUAGCCAUCAGCAAAUAAUCUUUAGCCUCGAAGUCGAAAUGACAAAGAAGAUGCAAGGUUAACGUAGUUUACACGCUUAUUUAGAACCUGCAAGGUUAAGUAAGUUUUGUCCACUGAUCUUGAUCUUGUGAGGUUAGCUAGUUUUUGCUAAUGAACACCGCUCAAGGUUGAUCAAUUUUUGGAUGAUCCCCAACAAUAGCCCCUCGUGGGUGAGGGUCGACUCUGACGGGCUGAACCCGCGACAAAGGAUCACUCUACCAAAAAACAUCACCCUCGAGCAUCGGAGAAGAGAUGAGCCAAUAGUUAACUUUUGUGACCUACGUGCCAACUUCCAAUUGAUUGAUGGUUCGUUUUCAGCUUGAGGUUCAAGGCUCCCUUUCAUGCGGGUCGCUUUCAGAUUGCCUUCGCGUUUUGCUGCUAUACAAUGCACCGUCAACUGAGCUUUUUAAGAUUCGUGCUUGCUUUGUUGUUUUCCUCGAGCUUCAAGGCCUCGAAGGUACUGUUGCUGUUCAUGUUUUUUAUUCUUGCUUAACUUCAUUUUGUUAUUGUUGGCGCUAGAAAUCGGUCAACCGAAUCCCCAGCAUCUGACACACGACUCGGGAGAAUCUGCUUAACUCCUGUUCGGGUGAUUGCCCUGGUGCAGUUCGCGCGGCGUGCCAGCCAAUCUGACCUGUUGAUUGGCAAAGAAGAAUACGUGUCAGGUCCAGAAAUCACGAUCGGCUAAGUUUCCGAUCUCGAGAGAGCUUAUCAGCGAAUCGGCCGAUUUGCCGUAAUAAAGAAAUCGGCUAUAAGGCAGCCGAUCACUGUAGCCUUGUAGACAGAAAACUACUGGAGUAAUCGACACAAUGCUAUAAUAACAACACUAGGAAUAGAUCCAAUCGGCAAUAUGUAAAAUAAGCGAAUUCAAUAGCAAAACAUAAAGAAAGCCGAAACCACCAAUUCCUAGCUGGAUAACUGGUGAUAAAACUAGAAAGACAGGUAAAACCUAUGAUUCUAGUAAAUAUCGAUAACUAGUGAAUAAAUCUAAACGAAACAACAGCGAUACGCCCGGAGUUAAAGCUUAGAAUUUACUCGGUAAACGGAACUUACAAGAUCGGCCGGAGAUCAAGUUGAUGCAGCCCUGCCAACUCGUACGAACUCGUGAAAAAGGAGAAACUAUUUGGUGAAAUCGCCUGCUCGAAAGUAAGUGCGAGGAGAAAGUAGUUGGUUGUAUUGAUUUGUUGAUGAUUACAGAUUUACAAAGGUAGCUAUUUAUAGCCCCGUACAGAUGACUCCUUAACUGACUAGAAUUCUAUCCCUAAUUCAAAUAGAAAACGAAUAUUUACAAGCACGAUUCAUGCUAGGUUGGUUAUUAUACGCUUCAUGGGCUGAUUUCCCCCUUAUCCUUUUAUUCUUUUCCAAGCCCUUACCGGCCCAAUUAUCCCAACCUCCUAAUCGGCUGAUUCCUUAUCGGCAAAAGGCAACCGAUUGGGAACCCGGUGCGUUCGAUCCGAACCCCAAGGGUUAAGCGAGGCAGAAGUCAUCGGCCGAUCUCGUACUGUAGCACCAUUCGGCCGAUUCCCAACUGUACUUUUCCAAUUUCCUCUCUUCCUGGCGCCGAUUCUACUAGUGACGAAAUCUGGCGUCAACACAUGGCCCCCAGUUUCAGAGUAAAACAUAGUCUUUUACUUCGAAAUUCUUUUCAACUUCUCCUCCGAAACAGCCGCAAUGAAAAUAUCCUUCCGUUUCGCGGUCUUCCAGCUGAUGAUUGCAAUCUUUUCGAAACGGGCGCCCACGACAACCACUACUCCCGAAAAACUCAAAACGCCGGCGCGGUAAAAAUUCCAUUUUUACCCCUCUUCAGGCACCCUUUAAAUAGCGGUUCACCCCGCACUUCACCUUCAAGCUCACAUCUUUCUUCCUCAGCGCGCGCGCCUUCUUCUUCCUUCAGCACUUUUCCCUUGUCGCCGAAGCUUCCCAGCGCCAUCCUCCUGUUGCUUCUUCUCUUCCCCUCCAAUGGCGGCUCCUUCAGGCAGUUCUCCAGCGCGCGAUGCUCCAGAAAUAGCACCCCCGGCGGUAGUGGCGACAGCAGUUGCUCCAUCGUCAGAAGAAGGAGCUUCAUCGGAGAUCCCAAUGGCGAUCCCCAUCGCGGCCUCAUCCUCCGCAGCUGCACCGGCGGUCACGCUGACUACUAGGAACUUCAUCCCAGAGGUUAUUACCGAAUCCUUCCUCUAUCGGCAAUGCAUUUACUCUUAGAUCUGUUUCUUACUUUUGCACCCUCUCUUUCCUUUUUAGGCAAUUAGACACCGCAUCACCAUCCAUCUUACUGGAAAUCCUGGCCUUAUUUUCCUCGGACUCAUGGGGAACCCAGAUCCAAUAGAGCUCAUCAAUCUAGAAACCCACAGAAUCCGCUUCAAACAAUCCACCAUGGACCUGGAUCACUGGUUGGGCACUUUUAGAUCUUGGCCGAAUGAAACCCCAGGUUGGAGGGAAUGGUACCAACGGAUAGCCGAGCCGAAGAGGGUCUUAUGGGACGAGCUCAAAAUCGGCCAGUGUAUCAACCUGUCUUUGUCCCAGAUGGAGAAAAAUGAACCGUUGGUAAUAGCGGCCUCUUACUUUUGGUCUGAUGCCCUCAAUGCUUUCUUGUUUGGGCAUGGACCUAUGACUCCCACAUUGGCCGAUGUGGUUCUACUGACCGGCCUUGAUAUUUCCUCCCCGGACACACCUUUCCGCCUCUUAGCCGCAACAUCACAUCGGCUGGACACAAGAGGAAUCGGCGGGUGGAAAGGAUUUAUCAGAUGCAACAAAAGAGCCGGGUCUGUUGAGAAUAGGGAGCACACGGCCUUUUUAAUGAUGUGGUUAGAAAAACAUUUCUUCUGCGGAAGAGCAGCCGGCCCAUCAACCAACACCCAGGCUUUAGCCGAAGCACUAUCGGGAGGGACCCCUGUUCCCCUUGGGAAACACUUACUAGGGGUGGCGUACCACAUGCUCCACCAAAUCGGCAUCAAACUAUCCAAGGGGGAGCCGAUCGGAAAUCCAGGCGGACCCUGGUGGUUCAUCAAUUUAUGGCUGAACCUUUAUAUGAGCAAGAUCACUCAGCAGAGGGUGGACCAUAUGAUGUUCCCCAACAUUGAAUCGGCAGAAGAUCCUACCGAUCAUUGCCGAUGCACCUCCUAUGGCGAAGCGGCAUCGGCCUUUCCAGGUUGCACAUACUCUGCUACAAAAGUGGCCGAGUACUUCCGAUGCUUUUACAAUGGCUUUAAUGAAGAUGCAACCGUCUGGUUUCCUUAUCAGUGGGAUGACCCAAUCUUUAAACUCCCAACCUGCUUCGACUCAACCACUGGCCGAUUCAACGAAGAACUCACCGAUGAGUUAAUCAAGCCAGGAAUCCUGCCAGCCAACUUCUUCUCGGGGAAGGAUGCCCCCACGUACGAGUUCUACAAUCCCUCUAUUGCAGCACACCAACUCGGCAUGGGUCAGCUGCCGAUUCAAGUAUAUUUCGCUGGCCGAGUCAAGUUCAGAGAUGGGCUCACAACAGGUCUAGACUACAGUCGGGUACGAGACCGCAUCCCGGACUCCAACACUAUUGAUCUGAACAACUGGAUAGUAGCCCCCUUCGCUGUCCAGCCAUUCAAACUUUGGUGGGCCGAAUGGAAACAAUUCCUCUUCUGCAAUUCGGCAUCGGCAUACUGCAAACUCCUGGAUCCAGCCAACAUCGACCCGAAUGCCGAGGUAUUUUCCUUAGCCGAUUUUUCUCCUUUUUUCAACGCGAAUGAACACUAAUAUUUUACUAUUUCUUCAGGCUGAGAAUCGUACUCCUCCAACACACAGCCGGAGUGGUCGGCUAAUAGAGGGUCAUCAUCCAUACACCUCCUACCCUCUCAUCGGCUAUGACGCUCCGUCCGUGGACGUGAUUGCUGGUCGAUCAAAACAAACUCAGAAGAGAGUCACCAAGAAGACCAGCCGCCGAGUCCGAGCCUGUAUAGAAUCGGCGGAUCCUCCCAUGCUCGUAUCGGCAGAGACUCCGGCCGCGCCACCCCCUUAGGCCACCAGAGACAUUGACACUCAAGUCAUCGCACAAGCCGGGGCAGCCGCCGCGUCAUUGUUGUUAGAGGCCAUUCAGGUAAACUUAUGUUUUAAUCCUCCCGAUUGUCGUUUUGAUAUUAACCCUUCUUAUCUUAGACUGCACAGAAUACUCCUAUGGACACACAACAAUCGGCAGCAACCCAAUCGGCCGUCGACGCGCCCCCGCUUCCAUCUGUCGAGGUACAACACUAUUUCACCGAUUCCCCUAGUAUUCGCAUAAUAUACUUACUCAACCUUCUAACACAGGUCAUCGGUACGCCAAGCGCUCCUCAACCACUGGUCCUCUCUCGGGGAGCUGGUCCAAGCACCGCGCCGAUCAUCGUGGAGUCUUCCUCUUCUGAUGAACCUAUGGUACAGGCCCCUGAGCAGGGAACAACGGCUUCCCGAACGCAACUUGAAGAGAUUCGCUUCAAAGUGGUAAGACAUCUUUCAAGCUUUAUUUGGCCGAUUCGCUAUCACCAUCAGCCGAUUUAUUUUUUCUUCCUUAUUAUUUCCAGGAACAGGACACUCCUGACAAUAGCUUCUUCUCUUUCGCGGUCGCCCUUUCUAACGACGAAGAAGUCGCUUCCCACCAAGUCGCCUUGAGUUCCAUCCCUGACGACGUCCGAGCCAAGCUUACUAGUAUCCGAUCCCUUCUUCAAGGGGACAUCGGCCGACUAGUAGAAGAUGCUUCACCAAUUCGGCAGCUUUUCGGUGACGUCAGCGGACGAGUGCCAGAAGAAGCGGAGGAAGCCUUGGCGCCGGCUGCAUUCAUCGAGUCCAUGAGGAUCCCAGUCUUCAGAGCCCUUCGUCACAUGGCUGAUCGCGCCAAGCUGGCCAAGACUCGUGAAGAGGAGGACGCAUUCAAACGUCAAGCUCAAGAGGUGCACCAGCGUAUCCAUUUUCUGGAGGACUCCCGCCCAGGGAUCGUCGGUGAGAUAGACCACCUCAAUCGUCGAAGGGAAGAACUUGCCAAGGAAAUGGAGCAGGUGACCAAGGCAAUCAGCACCGAAGAGAAAAGGCUCCAAGAACUCCCUUCCGUCAUUGCCGAUUUGAAAUAGGAGAGGCAGCACUUGGCCCAUGAAGCCCUGAAGCUCCACCGUAGUGCAUCAGAGGUCCCCGGAUCGGCGGAUGAAGACCAACGGGUCCUGGACUCUGCCGAUCAGAUCCGGCGUUGGGCGAUUGCGGCUAUCGAUACCCUUCUGGGUAAUCUGUAAAGCACUGACUAUUUUGUACGAACAUUUAAUAACUACUUUGACCGUCCUUCGCGAUGCCCUUUUUAUUUAUUGCUCUUCUUACUUCCGAUGGGGACGCACCCUUACCAAAUUUCCACGCCUCUUUCUCUUAUAAAUACCGGCCUAGACUUCCCCUUCCGAAAGCAUCCGUUUGGCUUCGGUCUUAUUUUCUCAAUCUGUUCUUAUCGGCGCGACCUUCUGUCAUGUCUUCGUCGUCUUCUUCUUCCUCUGUUAACCAGGUGAAAACUUUAUCCUUCUCCUUCGUUCAACUUUUCUAAAGGAGAUCACUUUUUUACUCAUUCUUUCUCCAGCGUCGACGCCUUAGCCCCGAACUUGAGCGUGCCAUCGAGGUUAUACACUCUGAUGAACCCUUGUCAUCAGAGGAUAAGGAUUUAAUCAGGGCUCAUCAUGACGAACUUCGAGAACACAUCUCCACCGACGCCCGUCGGGUACUGGACUUUCUAGAAAGCAACACCCGUCGGCGACCUCAAGCCGACAGAAGUUAUCCGCUUCCUCCGCGAGUCGCUCUUGAAGACACAGCGGCAGGAACAUCCCGCCCAGCGGUGGACCGGAGCCACCCUCUCCCCCGUCAAGUCAAAGCGGAGGCUUCAAUGAAGGAAAUAGAAGAAGAGUACAUCCGUCUCAUGAUAGAGUUAGGCCAGACCGAAAGAGAGCGCAAGAAAAAGAAUAAUUAGUUAUUAUUUUUUGUUCUAAGGGCGACUUGUAUCUUGUCGGCCGUGUAAUCCACCGUCCGUACCGAAUGAAUACAUCGGCCGAUUUGGACGAUUACAUGUUUGAACCGUUUUACAUCGGUUGUGUGCGAUUGUAUUAUGGUCAAUCCCUUAUGCUCCGACCCAUAUACUAGGGUAGUAUCUUUUUAAGUAUCUUCCGUUCAGAGCCCUAGUAAAUUCUUCUCCCUCGAUUGUUUCCAAAAUAUAAGCAUUUACUGGAGAACAUCUGCCGAUUUUAUACGGCCCUUCCCAUGUAGGAGACCAUUUUCCGAAUUUAGGAUCUUUCGACCCAAUCGGCAAUACUAACUUCCAAACCAGGUCCCCAUGAUAGCCGAUGUUACGGCUCUUAACGGAAUUGCUUCCACCCAUUUGGUAAAGUAGUCGGUAGCCACCAGAAUAAAUUUGUGUCCCUUGCUUGACGGUGGAUAAAUUUGGCCGAUAAGGUCUAUUCCCCAUCCUUUGAACGGCCAUGGUUUGAUAAUGGGAUUCAUGGCCGAUGCGGGUGCACGUUGGACAUUCCCAAAUUUCUGACAAUCCUGGCAUCCCUUAUAAUAUUUGAAACAAUCUUCUAGGAUCGUUGGCCAGUAACACCCAUUAUUCCUGAUCAUCCAUUUCAUCUUAUGGGCCGAUUGGUGUGCUCCACAUACCCCUUCAUGGAUUUCUCCCAUCAGAGUCUUGGCCUCCUCCGUUCCCAGGCAUUUGAGUAGGACACUGUCGAUCGUUCGGUAGAACAGGUCGUCUUCGAGCAGUACGUACUUAGUAGCAUGAAAACGUACUCGUCGUUCCACCUUUUUAGAUGGAUCUUUCAAGUAGUCGGCAAUUUCUUUCCGCCAGUCAUCGGCCGCGAGUUCCAGAGCCAUGGCGCCUAGAAUUGGCCGAUACCCUGAUGCGUGCUGGGCGAGCUUGUUGGCAUCCUCGUUGUGGUCCCUUGGGAUGUGCUCGAUUACUGCCGAUUUAAAUUCUUUUAAGAGCUGUAGGCAAUUUUCAUAAUAAAUCCUUAAUACAUCGUCCUUGCAUUCGGACCUUCCGGUUAAUUGAUCCACAAUAAGCAUGGAAUCCCCGAAGACUUCUACAGAAUCGGCCUUGACUUCUCUUAAUAGUUGUAAGCCCUUCAAUACAGCUCGGUACUCCGCUUGAUUGUUAGUGGCGGUAGCUUCUAUCGGCAGAGAAAAAUCGUAGCUUGCCCCCCGAGGCGAUAUGAGACCGAUGCCGAUUCCUGAUCCGACCCCACAUGAUGACCCAUCAAAAUAUAAAGUCCAAGGCGCCGGCUCUACAAGGGUAACCUCUGGUCCGCAGUGUUGGGCGACAAAAUCGACCAUUACUUGACCUUUGACGGCUUUUGCCGAUUCAUACCGCAGGUCAAACUCUGACAAAGCUAAGAUCCAUUUGCCGAUUCGUCCUUUCAAUAUCGGCAGUGAUAGCUUGUAUUUUACUACGUCAUCUUUGCAUACGACCACGCAUUCUGCCGACAGUAAAUAGUGCCUGAGUUUGGUGCAUGAGAAAUAAAGAUAUAGGCACAAUCGCUCCACCGGAGGAUAUCUUGUUUCAGCGUCCAGGAGUCUUCUACUGACAUAAUAAAUCACUCGUUCCUUUCCUUCGAAUUCCUGGACUAAAGCCGACCCAAUAGCUUUUUCAUCGACUGAUAAGUAUAAUUUAAACGGCUUACCAGUUUGAGGAGGAACCAAUACCGGUGGUGAGACCAAGUAUUGCUUCAUAUCUUCCAAUGCUUUGCGUUGCUCCUCCCUCCAUAUGAAUUCCUGAUCAGGCUUCAACUUCAACAGUGGUGUGAAUGCCUCAAUCCGCCCAGAUAGAUUAGAUAUGAAUCUUCUGAUGAAAUUCACCUUGCCGAUUAAAGACUGCAAUUCAGUUUUAUUCUGUGGGGCCACGACUUUGUUGAUGGCCGCUAUGGUCUUCCAAUUUAUUUCUAUUCCCCGUUCGUGCACCAUGAAUCCUAAGAACUGUCCGGCAGAUACGCCGAAAGCACAUUUAUUGGGGUUCAUCUUCAGCCCGUGUUUCUUGGUGCACUCUAGCACUCUUCGCAAAUCAGCCAGAUGCUCUUCAUGUCCUUUGGACUUGACUACGACGUCGUCGAUGUAGAUUUCUACCAGAAUGCCGAUAAGUUUGUGAAAUAUGUAGUUCAUGGCUCUCUGAUACGUGGCGCCGGCAUUCUUCAAGCCAAAAGUCAUCACCACCCACUCGAAUAGACCAAGGUGGCCCGGGCAUCUGAAGGCCGUUUUGGGUAUGUCCUCUUUGGCCAUAAGUAUCUGAUUGUAUCCAGCGUUUCCGUCCAUGAAGCUGAUAAUCCUGUGCCCCACGGUAGCUUCGAUCAGCACAUUGGCCGUUGGCAUGGGGUAACCAUCCAUCGGUGUGGCCUGAUUAAGAUUCCUGAAAUCAACACAAACGCGUAGCUUUCCGUUCUUCUUGUACAUUGGUACAAUGUUGGAGAUCCACUCGGCAUAACGGCAUUGCCGAAUAAAUUUUGCUUCAAUUAGCUGAGUUAUUUCAGCUUUUAUGUCUGGUAGAAUCUUAGGAUUGCAGCGCCGUGCAGGCUGUUGGUACGGCCGAUACCCUGGUUUUAUGGGUAGCCGAUGUUCAACAAUAGAUCGAUCUAAACCGGGCAUCUCAUGAUACUCCCAAGCAAAACAAUCCUUAAAUUCUCUUAACAAGUUCGUCAACUUACAUUUGUAUUCUGGGUCUAAAUUUGCACUAAUAUAAGUCGGCCUAGGUUUGGUACCAUCGCCUAAGUCUAUCAUCUCUAGUGAAUUGGCCGACGUGAACCCGUGUCCUAGCUUCCCAUCUUCUCAGGCGAACUGAUCCAUUUAUUCUGAGUCUUCGGAGCCGACUGCUCGGAUCGGCUGUAGGCCAAAAUCGGUCACCUUCAGGAAGUCGGUCUCCCAUACUCUGCCGGAUAUGCACCUGACGGUUUCGCAGCUCCACUGCUGCGUGUCGGCUGCCGCGAUGUUGUUUGCGGAAUCGGCGUUGACUACCUCGAUGUUGUCGCCGACCCAUUGUACAAGACAUUGAUGCAUUGUUGAUGGGAUGUAGCAAUUUGCGUGUAUCCAGUCCCGGCCGAGUAGCAUGUUGUAGGAUCCCUUGCCAUUAAUAAUAAAGAAUGUGGUGGGAAGGGUCUUACUGCCGAUGGUGAGGUCGACGCAGAGGGUGCCGCGAGCGGGAGACACGUUGCCUUCGAAGUCUUUGAGCAUCAUGUCUAUCUUGGUCAAGUCAUCAUCACUCUUUCCAAGCUUUCGGAGCACGACAUACGGCAUGAUAUUGACUGCAGCUCCUCCAUCUACCAUUAAUCUGGUGAGAGGGCGGCCGUUGACAUGCCCUUUGAGGAACAAUGCUUUCAGGUGUUGUCGUUUGUCGUCCUCGGGCUUCUCGAACGUGGCUAUCAUUGGCUCCAGGGCCAACUGUGCCAUCUGUUCUUCUAUUACCGACAUAUCCUGUCGAUCGGCAGGAGUCAUGAAUUCCAUCGGCAGUAUGAAAACCAUGCCGACAUCGGCUGCCGAUUCAUCACCCGCCGAUUCAUCGUCCCCUUUAUCGUUUCUUUUGGGGCGCCAUACCCGAGGCCUUCCUUCCUUCUUGUCCGUCGUGCUCUGUUGUUCCUCUUCCUGCUGUUCCCAUUGGCGAAGACGUUGGAUUCUUCGUUUUUGAGAUUUGGUCAAUCCAUCGGGACACCACCUGGGGUUUAUUGGUUUGGCUCCUGACCUGGCGCGUUCCCACUCCGGUUCGCGUCCCAAAGGGUUCUCGUCUGUCACCCGAGCGUCGGCCAUCUCUUCAAGCCGACUGUGGAUGUUGGCCCUAUUUUCUGGCUGGUCGCGUCGAUCAAACUUGCCCCCCGGCCUGUCACGGCGUCUGUCUUCUGACUGGUCAUAUCGGUCACUUCUGCCCCCCAGCCGAUCACGCACGGGAGGACGCUGAUCAUCUUGGUCGCGCCGGUUCCUGCUGAUCAGUUCUGGUCUUCCGUCUCUGGAGCGAGACCUGUUAAACGGCCGAUUACCACGAUACGGGCCGUUGCAUUCUGGGCAAUUAUCGGCCGAAGGUAGCCUGAGGUUGCUUUCCCAACAGUGGAUGAAGAAAGGGCACCUCCAAUGAUCUUCGUGCCGUCGCAUCGCUUCUUCCCGGGACCUUGAGCGUUCAUGUUGAUGCUGAUAUUUCUGGAGCAAGAACUGGGAAGUAAUGCGUGGCUCUUCCGAUUCGCCGUCUUCAUACUCCAUCCGCCGCUUUCCUUUGACGUCCUCAGGCGUCGCUUGAUUUUUGGGGUCUACGGCACCACUCUUUUUAGCCGAUUCGGACGUCAGCACCUUUGUUUGGAGUGAGUUCCUCCCCAUAUCAACCAUGUUGGUGGGAAAGGGGUGCUGGUCGAUCUUCAUCGGCUUGGCAGAUUUUGUCGGCACUUCAAAUUUAAGUCUGCCCUGCUCAAUGGCCGACUGUAUCUGCUGCCUGAAGAUUUUGCACUCAUUAGUAUCAUGGGAUGUGGCGUUGUGCCACUUGCAAUAUUUCAUCUUUUUUAGUUGUUCGGCAGAAGGUAUUGUAUGAUAUGGCGAGAGCUUGAUCUGCCCUUCCUGUAGGAGAUGGUCGAAGAUUUUAUCGGCCUUCGUUGUGUCGAAACCGAACGCUUCUGGCUCCUUUUUGCCGAAUGGGCAUGAUAUCGGCUUCUUUCCCUUGACCCACUCUGCCAGUCCGACCUCAGCAUCUUCUUCGGCCUCAACCUCUUCUAGGAAUGCCACCUUCUUCUGGAAGUUCCUCCGUGGAUCGAAAGAACGUACCUCCUGUCCAGACAAUCGGUGGACGAUUUGGCUUAAGCUCUCGAACACCUGUGAUGCGUAUUUUUCUUUGAUGUGGGGCAGGAGACCUUGAAAGGCUAUAUCAGCCAGCUGUGCAUCGUUUAGAGCCAAAGAGUAACACUUGUUCCUGAUUUCCCGAAACCUCUGUACAUAUGAGGAUAUCGGCUCGUCGCUUCUCUGCCUGAGGCUGGUCAAAUCGGACAGCUUCAUCUCAUGCACUCCGGCGUAGAAGUAUUUGUGAAACUGUUUUUCCAAAUCAGCCCACGUGAUAAUAGAGUUCGGCGGCAAUGUCGUGAACCACUGGAAGGCCGAUCCGGACAGAGAUGACGAGAACAACCGCACCCGUAGAGCGUCUUGCGUAGCUGCCUCUCCGCAUUGGAUGAUGAAUCUAUUCACGUGCUCUACGGUUGAAGUAUCAUCCAUCCCUGAGAAUUUGGUGAAGUCAGGAACUUUAUACCGAUGGGGAAACGGCAGUAGGUCAUAUGUAGACGGGUAUGGUGUCCUAUAGGUGUAAGUUUGUACCUUCGGCUUUAAGCCGAAUUGUUCCUGAAUCACCUCUGCAAUACGUGCCGACCAAUCUGGCUGUUGCUGGUGAACCGUUGGCUGCGGUAUUGGCACGUGCUGGUAUACCGGGGGUGGAAUAGCCUUAUGCUGAGUGAAAGCAGGUGGCAUCUGAGUGAAAGCCGGCUGUGAAUUAAAGGUCGGCUGUUUGAAUGAGCCACUUGUUUCAUCAUACAGUACGAGCUCUGCUGUUUUGUUCAUCUCUGGCGCGACAGGCUGGUAUGGCGGCAUGGGUGGCCGAGUGGCCGCCUGGAAAGAUGCCUGAAAUUGUGAGCUUCCCUGACUGGCCGAUUGAUUCUGACUGGCCAUGGCUGAUGGUGCCCCCCAAGGCGAUGGGCUAACCGGAGGGAACGGCGCAGAGGACAGCUGGAUGGAGUUAUACCCCAUAGGAACUGACGAUGAGGAAGCGCCCGAACCUCCAACGGAAAAUUGGAUCGGCUGAGAAACUGAAUUCAAGUAACCCUGGUUUGGUGGAAUCGGCUGAGUAUAUGUCGGUCCCCUAUAUCCUUGAGGUAUCCCACCAGCGAAGGAGUUAACAACGGCGUUGUACACCGUAUUUGCAAGCACCGGGGAUUGAUCAAUGAAGGCGUGAUAAACGGACUGUUGGACCAUAUCGGCCAUCUUGUCCGAGUCCUCAGAGAUUGUGAUCUGGCGGGGAGCUGGAAACGGAGUCUUCUUGAUAGUCUCCCCGCUUCUGGAGCGACUGAAAGACUGCAGGCAAGCUUUCCGGAACUGUGCCGUAUGCUUAUCCAGUUCUUCCUUCCGAUCGUUCUUUAGAUCUGCUUCCGUCACUUCGAUAACGUUAUCUUCGGAGACUUCAGCAGCUUUCGACAUGGCGGUGGUUGUGUUGGUCCCACUGGGCGUGCCAAAAGUGUGUUGGCGCUAGAAAUCGGUCAACCGAAUCCCCAGCGUCUGACACACGACCCGGGAGAAUCUGCUUAACUCCUGUUCGGGUGAUUGCCCUGGUGCAGUUCGCGCGGCGUGCCAGCCAAUCUGACCUAUUGAUUGGCAAGGAAGAAUACGUGUCAGGUCCAGAAAUCACGAUCGGCUAAGUUUCCGAUCUUGAGAGAGCUUAUCAGCGAAUCGGCCGAUUUGCCGUAAUAAAGAAAUCGGCUAUAAGGCAGCCGAUCACUGUAGCCUUGUAGACAGAAAACUACUGGAGUAAUCGACACAAUGCUAUAAUAACAACACUAGGAAUAGAUCCAAUUGGCAAUAUGUAAAAUAAGCGAAUUCAAUAGCAAAACAUAAAGAAAGCCGAAACCACCGAUUCCUAGCUGGAUAACUGGUGAUAAAACUAGAAAGACAGGUAAAACCUAUGAUUCUAGUAAAUAUCGAUAACUAGUGAAUAAAUUUAAACGAAACAACAGCGAUAUGCCCGGAGUUAAAGCUUAGAAUUUACUCGGUAAACGGAACUUACAAGAUCAGCCGGAGAUCAAGUUGAUGCAGCCCUACCAACCCGUACGAACUCGUGAAAAAGGAGAAAGUAUUUGGCGAAAUCGCCUGCUCAAAAGUAAGUGCGAGGAAAAAGUAGUUGGUUGUAUUGAUUUGUUGAUGAUUAAAGAUUUACAAAGGUAGCUAUUUAUAGCCCCGUACAGAUGACUCCUUAACUAACUAGAAUUCUAUCCCUAAUUCAAAUAGAAAACGAAUAUUUACAAGCACGAUUCGUGCUAGGUUGGUUAUUAUACGCUUCAUGGGCUGAUUUCCCCCUUAUCCUUUUAUUCUUUUCCAAGCCCUUACCGGCCCAAUUAUCCCAACCUCCUAAUCGGCCGAUUCCUUAUCGGCAAAAGGCAACCGAUUGGGAAUCCGGCGCAUUCGAUCCGAACCCCAAGGGUUAAGCGAGGCAGAAGUCAUCGGCCGAUCUCGUACUGUAGCACCAUUCGGCCGAUUCCCAACUGUACUUUUCCAAUUUCCUCUCUUCCUGGUGCCGAUUCUACUAGUGACGAAAUCUGGCGUCAACAGUUAUUCUUUUUAAUUUUCUUCUUUUGUACUUUUCAGCCGGCUCGUAUUAUGCAAACGGCGAGGUUGAUGUUUGCCGAGGAACAAGCGGAACAAACGAGGUUACGUGACGACAUUGCUGAGGGGCACGAGUCAGACGAGGCUACUAAUAUUGAUAGUGGGGAGGAUCUUUCGAAUGUCAAGGCUGACCCAUCAGAAUUAAUUGCUGGCAAGGACGAUUAUCCUCCUACUUUGCACUUUGGGCGAUCACUGGCCUUGUAGAACACGAUCAAUUUCUAUGUGAGCGAGGGAUACUUUUCCAACGGUAUUGCUAGGCCUCCUGGCGGCGAGGUUGUGCCAAAGCUAGUAAUUGGCGAGUCUGUGGUAUCCAGGGACUUUUUCACCAUUGGUCUGCGAUUUUCAUGUGACAAAAUGCUGCUUGUGAUUUUGGAGAGAUAUAAUGCGAAGUUUCACCAGCUUACACCCAACUCUUUUGUGGCACUUUCCAAGUUCUACUGGGUUCAGUGCACUUUUGGAGGCACGAUCGAUGUUGAUGGUUUUGUGAGGCUAUUUGAGCUUCAUGUUUAGAAAAAGAAUGUGGAAUUUGACGAGGAGGAUGGCAUUUUUUAGAUGCAAUUUGGCUGCUGCACAUUCAUGACUCGAAGGAAGAAUGAGAGCAAAAAAGAUUUCCAGAGUUGAGCUUUCUUCAGCAUAGAAGAAUAGGUGGGAUGAUGAUUGGCUCUGAUAUUGGUUUUGUAUUAGGAUGGAUAUAUCUGAGACUUGUGGCUAUAGUCAGCCAUUUUUUACAUUUUUUUACCUCACUGUCGCCUAUGGAUGUCACAACUGCUCCCUCAUUUGCGAGGUCAAAAGCUUUUAAAAAGUGCAAACAUGCUUUUAUGGUAGCUUCAUCAUCAAUCACUAGGCGAGAUUUAGUUGAGAAGUUUCUUGCAGCAUACAUUUGGCCCCUUUCCUAUGGAUGGGAGCCAAAGGACAUUGUUAUGAAGCCUGUAACUUGGUGUUCUAGUCUAGUCCCCUAUCCUAUCUUUGGAUUGACUUUGCCAAAAGGGGUUAACACCGGCAUUUUCAUUGAUGAGGUUGAGAGGCGGGCUGUGGACAUUAUUGGACCCUGCCACGAGAACGAGCACAUGUCUGCUCAUAAGCUUGUUACACACAGUCUCCGAGUGAACCGUGCUUUCAGAGAGGGGUAUUGAGGUUGAGCCUUGCGCCAAGCCUCGCAAGCCCUUCAAGCAGAUGCGCGAGACUAGCGCGACUAGGUCAGUUGAGAUGGGAAUUGUGGCAAAGGGAAAAAGAAGAAAACUGAGGACUUGGCUUUUAAACCCAUGAGCGAGGCUGGCAAGAAGUCCACGACCUCCAGCCUCGAGGCUCUUAAGAAGAAUGGUAUGCUCAGCCAAGGCACUUCUAGUGACGAGAUAAUCGUCCUUGGUGAGAAAUUGAAGUUUGUUAAGGGCUCAGCCCAUAACUCAUGACCUCGAGGCUAAGCCAACAACUACUAGGUCAGAACUCGAGGCUACCGGUGCUCUUGCUGGCAUGAAGGUGAAGAAAGAUGGCGAGAAAACUGGGAAGCUACCAGCACCGUUGCCAGCUAGCAGGUCUAGAAUUGUCAAAGCCAUGGAUGAAGAGGAAUACGCAGGUUUUCUAAACGAGGAUUUGUCCCUGGCCUCAUCUCGGCACCCUGAAGCUAAGUCACCACUGAAAGAAAUGCAACUCAAGGAUGCUAUUGUUUCUCCAUGCCCUGAAGCUAAAUCUCCUCCAAUAGAUGUGCCACCCAAGGCUGCCGCUGAUGAAAAAAUGGAUAAGCCUGAUCUGAUGCCUAUUGAACUAGGUAAAAAUGUUGUUGAAUUUUUGCCUAAGUUAGGCCUUGUUGAUUCUAGCGGCGCUUCUGUUAAGUUUUUGAAGGAGUUACAAAAUACUGUUGGUGUAGCUGGAGAGGCGUAUAGUGAACCCCUACUACUUCUUAGGGUGGAACCUUUUACUAAGAGCUCCACUCUGCCUCUGUCCAUUGCUAGCUACGACAAGGCGUUUGGCACUAACAUCAAAGAAAAAUUGUUAUCUAUCCACGUGCCUAGGUCAGGUGAGGAUGAUGACCCUUACAAUCCACCACUAUUGUGGGGUAUUAAGGAUUCACUCUGUGCUAUAAAUGUCUUUGUGGCUUCAAUCCUGAUGAUCUAGCUAGGAUAAAGGCUACCCUCGGAUACAAGGUACCGUUUUCGUAACUUUUGGCAAUGUUUUAGUUAGUCUAUUAAUUUGUUUUUUUCCUUAUUUUUUUACUUCUUUAUCGUUGCUUUUCUCUUCUAGGCUGUGAUUGCUGGCAAAGUUGCUGUUAAAAGUCUUAUGGAGAAGGAGAGAGACAUGCUCAGUCGCAGCAUCAGGUUGAUGGAGCUCGAGGCUAAAGUUGCGAGGCUAAAGAAAGAAAACAGCACUCUGAACAACCUGAAGACUUCACUUUCCGAGGUCAACACUGAGCUGCAGGAAAAUAAGGAACUGCUUGUUAAGACAUGCAACCUCGUUCAGAGGGUAGAGGGUUUAGAGAAGAACUCGCAAGAUAAUCUUGGUGUUUUGGAGAAACUUCAAAACACUAUAGUGUCGGAUUUAGUAGCCCGACAGUCCACCAGGAGGUUACCCAAGUGGUUGAUUUGUAGGUGAGGGCGAUUGCAAAACCAAGAACUCGAAGGUGAUCACGAGAACAUGAAGGGGUCACGAGGGUUUUACACAGGUUCGUACCUCCAGAGAGUAACACCCUACGUCCUGUAUGUUGGAUUGUAUUGCUCAAGAUUGAUCUAAUUGGCUCGAGAGGCUCCCUCAGCUGCCUUAUAUAGGCUGGCGACCAAGAGUUACAAGUCGGUUUGAACUUAAUCUACACAGUAGUUACAUGGAAGGUAAUCUAAGUUAGAUUACAAUACGCGUCCCAUGAUAUCCGGGUAGAUUUGUACCAUCUAGUUGCCUUGACUUUUACUCCAAGUAACUUCAUUUGCUCAGCCCGCACGUCCUGCUUGGGCGGGCCCACUUGUCAGGUCCAGCCUGUAUCCUAGUUGGUGGGGACCCAUGAGGUACUCAUAUCCCUCAAGCCCCCGAGCAAUGUGUAGAUGAACAAGAACUUGAGGUCAUCAUAGCGAAACUUGAAAUUAGGUCAGCUGAAGCUGCGAUGGCGUCAUGGUGACAGAGAGGCUGUGUAGUGCUCAAAAAAAGAAAAUUCGAGUGAACACAGAGCCAACGUGGAGAGCGAAGACGAGUGCCGAGUUGAUGGGCACCGACGUCCAGCAGGUCAAAGAGACAGGCACUCAGUAGGAGUAGCCCCCGAGCAUUGAAGUGAUUAGAAGAAUCGGUCCAAUGGUCAAGAAAAAAGAAGUUAUCUCUUGAAGUAGAUCUCAGUGCCCGAGCAAAAAGAUAGGCAUAGCCACAGAGGCCUACUAACUAGAAAUGCGUGCCCAAAUCUCUGGAGAUAAGAACUAAAGCAAUGAUAGGUAAGUGAAAAAAGUCCUUGUUCACAGGAGUACUACACCGUCGGAGUAGCUUCACGGGAGUACUAUCCUUCAGUACUUGAAGAGAAGGCCGAUCAUCAUGUGAAUACUGUGGAGCCCCAUUGGUAUGGUGGAGUUAUGUCGUGCACCCUCACGAGUGUACUGUAGCGUCUUGGAUGCUAGCUGGAGGCCCAGCUAUAAAUAGACCACCAUUCAUCUAGGAGAGUCAUGGCUCGAGUAGUAGCUCUUGUAGGAUUGAAGCUUGUAGAUUUCGAUAGGAGUAGCGCCCGCCCAUAAGCCUGAUGCCAGAAGAAUUCUCGUGAGGAACACCAGGGUGCUCCUUCCCUUCGCAGUCUCUGCAAUAGAGUUGGGGGGUAACAACGCUAGAAGAAUCCUCAUGAGGAGGCUGUAUCGUGAACCCUACCAACUUUGUCCAGGACACCGCUAGGGAAGCAUGAAGCGUAGAUUUCUUGUAUUGUGCUUUUUUUAUUUUUCUGCGUUGUAGCUUCUUAUCCUCGGAUGUCAGCUAUCCCAGAGCUAUUCAUAGUCUUUUGUAAUAUGUAAUGCUAGGAAUUUGAUUUUAGCUAAAUGAAGAUAUGCCUUUGCAACUAGUUUUGGUGAUUUAUGGGGCCAUAGAGGUUGGAAAACUAGCUGUGCUGAGGAAGCUAGCCGAGUAGAAGUAAGCGUCCAGCACCUGAGGAUGAGGACGGGAAGUGCCGCUGAGGCACGCUGAGUAGAUUUAGGUGUCCUGGCCCCGAGGAUGAGGACUGGUAGAGCCACAGAGGCAUACCGAGUAGAAUUAGGCAUCCAGCCCUCGAGGAUGAGGACUGCCGGAGCCACGGAGGCGCACCGAGUAGAAUUGGGUGCCCAGCCCCCGAGGAUGAGGACUGGUGGAGCCACGGAGGUGUGUUGAGUAGAAAUUUUGCCCGACACGUUGUGCUACAUUAAUGAAGGCACGUGAUUUCCGUUUAUAACUCACGCCGUCAUCCCCUUCAAAAGCGCGAGGGGCACGGAGCCGUUAUCAUUCUUAUCUUCAAUCUCUGUCAGCAUCUCUGCCUUGAGCCCACUAAGCACUUCGCUGCUUGUCUCACGAACCCUAGGUUGCACCGCCGCAGUCUGCAUCCCACUCAUGCACAUGCCAUUACCGCCGUGUGAGCUGCUGCGCCGCCACCGCCUGAGCCGCUGCGCCGCUAAAUCUCAAGGACUCAAGCUCAAAGAGAUGGCGCAACCCAAUGCCCCAGAGCCUUCUUCGAUGUGGAUAAAGUCUAUGAUGACGUAGGAGUGUAUCCAAGCCCUCAUCGACCAUGGCCUCCUUGUGCCACAAGCACUACUUGAGUGGAAGCCCACCGUCGGUCAGGAGUUCCCGUCUGAGGACACGACGGAGGCGGUGGUGUUCGCGCCGUUCUUUGAGCGCGGAUUUGGGAUCCCCACAAGAGACUUCUUCCGCGACCUCCUCAACUACUACAAGAUUGAACUGGUACACUUAAAUCCGAACUCAAUCCGGGACAUCUCCGUCUUCAUCUAUCUGUGUGAAGCAUUUUUGGGCAUCCCCCCCAUUUUAAUCUGUGGUGCCACUUAUAUCAACUGAAACCAGUGAUUACUAAGGAAAAAAAGACAAGGUUAUUGGGGGUUGUUGUUUCUCGCUACGACCCAAGAGGAUGCAGGAGCAAUUUGAUCUGCAAUUAAGGGAGUCCAAAAAGGGGUGGCAUGCCGAGUGGUUCCUUAUUGCGAAUAAGAAACCCGAGCUGCCGCCACAUAUGGGGUAUAGGCCAGUAUCAGUAUCUGAGUUGCAAAAUCUGCCUACCUCGGAAUAACAGGUUCAAGUGGAUGAACUAUCUACAAAGAUCGCUGAUCUGAAGGCACAAGGGCUGACAGCCGCAGCCAUCAGCAUCAAUUUCUGUCAGAAGGCAACGCAACCAAUCAAAUACCAAGUACAUCCAUCGUACGAGUACUCGGGACUAGAGGAUCCAAUCCGGGAGGUCCAUGGGAAGGUGCCCAACAAAGAGGUUAUCAGCCGGGUGUGUGAGUUCUUGAAGGGUGUCAUUAGUAACAGGGACGUCCCCAAGGCCUUCUCAUUGAAGAGGCCGUCGCCUACCUCGGUAAGACUGUAUUCAGCUUUGUUUUGAUGCAAUGUGUGUCUGCUUGUGAUGUUUCUGACUUGAAGUAUUGAAUUGACCAGGAUGACGCUUUUGUUUACUUUUUCCCAUCACCACUGCUUGGAGGGGCCGAGGUGAGGCCACCCAAGAUCUGUCCAUCUGAUGUGUUGGUUGUGCUGCUUGCCGACCUUGAGUUUGACUCGAAGUCCUCUUUUGGGUCGGUCGUGAGUGCGACGAAGGAGGCUGGCAAGGAGGAAGGCACCGAGCAGGUUGGGCAGUAGACCCAACAGGACGUGCGCAAGCGGCCCCUUCCCAAGGCUCCUUAGCCGAGUGGGAAGAGGAAGAAGAUGGCCGACAAGAAGAAGGAGAAAGCCGCACCGAGUACUGCUAUCUCAACCAUGUCGGUUAGCGAGGCGGAGUCCGACGUACCGAGCUCGGUUACAAAGAAGAAGAAGUCGGAGCUCGAGGAGACCACCUUAGCUGAAGCAGCACACCUGAAGGAGGCAUUGAAGGCGAAGAUGCUCGGCAGGGCUAGAGAAGAUAAAGUGGCACCGCCACCACUGUUGCGCCCCAAGUACCGAAAGUAUAGGAAACACACUAUGUAAGUAUUGCUUUCUCGUGAUGUUUGUAUUGUAAUUGUGAUUGCUGGCUGAAACUUGUGUGAAUUGCUUGCUGUGUCGACGAUGUAGGAGCAGCGUGUAGUCUGAUGAUGGUGGUGUACAACUAACCAGCUGCUUGGCCCAGACCGAGGUGACUUGCAGUCAUAUUGAGGAUCAGCCGUCGACCAUGGAGGGUGGUCGUACUGAAGAAGUUGUGCCGAGUUUGCCGCCACAACAAGAUGAGGUCGGCUCCAAGGCUGCCGACGACACCAUGGUCGACCCCGAGGUCACAAAGAAGGCAGAGGACGAUGUCAUGGUCGGCCCUGAGGUCGAGAAGAAGGCUACUGAGGAGGCCAGAGCUGGCCCUCAGACUAAUGAGUUGCCCAAAGAUGACCUAUUGCCAGGGAUGAUCGCCGAGGAAGUUGACUUUGGUGUGAUUUGUGAAGAAUCUGACCCCGAGACCUUCUCCGAUGAGGCUUUGGCGGGAGACAUGGUGCGGGACAAGGAAGACUUGUUCAACCUAUGAAAACUCUCCUUGUAUGCUGGCAAGCUGAUCCAUGUAAGUGCACUGAGCGACUGUCAUUUGAUUUCAAAUUUGUUUAUAGGACUUUGAUUGUUGUGGUGCAAAAUAGAAUCUGGCCACCCGAGAGUAGAAGAGGGCGAAGGGUACUCAGAAAGCCGAGCACUAUUGCCUAAAGGCAGAGCGCCUGGAGCCAUGCUCAAGAAGGCGAACGGGAGUCCCGAGCUCGAGAAGGAAAUGACUGACGCACUCAUGAAAGGUAAGUUGUGCCGACCUCUUUUAGUCACUUUUUGCUUUGGCAACCUCUAAUGCUGAUGUGAUCCUGUGUCGGUUUACACAAAUUCUGCAAUGAAGAUAGCCAGACUCCAGUGGAACCUCAAGGAGUGUGAGGACUCCAAUGCACACCUCCAACAAGAGCAUGACAUGGCGGUCAAGCGUGAGUAUGCAGUAUCACAGAAGCUGGCUUAUGAAGCUGAAGCGCACAAGGAAACUGAGCGUUGCUUAGAAGCUGCUGUAAGUAACCUUUAGAAUGACCAACGUGUAAUUGCAGGGCUGAAGGUAGAGCUUCAGGAGCUACAGAAGCCAGCCGGCUAUGUGAUGGACAUGGUCCAUCAUGACGCCAACCCAUCCGCGCCAACACCAGUUUUGGACCGUCUGAAGGCUGAACCUAGUCGGCUCAAGACAUUGUUGAAAGAAACUGUUGUGGAGUGCGUCAAGAGCACCUUUGCCUUGAUAGCAUCGCAUUUCCUCAAGCUAGAGUUGGAGCAUGCUGUGACGGGAGUUGCUGCUAACUUUAAUGAGGACUUGAUUCCUGAGCUAGCCGAGCAAUAUCACAAUGCGGCAAAAACCAUUGUAAACGACCUGGACCUAUUUUGUGAAUCGUUGAAUGCAAUGUUUUUAAUUAUAUGUGCUGAAGGAAAACUCCCUCCCUCCCUUGGUGUAUACGACAGGACAACAUGUGGCUGACGCCUAUAGCCGCUAAGCACCUAGUCUCGCCUAACCAACAUCCUGCUAAGACCGGAUCUCAAGCUUGUAGAAGGGGUGAACGCGAGGUUGUCUAGGUUUCGCUAGCUAGGAUGCCGACCACACGAGUUAGUUGUAUAGCCUCAAGAGGGGGAGGAGAGAAAAGGCGAGGCCCAGAGGUCGGCCUGUGACAUUCCUAGAAUUCAAAAGGGCAAAAUAAGAAUUCAAAAUAGUAAAGCAAGAGAAAUUAAGAAGAAAAUUUGGGACAAAUCAAAGUUGCAAAAUGCCAAACCGAAAAACCCAUCAAAUUCCCUAAGUGUUCAAAAACACCCUAAUAAGAACUUAUUUGGGGAAGGAGCUAAAAAUAUCAAUUCAUAUGUAAACUCAACUUUUGGCCAAUAUAAAAGUUGUAGAACUUUUCAAACUAAACAACUUUCAUUAUUUGCACUUUCUCUGAUUUUGAGUGGAAGGCACUAAAAAAUUGGAUCAAAUUUGGUUAAAUUUGGGGCAAAUUCAAAUUUCAGCCUAGCCAGCGUUCCACGAAAGUUUCCAUGAGUUUAACUCCAAAUCCAGCCCGAAUUUCACCUGGUAGCCUUUGUAAAAGUUGUAGCCCAUAGUUCCAACUCAAACUUAUGUAUUUGAACUUUCAAAGUUUAGUUUCAAAAUAUGGAGCAAAUUUGCGCCAAAGCUGCUUCCCUCACACACCACCAGCGACACCCAUGUGCAUGAAUCCGGGGUGAUCGCGCAUGACACGUCGCGUCGUGCCGCGCCGCUGGCCAGCGCCACCAGGCCAACCCUCGCUGGUGACAAGACAAGUCACGCCCGGCGCUUGCCCAACCUGUGCGCGUGAUUAUCCUCCCCUGGCGCGGCAUAUCCCGGCUGGCCAACCCACGGCCGCGCAUGCUGGCGCACCGCACGCGGCCCCGGCCACUCCCCGCGCGACACCUGGCUGACCUCCGCCACUCGGCCAACCACCGCCAAUGAUGUGAUGGGAUGAUCCAGCCUUCGCCUAGUCUUUGGCCACGCUAUCUUCUUCUCACCACACCACAAUCUGCUUCGGCCAACCACAGCACAUGGCCCACGCGCGUGAAUGCCGCACGCCACCGCUGGCCUCUCCCGGUGCGCCUCUACCUAUCGCCUCUGACUGGCCACCACACUCUCACCCAACCGCGCGCUGAGCGCACGUUGCACGUCGCCAGCUCGCUCACGCUCUUCUGCUGCUACAAAAGGGCAAUGCCUAGCUCGCCGGCGCUACCUUUCACCGCCCCUACACCGAAACUCUACCGCCGCCCGCAGCGCUGCCCAUGCAGCUAUUCCCUCCAAGCACCCCUUCCACUGCCCAAGCUCCCCAAAGCCACCUACGACCACCAUUCAACCUUCCUGACCCUGCUCCCGGCCAUCUCCGCCGCCGCCGUCGUCGGAGAUGACGAGCCCCCGCCGCGCCCACCACCUCACCGCCGACUGCCGCCGCUAGCCCUCCUCCGCCCGUGACUUCCACAGGCCGCCGACCCUCAAUGAGCCCCUCAAUGCACUUAUGCUCCUAGCUCACCCUCUCCCCACCAGAGUGCCGCCAGCCAAGCCCCGAGGACCACAUUGCAUAGCCCCAAAUCUUUCCAGGGUCUAAGCCAUGAAAUGUAAGGGCCCGAUUGUGAAUCUUUAAAAGAUCCAAGGGCCUAAGCACGAAACGUAUUUUCCUUUUUUUGUUUAAAUUUGAUUUAAAUAGCUGAAACUCAGGAAAUGUCUUGAAAAAUGUAGAAAAAUGGAAAAAAUAUGAAACUUAUUUUGCUAGGUUCCUAAUGAUGUCUAGAUUGACGUAAAAAUGUUCAUGUGCAUGUUACUGUCAUAUAUCUGACAUUAGAAUUUAUUUUGCAUAAAAACAAAUAAAUGCCUUAUAACUCAUAGGAUGCUCUGAAAAAUGUGAAACCACUUUUGUUACUUUCCUUUUGACAUGCAUGUUCAGGAUCUAUAAUUUGUGCUACUGGAAUAGAUGAUGUUCAUACUGUUUUGAAAUUCAAAAGCUUAAUUGAUGUUUUAAUCUUGUUAUUUGCAUGAUAAAUAGUGGAAACUAGAUAAAAAUGCAAAAUAAAUUUGUUAGGUUCCUAAUGUAAAUGUAUAACUAGUAAAAAUACUUGCUCCAAUAAAAUAUAUGUUUUACAUUGCUUUAGUAAAUACAUGUGGUUUAAUGUCCUUAUUAUGUGAUAAAUAGUUUUCAUGCCCAUUAAACCCUGAAACUUAUACAGUAGCAUAGGUUUGUGUUGGUAACCUUUCUGUAAAAUUUGUGGAACCAGAUGGAUGAUGAAACUCUAGUUAAAAAUCCUUCUUCGUGUUGUACAAUUUAAUACUGUUUGGUUUUUAGUAAAUUUUGUAGAUGUCAAAUGCAUCUUAAUUUUUUUCAAUACAUCACUUGUGUAGAGGGAAAGCUUCUGUAAACAUUUUAUAUUCAUAUAUUAACAGAUGCUUCCAGAAAUAUUUAUUGAUGUUUAAGAGCUAGCUUAAUUUUUAAUAAAAAUUGCUACUAGAAAUGGUAGGAUAGCGAAAUGAUUAAUUAUAUUUUUAUUCAAAAAUAGGAUAACUUUUGAAAUGAUUGCUAAACAACACCAACAUGACACCACCUUUCUUGUAUGAAUUCUAAGUUCUUAAAAUCUUAUAUGUGUACAUAAUCACUAUCAGAAUGGAACCCAAGUUUUAAUCACAACACACCUUGUUUUGCGAAGAAAAGAUUUUUAAAAUCUUGUCUAGGUGAAUGUUGUCAAAAUUCACAUUAAGCUUUUACAAUGUUAACGAAAUGCAACCUACACCUUGAAAACUUGUAAAUGAAAUCUUAUGCAUAUGCAUCUCAUGUAGAAGCUAAUCUUGCUGACGGUACGCACGAGUUGGUUCAAGAAGCUGAAGAGGAACACUCAGCUGCUAUGGUGAACUUGAUCGAGGCCACACAAGACCUGAGCCAAGCUUUGGAAGAGCCACAGGCUAGCGUAGUACAAGAAGGCAAGCCCCAGAGCAUAACCUUGGUUUCUAAAAUUAUGCAAUACUUUUGUUACUUAUGUUUGUGCAUUAAGUUCAUUGGAGUUGCAUGAAACCUUAGUUGCAUGCUCCUAGUACCCAUGUGUUGAAUACUAGCAUGAUAAGUCGAGUAGCUACUAUGCUAAAUAGGGACAUGGUAAAAGUCAAUUGAUUUCCUAUCACUCGUGAGCUAUAGGAGUUGCCUGUUUACUGAUGUUGGAAUCAUAAGGUUGACGUGCAGGGCUUGGUAAUAUAUUUUGGAAUUGGUGGUUACCCCAUCUAUUUAGAGGAAAACUGCUCAGGUCAAAAUGUGUUAGAGUUGUGGUCAAGUGUUUGAAAGUACUAAACACAUACCAAGUAUGGGAUCGGGAAGCCUAGUACCUGAUUGAACCAGCGUGGACCUUUUCCCCACUCUCUCUGAAACCAGGUUCCCCUGAUGCAUCAUGUGGGUACAAGUGCAGCCUCGGUACAGCGUUGUCCGGGACCGGUGGGGCCUUGUAUCCAAGGGAAGUGGGCUCUGGACAAGCACCGCAAAUUGAUGAGAACCACUGAUAUAUGUGAACCCGUCGUGGUACGCAUAUGUCGUGUGUUUAGGUCCACCUUGCAACGUUAAGAAACUCGAUUCGAAUCGUCUGUUUCUCAUAGCUUGGGACUGCUUGAUCGCCGUUUUGCACUAAGUAAGAAGAGGAACAAAGGUUGAUGGUUAAUAUGGAUGCUUGAUUAAUUUGCUUGUUUCACCAUGCUUGCUUAGAAUAGGUGCUUACCUAGAAUGGUUAAUCAACUAGAAUUUGAUGCUAAAACUUGAAAGUUAGGAUCCACUUUAGAAGCUUUUGGUAAAAAUCAACCCCUCAGCCAAAAAGCCUUGCAUGUCUAGGAGUCGGUGGAUUAGAUACCACUUGAUGGGUAAGUCUUGCAGAAUAUUAGCAUACUCAACCUUGCUUGUGGCUAUGUUUUCAUGUAAUGUUUUCUUUGGAUAUGGUUGCCAGUGUGACUCGGCCGUCUCAGCGUCCUCCGAGUUGGACGGUUGAGUGGGACCCAUCCUCGGUCGGUGAGGAUCGUGGUGAGUGAUAUCAUGGCAAGCUUCACCAUGGUAUUAUGUAUUGUCGUUAGAACCAUCAUUUUCUUUUUCCGCUGCUAUGAACUCAGAACUACUGUUUUAUGCAUUUGAACAUCCAAUUUGUAAUAACCUAAUUUGGUACCUGUAAUAUGUUAUCUGGAUUGUUGUAAUCUCUAGACUCAUCUUAGUGCGAGCUUUGUAUGGUUGUUUUUAUCAGAAACACGUGGUUGUAUCGGGUUAAACCCGAUAGACUACCAUUUUAAUUCAAUUAAAGUGUUUAUUCGUAUUUGAGGUGAUGUUGGGUACACUUUAGCUGGAUUAAUUUGGGUGGUUCUGCCACACGGCCCCAGGGGAAGCCCCUGAGCUUAUGAGUGAGCGGGCUGCUAAACAGACACCCCUGAGGAUCAGGGACAGCUUAGAAAGGGGAACAGUAAGGCAGUACGUACGCAGAAAAAGACUGCAAUGGUUUUAUUUAUUCAAUAUAAAAGGGAAACAGAGUACAUAGCUUUAUAUAUCUAAGGGUAGAAGUGUUGUAGAUGCUCGAUGUUUCUACGGAUUGGGGACGCCAGAGCCGUCUGCCCAUUAUAGUCGGUAGGUGCUUGGUUGGAUGACCUCUUUGACGAUGAAAGCACCUUCCCAAGGGGUGGCUAACUUGUGUAUGUCCUUGGUGAACUGGACCUGGCGAAGCACCAAGUCACCAACGCUAAAGGAGCAUUCCCUGAUAUUCCAAUCAUGGUAGCACCGUAUCUACUGCUCAUGGCGUGCGUACUGGAUGAGGGCCACCACACGAUGCUCUUCAAGGCUGUCGAUGUCGAUCUUCCAACUCUUUUCUGCCUCACCCUCCUGGUAGUACUGGAUAUGCGAAACGCCAAAGGCCACAUCAGAUGGCAAGACGACUGAGCCAUACACCAUAAAGAAAGGAGUGUAGCCAGUAGCCCGAAUCUUCUAUGUUCAUAGGCCCCAGAUGACUUGGGGUAGCUCGCGUAGUGGUAGCGUAUUUGGACAUGUCAUCGAAGAUGCGUGACUUGAUGGAUUGGUGGACCAUCCCGUUUGCUCGUUCCACUUGACCGUUGCAAUGUUGGUGCACUACUGAGGAGUAGUACACAUCAAUGAGAUUGUCUUGGCAAAAGUCUUAGAACAUAGAGCCUGUGAACUGCGCGCCAAGGUCGGUUAUAAUUCUAUUAGCCACUCCAAAGCGGUGCAUGAUUUCCUCCACAAACUGAGCUACUUUAGCUGACUCAAUGCUGGUGAUAGCCUUGAUCUCAAUCCACUUUAUAAAUUUGUCAACUGCCACAAAGAUAUGUGUGUAGCCGCCUGAAGCGGUUUUGAAUGGCCCGACCAUGUCCAACUCCCAGCAUGCAAAAGGCCAGGAUGGUGGGAUGGUGCGCAGAGCCUAAAUUGGAAGGUGCUGCUACUUGGAGAAGAAUUGACACCUUUUGCAUCGUUGGACGAGCUCCUUUGCACUGGCUACUACUGUUGGCUAGCAGUAACUAGAGAGGAAGGCUUUGCCGACCAAAGUGCCCGAGGCAGCGUGGUUGCCAGUCGUUCCUGAGUGAAUUUCAUGUAGUAGAUCAAUACCCUCACUGCAUAAAACACAUUUCAUCAGUAUCCCUAUGGAUGCAACUUUUCUAUAGAGCUCUUUGCCGAUGAUGAUAUAAUUUAUACUGUGUUGAGAUAGUUUUUCAUGCUCUAUCUUGUCCUUUGGAACCAUCUAGUCGGUGAUCAAGGCUAUGAACGGGGCACGCCAAUCUUCUUCUACCUCAAUCAUCAUUAUGUUAGUGGGUAUUGGGUUGGCCAGAAACCUAAGCGCCAGCAUCAUUGGCCUAGUCCAGGUCCAGGAUUUUGAUGGAAGGUUUGCAGAGAUCUUGUACGAAUACACUAGCCAGAACCUAUGCACGCUUGGACCCGAGCUUCAAUAAGACAUUGGCAGCAACGUUAUGGUCCCUAGGGAAGUGAUGGAACUCAAGGCCAUCGAAGUGGGCCCCAAGUUUACAGAUUUUUGUGCAAUAAACAUCCAUGGAUUCCUUGGUGCAGUCCCAAUUCUUGUUGAAUUGCUCGAUGACAACCUUGGAGUCACCAUAAGCGAGUAUACCCUAGAUUGCAAUGGACACGGCGAUGCGGAGGCUAUGGAUUAAAGCUUCGUACUCGACGCCAUUGUCGGUGGCCUUGUAGUGGAUCUGGAGCACAUACUUGAGCUGCUCGCCUUUGGGGGAUAUAAAGAGGACCCCCACGCUAGCUCCUUCAAGAUUGAGGGCGCUGUCAAAGUACAUGGUCCAGUGUUUUGGCCUCUCCAGGGAGGGCGGUUUCUGGAUCUAUGUCCAUUCAGCUACGACGUCGGCUAGGAUCUGUGAUUUGAUUGCAUGGCGCGGCCAAAAUUCGAGGUCCAACUAGCCGAGCUCCAUAGACCACUUGAAAACUCGGCCAUUGACAUCCCUGUUAUGGAGGUUUUCACCAAUGGGGAACGUGGAUACCAUACAGAUCUUGUGCACCUGGAAGUAGUGACGCAACUUUCUUGAUGAAAUCAGCAAUGCGUAGAGCAGUUUCUGAACCUGGGUAUAGCGGGUCUUGGAGUCGCUGUGGACUUGGCUGAUGUAAAACACCGGGCAUUGCACUGCAUAAGCAUGCCCGUGUUCCUAGCGCUCCACAACUAGCACGGUGCUGACAACAUGCGUCGUUGCAGAGAUGUAUAGGUACAAUGUUUCUUGGUCAGCCGGGGCCGUCAUGACGAAAGGAGUGGUGAGGAAAGCCUUGAGCUCUUCGAGCGCCUUGCUAGCCUCAUCAAUCCACACAAAUUUGUUCACCUUUUUGAGGAGUUUGAAGAAUGGUAGACCUUUUUCCCCAAGUUGGCUAAUGAAGCGGCUAAGGGCUGUCAUCAUGCUAGUGAGCUUCAUAACGUCCUUCUUUUUAGAUGGUUUCGUCAUGUUUCGAUUGCAUCCACUCUGACGGGGUUGGUCUCGAUGCCUUGCUGGUUGACCAUGAAGCCCAGGAGCUUGCCAAACAGGACACCAAAGACACACUUGUCGAGGUUAAGUUUCCAGCGGUAGGCUCGGAGGCCAUUGAAGGUCUCCUCAAGGUUGGCUAUGAAGCUUUCCUCGUCCUUUGUCUUGACAACCACAUCAUCAACAUAAGACUCAACGUUCCUAUGCAGCUGUGUUGCGAGGCAACCCUGGAUUGCCUUCUGGUAGGUGGCACCGGCAUUUUUCAACCCAAAGGUCAUGGUAUUGUAGCAGUAGAUGCCGAAGGGUGUUAUGAAUGUCGUCUUGUCUUGGUUGGCUGGAUUAAGGGCAAUCUAGUGAUAGCCCAAGUAGCAGCCAAGGAAGAAGAGCAGGAUAUGUGUGGCGGAUCCACUUCGGAUCUACUUCGGAUCUACUUGGUUAAACAUGAUUUAGCCGCAUGAUACGCGACGCUCAUGCCUAAACCGAGUAAACACGAAGUGCCGUCGGAUUUCAUCCGAUUUAACCACUUGAACAGGACCAAUUAGCAAACCCACACGAAGGUGAGCGGUUCCAGAGAAUACAACAAGUCCACCGAGUUAACAAAUUACCCAUUUAGUUUGGCCAUAAAACACAUCAGAGUUUACAAGGUUCAGAAGAAAACAAUAGAAGGUAAAACACUAGCAGAAGCGAACUCGUCAGGGUCGGACAUCCCUGGUGAGGCCAACCGGGACAUCAGUGAUCCCACUCCUCGCCGUCCGAGGAGGGAUCCCACUCGACCGUCCAACCCGGAGGGAGUUGGGGCGGCCAAGUGCCAACAGAAGGAGGCUCGGAGGCAGCAACUUCACCUGAAAAAGAAAAAGCCACAACAAGGCUGAGCUACUAAGCUCAACAAGACUUAACCGACAGGGAGCACUCUAAACUACCUCUUCUAGACAUGCAAGGCUUUUUGGCUGAGGGGUUUGUUUGCCAAAAGCGCUAGAUGUAACCCUACUUUCAAGUUUUAGCUCCGGUUCUAAGUUCAUUAUCUGGUCUAGGUUUGCAACCUAUUCUAAGCAAGCAUAGAACCAACCAAAAGGUAUAUAUAUCAUCAACAAAACCAUGUCAUCAUCAGAUUCCUUAUUUACUCAGGGUGACAUAGCGAUCAAGCAGUUUCAAACUGUGAGAGGCAGACGAAUCGAUUCGAGUUUCUUAACCAUGCAUGGCGAACCUAAUCUCACGACAUCCGCGCACCACAAGGGCCGCUUCCUGUGUCGGCCGUCCCCAUCAAUUCCCAGGCGCGUGUCAGGUCCAAACUUCCCUUGGCAUGCAAUGCUCCACAGUCCCGGCCUCUGCCGUACUGUGACCGCACUUGCACCCAGAUGAUGCACCAUGGGAACCUCGUUCCAGGGACAGCAGGGGUAUAAGCCACGCCCUAGUUCAAUCAGGUACUAGGCUUCCCCAUCCCAUACUAGGUAUGAGAUUAGUACCUUCAAACACUUGAUCACGAACACCACCACUGUCGGGCCUUAGCAAGUUUCAUAGACAGACGGGGCGAUCAUCCGACCACCAAAGAGUUACCUCAAACCCUGCCCCGUCCAUCGUCCUUAUAGUUGUAACGGAAGGUAAACAUCCAACUCCUACAACUCGCGAGUGACAGGAAAUCACUCGGCUUUUACCGUCUCCUAAUUAAGCAAAGCAUCUACUCGGUCCAACAGCUAGUGUUCAGAUCAGGGGAGCUAAGUUAUGCAUCUAGGGUUCCAAAAAACUCCUAUACAUAAAUGCACAAGUAGGUUAAAGAAAGCAUGCGCAAGUCUGGUAAAACAUAGGGAUUCAUGCAUCCGGGGCUUCCCUUCGAGCAAAGAGGAAGGGAACUGCUCGACUUCUGGGGCAGCUUCGUCUUCUAGGGGCAGGAGCUCAGCUACACUGUCGUCUUCUGGUGCCGGGUGUAGCUCGUAGUAGCCGUCGGUGAGACGCAGCUCUACACGAAUGCAAUGCAUUGGUUAGCAUAGACGGUUAUUUCAACAGCAACACUUGCAAGUCUGAGCCCAGAAACUUGCGACAAGUUACAGGAGGGUGGGGAGGUUCAAUGGAGUUGAUGGAGAUCAAGAGGUAAGGGUCGGAGGGAAGGAACUUAUGAUCUGACCCUUAAUCUAGAGGGUUUGAUGUACUAGGGGUCCUCAGACUCAAUGCUGAAAGGUCCUCAAGUUUUACACAUACACCCUCGGUUCAAAGAAAAAGAUACAGCCGAGCCCUCGGGCGAGGCGGAGAAGGGUCGGCGAAACAGACAAGGUCGGGCGAGACGGAACUGGGGUCGGGUGGAUAAGAGGGGUCGGGCGAAGCGAACAGGGGUUGGCAGCCUACCUUCAUCUUACAGAGGAGGCUUGGGUGGAAGAACUAAGGGCUUGGGACGGCGGCGAGAAUGUCCAGCAGUGGCGGUGCUUCUUGUGGAUCACAAGCAAGCUCUUGGGCAGUACUGAAAGCAGUGGCUGGUGGAUCGGGAAAGCGGUGGUGCUUGAGCAGAGAGGAGAGUUCCUCAGACUUAGGUGGUGGUGCUGUGAGCUUGAACAGGGAGCAAGAGAGAUGGCAGCUAGGGCAAGGGAAACUCCGGUGGGGCUUGCGCAUCCCGUUUUAUAGCUGCGCGGAAGAGGGAAGGGGGAGCGGCGCGAAGGCCGGGGAAGAAGCAAUGGAGUGCUCUGCCCGGGCGGCGAUUGAGCGACGAGGGCGGUGGAGCAGGACUUCGGGGAUGACGCCGGUGGUCAUUGGGCACUGACGUCAGGGCGGCGCAGGCGCGGGUUUGCCGGUGGUUGAGAUUUGGCGGAUGUGGACAUCGUCGUGCGGUGGAUCUGAUGGAAGUGACCGGGAAAACGGUGCUAGAAACGAGGGCGCACAGGUGAGAAGACAGGCGGCUGCGGGCGCGCGGGCGAGCGCGGAGCAACAGAUUGUCGGGGCGGCUUCUGACAGGGCGGGAAAAGGAGCUGUUGCUGCCGCGGUCUAGGUUGGCGGAGGAAGAAUCGUCGGGUAGCGAAGACCGGGGCGACGCGACUGUGGCGAGGUGACAGAAAAGACGGACGGCAUCGGGCUCUGCGGCCGGGAUCUGGCGAUGUGAUGAUGGGUGCAGGCAGCGAGGCGCUGCAGAGGGGCUUCCGCUGCGAUUGGGGAAGGGGGCGCGAGAAUCCAUCCGGUCACGGGCCGAAGACGAGGCGGAGCGGCGGGCGUCGGAGGAGUUGAGCCACGCGGUGGGGGAACUCUAAAGUGGGAAUGCAACUCGAGUGCGCCUGUCGCGGAAGAUCUGGGAGAAAAGAUCUCGUUGGCCCACCGGUCAGUCUCGGUGGUCCACUGCUCGAACUGGAGGGCGAUGCUGCGGGAUGGCUUAGGGAGAUCCGACGGUAGGUUGGGGGUCGGCGGGGUCGGAACUGGGGAGACCACGGCGAGGGGUCGGAUCGCAGGGGUCGGAAGAUCUGGAGGUUGAACCCUUAGGCUUGGAAAAACUAAGACAGGUGAUCAGGGCUCGGAUUAAGAUUGAUGCGAAGGAUUUUUUUUCCGAGGCCGUCACAAUAUGUUCGACUUUUCUCGGAGGAAACUGGUGAGUGUGAGUUCCUAUUUCUCUGAGAGGUCAGCCCCUAUGAGGGUUGUCUUGGUCGGGUCUUCAAGGCUAAGGCAAAUCUUCUUGACCCUGGGGUCAGGCUGCAACGCCAUGGAGGUCGGCUCCUUCUCAGGGAUUGUUAGUUGGUCCUUGCUCAUCUUCUAGGCCUCGGCUACCAUGGCGAUAGCUUUAGCUGAUAGCUCUAGGGCUUCUGCAAGCUGCACAGCUUCGAUGUCGCAUCUAUAUGAUGUCUCCACAUCGCCAUAGAUAGAGAGGACUCCGUUUGGGGCUGGCAUCUUGGAGAUGAGGUAAGUGUGAUGUGGGAAUGCCAUAAACCUCGCCAGCAUAGGAUUGCCAAGGAUAGCAUGGUAGGAAGUCUUGAAAUUAGCCUCCUCAAGCAUGAGGUUCUCCAUGUGGUAGUUGGUUUGUGUGCCAAAAGUGACUGGUAAAACAACUCAGCCAAUGGGGUAGGAUCCUUUUCCGGGGAUGAUGCUGUAGAAAGGUUCUUCACAGGGCUGGAGUCGCUCAAAGUCGAAGUCCAUGCAUUUCAAGGUCUAUGUGAAUCUGAUGUUGAGGCUGCUGCCACUGUCAAUCAGCAUCUUGGGGAGUAGGUCCCAAUCUAUAGUUGGGCAGACCACUAGCAGGUAGGACCCAAGAUCUGGAAUGUGGACCCAAUGAUCUUGCUUGGAGAAAGUUAUAGACUAUUCUGACCAUCGUAGAUACUGAACUGGCUGUACAGAGACAAAGUGCACCUCUCGCUGGCAUAGCUUUUGCUGGCGGUUACUACAAAAUGCAUUGCGGCUGCCCACAAUGAUGUUGACUUGGCGCUCAGGCCACUAGAAGUCCCUGUUCUGGUCAGCACUGGGUCGUUGGGCAUCUUGAUGUGGCUGAUCGCGGCUCUCUUCUCUGUUCUGGUUGUCACGGUUGUCACGCCUGCUGGUGUUGCGGUUGUCGCGGUUGUCACGCCUGCUGGUGUUGCGGUUGUUGCGGUUGUCAUGGUGCCAACCGUUGCGGUUGUUACGGGCACUGUUGUUAUGGUUGUCAUGGUCAACUUGGCGACGGUCGUCAUCAUGGCUACGAUAGUCAUGCUUGUUGUUAUCCCGACAGUAGUCGUUGCAGCGUGGUCACUUGUACUCCACCAGGGUGUCAAGCUCUUUCUUCAGGACUGUGCAAUCUCGGAGAGUGUGACAUGCGUCCUUGUGGAAGGGGUACUGUGGUGUCCCGCCCCCCCCCCCGGGGCCGGGCCCGCUUACACCUGGCAGCUCUCUAGGAUAUCAAGAAUUCCCUCACAGACCAACACAAGUCUUUUCUACGUACUUUGCCCUCACUCAUGCACACCCGGGAAGAACUUCCCGGUCGGUCACCCAUCCCGAAAUUGCUCCGGGCCAAGCACGCUUAACCCCGGAGUUCUUUGAGGAUGAGCUUCCGGAAAAGAAGUUGCAACUUAUUGGUAUGAGUAUUCUAUCAAUCCUAUUAAGCCUUGGGCCAGGAUGUCACAUACUCACCAACUUAGAAGACCGACGCCCUCGUCGGUCAACCCCAAGCCAGGAACGUCCCCUCUUGGCCACGUCCGUGUGUCUAGUGCCAGCGCAUGUGCCAUGCUAUGUGACCACUCUAGGCCCACACCAGCCAUGCACACCAUGCCUGCGCAACUGCGACCGCACGCGCCCGUGAAACCGCGAGAGUCAGCUCUGAUAUCAACUGUGGCGUCCCGCCCCCCCGGGGCCGGGCCCGCUUACACCUGGCAGCUCUCUAGGAUAUCAAAAAUUCCCUCACAGACCAACACAAGUCUUUUCUGCGUACUUUGUCCUCACUCGUGCACACCCGGGAAGAACUUCCCGAUCGGUCACCCAUCCCGAAAUUGCUCGGGCCAAGCAUGCUUAACCCCGGAGUUAUUUGAGGAUGAGCUUCCGGAAAAGAAGUUGCAACUUAUUGGUAUGAGUAUUCUAUCAAUCCUAUUAAGCCUUGGGCUAGGAUGUCACAGGUACGGAGCACUAAGGGUUCCAUUAAAUUCUUCCCGGUUGAAGGUGGUCUGCCUGGCCAGGUCACCUUCAGCAGCAUAGACCUCUGGGGCCCUUUUUUGGAGUCGAGGCUCUGAACGUGCUUGGGGUUCAUCGUGAAUUGGCUGAUCGUAGUCGUCAGCCAGGCGGUGUUUAAUGUUCUGGAAUUGAACUUUUGCCGCCUUUUCGAUGUCAGCUUUUCUGUUGACAACUUUCAUCAUCCACUCGACCAUCUUUGGGGCAGCCUCAUACAACUUUUUGAACAUGGGCCGGUUCAUCAGGCUAGAGCGAAAGUACUAGAUGAUAUCACGAUCUUCGAUGCUAGCCAAUCUGUUACGAUUUUCAAAGAAGCGGUUGGCAUAUUCUCGAACAGGUUCGCCUAUCCUUUGGUGGACGUGGCCAAGUUUUUCCCUAUUACCAGGUCAACUGUAGGUGGCCUGGUAAUUCUGAGUGACAGCUCUAGCGAUCUGUCCCCAACUAUCAAUGUUGUUUGGAGAGAGAUACUCCAGCCACAAGAUCGGAGCUGGACCCAUCACCACCAUACUUUUCGUUGAUGGCCAGCUUGAAUGUGCUUGGCCAAUCAACAGCCCUGAGGUGUGGAGUGAAAGCAGCGAAGCCAUCGAUUGUCAUGUCAUCAUUGUAAUCAUUGUUGAGGUAGUACUGGAUAGGAGGGGCCCUGCCGCGUCCACCGUAGUUGCGCCUGGGUGGGUACUAGGCAUCCUCGGGAGCACCAUACAUGUAGUCAUAGUCAUGCCUGGGUGGGUUGUAGGCAUCUUCAGGGGUGCCAUACACGCGGUCAUAGUCGGCGCGUUGGCGCAUCUCAUCUUCUUGGCGAUGAUGAUCCCUGCGCUCUGCAUCACGGUUAGGCACAGGAGCACCAUAGUCGCAAUCAUACUCGGCAUGGCAGCGGAGCUCAUUCUCAUCACGCUCGUUGUGGCGAUUAUUGAGGUCGGUGCGUAUGUCACGGUUCUAAUGAAGGUCAUGCACCUCAUCACAAAGAUCCCAUUGCCAUUCUAGCUAGUCACAAUAUCAUUAUUGCCUCUCCCGCCGUGAUGUAGUUAUCGUUGUUGUCGCACUGACGGCCGUUGUUGGCAUUGUUGUUGACGGGCGGGUUGGCGUUGUUGUUGACUGGUGGGUUGGGUUGGAUAGCAUUUUGCUCCCCCGCCUCUUCGUGGAUUGGUUCCAAUCAACCAUCUGCAUGAUCGCCUCGGCAUUGGUCGGAUCCGCUAUGCUCAUACUGGCUUUGAGAGUGCCUGGAAGAUGUGGACCGAGAAUGGUCGGUUGUUGAUCUACUCCUUGAUCUAGGCAUUGGCGACUUGGAGUUGCUCCUGAAUCCAUCGCAUUUGGUCUGAAUCUGGAAAAUUUUCCAGCUUAGCAAAGGCAGCCCCCAGGUUGGCCUGGGGUGUGGCGAAGACGUUGUGGCUGGCCUACUCAACGACCAGUAGGUUGCAGGUGCGCAUAUGGUGCCUGCGUCUUUCCUGAGCACCACCUUGGUCGACGUUGUUGUAGUCGUUGCGCGGCUGCUGGCACUGGUCACCUGAUGCAUCUGUGUUAGCAACAAGUUGCUGUUGGGUGUCGGCUUGCUCCUGUUGGCGCCGCGCUGCACGGUUCUGGUUCCUAGCAUUACGGCCUUCUUCUUGAGAUUUCGUUUCACCAUCCCGGGGUGGCUUAUCAGUGGAGAUUAUGAAAGCUUCAUGAUCUUGCGUGGAAUAGUUACUCUCAUCAUCGCUUCCAUAGGGAUUUGGUGUCAGGAUGAUGUGAGGCACUUGGAAUUCACCACAGUCCAAAAACUGGGCGGGUUCGGGCAGGUCUCUAGAUUGGAUCUAGAAAACCUGAUCAAGCUUGGCGGAGUACUCGACGGCCGAGUUCUGUAGGCCAAAGGGGUUGCGGGACAAACCCUGCACCGACCUGGUUUCACGCGACACUGCCUUGGACAGUUUUAUGCACUCAGCGAUAGUGCUACUGAUGCAAUCUAGCCUAGCGAUCAGGUCGGAGGGCACGAGUGGGCGGGCGCUAGUGAGUAGAUCUGGAUCCUUCUCAGAGAGAGAGAGAGUUUGCCGACCUGCUAGGCAACUGUCAUGAUGAUCCUUGGGUGGAGAACUUGUCCCGCCAGAACUGAUUCGACGGGAGUUGAGCUGGUGCUAGACGCCAAGUGGAUAGAGGUCGUCGAGUCGACGGGAGUCGCCAAGUUGAUAGAAAAAGCGGUCGGAUCGGAAUCCACCAGCAUGGUCCUGAAUUGAAUCUGGACUGGGUUGGUGAGGAGGUUCUUCAUGUUCUUAGGAAGAACAAUGUCGGGACGGGAUGCCAUCAAGGUCACAAAAAUGAUCUCGCAACCACCCCUACCUAGCACACCAACUAUCAGAUUUAGUAGCCCAGCAGUCCACCAGGGGGUUACCCAAGUGGUUGAUUUGUAGGUGAGGGUGAUUGCGAAACCAAGAACUCAAAGGUGAUCAUGAGAACAUGAAGGGGAUACGAGGGUGAUUGCCUCAGGAGGCUCCCUCGGCCGCAUUAUAUAGGCUGAUGACCAAGAGUUAGAAGUUGGUUUGAACUUAAUCUACUCGGUAGUUACAUAGAAGGUAAUCUAAGUCGGAUUACAAUACGCGUCCCACGAUAUACGGGUAGAUUUGUACCAUCUAGUUUCCUUGAUGUGUACUCCAAGUAAUUUCAUGUCCUCGGCUCGCACGUCCUAGUCGUGCGGGCCCACGUGUCAGGUCUGGCCAGUAUCCUAAUUGGUGGGGACCCAUGGGGUACCCAUAUCCCUCAUAUAUAGACAGAUUCAACAACUAUCCUAUCUUUGAAGAAAGCUUGUGCUGUCAAGCAUAAAGCUUGCGAGGAAAGAGAUACGAUGAUUCAUACACUUGCCAAGAACCUUGAAGAGCAGAAAGUUUUUGUUGAGGAAGCAGAGCAACUACUAAAGAACAGAUUUACAAAAAUCUACAAAUGAUAUAAGGUGGCUCUCAUAGAGUUUGGUGCUAAACCUCCCCUUUCCCCACCAACGAGGAUGCCAAGAAGAUGUUGAUUGGAUGGAUCAAGAGUUUGAGUACUUGCUUGGAGUUACAAAUUGAGCUAGCAACUAUGCUACCUAUUUCUGUAUCGAGGGUAUGCUCAAACUUUUGGAGAACGAGGGCUGCUCUAAUUUUCUCAAAUUUGGGGCACGUAGUUAUCAGUUUCCUUUGGCCUUGAAGUGUGAUGACCGACCCCAAAUCUCUUUAGUUAAUCUUAAUCCGAGUCCCAAAUCCCCCACCUCAGCUCCCCGAGUUGAAACGCAAAACCUCCAGUCCCGUCCCGACCCCUGAGGUCCGACCCCUCUCCGCUGGCUCCCCAGUCCCGACCCCGCCGACCCCAACUCACCGCCGGAUCCUUCUAAGUCUUUCCGCAACGUCUCUCUCUCUCUCUCAAUCUGAGCAGUGGACAAACCGAGACUGAUCGGUGGACCCACAAAAUCUUUCUCCCAGAUCCCCCACGGCAGACGCACUCGAGUAGCCUGCCCGCCUCAGAGCUUCUCCGCCACGUGGCUCAACUUCUCCGACACCCGCCGCUCCGCCUCAUCGCCCGACCCCUUUUUGUGCGGUUCAUUUCGCCGACCCCUUUUCUUGUGCUGUUUUGCCUAACCCGACCCUUGGCCUAAGGUCAGAUGUAAUGGAACUCCUUGAAUCCGGCUAUGGUUCACCUGAAGUUGUGUGCGGAGUUAAGAUAGAUGCUAACUAAGAUGGCAAGAGGACAUAUGUAUCUCCUUUAUCCAGCUAUGUUGUGUUACAUUGUUGGCAAGAGUCGCAUUGAGAAUUUAACCUAUGCAUUCCCAUCUGUUUGAGAAUUACUUCUGAGCUUAUGGAAUUGAUGGGGCGUUGACUCUUGCAGAUGGCGCAUCGCACCAGAUCCGGCUCUGUGCCCAGCAGCAGCGAGCAGAGACAAGAUCUUCCCCUGCCCCCACCUCCAUCUCCACUAGAGGCAAUCUUAGUGGCUCAAACUGAGCUGCUGAGGCAUCUUGUACAGGGGCAACAGCAGCAGCAGCCCCAUGGUGGAAGGGCUCAACAGCAACCUCAUGUUGCUUGCUAUGAGGACUUCUUGGGGACGCAACCCCCUUUGUUCCAGAAGACACAAGACCCGCUCGACGCAGACGCCUGGUUUCGCACCAUCGAAUCCAAGUUCGAGCCUCUCACCGCCCAGUGUCCCGACCAUAACAAGGCCCGGUUUGCAGCCCAACAGCUGCGUGGUUCCGCCUGGCUCUGGUGGGAUCACUACCAUGCUAUGUUGCCAGCCGACCAUGUUGUCAGCUGGAACGAGUUCAAGACUGCGUUCAGAGGACACCACAUUCCGGAAGGUCUCCUAGAGCGCAAGCUCAAUGAGUUCCUGACUCUUACCCAGGGAAACCGAGAUGUCCUGCACUAUGCCCAAGCUUUCAAUGACCUGUGCCGUUAUGCCGGCUAUCAUGCGGACACAGACGAGAAGAAGCGGGACAGAUUCCGCCGAGGACUAAGCUUGGAGCUCAGGGAGAGGUUAAACCCCAUUAAGGUGGAUACCUACAACAAGUUGGUCAAUUUGGCCAUCUCCCAAGAGGACUACAUGCAGGCUCUCAAAGCCGACCAGAAGAGGAAGGCCUCCGUGGCAUUUCCAAGCCAGCCCGCUCAAAGGUUCCGGAUGGUUCCUCCUCAGGCACCCAGCUGACCUCAGUAGUCGGGAAGAUGGGUUGCCCGACCUCCGCCAGCAGCAGCACCUCAUUUUCCUGGCUUCCAACCACAGGCGCCCUGGCCGACCCUACAGCCACCACCGCGUCUUGCAACUGGUAACCGCUGCUUCACCUGCGGCAAUGAAGGGCAUUUCGCCAAAGACUGCCCCAGGAACAGAAAUCAGCAGCCUGGUCAGAACUCCAUGGCGAACAAAGGAAGAAGGCCCAAGGUGCAAGUUCGACAAGGACGGCUCAACUACACCAGCUUGACCGAACUCCCCGAAGGUGCGCCAGUGAUGACGGGUACAUUCCUUGUCUUAAAUCAAGCUGUUGUUGUUUUGUUUGAUUCGGGAGCCUCCCAUAGUUUCAUCGGGAGUAAGACUAGAGAAAGAUGUGAGCUGAGUACCGGUCACACUAAAGGAUCAUAUGUGAUCUCCACUCCUGGAAGGAAGAUAGCCUCAGACUAGAUCGUUACUCUUGUACCUCUCCAGCUAGGCCAAACUCUUUUCAGGGAAAAUCUUAUCAUCCUUGACCUGGAAGGAAUAGACAUCAUCCUUGGGAUGGAUUGGAUGACCAGACACCGAGUGGUCCUAGACACAGCUACCCGAACCCUCCACAUCAACUCACCCUUUCAUGGCAGUUCUACCCUACCCUUGAAACACCCUAAGUCCGCACUUCCUUGUGCGUAUCCUCUAUCGGGAGCCCGGCUAGAAAGCCUUCUCGUUGUCUGUGAGUAUCUGGAUGUGUUUCCAAAAGAUUUGCCUGGCAUGCCACCCGAUAGAGAUGUGGAGUUUUCCAUAGAGUUGAUUCCCGGCACCGCUCCGAUAUCCAAGAGACCCUAUCGGAUGCCGCCUGCUGAGCUGGCCGAGUUGAAGACCCAGUUGCAUGAUCUGUUGGAAAAAGGCUUCAUCCGACCCAGCACAUCACCUUGGGGCUGCCCAGCCCUGUUCGUGAAGAAGAAGGACGGGAGUCUACACAUGUGUGUGGACUACCGACCCCUCAAUGUGGUGACUGUCAAGAACAAGUACCCACUUCCACGCAUCGAUGUCUUGUUUGAUCAGUUAGCUGGAGCAAAAGUGUUCUCCAAGAUCGACCUUCAUUCCGGUUAUCUCCAAAUCAAGAUCCGACUCUGUGACAUUCCCAAGACUGCCUUCUCCACAAGAUAUGGACUCUAUGAGUACUUGGUCAUGUCUUUUGGACUCACCAAUGCACCUGCCUAUUUCAUGUAUCUCAUGAAUUCGGUGUUCAUGCCCGAGUUGGACAAGUUUGUGGUGGUGUUCAUUGAUGAUAUCCUAGUGUACUCGAAGAACAAAGAAGAACAUGCCGAUCAUCUUCAUGUAGUUCUCCAACGGUUGAGAGAUCAUCAGCUCUAUGCUAAGUACUCCAAGUGUGAAUUUUGGUUAGAUAGUGUCAAGUUCUUGGGACACACUAUCUCUAGGAAUGGCAUAGCCGUCAACCCCAGCAAGGUACAGGAAGUCAUGGACUGGAAGCCUCUCGCCUCAGUGCACCAGAUCCGCAGUUUCCUUGGACUAGCAGGCUACUAUCAGCGCUUCAUACCGGAUUUCUCCAAGAUAGCUAAGCCGAUGACGGAGCUGCUGAAGAAAGAGGUCAGAUUUGUGUGGAACGACAAGUGUGAAGAAGCCUUCAAGACCCUGAAGCACUUGUUGACCACAGCCCCAAUUUGGCUCAACCCAACCCCUCGAGGCCGUUUGACGUGUACUGUGACACCUCUGGCACUGGACUUGGGUGUGUUCUUAUGCAAGACAACCGAGUCAUUUCCUAUGCCUCACGGGCGUUACGACCUCAUGAGCUGAACUACCCGACCCAUGAUCUUGAGUUGGAAGCAGUGAUCCAUGCCUUAAAGAUAUGGAGGCACUAUCUGAUGGGCACCCACUGCAACAUCUACACUGACCACAAGAGCCUCAAGUACAUCUUCACCCAAGCCGACCUCAACAUGCGCCAAAGAAGAUGGUUGGAGUUGAUAAAGGACUAUGAUGUGGAAGUUCACUAUCAUCCCGGCAAGGCCAAUGUGGUGGCCGAUGCUCUUAGCCGCAAGACUUUUUGCAACUGUUUGUCGGCAACAAACUUCACCGAGACACUAUGUCACGAAAUGGGAAGGCUUAGUUUGGAAGUUGUUUCCCAUGGAACCCUCGGCCACAUAUCUCUUGAGUUUAUUUUAGAAGACCAAAUCGGGUCAGCACAGUUAAAGGAUGAGGAAGUAAGGCGGAUCACCAGGAAGAUUUCCUUGAAGAAUGAAGGGUAUAAGCAGUUUCGGCAGGAUGAGACUGGGAAAGUGUAUUGUGGAAACUGACUGGUUGUACCGUCCGACCCCAACCUUAGGAACUAGAUCCUAGAUGAAGCUCAUCUCUCCAAGUUCUCAAUUCAUCCUGGCAGCAAUAAGAUGUACCAGGAUCUCCGUCAAACCUUCUAGUGGAGUGGAAUGAAACCAGAAAUUGCUCGGUAUGUUUCAGAAUGUGACACCUGCCAACACGUCAAGGCCAGUCAUCUAAAGGUAGCAGGUACCCUGCAGCCCCUACCUAUUCCCUCUUGGAAAUGGGAAGACAUCAACAUGGAUUUCAUUGUUGGACUGCCCCUUUCAUCGCAGCGACAUGAUUCCAUUUGGGUUAUAGUGGACCGCUUGACCAAGUCUGCCCACUUCCUUCCUGUCCACACCACCCACACGGCCAAGAAGUAUGCGGAGUUGUAUCUUGACCGCAUUGUUUCCCUACACGGUGUGCCUAGGACGAUCAUCUCUGAUCGAGGAGUUCAAUUUGUAGCACGCUUUUGGGAACAGCUACAAGCAUCCAUGGGCACCAAGCUCAUCCGUAGCUCAACCUACCACCCUCAAACUGACGGUCAGACCGAAAGAGUUAAUCAGAUUCUUGAAGACAUGUUGAGAGCUUGUGUCAUCCAUUAUGACAAGAAUUGGGACAAGUGCUUGCCAUUGGCAGAGUUUUCCUAUAACAAUAGCUACCAAACCAGUUUGAAGAUGGCACCAUUUGAAGCAUUGUAUGGUCGGAGAUGACGGACACCAUUGAAUUGGUCCCAAGCUGGAGAAAGACAAACCUAUGGUCCUGAUUUAGUGGUAGAAGCCGAAGAGCAAGUGAAGAUAAUUCAAGCAAAUCUCAACGCUGCCCAAUCUCGACAGAAGAGUUACUCCGAUAGGAGAAGAAGACCCCUGCAGUUUGACAUUGGUGAUCAUGUGUAUCUUCGAGUCUCCCCGACAAAAGGAGUGCAACGGUUUGGAGUCCAAGGAAAAUUGGCUCCCCGUUACAUUGGCCCAUAUGAGAUUGUGGAAAAUUUGUGGACCAGUUGCCUAUCGGAUCCAACUCCCAGAACAGCUCUCGGCAACGAGGAUGCCAAGAAGAUGUUUGAUUGGAUGGAUCAAGAGAUUGAGUACUUGCCUCGAGUUAUAAAUGGAGCUAGCAACUAUGCUGCCUAUUUCUGUAUCGAGGGUAUGCUCAAACUUUUGGAGAACGAGGGCUGCUCUAAUUUUCUCAAAUUUGGGGCACGUAGUUAUCAGUUUCCUUUGGCCUUGAAGUGUGACGACCGACCCCAAAUCUCAUGAGUUAAUCUUAAUCCGAGUCCCAAAUCCCCCACCUCAUCUCCCCGAGUUGAAACGCUCAACCUCCAGUCCCGUCCCGACCCCUGAGGUCCGACCCCUCUCCGCUGGCUCCCCAGUCCCAACCCUGCCAACCCCAACUCACCACCGGAUCCUUCUAAGUCUUUUCGCAAUGUCUCUCUCUCUCUCUCUCUCAAUCUGAGCAGUGGACCAACCGAGACUGACCGGUGGACCCACAAAAUCUUUCUCCCAGAUCCCCUGCGGCAGACGCACUCGAGUAGCCUGCCCACCUCAGAGCUUCUCCGCCAUGUGGCUCAACUUCUCCGACACCCACCGCUCCGCCUCAUCGCCGGCCACGACUGGAUGGAUUCUCGUGCCCCUUUUCCCCAAUCGCAGCGGAAGCUCCUCUGCUACCCUUUCUGCAGUACCUCACAGCCCGCGCCCAUCAUCACUCUGCCGGACCCCGGCUGCGGAGCCCGACGCCUCCCGUGUUUUCCGCCGCUUCUCCACAGUCGCGCCGCCCCGGUCCGCGCUACGCAAUGAUUCCUCCUCCGCCAACCCAGACCACGGCCGCGACAGCUUCUUUUCCACCCUGUCAGAGCUACGCCCCCAACAAUCUGUUGCUCCGCGCUCGCCCGCACGACUGCAGCUGCCUAUCUUCUCACCUGUGCGCCCUCGCUCCUAGCGCCAUUUCCCCGGUCGCUUCCAUCAGAUCCACCACACGAUGACGCCCGCCUCCGCCAAAUCUCAACCACUGGCAAAACUGCGCCUGCGCCGCCCCGUCCCUGGUGCCCAAUGACCGCCGGUGUCAUCCCCGAAGUUCUGCUCCGCCGCACCGCUGCUCAAUCUCCGCCCCGGCAGAGCACUCGAUCGUUUCUUCCCGGUCUUCGCGCCGCGCCAAACUUCUCACUCUUCUGCGCAGCUAUAAAAGGGACUGCCAGAGCUCCGCCGGAGUCCCCUUCGCCAUCGCUGCCCUUCCGCCUUGCUCUCUGUUUCGUGCUCAAAGCGCUAUCGCCUAAAUACCUGAGGAACUCUCCUCUUCGCUCCACGCCGCUGUUCCCCCAAUCCACCCAGCCGCUUGCUCCUCUGUGCUGCGCGAGAGCUUGCUUGUGGUCCACAAGAAGCACCGCCGCCGCCAGAACCCUGCCGGACCUCAUCGCUGUCCAAAGCUCCAAUUCUUCCACCCAAGUCUGCUCUUUUUCGACCCCAAGCUUCACCUGUAAGACGAAGGUAAGCUGCCGACCCUUUUUCCACCUCGUCCGACCCCUUCUAUCCGCCCGACCCCUGUUCCAUCUUGCUCGACCCUAUCUGUGUCGCCGACCUUUCUCCGCCUCGCCCGAGGGCUCGGCUGUAUCUUUUUCUUUAACCCGAGGGUAUAUGUGUAAAAACGGGGACUUCUCGGCGUUAAGUCUGAGGACCCCCAACACAUCUAUCCCUCUAGUCUAAGGGUCAGAUCAACAGCUUCCUUCUAUCCGACCAUUUUUUUUCCUUGUCCUUCUCCAACCCAAGCAAACUUUCCCACCUUUUUCCGUAGCUAUGCUACAAAGUUUUUGAGCUAGAACUUGCAAGUGUUGCUGUUGAAAUAACCGUCUAAAUGCUAACUCUUGCAUUGCAUUUCGUGUAGCGUUGCAUCUCGCCGAUGGUGUCUACGAGUUGUACCCGGCGCCAGAAGACGAAGCUGCAGCAGAGCUCCCGCCUCCAGAAGCCGAAGCCGUCCAAGCAGAAGAGCAGCUUCCCUCCUCCUCGUUCGAAGGCAAGCCCCGGAGCAUAAACCCAGUUUUCCCAAACUUGCACAUGCCUUCUGUUCCUUGUUUGUGCAUUUACGUAUAGGAGUUGCUUGAAACCGUAGAUGCAUGAUUUAGUUCCUUGAUCUGAACACUAGCUGUUGGACCGAGUAGUUGCCAUGCUUAAUAGGAAGCGGUAAAAGCCGAGUGAUUUCCUGUCACUCGCGAGUUGUAGGAGUUGGUUGUUUCCUUUCUGUUACAACUAUAAGGACGAUGGACGGGGCAGGGUUAUGGUUAACUCUUUGGUGGUCGGCUGAUUGCCCUGUCUGUCUAUGGAACUUGUUAAGGCCCGACAGUGGUGGUGUUCGUGAUCAAGUGUUUGAAAGUACUAACCUCAUACUUAUUAUGGGAUGAGGAAGCCGAGUACCGGAUUGAACCUAGACAUGAGCGGUCGUCCCAUUGUCCUUGGAACGGAGUUCCCCUGCGGCCGCACGUGGUGGCAAGUAUGGUCACAGAACGGCAGAGGCCGGGUCUGUGAAACAUUGCACCAAAGGAAAUGGGCCCGACACGGGUUAGGGGAUUGAUGGGGAAGGCCGACACAGAAAGCGACCCUCGGUGGUGCGUGGAUGUCGUGAGGUUAGGUUCACCAUGCAUGGUUAAAGAACUCGAAUCGAUUCGUCUACCUCUUACAGUUUGAGACUGCUUGAUCGCUAUGCUACCCUGAGUAAUAAAGGAAUCUGAUGAUGACAUGGUCUUGAUGAUGAGAUAUAUAUACCUUUUGGUUGGUUCUAUGUUUGCUUAGAGUAAGUGCCCACUUAGACCGGUUAAUGAACCUAGAACCUGAGCAAAAACUUGAAAAUAAGGAUCUACUUAGUGCUUCUUGGCAAAUAAACACCUCAGCCUAAGAGCCUUGCAUGUCUAGAAAGGUGGAGUAGCUUUACUCCUCUCGGUUAAGUCUUGUUGAGCUUAGUAGCUCAGCCUUGUUGUAGCUUCUCUUUUUCAAGUGAAGUUGCUGCUCCCGAGCCUUCUUCUGUUGGCACUUGGCCGCCCCAGCUCCCUCCGGGUUGGACGGUUGAGUGGGAUCCCUCCUCGGACGGCGAGGAGAGGGAUCACUGACGUCCUGGCUGGCCUCACCAGGGAUGUCCGACCCCAAUGAAGUAGCUUCCGCCCGCUUGUUUUACCUUCUGUUGUUUUCUUUUGAACCUUGUAAAACUCUGAUGUUUGUUUUAUGGCCGAACUAAAGGGUUAAGUUGGUUAACUCGGUGGACUUGUUGUAUUCUCUGGAACCGCUCACCUUCGUGUGAGUUUGCUAACUCGGUCCUGUUCAAGUGGUUAAAUCGGAGGAAAUCUGACGGCAUUUCGUGUUAACUUGGCUUAGGCAUGAGUGUCGCGUGUUAGGCGACUUAACCAUGUUUAAGCAAGCUAAUCCGAAGUGGAUCCACCACAUGAAGCUUGACAAGCAGGAGAUGUCCAAGAAUAUAAAAAUUGUGAAGAUGAAUUUCUAUAAGCAACUUUGGGCUGCUUCUGGGCACGAACACACGAGGCUAGUUGCCCAAGAUCGUCUUGUGAAGGUUGGGGCUUUUUGAAUUUGUUGUUUUUUGGUUUUGCGUUUUCUUUUUGGUUGCUUUUUAAUUGAUCCUACUUUGAUUCUUAAACAGGCCAAGGGAGAGGAGUCGAGGGUUGAUGAUGAAGGCGAUGGCUCUGGGCGUCAAGAGGAAUAGUGCUCGAAGCUAGGAAAGAUUGUGCAUUGUAUUAGGCUUGUGCAACGAAACAUUUUGUGCCUGCCAGAUUUGUUGGCUAUAGGCUUUUUGUAAAUGAUGGCUACUUAACCCUUACUGUUUCAACAUUGCUAGGUGCUUGUGUUGAUUACCUUUGCUUUCGAUUUUAUGCACUUGUGUGAAUUCGUUUACUUUGGGGUUGAUUAUUUGUGAGAUUUUCUUGGAUUUAUAACAAAACUUGUAGCAUAAAGGAACGAGCGGCGUGUUUCUUUAGAAAAAAUGUCAGCCCCCCUGUUCUUUUGUGCGGAGGUUUUGCCAAGGUUGUUGAGCAUUCGCAAUGUCUGCCUUUUAAGUCAUUGAAUUUUUAGGCUCAAUGCUAAGUUAUGCGAUGAAAAACCUUUGUUGUAUUUGUGGCAAAAUCCCAAGAACAAAGGGAUGAGUACCGUUUCAUUUUUGAAAAGAAAAACAUCAAUCCCCCAUUCCUUUGUGUGAUGGUUUCGCUUGAGCAACAAAAGCUCCAUAGUGUUCGCUCAUGGUAAAAGAACAUUUUUCACGCAUAGGGAUCAAAUGUUUUUUUUCUAUUAAAAACGUCACCCCCCGUUUCAUUUCCUUGCGUGAAAGAUGUUGAUUUUUGUCUUUGAGGUUUCCGGUUAAAUUAUAGCUUGGGAAGUUUUGGGAUAAGUUGACAAAAAACUUGUUCUCGAGUUUUGUUGACUUAGAAAUAUAGCGAGAGCUUGGUCGAUGUCGCAACUCUUGGUUGCUUCGACCAUAAAGUUUACAAAGGUUCGAGGUUAGGUAGAUUUUUAUUAACUUGAUUCUAUGAUUUUUUAAACCCGCGAGGUUAGAUAGGAAUUUUUUAUCGUGAAAAAGUGCGAGGCUCGGUUGUUGAGGGCUGCUGCUAUUUUACUAUAGCUUUUGAAUAGAAAUGUUCGCACGUAUAAGGCGUAUAAAAGAUGAGGCUAUGCAACUAAUUGUUGCUUUGAUGUAGCUCUUGCACAAAAAUGCAAGUUCUUAAUUGCACGGAAAUGCGAGGCUAGGCAACUUUUUGUUGCUUUAAUGUACUUGCACAGAAACGCAAGUUUUUCGUCGUAGAAAUGCGAAGUUAGGCAACUUGUUGUUGCUCAAUGCACUUGCGCAAAAACGCAAGUUUUUCCUCACACAGAAAUGCGAAGUUAGACAACUUGUUGAUGCUUUUGAAAGUGUACAUGAUUGUUAGGCGCAAGUUAAUACUCUCUUUAAGAGUUGAUAAUCAAGAGUCAUUGGGGGAAUUGUAUUUCAUUAAAUAGUUAAAAGUUUACAAGCAUUCGCCUCGUUAAAAACCUUGCCUCCAGAAUGAAGCCCCCCUAGCAAGGAAAAGAGUGUGGUCUGUUUCUGAGAAAAUAAAUGCGAUAAAGUAAAUUAGCUGCCCUCGACAUUGUUUAUAGCUUCACAAGUCAGGGGCGUAGCUAAAUGUGACGACUAAGGGUAGUACUUGCGCAAGUUGUCCACGUUCCAUGUAUGUGGCAACUCUACUUCAAGCUGGUCUACGGUAGAAAGAUCCUGGCCUGUUGCUUCGAGUGAGAAUACAUGGUCCUUCCCAUGAUUCUUGUAAUUUCCCGAGGUUCUCCUAGUUUUUCUUCUUCUUGAUGACGAGGUCUCCUACCUUGAUUUCUCUUUGGAUCACUUUUUUGUCCCUCCACUUUCUUGUUUCUUGCUGAUAUUUGUCAAGGUUUUCUACUGCUUGCAGUAUGUCAAGCUCUAUCAUAUCUUUUUCAACCUUUUCAUUAUCUGAGCUAGCCUCGAUUUUGAGCACUCCCAGGCUUUCAUUCUUGAUUUCAUCAAGUGUCAUUGCCUCAGAACAAAUUAAGAGCUGAAAAGGUGUAAAACCCGUCGCUCUUGAUGGUAUGGUGUUGUGGGACCAUAUUACCCUCGGGAGCUCGUCUACCCAAUUUCCUUUCUUUUGAUCAAACAGACAUUUUUUGAUGCUUGAAAAGAUUAUGUCAUUUUCUCUUUCCACAGCUCCAUUCGAUUGAGGAGGCAAAUUUUACCUUAGUACCAAUGCUUGCACAACAUUCCUUGAAAUCAAUGCAGUCAAUUGCUUGCCAUUGUCCACUAUUAGUUCUCUAGGAAUUCCGAAUCUGCAAAUGAUGUUUUGCCAAAAGAACUUUUGCACUAAGCUUGAGGUUAUGUCUGCUAGCGGCUUAGCUUUGAUCCACUUGGUGAAGUAGUCGACUGCCACCACCACAAAUUUGCAGUUGACUUGAGCGGUUGGCAGUGGUCCUACUAAGUCCAUGCCCCAUCUUUGCAGCAGCCAAGUUGGCGGUAUGAGCUAAACUCGAAGUGAGGGUGCCAUCUUUUGAACUCCUAUUUUCGAGCAAGCCUCGCAGCUUCUUACCAAGCUUCGAGCAUCAAGGAUUGCAGUAGGCCAGUAGAAUCCUUGUCUUAUGGAUUUUCCCACCAAAGCUUUGGUCCCAAUGUGCAAACCACAAAAGUAUUUAUGAAUUUCAGCUAGUAACUCCUUUCCAUUUUCUAUGGUUAUGCACCGUAGCCAAGGAGAUGAUAUGAUUGAUUUAUAUAGCUCUCCAUUGACUAUUGCUUAGCCCCUGGCCCUCUGUUUCAUUCUACUUAGCUGAACUUCAUUGUGAGGCUCAAAAUGUCCCCUAAGAUAGGCCAUGAUCAAGGCCCUCCAAUCAAAUCUUGUGAUUGCAUUCACAGUCUUUGAGGGUGGCUCUUUAGUUGAUGGUGUAUAGAUGGCCUCGUAACAGGAGGCAUGGGUUGACUUUCUGCUACUGCCUUUGCUAACCUAUCUGCCUCAUCAUUCUCUGCCCUCGGGAUGUGCUGUAUAGUGAAACCUUUGAAGUAUUUCUCCAUUGCUCUUACCGCGGCCAAGUACUUGAUAAGCUCUGGCUCUCUAGCCUCGCAACUCUUUUCAACAUGCUCUUGAAUUACUUUGGAGUCUAUUUUUACAAUAAAUACUUGUUGGCCCGGGGCCCUCAUUUUUCUUAGCCCGAGAAGCAAUGCUUCAUAUUCAAUGGUGUUUAGCAUCACCUGCAAAAUCAAGCCAUGCAGUGUAUCUCAUUUUGACGCUCGAUGGUGAAGUGACGAUAGUUGAGACCCAGGCCCCUUGUCACACCAGGCUCCAUCACAAUGCAUGAUCCUAGGUACCUCAAGCUCGGUUUGGCUAGCACAUGGGGAUGUCCAAUCUACUAUAAAGUCUGCUAAGACAUGAGAUUUGAUUGCACAUCUUCUUUCAAAAUCCACAACGUACACUGAUAACUCUGAUGCCUAUUUGGUUAUUCUACCCGAGGCCUCUCUAUUUGUGAAGAGAUCAUGCAGCGGUUGAUUAGUAACUACCACAAUUCUGUGACCCUCGAAGUAGUGCCUUAACUUGCAUUCUGCCAUUACUAUAGCAUAUGCAAUUUUUUCCAACUCUGAGUAGAACAGUUUUGAUCCUGACAGCAUCUUUGGUGCGAAGUAAACUGGAAUUUGUUUCAGUUUGCCAUCAAUCUCCUUUUCUUGGACUAAGGUGGCGCUAACUGCUGAGCUCGAGGCUGAUAAGUAUAGUAGCAAAGGGGAAUUUGGCUCGGGCGGACAUAGCUUUGUCAUGGCUUUGCUCUGUUGCUCUCCCCCACUCAAAUUUCUUGGAGCUUCGCAACACUUGGAAAAAUGGCAAGCUUCGUUCAACAGCCUUUGGGAUGAACCUAUUGAGGGCUGCUAUUCUCCCUGUUAGCUUUUGCACGUCCUUAACCGAGGUUGGCUCUUUCAUGUCGACAAGGGCUUGAAUCUUGUCCGGGUUAGCCUCGAUGCCCUUUGUUGAAACUAGGCACCCUAGGACUUUGCCUCGCUGGAUUCCAAAUACACACUUUUCUAGAUUCAUCUUUAGAUUUGCUGCUCUCAAGUUAGCAAAGGUUUUUACGAGGUCGAGUAUGUGAUUCUCCCGCUUGUCACUUUUUACUACAAUGUCAUCAACAUAAGCCAGGAUGUUUCUUUGGAGUUGGCUGCACAUGACUAUUCCUGUCAUUCUCGUAAAAGUUUGCUUCGCAUUUUUAAACCCCUCAGGCAUUCUCAUGAAGCAGUAGGUUCCAAAUGGAGUUAUGAAACUUGUUUUUUCUUCAUCUUCCUUCUUUAUUCUGACUUGGCGGUAGCCUAAGAACAUGUCCAGCAAUGACAACAUCUCAAUGUUUGCAGCAUCGUCUACCACUUUCUCUACUCUUUCUAAUGGAUAAUCAUCUUUUGGGUAGGCCUUGUUCAGAUCAGUGAAAUCUAUACACAUUCUCCAUUUGCUAUUCUUCUUUUUGACUGGUACCAUGUUAGCCAGCCAUUUCGGGUACAUGACUGGGCAUAUGGCAUUUGCAUCAAGCAGUCUUUGGACUUCUAAUUUUAUAGCUUGCACUUUUUCUUCUGAGAUUUUUUUGGAGCUUUUGCUUUUUUGGUUUUGUGCCUUUGUUUAUUUCGAGCUCGUGCUCAAUUAUAUUUCUAUGAACCCCUUGCAGGUCACUAGCUGACCAAGCGAAGACAUGUUUUUUUUAUUUAAGAACUCAAUUAGUUUUUUUUCUCUUCUUCAGGCUCAAGGUUAGCCCCUAUCAUCACAAAUCUGUAUACGAUGCAGUCAUCUAGCAGAACUCUUUUCGUUUUGCCAUCUACGCUUAAUUUUACUUUUUCUUGUCCCUCUUAGGCUCAACGUAAGGCUUUUUCUUUUCUUGUUGUUCAUCCUCAUUGGGACUUGUCAAAUGGUGCACAUUUUUCUAGCCCGGGGUUUCACCUUUCUCAACAUUUCUGGUGGUUUGCUAAUCACCAUAAACUGUGAUCACCCCUUUCAUGGCUAGGAUCUUCAUACAUAGGAACAGUUGUCUUAUUGUUGCGUUGAACUUGUUGAUGAACCCUCUGCCAUGGCUAGCAAAGUAUGGGUAGCACAUUUCAACAACGUCGAAUGUUAUGCAUUCCAUUCUAGUGUUGUCUAGAUUUCCUAAUGAUACAGGGAGCAAAAUUUUUCCCAAGGCUUUAACUGGCCUUCCCCCGAAGCCAAGGAAUGGCACUUCUGUUGGCUCUAGCAAAUGAGGAUCAAUCUUCAUUUCUCUAAACGUGUUUGCAAAGAUGAUGUCCGCAAAGCUUCCGUUGUCAACUAGGACUUUUCCAAUUUUCCACCCAGCUAUGAUGGCCUUGAUCAUGAUCGCACCAUUUUGUGAGGCUGUCUUCAAUUUGAAAUCUUCUUCCGUGAAAGAGAUGGGCAUGUGCGCCCACUCUGGCUUGACCAAAGGCCCAUCAGGUAUGAUUGUAUUCACUUGCCUGAAGUAAUCUCUCUUUUGUCUUUUAUUUUCAAACUCAAGGGAAGAUCCUCCAGCUAUUGGCAUUAUCAUGCUAUAGGUGGGCAAGGCGUUUGGGCUGUCUUCUUGGCGUUCGAAUUGCGAGGAUCCCCCUGCUAUUUGCAUUAUCAUGUCAUAGGUGGGUAAAGCUUUGGGGUUGUUAUUCUAUGUGUUGUUAGGUUCGGCUUUAGGAAUCUGGUUGGGUAGAUUUGAUGGAGGUAGUGAUAUCUCGUGUAGAGGCUGGGAAGGCACGAAGCUUGCGGUUUGCGAGGCUUGCUGAGUUUAAGGGUGGAAUUGUGGUGAAUGUUGCCACAUCAUGGCGGGUUGAAAGUUUGCGAGGUUAGUGUUUGGGAAGUAUGGUUGUUGUGGCCAAAAAUAAGUAUGGUGGAUGGUUUUGGGUGCCGCAGCUGCUUUUUUGUCUUCGGCUAUUCUUUCAAAGGUCUUUUUGAUUUCUAGGUAAAAAUCAGUUGCGUGGUCAAGCUGCUUGCCAUGGAAGGUACAGUAGAACAUUCGAGGUUGGUUGCUCUAGUUGUGCGGCCUUGGAGGCCCUCUGCCUUGGCCUCUUCCCCUUCCAACGUAACCACCUCUCUACACGAUGCCAAAAUUUGGUGGUUGCUGCUGCUGAGGUUGCCUAUUAUGAUUUUGAUUUUGUUGCUGCGAGGAUUGAGCACCCUUGAUCGACAAUACUUGUUGAGCUAGGUAUGGGUGUUGGUGUUGUGCGUAAUUGCACCUCGAGGCUUGGUAGUUCUGAUCUUUUUUAGCCUACCUUUGGUGGUUUCUUUCUGUCACUCUCCUUCUAUGAUCUUCAUCUGAUCUACAGUUCUUUUCUAGCUUAAAAAACAAAGUGUUGGCUUUACUCUUUUAGAUGCGACGUUCUUGGGUCUAGAGUUAGCCCUUUGAUGCAUGUAGCUAUGGCUACGCUUUCGUUCACAUCAGGAGUUUGCGACUUCAACUGAACGAAUCUCUUAACAUAGCUGGCCAAAGGCUCCUUAUCUUUCUAAAUGCAAUGGAAUAGGUCGCUCUAGUUAGAAAUUGCUCGAUGGAAACCUUGGAAAUUUUGUAUCAGCUUGGUUUUGAGAUCUAACUAGCUGUAUACUAACUGUGGUGGAAGUAACGAGUACCAGUUCAACACUGCUCCCUCGCAGGCUAUGAUUAGAGAUUUGGCUAAGACCACAUCAUCUCCUCCUGUAGAUGCUGCCGCAGCCUCGUAGCUCAUCAGGAAUUGGCAAGGAUCAUUCUGCCCAUAGAAUUUUGGCAAUGUGACCGUCUUGUAAGUUGUAGGUCACGAAACGGUUUGUAAGCCCAGGGAUAAUGGAGAGUUCUUGUCAAUUGUUGUGUAGGUGUUUGUUAUUGUUGGGGUGUUGUGUCCGACGAGGUUGGGAUUUGGGUGUGGGAUAGGUGUGUCAUUGGUGGCAUGUCUUGGAAGUGGCGGUUGUGGUGACCUGGUGUGCAGGUAUUGCAGCUCAUCCAGCUCUUCUUGCAACUCUGCUAACUGUCCUUUUGGUUCGUUUAAUUUUGCUAACUUGCUGGCUGCUAGUCUCUACGCCUGUAGCUCUUGAGCGAAUUUUUCUUUUUCUUUUUUCAAUGUUUCAAGUUGUUUUAGCACGGAGGCUAACUCCCUCUCUGUUAAUCCAAGUGGAUCAUUUUGUGUGUUUGCUUGUGGUUGUGCUCUGCCUCAAUUGUCUUUUUCUCGCUCCUUGUACUUAGGUUGGCUUCUAUUCUUUUUUUUUCUAGAGUGUCCAUGUUAUCUUGCUUAACAAAGACGAGCUACCUUUCCUGCUCUCUCUCGUCCUCGGUAGUCUUCUUCUUCUUCUGGGGUGGCAUCGUGGGUUGUUUCGUGGCUGAGAACAUGGUGGGUGCUAAUGUUGGGAUGCAAUUCUCAAAGAGACUCGUGCUCAAAAGAUGGAAUAGGAAAAAAACUUGCGAUGUCUUGAAAAUCAUCCCUCCCUUUACAACGGGGUAGGGCUCCCCUUUUAUAGUGACUCGAAGGUCAUUUUACAUACCAUGAAUACCCUUUCUCACCUAUUACAUUCCUAGAAUAUGCUGUACAUAAAGGUCUUUGGGAUAACGUGUACAAAUUGAACUCUCCUGCAGAGUCACGUAUCUCACGCCUCAUUGUAGUCAUGCCUCCUUGUAGUCACGCUUCUCUCGCCUCCUUGUAGUCACACUUCUCACAUUUUUAUAUAGCCAUGCUUCUCACACCUUCGAGCCCUUAACCUCGAGGCUUGUUUUUUUCAUCUAAGUCUUCAGCUUCGCAACCUUAGCUUCACGUUGAGGAGACUCCUUAGCCUCAUGUCUUCAACCUCGACGCGCACAGCUCAGUCCUGACCCUGAGUAGAAAACAUAUUGAAAAACUCGGUGCUCAAGAUUAGCUUCGAGCAUUCGAGGGUAAGUUAAUUCAUAUCUUAACCAUCAGCAAAUAAUCUUUAGCCUCGAAGUCAAAAUGGCAAAGAAGAUGCGAGGUUAACGUAGUUUACACGCUUGUUUAGAACGUGCGAGGUUAAGUGAGUUUUAUCUAUUGAUCUUGAUCUUGCGAGGUUAGCUAGUUUUUGCCGAUGAACACGCUCGUGGUUGAUCGGUUUUGGACAAUCCCCAGCAACACUGAUACUAUCCGUUGUUGUUGGGCAUAAACAUACAAGGCCCAAAAAGAACAAAAAUUUCCAGCCCACUUGACGCCUGGUCAAAGGCUGAAAAGCAAGAGCCCAUGAUCAAACUUCUUCACAAUUUUUUUCCUUCUCCUAUGAGGGUAAGGUAAGUAGGGUGGUGAGCUAGUAAGAACUUAUUUAUAUUUUGUCAAUGAAAAUGAAGCUAGUAAGAACUGAUCUAGUGUUUAAUUCAUCGCUGCGCCAUUGUUUAUACCACACAAUUCCCUUUUUCCUGCUCAUUUCUUUUCAACAGAAAUGGUUAAUAGUUGAGUGAGCUCAACACGUCACAGUUAAACCUACUAACAAAGUUGUUGAGUGAGCUCGUCUAGGUGCAGUUAAGAAAGAAAGAGCCACGAACAGAACCAACGAAUUGCGGUCUAAACAAAUGGACACUUCACUCCCGCUUGACCAUCUCGUAAGAAGUCUACGAUACCCCUCAAAGUAGUUGCAUCUUGCAAUUUAGAUCCAGACUUCUACUAACUUUUUCGAUAAAGGAAGUUUCAUAAAUUUCAAGAUUGUUACAUCGAGUGGAUACAAAAUCUUAAAAUACUCCAGACCUCUGCAUAUCUGGGAUGAACAUAGUCUUACAAGAGAGACACAAAGAAACCAGCAUACUAAUGACACUCAAUUCGACUAGACUGCAAUUUGUGUGCCCGGGUAAAAAACUCUUUGCUUCCAUGUGUUAGGGCCAUGCCUAGGAUCUCUAGAUGCACAUCUAGUCGGGGUCGAGAAUAACAUGAGGGUCAUGGUGUUCCUGGUGUGUGUGCUAAGAGUGAGAGAGAGUGAUAGGGGUACCUUCACCCCUAGAGGUGGGAGCAGCAGAGCUGCUGGCCAUCGCGGGUUCGCUUGGUGGAGUCUGCGCAAGGCAGCGACGCGCAGUGCCGAGUCCGGUCGCCGGUGAGGUGGCGGUGGUGCUUCCCGCCACUACUGCGCAAACCUAGAUCGGUAGGUGUGUCGGUGGGGUGGCUGGCUGCGGCGAACCUCAUGAGCCGAGCCAGGUCCCCCACCCUGUUUAUAUAGCACAGCGCGACAGGGGCCCACCACCCAUUUCUAGGGUGAGCGCCCCCGAUCAGGGCGCGGAUCAGGGUCCCGAUGGGCCUUUGGGCCCAUUGGGAAGGAGAUCAAUCUAACAUUCUCCCCCUUGAUCUCAUCAUUUACUUUUAACUUUACACUUUUCACUUUUAUUCGUUUCAUCGUAGAUUAAUAUGUAGAGCAUGCCUCAUCGUCACAGCUUAAUUGCCGAUAGAAUCAACAGCUACAACACACCUCUCUAUUUUGAAACAAUUCUGUUUCUUUUGGGCCUUUUCCAAUCCAGGAAUCAUAGGUUUCCCUUAAACCCAUGCCGGCUAAGUGUUCUCUGAACACAUUGGGUGGUAAGCCUUUCGUGAGCGGAUCCGCAAGCAUAUCUUUUGUUCUUAUAUGCUCGAGACUUAUAGUGUGAUCCUGGAUUCUGUCUUUCACAACAUAAAACUUUAUCUCAAUGGCUUUGGAAGCAUUGCUUGAUUUGUUGUUGUGAGCAUAGAAUACUGCUGGCUCAUUGUCGCAGUACAUCUUUAGUGGUCUGUGAAUACAGUCAACCACUCUCAAUCCGGGUAUAAAUUUCUUUAGCCACAUUGCCUGCCCCGUGGCCUCAUGACAUGCUAUGAAUUCUGCAUGCAUCGUUGAUGACGCAGUUACUUUCUGUUUUGAGCUUCUCCAUGAGAUAGCUCCUCCUCCGAGAGUGAAUACGUAUCCAGACGUGGAUUUUCUAUCAUCUUUGUCUCCCGCAAAAUCUGCAUCUGAAUACCCUUUUAUCUCUAGGGAAUCAGAUCUCUUAUACGUAAGCAUGAGUUCUUUUGUGCCUUGCGCGUAGCGCAACGCUUUCUUUACCAUCUUCCAGUGUUCUAUACCUGGAUUACUUUGAUAUCUACCAAGAACCCCGGUGACAAAAGCUAAGUCAGGGCGAGUGCAUACUUGAGCAUACUGUAAGCUUCCGACAGCUGAAGCAUAUGGAACCGCUUUCAUUUGAUCGAUCUCGUACUGGUUCCUGGGACAUUGAAAAUUCCCAAAACUGUCGCCCUUGACUAUGGGAGCAGGUGUGGCCUUACUCGCAUGCAUAUUAUACUUCUUUAGAACCUUUUCUAAAUAUGCCUUUUGCGAUAAUCCUAGGACCCCAUUCAAUCUAUCUCGGUGAAUUUCUAUGCCCAAAACAUAUGAUGCUUCACCAAGAUCCUUCAUAUCGAAGUUUGAGGACAAGAACUUCUUUGUCUCUUGCAGUAGACUGAUAUCACUGCUUGCAAGUAAGAUAUCAUCCACAUACAGAAUUAGGAAAAUGUAUUUCCCAUUUUUGAACUUUGCAUAGACACAAUUGUCCUCUAUAUUCUCUUGAAACCCAAAUUUCUUUAUUAUAUCAUUAAACUUUAGAUACCACUGUCUAGAGGCUUGCUUUAAUCCAUAAAUGGAUUUCUUUAGACGACAUCCCAUAUUCUCUUUGUCUUCCAUGAUAAAACCCUUUGGUUGUUUCAUGUAGACAUUUUCUUCUAAAUCCCCAUUUAUAAAUGCCGUCUUUACAUCCAUCUGAUGUAACUCUAAGUCAAAAUGUGCAACCAGUGCCAUUAUGAUUCUGAAGGAGUCUUUACAUGAGAUAGGAGAAAACGUUUCAUUGUAAUCUAUUCCUUCUCUUUGUGUAAAGCCUUUUGCCACAAGUCUCGCCUUAUACCUUUCUAUAUUCCCUUUGGAGUCACGUUUAGUCUUGUAGACCCAUUUACAGCCUACUGUUUUGGCUCCUUUAGGAAUUUCCUCAAGUUCCCAAACAUUGUUGGAACUCAUCGAUUUCAUCUCAUCUUCCAUGGCCUCUAGCCACUUCAAUGAGUGAACACUUUUCAUGGCUUCCUCAUAUGAAGUGGGAUCACCUUCUAUAUGAACUUUUUCUGUAUUAUAAACUUUAUAGCAAUCAGGGAUAGCUGAUAUUCUGACCCUUUGAGACCUUCUAGGCCCCUCACUUUUGGGCACAUUCUGUGCCUCUGCUUGUGGCACAUCAUUCAGAGGUGGCUGCUGCAACUCUUCCUCGUGUGUAAUGAUGGGUUCAGUUGGCUCCUGAAGGACAGGUUCCAAAACUUCACUCAUCGUUUCCAUGGGUGGAAUCACAGCAGGUGCCUGCACCACAAUGUCAGGGAUUGUAGCGGGUGCUUGCACCACGACCUCAGGAACUAUUGGUGCGGGAAUAAUAGGUAGUGAGAAGAAUGGUUCCUGAAUCAUCGGAUUAGGUGCACACACCCGCUUCUCCUCAAGAUCAAUCUCUCGAGCUACCAUGCUCCCCGUCACCAUCUCAUCCUCUAAGGAAAUCGCUUGUCUCGUUUCUACAAACUUUGUAUAUCUGUUUGGACAGUAGAAACGAAAACCUUUUGAUUUUUUCGGAUAGCCAAUGAAAUGGCAACUUACUGUUUUGGGAUCUAGCUUCCCGAUGUUUGGGUUAAAUACUUUGGCCUCAGCUGGGCUCCCCCACACACGCAGGUGGUUUAGUGAGGGUACUCUUCCUGUCCAUAGUUCAUACGGUGUUUUGGGCACUGACUUACUUGGUACUCUAUUUAGAAUGUGAAUGGCGGUCUUCAACGCCUCCAUCCACAGUCCCAAUGGUAAGGUGGAAUAACUCAUCAUGCUGCACACCAUAUCCAUCAGUGUACGGUUACGCCUUUCAGCUACUCCAUUUUGCUGAGGCUCGCCCGGCAUCGAAUACUGGGCUACUAUGCCAUUUUCCUACAAAAACCUUGCAAAAGGUCCAGGAACUUGGCCAAAUGGGGUAUGUCGACCAUAGUACUCCCCCCCACGGUCGGAUCUUACUAUUUUGAUUCUUUUGUUAUGCUGAUUUUCAACUUCAGCUUUAAAUAUCUUAAAUUUAUCCAGCGCUUCUAAUCUUUCUUUAAUUGGAUAAAUGUAACCAUAACAGGAGUAAUCAUCUGUGAAUGUUAUGAACGAGUCAUAGCCAUACAUGCUUUUCACAGGAAAUGGUCCACAAAUAUCUGUGUGGAUUAUCUCUAAAACUCCUGUGCUACGUUUAGCGCCUUUUUUAAUUUGCUUUACAAAUUUUCCUUUAAUGCAAUCAACGCAUUGUUCUAAUUCUGAGAACUCUAAUUGAGGAAGAAUUUCAUUCUUAACUAGUGUUUCUAUUCUCCCCCUCGAAAUAUGGCCUAAACGACAGUGCCAUAAUUUUGACGAUAUUUCAUGAGUUCUCUUUCUUUUCUUUGUUUCUUUCUCUGACGAGGAUACAUUCAUAUUCACAUCACACACAGAAUUUACUUUUUCAUGCAGUGAUAAUAAAUACAACUCAUUGUGAAGGAUGGCAACACCAACACAUGCAUUAUCGAACCAAAUGGCACACUUUCCAUUUCCAAAAUGACAUUCAUAUCCAUCAUGGUCCAUACGUGAAAUGCUAAUCAAGUUUCUGUGUAACGAAGGAACAUAAAGCACAUCUCUAAGUACAAGCAUGAAACCAUCAACUAGCUCUAGAGAGACAUCGCCAACAGCUUCAACUUCUUCUUGGACUCCAUUUGCGACUUCAACGCAUCUUUCGCUUCUUUGCGUAGUCCUCGUUGAACGGAAUCCCUGUAAAGAAUUUGCAACAUGAACAGUUGCACCUGAGUCAAUCCACCAAGUAGAUUUCGAAUACUGUGUAUACAAGGAUUCAUUUACAAAAGAAAUAGUAUUCUCACCUCUUUUUGCCAUUAUUGACUUUAACCAGUCGGGACAGUCUUUCUUGAAGUGCCCCUUUUUCUUGCAGUGUAGACAUUGAUCUUUGUCUACUGUGAGAGGCUUUUGGUGAUUCUUCUGCAUAGGAGCCUUUCCUCGUGCCUUGAAAGAGGAGUUAGCAAUCUUUUUUCUGUUGUCCUUCACAUAGUGCAAUGAACCACCAUAUGAGGAUCUAAGUCUGUCCUCUUCCUGCACGCACAUGGCUAUCAUUUUUUCCAUGUCCCACUGUUCUGGCUGCAUAUUAUAAUUGACAACAAAAGUGUCAAACUCUUUUGGCAGUGAAGCGAAAACCAAAUGAAUAAUGUGCCCAGGCUUGAGCUCAAGAUCCAUUGGCUUCAACUGUGCUGCCAAGUUAUACAUCCUCAUGAUGUGAUCUCUUAUGCCAGUCCCUCCUCCAUUGUACCUCUCUGUGGCCAGCUGCUUGAACAGCUGGGUAGCGUAUAUCUUUGAGGAACCAGUGAACUGAUUCCUUAUCUUGUCGAGGUACUCUGAGACGGAGUCACACUCUGUGAUCGAGCCCAAAAUAGCAGGCUCAAUCGUAUUCUUUACCAAAGCCAUACAUUUCUUGUUGGCAGUGGUCCACUGUUUGUUUUCAAGGGUGUAUGCCAACUCCAGUGGAAAAUAGUCCCUUUCCUUUUGCUGCCAUGCAGCAUCAUCAUCACUUUCAGCCCUCACUGGCUUCUGUGGAGCUUGUGGCCGCGGUGUGGUCAGCACCCAGUCAACUUCUCCACAAACGAAAGAGAACUCAAUCUUCUUCCUCCAUUCUGUAUAGUUGUUGCCUUUCAGAAUGGGUAUCUCUUUGAGACAAGCCAUUAAGUUGAAUGAUCCUGAAAUUUACAAUCCAUAAGUGAGAUCAUAACAACAAUUGCAUGAUUUAUUUCCAACGUUGGUCAAAAAAUAAAACAUAUAAUUUUUGAUGCAAUUUAAAACUAUAUCACCGUUGGGAAGAAAUAGAAAUAAAAGCAUCAAAAGAACUUUUUAAAUCAUGAUACAGUUAUUAACAACGUUGGUCAGAAAAUAACAGCACCAUGAUCUAAUUAACUUUAUCAUGCUCUCACAAAAUUUAAUUGUCUCGUUGGUUCAAAUUAAAAUUAAAUGGAGCAAUAAAUAUGACUUUUGCAGCGGAAACUGUGAAAUAAAUCUAUUUUGAGAAGCAAAACCACUGUACAAACUUUAUUAAUCUCUAAUACAAAUUAUCCCGUUGGUUCAAAUUAGAUUAGAGACUAAACCUAUGCAGAAAACAUCAAGUAAAUGCUACUGAAAUAGAAAAAAACUAAUUAUCAGACGUUACUGUGCAAAACUCGUAUUUCGGCCCAGCCGCGAAAACGGCCCACAGCCCGUUCCCGCGCUCGGCCCGCUCGCGCGACGCAGUUGGCUCGCCAAAAAGGCCCACGAAACGGCCGGCCCAACUUGGCCUGCUCGCUCGGCACGCGCCUACAGGCCGCAACCUGGGCCUGGGCCGUGAAAGCGGCCUGCUGCCGCCUCCCGCCUGGGCCAUCUCUGGCCCGUUCGUUCUGAUCCGUCCGAUUUGAUCGGACGGUCCGGCGUCAUUUUCGGCCAAACAAAACGGUGAAACGGCUGGCUCCCAUAACCCUAACUCCAUUCUACUCCACUCUCCCCCGCGAGCUCCCACCGUGGCGGCUGCGGCGGGGCCGUCUCUCCCGCGCCCGGCGAUGGCCGGCGGCGGCGGUGGAGGGAUGGCCCCGCCGGUGCAUGGCCGCGGCAGCCCCCUCCCUCUUCCCUUUCUGCUUUCCCUCCCCCUCUCCCUCUCCCUCGGAGCCUACUCCAAGAUCCAGGAGGUGGCCAUGGCGACCAUGGAAGAGGGCCGGCGCCACCGCGGGUCCCCUCGUCGGCGCGCGCGUCCACCCCGAGGGUUGGGCGCGCCGCCGUCGAGCGGUCCUUUGGUGGUGCUGUUGCCCCCCCCCCCGAGCCCCGAGCGGAUGCGCCGGCGGUUCGGGUGGACCUUGUCCCCGGCGAGCCCGAGGCUCGGCCGGCCUUUGCCGCUCGCCGUUGGUGGACGUGCGGCGGUGAAGUCGACGACAGGUAAGCCGCCGCUUUCUUUCUUUAGAUCUAGGGAUAGGGUUAGGGUUUCACUUUUCUGUUUCUUUUCAAUCUUCUUCUUUUUCCCGAUCUACUUCUUUUUCCCGAUCUAGAAGAGCUUCUAGUGAGGUGUCUGAUACCAUUGUUAGGGCCGUGCCUAGGAUCUCUAGAUGCACAUCUAGUCGGGGUCGAGAAUAACAUGAGGGUCAUGGUGUUCCUGGUGUGUGUGCCGAGAGUGAGAGAGAGUGAUAGGGGUACCUUCACCCCUAGAGGUGGGAGCAGCAGAGCUGCUGGCCAUCGCGGGUUCGCUUGGUGGAGUCUACGCAAGGCAGCGACGCGCAGUGCCGAGUCCGGUCGCCGGUGAGGUGGCGGUGGUGCUUCCCGCCGCUACUGCGCAAACCUAGAUCGGUAGGUGUGUCGGUGGGGCGGCUGGCUGCGGCGAACCUCGUGAGCCGAGCCGGGUCCCCCACCCUGUUUAUAUAGCGCAGCGCGACAGGGGCCCACCACCCAUUGCUAGGGUGAGCGCCCCCGAUCAGGGCACGGAUCAGGGUCCCGAUGGGCCUUUGGGCCCAUUGGGAAGGAGAUGAAUCUAACACCAUGCACUUGCCAAUGGAAUUUAUAAAGGCAAAGAAACAAGGCCAUUCAUCGGGCCACAGCAACGAUCACCCACCACCACUGAUCAAAGCCAUUGGCCUCAUCAAUAACUCCAUAUCUUCUUCAGCAGCUGAACAAGUUGUGUGCAACUAUACAUGGGCACAUCGAUGUGAACAUUCAUCGAACAACCUGUGCUACAGUACUGGUAGUGAAAAACCUGCGCUGGAGCCUUGCGUAGUCUUCCAACGUGUAACCCAUCGUCUCUCUAGCUAGCUCUCUCAACGACUGUGGGACGAGAGAUCAGGAUGAGGAGGCAACUGGGGAUUUGAGAGUUGCUCAGAAAGGUCGCUUGUCGCGGUCUUGUUAAUUAUACAUCACUCAUGGGGAGAGUCGAUCAUGUGGUUCGAGUGGACUGAGUUUUCAUGGAAUGGAGUUUAUUUGGCGCGCCAGUGAGGGAAAGCGGUUGAGCGAUGCGAUGAUCCAGCCCACUGAGAUUUCAGAGCGGGUGUUAGGUUCGCAGCAGGCCGUGUGCUGUCGGCUGUCCUGCCUGCUGCUCAUGUACUCAAAGUGCUUUUUUUAUGCGAGGACAGUAAGUUUCCAUUUAUCUUUACGACUAACUAGUAUCAUCCAUCCCUUCUUUCACGUCAAUGCCAUGACCAAGAAGGCGCUCAAGAGGCACAAGCAUCUGGAUGAACGCACGGUGAGGAGGCUGGCUCUCGUACUACUGAAGCUGUCUGACUAUAUAUAUUUUUUUGAAAUGUCUGUCUGACUACAUCCAAUCGAUUCAGAGUUGUGUUGUGUAUUCAGUAGUAUCUCUGUUCUCUAGUGCGGCUGCAGGUGAUCUGUAUGGGUGUGUGGUCGGCCCAGUUGGCCCCUUGGAGCGCUUGCGUAUGGAUAUAUUACCAUCACUACCGGAAACAGUAAGUUUGCCGAGUGCCCCAGGCACUCGGCGAAGGUCCAAAUACACUCGGCAAAAGGUUUGCCGAGUGUAACACUCGGCGAACUCUACUCGGCAAAGUUUCCCUCAGCAAACAGUGGGUUUGCCGAGUGUCGAUCGUUGGGCACUCGGCAAAGCCUUUGCCGAGUGCCACAAAACACUCGGCAAAAUAUAACACUCGGCACAAAGGGGAUAACGGUCUGUGAUGGUAACAGCUACUUUGCCGAGUGUCAGAUGGCAAACACUCGGCGAAUCCUUAAAUUUUGCCCAGUGUAUUUAUAUAUUGCACUCGGUGAAGGUACACAGUUUGCCGAGUGUAUUUUAGAUGACACUCGGCAAAGAGGCCCCACCCGCCAGAUUUCUUUGAGCCGUUUGCCGAGUGUUUCCCAGUGGCACUCGGCAAAGUUGCAUAGUUUGCCGAGUGCCUUCCUCUUGGCACUCAGCAAACAGGCCAAUCUCACAAAGAGUUGAUGCCUUCCUCUUGGCACUAUGCAAAAGUUGCUAGAGUUCGAACAUUUGGUAUCAAGAGCUAGUGUUUGUGCACAAAGAGAUGUCGACCACCCCGCAGAAGUCCAGCGAUGACUUGAAGGCCGGCGGCAGCAGCUCACCAUGUCCGGUCAUGGUGGAGCGCAUCGUUAGGGAGUCGAGCUCGUCGUUGGUGUUCCCGAUACUGUCGUGCACCAAUUAUCACAAGAGGGCACCAAUUCAGUUGAUGCAGGUAAAUUAGAGGCGAUGGGGCUCUGGGGCUGCGUGGAGUCGAGUAAGGUCGAGCACCAUGAGGUUCAGCUUGUUAGAGCCUAGCCUAGGAUGAGAGAGAUGAGGGACAUGGUGUUCCUUGUGUGUGUGCCGAGAGUGAGAGAGAGAUAUAGGGGUACCUUCACCCCUAGAGGUGGGAGCAGCAGAGCUGCUGGCCAUCGCGGGUUCGGUCGGUGAAGUCUACGCAAGGCAGCGACGCGCAGUGCCGAAUCCAGUCGCCGGUGAGGUGGCGGUGGUGCUUCCCGCCGCUACUGCGCAAACCUAGAUCGGUAGGUGUGUCGGUGGGGCGGUUGGCUACGGCGAACCUCGUGAGCCGAGCCGGGUCCCCCACCCUGUUUAUAUAGCGCAGCGCGACAGGGGCCCACCACCCAUUGCUAGGGUGAGCGCCCCGAUCAGGGCGCUAAUCAAGGUCCCGAUUGGCCUUUGGGCCGAUCGGGAAAGAGAUCAAUCUAACAUUCUCCCCCUUGAUCUCAUCCUUUACUUUUAACUUUACACUUUUCACUUUUAUUCGUUUCAUCGUAGAUUAAUAUGUAGAGCAUGCCUCAUCGUCACAGCUUAAUUGCCGAUAGAAUCAACAGCUACAACACACCUCUCUAUUUUGAAACAAUUCUGUUUCUUUUGGGCCUUAUCCAAUCCAGGAAUCAUAGGCUUUCCCUUAAACCCAUGCCGGCUAAGUGUUCUCUGAACACAUUGGGAGGUAAGCCUUUCGUGAGCGGAUCCGCAAGCAUAUCUUUUGUUCUUAUAUGCUCGAGACUUAUAGUGUGAUCCUGGAUUCUAUCUUUCACAACAUAAAACUUUUUCUCAAUGGCUUUGGAAGCAUUGCUUGAUUUGUUGUUGUGAGCAUAGAAUACUGCUGGUUCAUUGUCGCAGUACAUCUUUAGUGGUCUGUGAAUACAGUCAACCACUCUCAAUCCGGGUAUAAAUUUCUUUAGCCACAUUGCCUGCCCCGUGGCCUCAUGACAUGCUAUGAAUUGUGCAUGCAUCGUUGAUGACGUAGUUACUUUCUGUUUUGAGCUUCUCCAUGAGAUAGCUCCUCCUGCGAGAGUGAAUACGUAUCCAGAUGUGGAUUUUCUAUCAUCUUUGUCUCCCGCAAAGUCUGCAUCUGAAUACCCUUUUAUCUCUAGGGAAUCAGAUCUCUUAUAUGUAAGCAUGAGUUCUUUUGUGCCUUGCGCGUAGCGCAAUGCCUUCUUUACCAUCUUCCAGUGUUCUAUACCUGGAUUACUUUGAUAUCUACCAAGAACCCCGGUGACAAAAGCUAAGUCAGGGCGAGUGCACACUUGGGCAUACUGUAAGCUUCUGACAGCUGAAGCAUAUGGAACCGCUUUCAUUUGAUCGAUCUCGUACUGGUCGUGAGACAUUGAAAAUUCCCAAAACUGUCGCCCUUGACUAUAGGAGCAGGUGUGGCCUUACUCGCAUGCAUAUUGUACUUCUUUAGAACCUUUUCUAAAUAUGCCCUUUGCGAUAAUCCAAGGACCCCAUUCAAUCUAUCUUGGUGAAUUUCUAUGCCCAAAACAUAUGUUGCUUCACCAAGAUCCUUCAUAUCGAAGUUUGAGGACAAGAACUUCUUUGUCUCUUGCAGUAGACUGAUAUCACUGCUUGCAAGUAAAAUAUCAUCUACAUACAGGAUUAGGAAAAUGUAUUUCCCAUUUUUGAACUUUGCAUAGACACAAUUGUCCUCUAUAUUCUCUUGAAACCAAAAUUUCUUUAUUAUAUCAUUAAACUUUAGAUACCACUGUCUAGAGGCCUGCUUUAAUCCGUAAAUGGAUUUCUUUAGACGACAUCCCAUAUUCUCUUUUUCUUCCAUGACAAAACCCUUUGGUUGUUUCAUGUAGACAUUUUCUUCUAAAUCCCCAUUUAGAAAUGUUGUCUUUACAUCCAUCUGAUGUAACUCUAAAUCAAAAUGUGCAACUAGUGCCAUUAUGAUUCUGAAGGAGUCUUUACAUGAGACAUGAGAAAAAGUCUCAUUAUAAUCUAUUCCUUCUCUUUGUGUAAAACCUUUUACCACAAGUCUUGCCUUAUACCUUUCUAUAUUCCCUUUGGAGUCACGUUUAGUCUUGUAGACCCAUUUACAGCCUACUGUUUUGGCUCCUUUAGGAAUCUCCUCAAGUUCCCAAACAUUGUUGGAACUCAUCGAUUUCAUCUCAUCUUCCAUGGCCUCUAGCCACUUCGAUGAGUGAACACUUUUCAUGGCUUCCUCAUAUGAAGUGGGAUCACCUUCUAUAUGAACUUCUUCUGUAUUAUAAACUUUAUAACAAUCAGGGAUAGCUGAUUUUCUGACCCUUUGAGACCUUCUAGGCCCCUCACUUUCGGGCACAUUCUGUGCCUCUGCUUGUGGCACACUGUUCAGAGGUGGCUGCUGCAACUCUUCCUCGUGUGUAAUGAUGGGUUCAGUUGGCUCCUGAAGGACAGGUUCCAAAACUUCACUCAUCGUUUCCACGGGUGGAAUCACAGCAGGUGCCUGCACCACAAUAUCAGGGACUGUAGCGGGUGCUUGCACCACGACCUCAGGAACUAUUGGUGCGGGAAUAAUAGGUAGCGAGAAGUAUGGUUCUUGAAUCAUCGGAUUAGGUGCACACACCCGCUUCUCCUCAAGAUCAAUCUCUCGAGCUACCAUGCUCCCCCUCACCAUCUCAUCCUCUAAGAAAAUCGCCUGUCUCGUUUCUACAAACUUUGUAUAUCUGUCUGGACAGUAGAAACGAAAACCCUUUGAUUUUUCCGGAUAGCCAAUGAAGUGGCAACUUACUGUUUUGGGAUCUAGUUUCCCGAUGUUUGGGUUAAAUACUUUGGCCUCAGCUGGGCUCCCCCACACACGCAGGUGGUUUAGUGAGGGUACUCUUCCUGUCCAUAGUUCGUACGGUAUUUUGGGCACCGACUUACUUGGCACUCUAUUUAGAAUGUGAAUGGCGGUCUUCAACGCCUCCAUCCACAGUCCCAAUGGUAAGCUGGAAUAGCUCAUCAUGCUGCGCACCAUAUCCAUCAGUAUACGGUUACGCCUUUCAGCCACUCCAUUUUGCUGAGGCUCGCCCGGCAUCGAAUACUGGGCUACUAUGCCAUUUUCCUGCAAAAACCUUGCAAAAGGUCCAGGACUUGGCCAAAUGGGGUAUGUCGACCAUAGUACUCCCCCCCACGGUCGGAUCUUACUAUUUUGAUUCUUUUGUUAUGCUGAUUUUCAACUUCAACUUUAAAUAUCUUAAAUUUAUCCAGCGCUUCUGAUCUUUCUUUGAUUGGAUAAAUGUAACCAUAACGGGAGUAAUCAUCUAUGAAUGUUAUGAACAAGUCAUAGCCAUCCACGCUUUUCACAGGAAAAGGUCCACAAAUAUCAGUGUGGAUUAUCUCUAAAACUCCUGUGCUACGUUUAGCGUCUUUUUUAAUUUGCUUUAGAAAUUUUCCUUUAAUGCAAUCAACGCAUUGUUCUAAGUCUGAGAACUCUAAUUGAGGAAGAAUUUCAUUCUUAACUAGUCUUUCUAUUCUCCCCCUCGAAAUAUGGCCUAAACGACAGUGCCAUAAUUUCAACGAUAUUUCAUGAGUUCUCUUUCUUUUCUUUGUUUCUUUCUCUGACGAGGAUACAUUCAUAUUCACAUCACACACAGAAUUUACUUUUUCAUGCAAUGAUAAUAAAUACAACUCAUUGUGAAGGAUGGCAACGUCAACACAUGCAUUAUCGAACCAAAUGGCACACUUUCCAUUUCAGAAAUGACAUUCAUAACCAUCAUGGUCCAAACGUGAAAUACUUAUCAAGUUUCUGUGUAAUGAAGGAAUAUAAAGCACAUCUCUAAGUACAAGCAUGAAACCAUCAACUAGCUCUAGAGAGACAUCGCCAACAGCUUCAACUUCUGCUUGGACUCCAUUUGCGACUUCAACGCAUCUUUUGCUUCUUUGCGUAGUCCUCGUCGAACGGAAUCCCUGUAAAGAAUUUGCAACAUGAACAGUUGCACCUAAGUCAAUCCACCAAGUAGAUUUCGAAUACUGUGUAUACAAGGAUUCUUUUAUAAAAGAAAUAGUAUUCUCACCUCUUUUUUCCAUUAUUGACUUUAACCAGUCGGGACAGUCUUUCUUGAAGUGCCCCUUUUUCUUGCAGUGUAGACAUUGAUCUUUGUCUACUGUGAGAGGCUUUUGGUGAUUCUGCUGCAUAGGAGCUUUUCCUCGUGCCUUGAAAGAGGGGUUAGCAAUCUUUUUCCUGUUAUCCUUCACAUAGUGCAAUGAGCCACCAUAUGAGGAUCUAAGUCUGUCCUCUUCCUGCACGCACAUGGCUAUUAUUUUUUCCAUGUCCCACUGUUCUGGCUGCAUGUUAUAAUUGACAACAAAAGUGUCAAACUCUUUAGGCAGAGAAGCAAAAACCAAAUGAAUAAUGUGCCCAGGCUUGAGCUCAAGAUCCAUAGGCUUCAACUGUGCUGCCAAGUUAUACAUCCUCAUGAUGUGAUCUCUUAUGCCAGUCCCUCCUCCAUUGUACCUCUCUGUGGCCAGCUGCUUGAACAGCUGGGUAGCAUAUAUCUUUGAGGAACCAGUGAACUGAUUCCUUAUCUUGUCAAGGUACUCUGAGACGGAGUCACACUCUGCGAUCGAGCCCAAAAUGGCAGGCUCAAUCGUAUUCUUUACCAAAGCCAUACAUUUCUUGUUGGCAGUGGUCCACUGUUUGUUUUUAAGGGUGUAUGCCAACUCCAGUGGAGCAUAGUCCCUUUCCUUUUGCUGCCAUGCAGCAUCAUCAUCACCGUCAGCCCUCACUAGCUUCUGUGGAGCUUGUGGCCGCGGUGUGGUCAGCACCCAGUCAACUUCUCCACAAACAAAGGAGAACUCAAUUUUCUUCCUCCAUUCUGUAUAGUUGUUGCCUUUCAAAAUGGGUAUCUCUUUGAGACAAGCCAUUAAGUUGAAUGAUCCUGAAAUUUACAAUGCAUAAGUGAGAUCAUAACAACAAUUGCAUGAUUUAUUUCCAACGUUGGUCAAAAAAAUAAAACAUACAACUGUUGAUGCAAUUUAAAACUAUAUCACCGUUGGGCAGAAAUAGAAAUAAAAGCAUCAAAAGAACUUUUUAAAUCAUGAUACAGUUAUUAACAAUGUUGGCCAGAAAAUAACAGCACCAUGAUCUAAUUAACUUUAUCAUGCUCUCACAAAAUUUAAUUGUCUCGUUGGUUCAAAUUAAAUUUAAAUGGAGCAAUAAAUAUAACUUUUGCAGCGGAAACUGUGAAAUAAAUCUAUUUUCAGAAGCAAAACACUGUACAAACUUUAUUAAUCUCUAAUACAAAUUAUCCCAUUGGUUCAAAUUAGAUUAGAGACUAAAACUAUGCAAAAAACAUCAAUUAAAUGCUUCUGGCAAUAGAAAAAACAAAAAAACAGACUUUACUGUGCAAAACACAAAUUUCAGCCUAGCCGCGAAAACGGCCCACAGUCCGUUCCCGCGCUCGGCCCGUAUUCGCGACGCCGUCGGCCCGCUAACGCGGCCCACGAAGACAGCCCGCUAAGGCGGCUCGGCGCCGGCCUCCCGCGCGGCUGCGGUUAGCAGGCCGCAACCUGGGCCUGGGCCGCCGAAGCGGCCUGCUGUCGCCUCCCGCCUGGGCCAAUACCGGCCCGUUGAUUCUAGUCCGUCCGAUUUGGUAUUGGCCCGUUGAUUCUAGUCCGUCCGAUUUGAUCGGACGGUUCGGCGUCAUUUUCGGCCGAACAAAACGGCGAAACGGCCGGCUCUCGUAACCCUAACUCCAUUCUCCUCCACUCUCCCCCGCGAGCUCCCGCCGUGGCGGCGGUGGCGGGGCCAUCUCUCCCGCGCCCGGCGAUGGCCGGCGGCGGCGGUGGAGGGAUGACCCCGCCGGCGCACGGCCGCGGCAGCCCCCUCCCUCUUCUCUUUCUGUUUCCCUCCCCCUCUCCCUCUCCCUCGGAGCCUACUCCAAGAUCCAGGAGGUGGCCAUGGCGACCAUGGAAGAGGGCCGGCGCCACCGCGGGUCCCUUCGCCGGCGCACGCGUCCACCCCGAGGGUUGGGCGCGCCGCCGUCGAGCGGUCCUUUGGUGGUGCUUUUGCGCCCCCCCCCCAAGCCCCGAGCGAAUGCUCCGGCGGCUCGGGUGGACCUUUUCCCCGGUGAGCCCGAGGCUCGGCCGGCCUUUGCCGCUCGCCGUCGGUGGACGUGUGGCGGUGAGGACGUCAGCAGGUAAGUCUCCCAUGUCUCUCUUUUCUUUAGAUCUAGGGUUAGGGUUAGGGUUUCAUUUUUCUGUUUCUUUUUCGAUCUUCUUCUUUUCUCGAUCUACUUCUUUUUCCCGAUCUAGAAGAGCUUCUAGGAGGUGUAUGAUACCAUUGUUAGAGCCUAGCCUAGGAUCUCUAGAUGCACAUCUAGUCGGGAUCGUGAGAGAUAUGAGGGACAUGGUGUUCCUUGUGUGUGUGCCGAGAGUGAGAGAGAGAUAUAGGGGUACCUUCACCCCUAGAGGUGGGAGCAGCAGAGCUGCUGGCCAUUGCGGGUUCGGUCGGUGAAGUCUGCGCAAGGCAGCGACGCGCAAUGCCGAAUCCGGUCGCCGGUGAGGUGGCGGUGGUGCUUCCCGCCGCUACUGCGCAAACCUAGAUCGGUAGGUGUGUCGGUGGGGCGGUUGGCUACGGCGAACCUCGUGAGCCGAGCCGGGUCCCCCACCCUGUUUAUAUAGCGCAGCGCGACAGGGGCCCACCACCCAUUGCUAGGGUGAGCGCCCCCGAUCAGGGCGCUAAUCAAGGUCCCGAUUGGCCUUUGGGCCCAUCGGGAAAGAGAUCAAUCUAACACAGUUGGCAUCAGCAGCCAUCCUUCUUCUGGUGCCGGCAGACAUGCACUUCGAGCUCACCAAGAAGAGUGCGAAGGAGGCAGGGGAGGUGGUGGAGAAGAUGCAGCUCGAAGUCAAGUGCGUGAAGGAGGCGAACGCGCAGAAGCUAAUGAAGGAGUUUGAGCUCGUCACAUUCAAGGAGGGAGAAUCAAUCGAUGACUUCGCCAACCGCAUGAACACCCUCAUUGCCAAGCUGCGUGACCUGGGGGAGUCGAUGGAGGACGUGCGUGUCCUCAGGAAGUUCCUGCACGUUGUGCCCUCGAGGUACCACCAGAUCGCGUUUUCGAUCGAGACACUACUCGAUCUUAACACAAUGUCGAUCGAGGAACUCGUCAGACAACUCCGUGCGGCGGAGGAUCGAGCCAACGUGGACGAGAUCAUGGACCAUGCGGGGCAGCUGUUGCUCACUGAAGAGCAGUGGGAGGCGCGCCAGCGUCAACGUCGUGGGAAGGAGCGUGCACGCAGCCUCGAGGUGCACCACAGCAACAGCGAUAGGAAGGGAGGCCGUAGCGGUGGUCGUGGUGACGAGGAUGACGAUGAUGGAGGGAGCAGCGUUAGUUUAGGCGCAACUAGGUGUCGACGCAUCUCCGGCAAGGGCCGGUGCUACAACUGUGGCAUCCGUGGCCAUUUCUCGAAGGAGUGCACCAAGCCAAGGAAGGAGGCGGCGUUGUUCGUGGACGCCGACGAUGAGCCGGCGCUCCUAUUGGAGGUAUGCCCUAGUGGCAAUCAUAGAGAUGAUGAUAUCUGAUUGUAUCCAUGAUUUGUAUAUUGUGUUCAUUGAAUAUCCAUUAAAGGCUACUUGAAUUGAUUUGCAAUUAUGUGAAUUGUAUGUGAAACUCUUUACUUGUAUGGUUAUUCUAAAGUUGUCCCUAGUCGGAGUUCAUGUGAGGACACACAUGAAUAUUAGACUAGCACAUGUAUUAGUUGAUGACUAUGUUUCACAAGUCAUGGAUAUGGAGAUGUCAAACUAAUAAUGUGGGCACAUGAAGAGACAUGUGAUAGGAUUGACCCAACACGAGUUAUAUAUUUCUCUCUUUACAUAACAUGUACGCUUUAUCCUUAGACGUGAGAUUGUUGCAUGUACUCAAGAUGUGGGUCGACUUACUUAGGGGCUAUCAAACGCUACACCGUAACAGAGUAGUUAAAAAGGUAGCUUUCGGGUUUGUCAAGAAGCAUGCUAUUAGGCAUGGUCAAUCAAGAUGGGAUUUGCCCCUCUCUGAUUGAGAGAGAUAUCUCUGGGCCCCUCGAGUGAUCGGAUUGAGAAAUGCAUGGCCAUGCUAUGUAAGGUUAAGAGUUAACAUACAAAGGGAUUCCAAAUCACAGGAUCGAGAAAGAGCGGUCGACUUGGAGCUAGACCAAAUAUUGUGAGGCAAAGGGAAUAGCAUGUACGUGAUGUUGUGACGGUACAUCUGAUAUGAUCUUUGUGUGCGUAUAGAAGUUGGCACAUCUUGCUAGAGGCUGCUACCGAUUAUUGGGCUGAGUAGGAGUACUCGAGCCAUGUCUAUACGUAUUCAAACCUAUAGGGUCGCACACUUAAGGGGCUGAAAGCCCAAUUAGGAUAUGAUCCGAAUUGGAUCGGGUUUAGGAGUACUAAUGGGCCUCGGACCCAGAGGCCCAUCAGGGACCCCUAUAUAUAGAGGGGUGGGGGCGCCCUAGGAUUCAUCCCUUUUGGUCGAACCACAGCUGCCACGCCUCCCACGCUCUUGCCUCGUUGCAACUCGUGGACCUAGCAGUCCAGCUUGCGAUGCUUCCUCCCUGCACGUAUGGAUACCUUGGAGGUGUUGCACCUGCAACACUUGGACGAGCUGCCGACGAGCCACGACGAGCUGAUGACGAGCCGUGGCACGAGGAGGACCUCGCUGUAUGUGGACGAGCUGCUGAGGAGCUGCUCAACGUUGACGUGUUCGACUACGCUGAUCGACUUCGCUACCCCGAUGCGAUUCUACAACUUCUGCACUUGUGCGUCGAGUGGUAAUCCCGUGAUCCAUAUAUGGCAGUUUUCCUGGUUUACGCAGUAGAAGAAUUUUGUUUUGCACUAGCGUAGCCUACCUCGUAUCCCAAUAGUGGUAUCAGAGCCGUAGUUGCAUUGUUAUGGAUUUGAGAUCUAUGCAUAUGGAGAUAUGCGAGUUUUUAGAUUGAUAUAUGACCUGGUUUCGUGUUCUUGCUGCAAUGGUAGUGUAACGAUAUACUCCUACCGGUUGAAUUUCCGCCAUCGGAGUUAAGUGAUACACGUAAUGCCAGUUGCAGCGAGUAAAGAUCAAUGUGAUUGAUCGAAUCGAAACCCAGGUUCAUACACCAGGCGCAUGUGAUGCGCAAUAGUAGAUUGGAUCAACUACCGGGUUGGAAUUUUUGUCGUAUGUGUGUGCUUCGGUAAAACAGCCGUAACUUUCCAGUACGAUCUCGGAUCGAGGCGAAUUUUAUAUGAAAAUUGAUAUAUAGAAAAAGUUACACAUAAAAUUCAAUCGCUUUUCCAUUUUUGGUGAAAUCAGAUUUUCCAAAUUCAGCUUAGAAGAUGGAGUUUCGGGCCAUUUAAGUUUGGAACGUUAGAACGCCUAACUCUAUUUUGCAAGAUCUUGUGAUCGGUAUGGCCCUUGUGUAUGUGAUGCAUGUAAGUAACUGAUUCGUGACCUGCGUGUCACAUGUACAGCAACACGGCUGGAGCCAUAUGUGUUGUCACCUUAAUGUAUUUAGUGGUCUGCGUACCAAUCUCAGAUGAUCCAAGCAACUAUGUAAUCUACAAUACUAGCUAUUAUGUGUAAAUAGCAUAUUCUAGUUCUUGGAGGACUCAUCACCAGGAGGAUGGCGCACAUGGAACAUGGAGAUGAAGAUCACCAUGGUGAACAAGUUCUAUGGAGAUGAAGAUCACCAUAAGAAAAUGGGCCAUACUGUGUCACAACUGUGUGAAUGUUAUUCUUUAUGUUUAACUUCCUGCAUAAUGUGAUAUUAGAAGUAGAAUGAUCCCUCACAAAGUUUAAGUUUGUAUGCCCUCCCAACUAAAACUUGCAUCGUCCCAUGUCUUGUACAAUUGGUGGUGGGUCUAUGAAAUUAGGGUGCGACUAGUUUUCCUUGACUAGACGGGUUUGUGUCGGACACUUACACGCAAAAGGGUUGGUUUGCUUAACAAGGUCAUCUUAACGGUUAAGUACCUUGGGGCAUAAAGGUGGUGCGCCGAGACAUAGAUAUGUCACCCAACAAUAGGAGUCAUAUGUGAUAUGAUUAGCAAGGAGUUGCUUACCGACCUACCUUGUUUGCUAGCGGUGAUGCUAAAGCUCACUAGUAGACUUGAUAGUUGUGGAUCCUAGCAACACCACAUCAUUUGCUUUGCAUUCGAUCCUUGAGAAGGAGAAAUUGAAUGGAACAAACUACUCGGAUUGGAUCUGUAACAUGAGAAUUGUUCUUAGGGCUGAUAAAAGGAAGAUGUUCUAGACACCCCAUUACCACAAGUACCUGCUGAUGAUGCAUCUGCUGCCGUUAAGGCCGCUUACAAGAAAGCUAUCACACCCGAUUUUAAGGACAAAACCGAGUGCUUUCAGUACAUGUGCGCCAGGAUCAAGUUACACACAUGUAUGACAAUAGUGAAUAACAAAGAUAAUGCUAAAGUGAAUAAAGAGAGUAUUAAACAUUAUUACAUGACCGAAAGUCUCAAUAAAACAAAAGCCUAAAUUAUUACGCAACGGAACUCCAACGACAACGAAGACACCACAGGCAGUCGACUGAAGAACCGUAUGCCUAGAACUCCUCAAAGUCGUGCAGAUACUCCUCCAAAUUAGCUUGGUCUGAACAGCAAUUUUGCAAGGGUGAGUACACUUAUGGUUGGUACUCAACAAGUCAUGGGGAAUAGUAUAGUGUAAGGCAAAUCAAGGUAUGGCAAAGGUGUAAUUAGCAUCAUCUUUUAAUUAAGUUGGUCAAGUUUUAUUUAGCAAUAAACUAAUUAUAAGUUUAUACCUCCCAAAAUUAAACAUGAGCAUAAACAAAGUAAACAACAUAUGCAUGAAACGACAACAAUUUAAAUCCAUCUUCCGAUAAUAUUAUCAUGUGAGGGUCCAGGCCGCUCUUAAUCGUGAGCAUGGCUGAUCGAUCAGUUUUACACUCUGUAGAGGUGGCACAUCUUUUCCCACAAGUCGCGUAAAAGUUCAAAAGAACUUUGGACCCAACCAUGCGGUGUUUGCAAGGCACCAUACCACACUUCCAAGGUGUGAUUGCAUAGGGACGCUACGAGGCCUUUACAAAGAUUCGCUAGCAAUGUGGUAACCCAUUAAGGUUUCAGGUCGAAGCAGAACAUAGCAGUCCCCUAGUGGGUAUAGUGUCUUAGCCAAGCCCACUUCCCCCGAGAGCGAGUGCUAUAUCCCAUCAACGCCUCCCCUCUUGCCCUUUUGGUAAGAUUACCCCAAACUAGAGUUUCUAAUUAUUCAGCCAAGACCAGAGCCAUUUAGUCUUAUGGUAGCACUGUUUUCCUGGGUGGUUCUCCAUGUUCUGUUUAAACAAUAGUGAUCUUGUAUUAAUGAAAGGUAUAACAGAAGUAAAGCAAGAUUAAACAUUGUGUUCAGUUAAACCACCAUACCAAGUAAGCACUAAGCAUGAGCUACCCAACAUAAAAGUAAACCCAGUUGGUCAAGGCAAAGGUAAUUUCAAUCUAGGCGAACCUUAAUUGGGACCCAUCAAUUUAAUCUUACCAUGUGCAUAGCAUAAAUGUUGAGUACAAGAAAGUAAAGGUGUAUAGGAUGGAAAAGUAGUGAUCAAGGACACGACUUGCCUUCUUGGCCUUGCUCCUGCUGUUUGUACUCCUCGAAGGCUUGGUCUUCAAAUCCCUCGAACUGCUGAACGUCUACACGCAUCACAUGAGCACAUACAAGCAAACAUGGGCAAAAGGUAAGAACAGUACACCAAUCACAAUUAAAUAGAGAAAACAAGCUUGUAAAAUUGAUCUACGUUUUAAAACGAACACGUGGAUAUAAAGAACACGAAAAAUGGAGUUAAGAUGCAAAAGAUAUGAUUAAAACAAGAUCCAGGGGCUUUUCUGCGAGAAAAACAAAACUUCUAUGAUCAAACUGCGAAAAACCAGGGCUUAUACAUAAUUACGCGUAUAAACUGAAGGUUUAACGUGCAAAAACUCCAAAACGGAUGACGGGUUGAUUUUUAGAAAACUCAGGGCUCAAACCGAAAAACAUGAGGGCAGAUCUGUAAAUAUUUUUCAACGCAAUCUGGACCGCGGGUUGAUUUGCGGAAAAGGCGAGGGAUUAAGUGAAAAAGAAUAGCAGCGCGGAACGGUUGACCGGUACGUGACUCGGUUGACUCGCUGCUGGCCGUCGGAUCUGGAUCAGAUCCGACGGUCGCGCGCGUCAGCGGCAGCUCGGCGGCAGAAAAGGCAGCAGACGGCGGCGAGCGGCAGUGGGGUCGCUGGAGUUGGCCGAAAAGGUGCUCCGGGGCUUGUUUUCACGCGCGGAUUGCACGGGAAAAGAGCGGGGGACACGGCGAACCCGUUUAGGGCCUUGGUGGGAGCCACGGCGCGGCGGAGCUCACCUUUUGGCGGCGGCUAGCGGCGGAGAGAGAGCGUCGGCGCUAGAGCUCGGGUAGCGGGUUUGGAGGGCGCUGCUGCGGGAUGCUCGAGGCCGGGGGAAGGGCGACGACUUAUAUAGGGGCGGUUGGCGGCGGGAUAAGGAUAGGGGUGGAUCACGCGCAAAGAAAACACGCGGCGGUUGCGGGAGGCGGUGGAGUCCGGCGUGGUCGGGGGAGGAGUCCCGGCCGGAUACGGCUGGAGGACGGGGAUGACGGGUGGGUCCCACCUGUCAGAUCGGCGGAAGGAAGCGGGCCAGCGUUGUAACGCGGGCCACGGAGGAAAAAGGAGAGGUGGGCCGGAGCGAGGGGGAAAGCGGAGCGGGAAGCUUCGCGGGCCGGCGGAAAGGUGGAGCGGGCCGGAGGAGCUGGUGCGCGGCUGGGCCGAAAGAAAGAAGAAGGAGGAGAAGGAUGCGGCCCAACAGAAGAUAAGAGAAGAAAAGAAAAAAAGAAAAGGAGAAAAGUAAGGUUUUGAAAAUUUGGAAAUUGAAUUUGAAAUUCAAAUUUAAUUCAAACUGAAGCAAUCAAAAUAAAUGCACCAGCAUGAAUGCACAAUAAACUCCUAGGGUGAAUUAAUUAAAUUUAAAGAAAGUGAAAUUAAAUGCCUAGAAUUUAAAUGACAUCCUAAUUUGAGCAAUUUUAGUGAAUUUGAAUUCCUUUUUUAAAAAAAUUGGGUGUUACAAAAGCAUUUGAUGCUAAUCUUGAGGUAAGUUUCCUUAUGCUUGCUUGCAUGGAAUCCGAGCUACAGAUGCAGUUCGAAACAAAUCAUGAGGUGCACGAUAUGAUCGUGGCGCUCAAGGAUAUGUUCCAGAUACAGGCCAGGACUGAAAGGUUCAAUGUGUCCAAGGCCUUUCUGGAGUGCAAGCUAGCAGAAGGCGCAGUAGUAGGACCACACAUAAUCAAGAUGGUUAGUUACACUCAACGAUUGAAGAAGCUGGGCUUCCCAAUAGGCCAAGAGUUGGCCACUAACUUCAUUCUUUCGUCUCUUCCGCCUAGCUAUGGGAACUUCAUCUCGAACUACCAUAUGCAUGGGACGGAGAAGGAUCUGAAUGAACUGUGUGGCAUGCUUAAAACAGCAGAGGCUGACAUUAAGAAAAGUGCUAGUAGCAGCCAUGUGAUGGCUAUACAGAACAACCCUAGUUUUAAGAAGAAGAGCAAUUCUUGGAAGAAGAAGGGCAAGGCUGCCAAGCCAAACCCAGCGCCAAAGGUUAAACCUGGACCUGGACCUGCUCCAGACAAAGAGUGUUUUUAUUGUCACGAACUUGGUCACUGGAAGAGAAAUUGCAAGCAGUACCUAGCUUCGUUGAAGAAUGGCGGAAGUAAGAGUACUUCCACCACAGGUACGCUUGUUGUUAAUGUUAUAGACAAUAUACUUCUUGCUGAUACAAUUAUUAAUUCUUGGUUAUUUGAUACCGGAUCAGUUGCUCAUAUUUGCAAUUCAAUGCAGGGAUGGAUAAAAAGUAGAAGCGUGGAAAGAGGAGAAGUUGAUUUCCGCGUGGGCAAUAAUGCAAGAGUUGUUGCGUUAACCGUCGGGACGAUGUAACUCCACCUCCCAUCAGGAUUUAUUAUGGAGUUGAAUAAUUGUUAUUUUGUUCCUAGUUUAAGUCGAAACAUUAUGUCUCCUUCAUGCUUGAUUAAGGAUGGUUAUUAUUUUGCGAGUGAAAACAAUGAUUGUGUGAUCUCUAAGAAUGAUAUGUUUAUGGCUUUUGCACCCAUUAUGAAUGGAUUGUUUGUUUUAAAUCUUCCUGGUUCACCUGUUUGUAAAAUAAGUGCUAAAAGGCCUCGGCCUAAUGAUUUGAGUACUAUCUACAUAUGACAUUGUCGUUUGGGUCAUAUAAGUGAGAAACGCAUGAAGAAGCUCCAUACUGAUGGACUUUUAACUUCGUUUGAUUUUGAAUCAUACGAGAUAUGUGAGGCUUGCUUACUAGGCAAGAUGACCAAGGCACCUUUCACAGGUUUUCCUGAGAGAGCAUUAGAUUUGUUGGAACUCGUACAUACUGAUGUAUGCGGACCAAUGAGCACGACAACCAGAGGAGGGUUCCAAUACUUCAUAACUUUUACUGAUGAUUUUAGUAGAUAUGGAUAUGUCUACUUAAUGAGGCAUAAGUCUGAAACCUCUGAAAAGUUUAAAAUCAGCGUGGCAAGAAAAUUAAGGCCUUGCAAUCUGAUCGUGGAGGUGAGUAUUUGAGCCAUGAAUUUAGCAGUCAUCUGAAGAGUUGCGGAAUUGUUCUGCAGCUUACGCCGCCUAGAACACCUCAGAGAAAUGGUGUAUCUGAGCGACGUAAUCGAACUUUGUUAGACAUGGUUCGAUCAAUGAUGGGCCAGUCGGACCUACCAUUAUCAUUUUGGGGAUACGCUCUAGAAACAGCAGCUUUCACACUUAAUAGGGUACCAUCUAAAUCCGUAGUUAAGACACCAUAUGAGAUGUGGACUGGAAAGACUCUUAGUUUGUCUUUUCUUAAGAUUUGGGGAUGUGAAGUAUUUAUCAAGCGACUUCAGUCGGACAAGAUUACACCCAAGUCAGAUAAGUGCAUUUUCGUGGGAUAUCCAAACCAAACUUUAGGAUAUUAUUUCUACAACCGGUCAGAGGGCAAAGUGUUUGUCGCUCGGAACGGGGUUUUCUUAGAGAAAGAGUUUCUCAAAGGCGAAAAGAGUGGAAACACCGUGCAUCUUGAAUCAACGAGUGAUGCUAACGUAGCAGAACAAGUUGAGAUACCCGCAGCAAGAGAAGCACCACCACAACCACGAAGGUCAGCAAGGCUCCGCGAACAGCGGGAAAUAUUAUUGUUGGAUAAUGAUGAGCCUGUGACAUAUGCAGAAGCAAUGAUGGACCCAGACUCCGAAAAAUGGCAGAGUGCCAUGCAAUCUGAAAUAGAGUCCAUGGGAGACAAUCAAGUUUGGAACUUGGUUGACCCGUCUAAUGGUGUUAAAGCCAUAGAGUGCAAAUGGAUCUAUAAAAAGAAGAGAGAUAUGGAUGGAAAGGUUCACAUCUACAAAGCACGACUUGUCGCAAAAGGUUUUCGACAAGUUCAAGGAGUUGACUACGACGAGAACUUUUCGCCCGUAAUGAUGCUUAAAUCUAUGUGAAUUAUUCUAGCUAUAGCUGCAUAUUUUGAUUAUGAGAUAUGGCAGAUGGAUGUCAAGACAGCUUUCCUGAAUGGAAAUCUAACUGAGGACGUGUAUAUGAUAUAGCUCAAAGGUUUUAUCAAUUCGAACAAUGCUGGAAAGGUAUGCAAACUUCAAAAAUCCAUUUAUGGGUUGAAGCAAGCAUCUAGGAGUUGGAACAUUCAUUUUGAUGAAGUGGUCAAAGGGUUUAGCUUCAUUAAGAACGAAGAAGAGUCUUGUGUUUACAAGAAGGUUAGUGGGAGCUCUGUAGUAUUUCUAAUCUUAUAUGUGGAUGACAUGUUACUAAUUGGAAACAACAUUCCUAUGAUUGAGUUCGUAAAGACUUCACUGAAAAAUAGUUUUUUGAUGAAGGAUUUAGGGGAAGCAGUAUAUAUUCUGGGCAUCAAAAUCUAUAAAGACAGAUCGAGAAGGCUUAUAGGAUUAAGCCAAGAUACUUACAUUGACAAAGUGUUGAAAUGGUUCAACAUGGAAGACGUAAAGAAAGGGUUCUUGCCUAUGUCACAUGGCAUACACCUUAGCAAGACUUAGUGUCCUUCAAUUACUGAUGAGCGGGAUCGCAUGAGUAGAGUGCCAUAUGCUUCGGCUAUCAGAUCUAUCAUAUAUGCAAUGAUAAGUACUCGUCCAGAUGUUUCAUAUGCGCUAAGUAUGACAAGCAGACACCAGUUUGAUCCAGGUGAGAGUCACUUGAUGGCGGUGAAAAACAUUCUUAAGUACUUCAGAAGGACUAAAGAUAUGUUCCUUGUCUAUGGAGGUGAGGAGGAGCUCGUUGUAACAGGUUACACCGAUGCUAGUUUCCAAACUGACAGAGACGAUUCAAAAUCACAAUCAAGAUUUGUGUUUAUGCUAAACGGUGGUGCUGUUAGCUGGAAGAGUUCCAAGCAAGAGACGGUGGCUGAUUCUACGACAGAAGCCGAGUACAUUGCGGCUUCAGAACUCGCGAAUGAGGGUGUUUGGAUAAGGAAUUUCCUUAUUGAGCUUGGUGUGUUCCCGAAUGCGUCUAGCCCAUUGAAUCUCUACUGUGAUAACAAUGGGGCUAUUGCGCAAGCAAAGAGCCAAGGAAUCACCAGAAGAACAAACACGUAAUGCGGCGAUUUCAUCUCAUUCAAGACUUCGUUAAUCGGGGUGAGAUCAAGAUAUGCAAAAUACAUACGGAUUUGAAUAUUUCUGAUCUGUUGACAAAACCUCUCCCGCGGUCUAAGCAUGAUGUCCACAUAAGAGCUAUGGGUAUUAGAUAUCUUCUAGAUUGACUCUAGUGCAAGUGGGAGACUGUUGGAGGUAUGCCUAUUUGUUGGUUAAGUGCGCCUCGGGAAAGCAGUAAAUGGAGCUAGCAUAGAAAAAAAAAAGCAAAUAUCGAUGGCCCUUGUACCCACCUUGGGCAGUGCAAGAAUAAGGUCCGCUGCGAUGUUGAUUUGCGUGUCUUCUUCUGCGUGGCCCCAUACUGGAUGACGUGCACCAUCAGAUUAAUUCAUGGAUAUAUCAGGUUAUCAUAUGGGAAAUUCUUUUCUGAAUUAUGAUUCAUGUAUAUUUUAUCUUCUUUUGUUUUUCUUCUUACUCCAUUCCAAGGAUCUUAAUGAACUUUUAGCUUACAUUCCUUACAUAACUGAGAUAUGUAAGGAUAAUCCAAAUUAGCAAUGAUAUUUACACUCUUACACUACUUUUAUCUAAUCCAAUUAUUUUUAGUAAUCUAGCUGUAGGAUUCGCCUAUCAGUAUAUGGCAUAUUUACUCAUAUAGAUGGCUUCUGGUUAUCGUGAAAUAAAGCAUGAGAUGAUCAGUUGUAGAAUUUAAUUAUAUUAUAUAAAUUUUGGUCAAUCAACUAGUAAUUAUUCUGUAUAUUCUUGAUACUAUUUUUUCAAUUCUGAACGCAGAUUUCAAGAGUUUACAAGGGGAAGGACUAUGUGGAAACGGAACUUAUAGUGAGUGCUCUGCCACUAGGAUAUGCCUUGCAUUGCUACAGAUGUUGUUUAAACAUUGCGUUUUGUUUCAUGAUUUGAUUGGCAUAAGAUUUUAACAUAUUCUCAACUGAUUGUUCCCAUGUGUAGGUUGGGCCUAUACCAAUAGAUGAUGGAAAUGGAAAAGAAAUAGCAACUGAAAUUGUCACAAACAUGGCGACAAACAAAACUUUUUACACUGAUUCCAGUGGACGCGAUUUCAUCAAAAGGGUAUGCAGCACUGGCACUUUUUACCUUUUCUUCUCUCCCAGUAAAAAGCACUUUUGUUGCCCUUCUCAUUGACAGAUUUCUUCAGAAAUAAUUGUUCUAGUGAUUCCUAUGCUACCUUAGAACGUGAAAGGGAUAAGAUUAGCAGUUGGCACAAUGGAUAACUAAAAAAGAAAAUACAUGGCAGAAUAUUUUAAGAUUAUCUCAAGCUUUAUAUUUAUACACGAGGUACCAUUUUUAUUUUAUUUUAUUUUGCAGAUAAGAGAUUAUCGAUCAGAGUGGAAGAUUGAAGUGCACCAGCCCAUUGCUGGGAACUAUUAUCCUGUGAGCUUCUGUUUGCUCUCUAUAUUUUUUGAUGAAGAAGUUUACUAACAUUAGUAAAUGGCAUCUUUUUAUCUGAGCAACAGUAGUCAAGAGUGGCAUCUUCCACUCAAUUGAUUCAGUUUUGAAUUGAUUAUUCUCUAUGUCUUUUCCUAGAGGAUUGUAUUAGUUAUUUUGGUCUUUACACUAACAUUUAUUGAUUUUUACUAAAAGAUGAUAACAUAGACAUUUGUAAAAAGAUUGGUGAUUCUGUACAUCUUUUCAGGUUAAUCUUGGCAUUUAUGUAGAAGAUGGCAGCAAAGAGUUCUGUACUGGUAGACAGGUCAGUUGGAGGUUCAAGUAUAAAAGAUGGACAAAUAGAGCUAAUGCUACACAGGUACAUCCUCAAGCAGCAUAAUUGUAAUAAUAAUUUGUUGCUUCUUUCAUGCUUUAGUACUUCCUUUGUGAUAACCUCUGUACUCCCUGUAUAGGAGGCUACUCCAUGAUGAUGGGCGAGGCGUCGCAGAGGCGUUAAAUGAAACUGUCUGUGUUGAUAAACAAUGUGAAGGAUUAAUUGUAAGUAAAGUGAUUAUAUUCCUAACACUUUAGUAGGAUAGAGGCCAAAGUCAGUUGGUGCUUGCUGAGAUUAUAUUGGUAUUAGAAUGAACACAUCUCAUUUUUUUUCAGAAGAAAACAUCUCAUUCAUUAGGAUAGAUUAAAGUCAAACAACGCCUCAAAAGUACCAUAGGAAAAAGGCCAUCUUAGUUUCCUCAACUAAUUACUUAUUUACAGCUAAGUCACCGGAUGAUAAUGUUGUGUCAUUACAGAUCAAGUUAUUAUAUUGUGACUGCAGCAGCAUGCAGUGUCAUAAAGAAAUAUAAUGGAAAGCAUCUCAUUGUGAUUUCAGAUCGAAGGAAAGUACUAUCUCAAAAUUGAUCCACAAGGAGAAGGAGCUAGGUGGCGUCGGACAUUUGGCCAGGAAAUAUACUCACCUCUCCUCCUUGCUUUCUCAGAGCAGGUAUGGCCGUAUGGGGUGAAACUUGCCAUCAGCAUGGUUGCUCAGGCUAUUCGUGUGUUCAACAUGCACCAACUUGUUUACCCAGGAUGGAGGCAACUGGGCGAAUUCGCAUGUUCCAAAAUUCUCUGCAAUGGAUCCAACCUACAGCUUGCCUGAUAAUGUUGCAUUGCUUACUCUUCAGGUACCUGCCUUGCUAUACCAUUGUUGCCAUAAUGUAUUAAAAAGUGAAAAUAUACAUAACUUCUAUGUUAUGUUAACCAAUUGAUUUUAGAAUUUGGAAUGUUCAUUUUUCAUUUCUUAGUAGUAUAUUCUGUGCAAAAGUGCUGACUCCUGGUUGGCUUGAUUGAUGACAAACAACGAAACGAAACCAUGCACUCUUCUAGAUGUAUAUCACGACAAGUGUAAAACUGCUGCCUGGAUUUAUUUGUAAUUCAUUACUGCAUAUAUCUGUUUAUAACUUGGUUGCAUGUGUCAAAUUUAUUCAUAACACAGGAACUCGAAGAUGGAACUGUUCUUCUUCGGUUUGCUCAUCUAUACGAGGUUUUGCCACCACCAUUCUGACUUUGCUGUUCCAGGAAAGGAUACUUCUAUUUGCUUUCCUAAGUUUUGUGCUUUUCUGGACAAAUAGGCUGGAGAGCACAAGGAUCUUUCAGCUCUGGCGAGUGUCGACCUCAAGAGAGUAUUCCCAGACAAGGUCCUCUUUGUCGCAGCAUCAGUGGUAAGCAACUGCUCUGAUAGUCCGACGCCGAGGAGGUCCAGAUGGGCGUCAUGGCCAAUGCCCAAUGUUGUAUUACCAACUGCUCUGUUUAGUAGAAAUUGCACUGAUUGCAUUGCAUUGAGCAACUAAGUCAUCGACGUUGGAACUGAAUCUGACUUGAACACUCAGUUCAGACACAAAGCUGGGUUUUAAUGGAACUGUCGGUGUACAUUAUUUGGUCACGAAAAUCUGGAGUCUAUGAGUUGCCAAUGAGAUCUGUUUUGGACCCACCUGUCAGCUCAGCUUAGGUUGGUAUAGUAGUUUCCGCACCAAACAUGCCAAAAUUGGUUGCCAUAAGUUGAACCCUGUCCGAUACUAGCACAAAUAAUUUAAUAAAAAAAGAACCAUUUGUGCUGUCUAAUUGCUAUUCUUGUCCUGUUUAUGCUAUAGUACAUCAAAGCUCAAUUAAUACACUACUUUUUUGAGAAAUAUAACACAGCUGAUGCACAAACAGUAGAGAUAAGCAAUUUUUUUAGGGAAAACACCCAUAGGGCUCUCAUUUCGUUAAACGCAAGUUAAAGUACAAAUAGAUGCCCAGCUUGGCAAGUUACAUACAAUAGUUUCAAAAGGUCAUACACCAUUAUGCUCCACAUUUGAGCAAACACCGGAGCUCAAGGUGAAGGGGUCUGGGGUGGAUCUCAGAAGCUGGGCGAGCUGUUGGUGGGGGCGAUUGGGUUUUGGCGUGGUGUGGCUCGAGGAUUUGGCCGGCGAAGAGCUCACGGCGGCGGAGGCCAUGGUGGGUGGGGAAACUUCAAUUCCCGGCAGGAGGGUGGAGGGUGAGCGGCACGAGGAGGUUGAGGAGGGGGGCGGAGAGGUGGAGGAGAUGGAUGCGCGGACUAUUGGACUACGGUGGCGGGCCAGCUCGGGCGGCAGCCGGGGGUGGCGGGCGGCGGUUGGGUGGGGGCGGCAGGCGACGGGAGUCGGGUGGGGGCGUCAGGGGUGUGGAAGUCGUACGGGAAAAGAAAAAACGAACUGGUAGGGUCAGGUGGGUAAUUUUUUUACCCCAAAAGUAGCUGAAAGUAGGGGAAGGCGCUUUUGCUUUUGUACUAGAGGAAAAACAGCUUUUGUCCUAUGGUUUUUUUGGAUCUUGGUUGGCUUUUGGCUUUUGCAAAAUUAGAAGCAGGUUGAAAAUGCCCAACCAAAGGCAUCAUAAAGAGUGAGCAAUAUAGUUCAAUUCUGUAGGAAUAUGAAUAAAACUUCAAGAUUUGCAAAAUGAAGAAUUUCUUGAGUUUGAUGUCCUAUACUCCAAUCAUUGAGAUUCUCGCCGUCAUUGAUGAUACUUUCCACCAAGACUUUACAGUUCGAUAGAAAGUAACAGCCAUGCACCUGCAAGAUGGAAGCAACAUUCACCGCUAAGAGGAGGUUGUGCGCCUGUGCCUGCAAGGGAGAAAUGGCUGACCAUUUGGCUCUGAUUUGAAGAGACCAAGAAGGGUGGCUUGUGCAUUGUAGCAUUGGUAAAGAGAAUUCCCAAGCCAGCCUUUUGAUUUACAUAUGAUGCGUCAAUCCUGCAGCAAAGGUUGCUAGAUAAAAGAUGUGAAAAAUAGAUAUCAUCUUGUAAGUAAUGUGAUGUGGUCAGAAUGUUCAUGCUUUGGUCAAUACGAUACGCUUUAUAUUGAACUUUUUGAGAAGCCUUUGCUUGGUAAAUGAUAGUGUGCACAGAGCAGUCUUUAUGUUGAAACCUAUGAUCAUUUCUUGCUUUCUAAAUGUGUCAAAGGAUGUAACAGGAUGUAACAAACAACUGAUCCUCUUCACAAGUAAGAUUUCUAAAAGUCAACACCACUUCUUCUGGGAGUCUUGCCACGCUCAACCGCACGGGCCAUGUCGGCUUGAAUUCGUAUCUGUCCCAUCGUGUAAAUCCGUCCUUCCGUGAGCAUAGGUAGGCACGCAAGUAGGUAGGCACGUGGUUUUUUUUGCAAAAAAGCUCUCCAAUUUUUUAUUAAUCGUCUUGGGGUUCACGGAGGCCCUCCUCCUAUAGUAAACGUGUUCGAUUUCUUUGCAACACGCCCCUAGGUUCCAGAAUAUUUCAAUAUCAGAAGAGAAAUUUCCAAUUUCGCGCCGCUUUUACAAAAAACCGUCGGCCGACCAUUUUGCGAAGAAUCCCAACGCGUGCCCGGCCUUAAGCCGCCGUCCUCUCCCAUUUCUAUCUUAGAAAAAUUGGUUUCAUAGCCCUCAAAGAUCACUACUUCCAUAAAAUACCAUUAAAAAGUGGUGAACCGUGGCUGAAAAUACCAUUGGGUUACCUUUUAUGGCUAACAGGAACCUUUUUCUGUCUACAGCGCAAAGUGCAUUGUCGUCUCUACUCCUUAUCUUCUUCCUUACCGUUCUCCAUCUCUCCUGUUACAGUAGCAGGCCAUGCUAGGUCGCCGAGGCGCUCGACGUUGCCUCCUCCCAUCGCUGGCGGCGCGAACUUCACAGCCGUGGUCCUCGCGAGGGCCGUCACCGUGCUCUCCGUCGCGCCGUCGGCCGCGCUUGUCUCCUUCAACGCACACGCGAGGCAAGGCCAGCUGCGCCGCAUCCUUGAGCUCAGCCCGCUCCUCUGCAGCCCAGCCGCCGCAUGGCCGCCCACGAGAUGGUCGUGGCGGGGCACACCUGUGCUCCUGCUGUUGCGCGCGUUUGUCCAGGGAUGCGCUGUGUGUUGCUGGUGGCCUCGCUCGCCAUGCGUAUGCCACCAUGCUGGUUCUUGCGCUCUACAUGCAUGUGCUCCUCGCGUGCUAGGAGCAUGGGAGGCUGGGACAUGCCCGCUGGGUGUCUGGACCAAGGAAAGAUUGGAGAAGCUAGCGUUUGUUCUGGUGACUGGUGCGUGUGCUGACCAAGGACAUUUAGUCCAAAUUAACAUUAUUGAUGCCAAAUUCUAACCGGGUGCUAUUUUAUGUAACGUUUUAAUCUCUUGAUGGCAUAACAGUGAUAUAUCUUUCAAUAAUAUUUUACGAAAGUGGUGAUCUUUUAGUACUAUGGAACCAAUUUUUCCCACUAUCUUUUCCUUCCUUUCUCUUAUUUCCUCUGCCCUCGUCCGCUCCAAGCGCCGCCGCCACUCGAGCUUCCCAGAUGACGCGACCACUCUCCCAUCCUUCCUCUCUACUCGCAGUUUCGGAAACCCCCACCACCCUUGUGACGCACCACAUACCCGACCCCGAGCCGCCCCCUCCCUUUCCUUUGUCUCUCUCCCCGGACUCUGGCGACCGCCGCGGCUGCGCCCCGUCUCCCACUCAUCCUCCCUCCGUCUCCCCGGUUCACAUCUCUCGUUCCUCACUCCCUGUGAACGUCCUCGCUGCAUGUUCUUUCUGGCGACCCAGCCCUGUCAAACAAUUCUUUUCAAGAACUGCCAAAUGUGAUUAUUGCUUUCCUGCAGUCCUGGGAUCAAUUCUGUGCCAAGAUUACCAAUUCCCUCUCUCAAAAAUUUGAAUCAUGCUUCUAUAGGUCCAGCUCCCAGGGAACUGUAGAUUUCUCGUUUCUUCAACUAGUGUUGUCCCCGUUACAAUGUGCACUCAGCACUGUUCAGAACUAGUGUUGUUUACUUGUCCUGGUUUCCUCCUAAACACGAGCAAGCAGACAGGUACAUGUAGCCUAGCCAAAUUAUGUCAUAUAUGCAUCUUUAUGUCUGGUGUGUGUAGUCUGAACAUUGUGUGUAGUCUGAACAUUUGAACAUAGUAUAAAAUCUUGUAUAUCGAGAUGCACUGAAUAUAUGUCUCACACAUCAUUUAGCACAACAAGUUCAGACAAGUGCUUGCUAAAUCUCUCCGACUAAUAAUGUCAUGGCUGACUAAGCUUUUCAGUACAAGUGAUCCCGGAGAGAAUACAAAGCUUCAAAAUUGCAACUUUUAACAAGUUUACUUUUGAGGGAUUUUACAGUAUCCUACACUACUGGUAUGAGGAUGCUAGUAUGCAAGUAUGCGCCUGUACUGUCCAUAGCUGCAUAGCUGUUGCACACAGCCAUUCAAAACUGUGACUAAUUCUGAAUAAUUAGUGUGCUGCAUUCAAAACGGUGCUGCAUAGCUGUUGCGCAUAGCUGCAUAGCUAAUGCACACAGGCAUUGAGAACAAGAACGGCUAUAUGCACAUUUGUUUUAGUCAGUGCUCGCAUUGGUCGUUGUCAGUGGUGCUUGAAUUUUUUUGUUUAAUGAACCUGAUGCUAUAUCAAUUCGUGUAUUCUAGUUGACAUCUCAAUCUUGCAUUUACAAUCAAUAUAUGAUCUUCCCCUCUAUUGUAGUUGUGGAGUCCAAGGACGGGAGGAUCUCAGUUGCUUCAGCAUUUGUUGGUCAUCAGGAAGGUGACAUUGCUGUUUCCUCACCCACUAGACUCUCUACUGUCUUGUGUGCUGCAUCUAUUGCUGCCUGCUCUUGCUGGUGUGCUUGGGAAUAAAAUAAAAAAUUUUGGUGCAUGUACAUUUAUGUCUCAGUAUUAAGUAAACUCUGGUGCAUGUCCAAUUUUUAUUGUCCUUGAAUCUGCAUAUUAUAGCAGUUAGGAGAUAAUGGAAUCUUGGGAGGAUGAAGUUAGUAGAUUCAUGCUAGAGGAAGAAGAGGAUGACGAGCUAUUCCUAGUUAUGGUUCAUGCAAGCAUUCUUUUAUCAAUUAUCAUUUCAGUAGGAUACAUGCCAUUUGUCUGUGCAAUACAUAUCUUGUCACAUCUCUUGUCUGUAAUAUAUCUUGACAGAUAUCUGCAACAUAUCUUGACAAUAAUUUUAACCUUGUCAAUACUAGUAUUACACCAUUCACUAUACUGUAACUUCUAAGAUGGUGACAUGUAAUGGUCAGGCUUUCGAGUAAUAAUAGCAAAAAGAGUAUUCAUGUGAAUAUCUAUGUGCAUAUGUAUAUAUUUGAUCAUUUAAUUUUUUAUAUUAUGUACAAAGGUUUUGCUCAUUAUGUGGACCCCAUUCUUGUUCAGUUGGCAUUCAUACAAUAUGAGCUAUACGUAUCUUUGAAUUAUCUGAUCAUAUGUUAUAUACAAGAUUUUAACUAUAUACCUAAAUUUUCCGUAGAACAAUUGAUGGAUCAAUAAUUAUCUGGUGCCUUAAUCAGAAGUGCCUGCGACUUGGAUGUGCUAUGCUGAAUUUAUUUAACUUGCAGUGCCUUAAUACUUGGUGAUUGAUAUUGCUUGUUGAUCUUUUUGACAUGUUACAGACCUUAUUUAUCAUUGCUAUUUUUCUGGAUUUUUUUAGUAUUUAUGAAUUGUGGACUAUUUUUUUACACAAGAUUUGGGUGGGAGCCCCUGGCUCGGGGGGGGGGGGGGGGGGUUUUGCCCAGCUCCGUUAAUUUAUCGAAGAGGAUUGUGCUGCCCAGGGUAGUUCUGGCCUGAGCUGCCAAACGAGCCCUUAGGGUGCCAUGGUCCCUUCAAUACACUUGACGAGGUGAAACAUCUAUUCCAGUGACGGAACAAGCCAACCCAUCGCUUGCGAAUCAGUUUUGUCUAGUGGCACGUAAUCGAAUAAAUAAGAAGGCCUUUCGAUUUGAAGGGGAUUGAAGAGGGUUGAAAGGGAUUCGGAGGGAUUAAAUCCCUUGCAAGUCAAAAUCCCCCUCAAUCCCCUCCGAUCCCCAUGGGAAGGGGAUUAAUUGAACAAAUCCGAAAUAGGAACCUAGGAGAGGAAGAGGAUGACGGAGGAGGUGGGCAGCGACGGAGGUGUCCGGUACUCUAGUAGCGAUUUCGGUGGAGAGAGUCGGGUGAAACACUGAAACAUGACAGCCACCCCAUCCGAGUAGUGCCAUGAUAAAAAUGGCAACUACAAUCACUGCUAAUUUUUUGGCAUGCCAGGAUUUCACUAGAAACUAUCCCUAAUGCAUCACACAUCGUAAUUAUUGCAUAAGUUACCAAAAAAGACGAUAUACCACAACUUUAACACAUGAGAUAGAUUUAUUUACAUGGAGUUUCGGUAAAUAAAUUUAUUGGACCCACAAAAUAUUGAAAUAUUGCAGAUUUUCCCCCUGAAUUUGGUUAUUUGGAAAACUUCUCCAACAUGCUAAAUAAAAAAAAAGAUUUGACAACCAUACUUUCUGGCAGAAUUACAGAGAUUAGCACUAGCUAAACGAGGGAGAGUAGCAAAGCUAUGUGAAUCAUAGCUUGGGAAAAGGAAAAACACCUAACAUUUGUCACCAUAUACACUUGCUACAUGGCUCGAUAACUUUCAGGUUCACAGCUGGGGGCACUCUCCCCUCGAUGUAUCUCUGAAUGGCAACACGGGCCUUUUUAGCCUCCACAAGUGCCUCCUUAUUCAGCUGCAGGCACUUAUCAACCUUGACAAACCUCCUAUCGUACCCACGGGUAGUGUCUAGUGUAAGGCACGCCAGUGCCUUUGUUUUCUCGAUAAUACAGAUCGUGAGCUCAAUCAUGCUCUUCGCAGAGCAAAAGCCGGUUAUCAUCACAUUCUUGAGGUUGUCGUGGCCCUGUUCUUGAAGGCACUGUGGACGUGAGUAGCCACUUGAGUCUUCAAUAACUGAAUCUCGCCUUAUUGUCGGCUGCGCAAUCUGCAUAGGUAUGCAUGAUAUGUCAGAAUGUAUAUUCAAUAAUAAUCACAAAGUUUCAAUUAUACUGAAUAUACUGAUUUUCACCCUAAAUAUGAAGUUUUUAAGAUGGUAACUUGUCAGAGUGAUGUCAUACCCGUACAAUGAGAGACUGCAAGGCAGGAGAAGCAUCAAGAAAAGAAAUAAGAGAGCAGAGAUCAUAGUCUUGGGAAAACUUUGAUGUAGACACCACUAUCUCCAAGUACUUGAGCUGGAUGAAUUUGCCAAACACCUUUGGUGUAUUGACUGUCUGAAGAAAUAAAUGUCCCCCAAAGAUUAAUUGUGGACUGAGUAAUUGAGUAUUGUAAACAUAAAACUAUUAUUCUACCAUCAGUUUCAUUUCCAGAACAAUGAACUUAUUGGGACGGAUAAAACUGACCUCAUCACUUGUUGAUAGCACAAGAGUUUGGAGAUUUGGUGCGAUGAAUGGAAAUUUGGUACUAGCAUAAUAUAGCGCAUCAGGUGAAUAGUCACGGAUAAAACUUAUUUUUCUCACUUGCAAUGCUUCGCCAAGCGAGAUAUGUAUUGGGCGGCCAGCAAAGAAGAAAGUGGAGAGGUUAGGGGCAUUGCUGUCAAUCAUUUCCAGCUUACUGCAACCCACCACAUUCAGGAUAUCAAGCUUCUGCAGCAGACAAGGUAUCUUCAAGCAAAUUAUAUCAUUGCACUUGGUAAACCUUAGUUUCUCCACAGCACAAGAAUUGGAUAGAAAACCAUAUAGUUCCUCUCCAGUAAUGUGUACUGAAUGCAAUUCCAAAUUUGUCAGGCUACUCAUAUAACCAACUUGGGCUGCACAGCGAAAAGAACAAUCCCCAAGCACAAAAGUCUGGAUGGAGCUUCUUAUCUCCCUACUAAAUAAAAGUAAUCCUGGAAGUUGUAGUUUAUCCCACAACUUAACAUUGAUAGAUAGAUUUCUUUGAUCCCAGGUGUAAUGGCACAUCGAAGCCAGCGGUCAACAUAACUAGGUUGGAGAUUCGAACAAGGGUAGGUUUCCAUUACAAACCUCUUCACUCCCAUGCUAGAGUGAUUCUGCAUAAUGUGGUCAACUCUACAUAUGAAAUCCCUUUUUAUUUCAUCAUCAUUAGAUGUGUUUUCAUUAAUCCCUAGAGAAC